RNAcentral lists this long non-coding RNA (233264 nucleotides) under Gossypium barbadense (sea-island cotton). RNAcentral describes it as "long non-coding RNA (GBAR_LNC009776)". The record is from RNAcentral. Lineage: Eukaryota; Viridiplantae; Streptophyta; Magnoliopsida; Malvales; Malvaceae.
CGAGUACAUUAAAGAUGUUGUUGAAUAUGUUAUAAAAAAGUUGACGAAUAUUGGGUUUGAAAGUGCUUCUAAAGAAUUGGUUGGAAUAGAAUAUCAGAAAAAUGCGAUUUUGAAGCUGAUUAAGCAAAAUGACUGUCGUGUAUUAGGACUUUGGGGAAUGGGUGGUCAAGGCAAAACAACCCUUGCUGAGGUUGUAUAUAAAAAAAUCUCUUCGGAGUUUGAAAGUCAUUGCUUUCUUCAAAAUGUUAGAGAGGAAAUAGGAAAUCAAGGGAAGAAAUCUUUACGAAAUGAACUUCUUUCGAAAUUAUUGAACUCAAAAGUUGAUAUAGACACCCCCUCUAUAGGAUCCACUUUAACUCAAGAGAGACUCAACAAGAAGAAAGUACUCGUUGUCCUUGAUGAUGUUGAUGAUCACUUAGACCAAAUAGAUUAUAUGGGGGUUAAAUAUUUUGGUUUUGGAAGUAAAACCAUUAUAACAUCUAGAGAUAGACAAGUGCUUGAGAGCGGAGGAGCUGACAAAAUACAUGAGGUGAAAAGGUUAAAUGAGAACGAUUCUCUUCAACUUUUUUCUACCUUUGCGUUUAAGCAGUUGAAUCCCGCGGUUGGUUUUCAAGAUCUAUCCCGUAGGUUUGUAAAGUACACCCAAGGCAAUCCACUUGCUCUUAAAGUUUUGGGUUCUGAUUUAAAUAAAAGAAGUAUAGAUUAUUGGGAAAGUAAGGUUGAGAAGCUAAAGGACUGUCCCCCAGAGAAAAAAAUUUCAGAGGCUUUGAAAAGUAGUUAUGAUGGGCUAGAUAUAGUAGAGCAGAAUAUAUUUCUUGACAUUGCAUGCUUCUUUAAAGGGGAACCCAUAGAAAGAACAAAACAUAUUCUAAGUGGUUGUUAUAAGGGUGUAGAGUGUGGAAUCAACAAAUUGGUUGACAAAUGCCUGAUCAGUGUCUCAUCUUCUCGUAAUUUCUCUCUUGGUUUUUUUGGUUAUUGUACAACGCGCCAUUUGGAAUUUCCAUAUAUAAUUGAUAUGCAUGAUACGCUUGAAGAGAUGGCAAAGGACAUUGUUUGUCAAGAAUCUAAAAACCUUGGUAAAUGCAGUAGACUAUGGAAUCUGAAACACGUGGAAGAAGUGCUCAAAUAUAAUAAAGUAAGCACUAAUUAUAUUUAUAUUCUUUUUUUUAAAUAUACUUUAAUGGGAUAUUGUCAUUUGGUUGAAUGGCACUAUAUAAACCUAUACAUUUGAUAUCAUAUCAAGUAUUAUCCCUUUUAAUUAGUAUUUAGAAAAUAAAAUAAUUAUCGUCAUACUUGACUCAUAAUGAUUAUAUCUUAGGUAUAAUGUAGAAUCGCUCAAGGUUUAUGACUUAGUUGAAUAUUUAAUGCAUUGAUUUGAAAACAUAAAAACAAAAGAAAAAAAAACACUUUUUGUAUGUAAAAAUUCCUAAAAAGGGCUAAAUUAGCCUAUGCCUGAGCUAAUAUAAUUAUUCUUUUAUGAGUUAUUUAAUGGGAUGUCUAUAAAUUUCUUCAUGCUAAUAUUUGAUAAAUUAAUUUUUGUUAUCAGGGAACUGAUCGAAUUCAAGGAAUAAAGUUAGACAUAUCACGUGUGGAUAAUUUAUUAUUCCAACCUUUUGUUUUUAAAAACAUGACUAAUCUUAGAUAUAUUUUCUUCUAUUUGUCGUCAAAAUAUUUGUUGCGGGAAGAGAGUGAGGAUUAUAAGAAGCUACUUACAUACCAAGAUGAUAUUGUAUCUCUUCCGAAUGAGCUAAGGUAUCUUCAAUGGGAGUAUUACCCCUUCAAAGCUUUAUCAUCAAGUUUUAAUCUAAAAAACCUUGUUGCAUUGAAAUUACCACGUGAAAACAUGGAACAACUUUGGAAUGAAGGUCAUCAGGUAUAUAUACUUUUAUACAUUCUUUUAUCCAAGAAUUUUUUUAAGAAAAAUAAUUUAUAAUUGAUAUAACAUUUAAUCUUAUGAUAAUAUAUUUUUAUUAAUUUUUAAAAAAUAAAUAUAAAAGAUUUUUUUCUAUUUUUUAAAAGAAGCAAUCUGAUGUAUUGAUGGUGGGUGAAUUAAUACACCCAAUACAUCAAAUAUAAAUUUUUAUUUUGAUAGAGUCUAAGUCAAUGAUGCUUAACUACUUUAUGUUCUCAUCAUGCAUGUGCAAGAUCUUGUUCAUUUACGGGAAAUUGACCUUUUUAAUUGUAAAAAUUUAAAGAAGAUCCCUAAUUUAUUAGGAGCCCUCAACCUGGAAAGACUUGACUGUAAAAAUUGCAGGAGUUUGGUUAAACUUCCUUCCCUCGCCCAUUUGACAUCACUUAAAACCCUUCAUCUUAAGGGAUGUCGUAGUCUCAAAAAGUUUCCCGAGAUCCCAAAUAACUUUGAUAAGUUAGAUUUAUCAGAAACCGGAAUAAAAAAAGUACCUGAUUUCAUUGAGCGUCUCGACAGACUUCGACGGUUGACCUUGACAAACUCAAUGGUAAAAUAUGUAUCAAGCAAUAUUUCAAAGUUGAAAUCCCUUGAAGUUCUAGAUCUUGGUGGUCGUCCAAUCGUCAAAUCCCCAGAAAUCCCAAGAAGCUUAACAGGAUUAUACCUAUCUGGAACUCAAAUUAAAGAAGUGGACUUGUCUUCCAACUCAAGGGCAAAAGAUGCAUCGAGCAAUAUUUCAAAGUUGGAAUCCCUUUAUUAUGAUGGUUGUCCAAUCGUCAAAUUCUCGUUUCCAACUGUUGAUGUGCCCUCACCAAGCUUGAAGGAUAUGUAUAUGGAUAGUUGCAAGAGCCUCAAUUUACUCUCAGAGCUUCCACCAUAUCUGGACCGGUUGGAUGUAUGUAACUGCACAUCAUUGGAAAAAAGUUUCCUUUGCAGAUCAAAAUUUGUGUCAGUUUGAUUCGUUUGGUGAAUUGGUUUCCAUGUUUGAUUCGUUUGUUGAAUUGGUUUCCAUGCUAUUCUGUAAUUGCUUCAACUUGAAUCAAGAGUCAACUAAUAACAUUGAGGCAAAUGCCAUGCUCAAAAUUGGAUCCCUAGCUAAGAUAUGGGCAGCGAGACAAAAUUUGUCAUCUUGCCGUGAUUCCUCACAUUUGAUUUGUUGUUUCCCAGGAAACAAAAUUUCAGCAAAUAAGUUCAAGUGUCAGAGCAUGAAUUCUUCCUUAAGUUUGAAGAUAGCUCCAAACGGGGGUAGUGGGAGCGGAUUUUUGGUUUUUGCUAUCUGCCUUGUGGCUGAUCUCACUCACUGCCGUUCCGAUUGUUAUGUUGAAUGUAUUUGUGAGUACCAACUUACAGCCACCGAUGGUGGCAAUGGUGGUGGUGGUUAUGAAAAGCUAAGAAGUACAAUAACUUUGUUAUUGCCUUUUGAGACAGAGAAGUACAAGGAUUAUCACGUGUUUAUUCUAUCUACCGCCGACAUGGUUAAAAAAGACCAGAAUUAUGAGGAGGCAUCAUUUGAAUUCUCCAUUAGAAAUUUGGGUCUAGAAGGUGAUGAUGUAGACAUGAAGGUGGAGAGAUGUGGUGUUCAUGUAUUUUACGUGGAUGAAGAGAGUGAUACAGAUUAUAUAUAUGAUACAGAUGGUACAGGCGGUUGACUUGUUAUUGGUUGUUGUUUUUUUUUUUUUUAAUUCAUAGGACCAAUGGUGGACUCGGUUCAGCUUCAUUGUUUAGUUCUAGCAUUGGUGUCAUCUGGCAUCUAAAUACUUGCUGCAUUUUCCUUCAAUCAUAUGUUGAUUCAUUAGAAAGAUUGGUUAUUUGUGAGAUUGUUUUUUCUUAUAUCCUUUGCUUCUGUGUUGAUUUAUGAUUAGGGAAUUACAAAUCUUUGAGAAUGCCACAGCAGAAUUGGAGCUUUAGCAACUGAGCUGUAAGACCUUCAAUUUUAUUUACUGAAUGCUUGCUUUAUACAAGGGUUUGAACUGAUAUUUGGUGACAAUGCAAGUUGUCAACAGAUUCGUCAACACAAAGUCAUAGUAAUCUUUUGAGCCCCUUUUUGGGUUCUGGCAAUUCAGUCUUGGUGGAGAAGUAAGUUACCUUUGACUUUGAAUUAUUAUCAUGAUUUUAGUUUCAUAUAAUGAUUUUCAGCAUCCUCACCAUUUUUCCCAUUUUUAUCAAUGGGAUUAUAAAAAUCCAGAAUUUGCAACAGAUCUCAAAACUUGUGGGAUAAACACAUGGAGCUGGAGGCAACCUUUGACAGUUUUCAUGCUCAAGCUAGAUUGGGUUAGUUUCAUGGUAGAGCUAUUGGAGUUGAUAUUUUCUUAUCUUGGAUUUUGAUUAUCAUAUCAGUUUGGGCUGAAAUUUCUUUGUAUGUUACUGCUUUCAUGUUGUUUGAGCAUUGUAGUGAGGAGAGAUAAAGAUUCAUACUUGAAUUCUUUUUGACAGUUGACUUGUUAUUGGCUGGUUUUUAUUCAUAGGAUCAGUGGUGGACAUCAUUCAGCUUAAUUGUUUAGGUUCCACCAUUGGUGCUAAUGCCAUAGGCAGCAAGUAGAGAUUUAAUCAUAUUGCAUCUCAGUACUAUCUGCAUUUUACUUCAAUGAUUUGUUCACCCAUUGAUUUAUGUUUCAUAUUUCCUUUGAAAGUUGGUAAAUAUAUAUAUAUAUCUAUAUAAUAUUUCAGUUCAUGAUUUUCUAAUUUAUAUUCAUGUUAGCUAAGGUAAACCUAACAACUAUUCCCUAAAUAUAAUCAACAUAUUUUUGAGAUUGGUUAAUCUUAUAACCUAUGCUUUUAUAUUGAUCUAGGAGUAGGUAUUUUCUAUUUUUUAUGACUGUGAUCCGUAGAUUUCAUAAAACUUGCAUGACAGUCAAGCCAGACACAGAUUCAAUACUCUACUGGAAUUGAAGUCGCAGAUUAUGGGUGGUUUUUUGAUAUCUUCUUUCUCACCAACAAAUGAAGUUCCCACAAAAUCCACAUUUAUAGAUGUGCCCUUUUACGUAGAGAUUAAUGUGAAGGGAAUAAAGAUGGCAAUGAUUGAUGUAAGGAAAGCAGAUGAGGGAAUAAAUAACAGAUGUUUGUAACAAGUAAGCUUUUAAGAUCUUCAAUUUCUUCUACUGAAUGAUUUCUUUAUAUUGUGGUUGGACUUAGAUAUUGAAGCAGUACUGCAAGUUGUCAACAGAGUUGCCUUGUUUAUCCCAUUGAGAGGAAGCAUAUGCUCUUGGGUAAAUUACUAUUGACUCAUUCAGAUUAUUAGUAUCCUCAUGGCAUUCUUUUCCCCUGAUUUAUCAAUGGAUCAUAUAAAUGCAUGCAGAAUUUGGCAGAGUUGCUCUCAUCUCAAAACUCGUUGAAUGAACACACGGAGCCUGGAUGUUAUUUUCAAUGCCAACCCUAUCACAGUUUUCAUUCUCAAUCUAGAUUGAUGUUUACCCCGUAGAGGAACCCAACAUAAACACCUGGAAAAAAUAAUCCAAAUGAUUUUGGUUUAGUUGGAACUUCAAAAUGAAGAGUUGGUUUCAUGAUACAGCUAUUUGACUUGAUUGUUACAUCAGUUUGGGCUAAAACUUGAAUCAAUUUUCCCUUUUUGUAAUUAAAAUUCCAAAGUUUCUCUGUUUUGGAAUUGGUUUGUACAUUGGUUUUGAUGAGAUGAUAUCCAACAAGUUCAAGAUUCGAAGCUUAGUAAUUAAAAUUAUUUUCUGUAAUCCUAAACACAAAUUAUACAACUCUGAUUAUUUUUAUAUUUCAGUAAUUACACAAAUUCAGGUCCAUUAGCAUUACAACUUAGCUAGUGAUAGAUGUUGCAAGCUUGCAUCCACAAUUUUUAAAUAAAUUAAUCUUUUAUUAUAGAAAACCAAACUGGAUGAUAGGUGUUUAAUAUAUCUUAUUUAUCACCCACAAAACAAAAAAAAUUGUGCGUCGCAUAUCAAGCGGCGAAUUUUCAUGCUUCGGUGCUUUAUGAAGUUACCGCUAUAAGACUGUAAUCUGCAGAUUUUCCAUGAAAAUUCAGCCAAGAGGAUGACUGACAGCUUUGUAGCAUAGUAUUGAUUUGCUUUUUUGCAAUCAAUGAAUGAAGGUAAGAAAAGAAACACAUGAAAAUCAGUAUCAUGUGAACUUAAUGGUGGGGCGUCGGGGACCAAAUAGUACACUAAUCAAUGGAACAAUUAUCUCACAGACUAGGCAAGAAAAACAGUCCCUUUAAAUUGGAUAUUCAUCUAAGGAUAACAGCUCGUAUUACUAACAAUAUAUGCAAAUAUCAAGCUUGAAGGUUGAUCCAAAAUAUAAGAGAAUUUGAAUAAAAAAAUAAAUUUAGACAAAAUUGAAGGCUUUUUUUAUUUAUUUAAGCUAGCCUUGAUUUAGACCAAAGGUUGUUUAAUAUUUUGAUUGGGUUUAGACUAAAAGUACUACUGCCAAUAUGUAAAUUGAGAGUAAAUUUAUUCAAGUGGCUGAAUAUUUGUUUAAAUUUGAAGGUUAAUCUAAAAUAUAAGAGAAUUUAGGUAAAAAAAUAUAUGAGGUUCGAAAAAUAAGUUUAGGAAAAAAAAUUAAGACUUUUUUUCUUAUCCGAGCCUUGGAUUAGGACGAGUUAGCUAUGUUUCAGCCUAACAGGAACACUUUCAAUCUCAUCCCUAUUUAAUAAAGUCACUUUUUCUUCUUACCAUUUAAAAAGUAGAAGCAAAAGCAACGUCCCACGGUUUAUUUGUGCUCUUUUCCCUCAAUCUCACAAUCCAUACACUUCCAUGGCAUCUUCUUCAUCUUCUUCUCGUCAAAUGAUGCAUCAAGUUUUCUUAAGCACCAAGGGCUUGGUAUGACGAAAUUGAUGCAUAAUGACACAUAAUGACUGUAAGGCCCAAAUUUUGCCUGGGGUCCAAUAAAACCAAACCCAAAUUAAAAUUAGCCCAUUACCCAGUUACAAGCCCAAACCCAAUUUUGGCCCAACCUAAUCCCAUUACACUAUCCCAACCCAAACACACACACAAAAAAAAACUAAAAAAACUAGCCACCAAAGUCUGUCACCACUCACACCUCCAUUUGCUCCACUUGCACAUGCAAAAGAGAAAAAGGACAAAAGACAGCAACAAAUAAUAAUAAAAUUUGUAAAAAAGGGAUGGCUAUAAGAAAGCCAUCCGAAAAUCAGGAAGAAAAGGGGGGGGGGGGAUUUUGGAUUCUAUCUCAUUUUUCGGCUAAAAAUAGAAGCCGAAAGAAAUCAUAAAAGGGGGAUCCCCAUUCUUGUACGCAGGAUUUCAGAAAUAAAAGAAAAAAACAAAAAGAAAAGGUGGAUUUCCGAUCGUAUUCUCUUGGUUUUCAUUUUGUUCUUUAGUUUCUUUUUUAUUUCUUUUUUAUUUUUGUUUACAAAUCUAUUAAACGAAAGUGGGCAUAAAAAUAAAAAAAAAGAGAGGAGAAGAGAGUCUUACCAGAUCCACCUGGGGUUGCGUCGCCGGAGUUUUCUUUUCCGUCGUCAGAAUCGACGCAAGGAGAAGGUGGGGGGUUCUUUCUCCUUUGUUUUCUUCGGUAUAGAGAGGCCUCACCAUUGAAUCUCCCUUUAAAAGUGCCAAAAACUCGGUUCCAUGAGGCUUUGAACCACCGUUUACGAUGGAAGCCACGGCGGGUUCACGAUGAUUUGGUGACAGUUCAAAAGGGGGAAGGUAGAAAACCUAGUAGAGAAAAGAAGUUGAGGAGAAGGGGCUGCUCUCUUUAUUUCUGCUGAAUGAAUAAAAGUGGGGGUGAAUGUUUUAAGAAAAAAAGGUUUUUUUUUAAAAAAAAGGGUCCAUUGUUCUUUAAUUUUAAUUGCUUUUAGGGAAAGGAAAAAGAUGGCCUGUGCAUGGACAGUUGGUUCUGCGCAUGUUCCCCUUAAAUGGGUAAUUCGCGCGGCCAGUCCUUCCUAUUUUGCGUUACCUUUAAUUUGUCUUUAUUAUGUUUCUUUCAUUUUUCUCCAAAAGUUUGCACGCUGUUUCAGUUUGGUCCACGCCUAGGCAGUGUUUUUGGUGAUUUGGGUCAUUUUCAAUUUUGAUCCCCGAGUAUUUGUGCGCGUUUUAUUUCGGCCCAUAAUUUUGUUUAAAUGAUUAGUUUUGUUUAUAAAUUAUCCCUUUGGUUUUGUUGUGCUUACAAUGAAGUUUUUUUUCCUUAAGAAAUAAGAGCAUAUUAUUUUAGCAUAUUAUCUUGUAUUGUUUUGAUGAUUUCGUUGUUUUUUUAUGUGCAUAUUUUUUUUUCUUUUCUUUUUUCAAAUACUUUCGUAUAUUAUCAUUAUCUCUUUUAUAUAUAUAUUAGGUUUAUUAAUUUCAUAUAUUAUUUACUUAAAUGUUGUACAUAUAUCACUUUGCAUAUUGCUAAAUCUUUUUGAAACUUCAUUUAUGUAUUAUAUAUAUUUGAUGCAUCUCAAAUUUCCAUGUAAAUUAUUUUAUGGUAUUUAUUUUAAAAUUCAUUCGUAUGAUAUUAUUUAAUUUAUUACUUAUUUAUAUUUUUCUAUUUAUUUUAAAAGUUUUAUAUCCAUUAUUUGUUUUAAAGUCUUUGUAUUACUUUUAUAGUAGUGUUCUUUUAAAAUUUCCUUUCUUCCCUAUUGUUCAUUUUAUUUUAAAACUUGAUAUUUUAUUUGAGUAAUUUGCUUGGAACUUCUUUUAAGUUGGCUUUUAAUUCAUUAGCUUAUAAUUAUUAACAUUUGUAUUUAUAUAUUUGUUCCUUCAUGUUUUUGUAUCAUUCUUGAUUAUUCAUGUAAUGUUAUUGUCCCAAAUUUUUAUUUCUUGCUCAAUACUAAGCUUGCAUGCUCUUUAUUGCAUCAUGUUUUUUUAAUUCCAACUUCUUUCUCAACGUCAAUUGUUUUUAUCUCUAAAUAAUCAAACAAGCAUAUUGACUCAUUUUUUUGCAAUUGUAUUUGAAACUUCACAAAUCAAGGCAAUGUUUCGUAUUUGGAAAUUCGGGAAAUAGUUGUGUCCUAACUCACUGGAUAUGACAUUUUGUUACCUCGAAAUAAGAUUUUUUGCAAGUAAAGGCAAUAUUAGAUGUUUGGCAAUUCGGGGAAUCGUGCCCUAUCGUGCUGGGUUGCAAUUUCCUGUUUGUUCGAAACAACCGAAUAUUCCUUCGGUGUUCCACUCAUGUCUUUUAAAAAAUUUCAUUAAAACGAAAGAGAUGUUCGAUAUUUAGCAAUUCAUGGAAUCGUGCCCUAACGUGUUGGGUUGCAAUUUCUCGUUUGCUCAAAAUAAUCGAAUGUCUCUUUAGAAUUUCAUUCAUGUUUUCUAAAAAAAAAAAACUUAUAAAGGAAAUGUUCGGUAUUUAGCAGUUCGGGGAAUAGUACCCUAUCGUGCUGGGUUGCAAUUUCCUAUUUGCUCAAAAUAAUCAAAUAUCUCUCUGGAAUUUCACUCGUAUCUUCCAAGGUGAGGCAAUGGUCAAUGUUUGGAAAUUCGAGGAAUCGUGCCCUACUGUGCUAGGUAUCAAUUUUUCGUUAGACCAAAUAGUUGGGCAUCCUUUUGUUAUUUUCGAAUUACAAAUUUUCGAACGUCGAAACAAGAAGAUUUUUGGCAAUGGACUCGGGUUAUUCAAAUGUUAUUAACAAGAACCACAUUUCAAAAACAUUUUUAAUUUUAGACAAAAGGACAGUAUUUAAUCAAUUUGGUACCAAUUUUGGGCAUAAUGAGAGUGCUAAUCCUUCCUCAUACGUAACCGACUCCCGAGCCUAUUUUCUCAUAUUUUCGAAGACCAAAAUUAUUGUUUUAAUAAACCAAAAUGUUUUAUUAAAACAACCCAAAUUUCUAGGUGAUCCGAUCAUACCUAAACAAAAAAAGAUUGGUGGCGACUCCAUUUUCGCUUUCCAAAAAGUCGAUCCAUCAUUUUUAAAACGAAAUAAAAAAAUGGUUUCGACAAUGACUAUGUCUUAGAUAUAAUGUAGAAUCUACUCGAGGUUUAUGACUUAGUUAAAUAUUUAAUGCAUUGAUUGAAAAAAUAAAAACAAAAGAAAAGAAAACACUUUUUGUAUGUAAAAAUUCCUAAAAGUGUUCAAUUAGUCUAUGCCUAUCCUAAUAUAAUUAUUUUUUUUACGAGUUAUUUAAUGGAAUGUCUAUAAAUUUUUCCUUGCUAAUAUUUGAUAAAGUAGUUUUUGUUAUCAGGGAACUCAUUGAAUUCAAGGAAUAAAGUUAGACAUGUCACGUAUGGAUAACCUAUUAUUCUAACCUUUUGUUUUUGAAAACAUGAUUAAUCUUAGAUAUAUUUUCUUUAAUUCUCCUUGGAAAUUGUUGUGGAAAGAGCAUGAGUAUUAUAAGAAGCUACUUACAUACCAAAUAGAUAUUGCAUCUCUUCCGGAUAAACUAAGGUAUCUUCGAUGGGAUUAUUACCCCUUCAAAUCUUUAUCACCAAAUUUUAAUCCAAAGAACCUUGUUGUAUCGAGAUUAGCACAUGGAAACAUGGAACAACUUUGGAACGAAGUUCAUCAAGUAUAUAUGCUUUUAUACUUUCUUCAUCCAAGAAUUUUUUUAAGAAAAAUAAUUUAUAAUUGAUGUAACAUUUAAUCAUAUGAUAACAUAUUUUUAUUAAUUUUUCUAAAAAAAUAUAUAAAAGAUUUAAUUCUAUUUUUUAAAAGAAGCAAGUUGAUGUAUCGAUGAUGGGUGAAUUAAUACACCUAAUGCAUCAAAUAUAAAUUUUUAUUUUGAAAGAGUCUAAGUAAAUGAUGCUCUAACUACUUUAUGUUCCCAUCAUGUGCAGAUCUUGUUCAUUUAUGGAAAAUUAACCUUUUUAGUUGCAAAAAUUUAAAGAAGAUCCCUAAUUUAUUAGGAGCCAUCAACCUUGAAAGACUUGACUGUGAAAAUUGCGAAAGUUUGGCCGAACUUCCUUGCCUCGACCAUUUGACAUCACUUAAAACCCUUCACCUUAAGGGAUGUCGUAGUCUCAAGAAGUUUCUGGAGAUCCCAAAUAACUUUUAUGAGUUAGAUUUAUCAUAAACCGGAAUAAAAGAAGUACCUGAUUUUAUUGAGCAGCUCGACAGACUUCAACGGUUGACCUUGACAAAGUCAAUGGUAAAAUAUGUAUCAAGCAAUAUUUCAAAGUUGAAAUCCCUUUCUUCUCUACAUCUAAGUUGUUGUUCAAUCCUUAAAUUUCCAACUGUUGAUGUGCCAUUACCAAGCUUGAGGUUUAAAAGCCUUAAGCGUAUGCAUAUAGAUCGUUGCAAGAGCCUCAAAUUACUCUCAGAGCUUCCACUAUAUCUGCUCGACUUAAAUGUACAUGACUGCACAUCAUUAGAAAAAGUUUCCUUUGCAGAUCAAAAUUUAUAUCAGUUUGAUUCGUUAGGUGAUGAAGGUGAUGGUGUGUUUUGCAUGCUAUUCUAUAAUUGCUUCAACUUAAAUCAAGAGUCAACUAAUAACAUUGAGGCAAAUGCCAUUCUCAAAAUUGGAUCCCUAGCUAAGGAAUGGGUAGCGACUUAUUGUAGGAAAUACCUGGGUGAUAUUCUUCCAAGUUUGAUUUGUUGUUUCCCAGGGAACAAAAUUUCAACAAAUAAGUUCAAGUAUCAGAGCAUGAAUUCUUCCUUAAGUUUAAAGAUAUCCCCAAAUGCGGGUAGUGGGAGCAGAUUUUUGGUUUUUGUUAUCUUCCUUGUGGCUGAUCUCGCUCACUGCCCUCGCUUGAGAAGUCUUAUAUGUGUUUGUUGUUGAAAAGACAAAUUAAAAGGGGUGUUGAAAAGUCAAAAAAAUGGGAGGUGCAAGUGGCACCGAAAGAAAAAAAUGGUAGGCAAGUUGUUUAAAGUUGAAUGGGAUAAUUGCAAUUUUGGUCCCUAAUUUUUUAGGCGAUUUGCAAGUUAGUCCUUGAACCUCAACUAUAAAUAGGCUUAACCAUUUCUCAUUUACACCAUCCCAACCAAUCUUUCUCUCUUAGUUUUCUCUCUUCUCCCAUUUGAGAAUUCUUAAGGAAUUCUAUUUGUUUGUAAUAUUUUGGAGAUAGUAAAGUUAUCAUCUGGUGUUAGUGCCCGAGGACGUAGGUAUAAUUUACCGAACCUCGUUAAAACUCUUGUGUUCUUUUUUGUCCUAUUUUCUUUCAAUAUUUGAGGGUAUAAUAGUAGUAUUUAAUUGUGCUAUUAAAUUACUAUAGAAGGGAUAUUCUGACUAAGGAAAGACUUGGUAUUUAAGAGAUCAUUGUGAUCCACCUCUCUUCGCUGGGAAUUGAACUUUGUGUGAUUUUUUAGUACAAUAAUUUACACGCUUCCGACCCUAUUGGAACAACAAGUGGUAUCAAGAGCCGAAGGUUAAUCGUAGUAUGCUCUGUGGUUGCAGUUUAAACUGAUCUUCCACAUCAGAAAAGAUUUCCUUAGGUAUAUUGAAAGAUUAUGGAGAAAACGGUCGGUGUAGGAGCUUCAACAUCGUCCAUGUGGACAAGACCGACAAUUGCAAAUGCAAGAUUGGCCGUGGAGAUCUUUGAUGGCAUAGGCCAUUUUGGUAUGUGGGAAAGUGAGGUUCUAGAUGCCAUUGAUGAAGAGAAACCAGAUGAUGUACAGGAGAAAGAUUGGAAGGCGAUCAAUCGGUUGGCAUGUGGCACAAUUCGAUCAUGCCUUUCUUGAGAGCAGAGAUAUGCUUUUUCGAAGGAGACUUCUGCAAAUAAGUUGUGGGUGGCACUUGAAGAAAAUUUUUUGAAGAAAAACAGUCAAAAUAAGCUCCACUUGAAAAAAAGACUGUUUCGCUUCACUUACGUCCCAAGUACCACAAUGAAUGAUCACAUCACCAAAUUUAAUCAGUUAGUCACUGAUUUGCUAAAUAUGGAUGAGACAUUCAAAAAUGAAGAUUUGACUUUGAUGCUGUUGGGGUCACUUCCUGAGGAGUUUGAGUUCCUAGAAACUACUCUACUUCAUGGCAUGAGUGAUAUAUCUCUGAGCAAAGUCUGUGCGGCCUUAUACAGUUAUGAACAGAGAAAGAAGGACAAACAGAAAAACUCAAUCAGAGAUACAGAAGCUUUAGUAGUCCGAGGUCGUUCAUACACUCGGAAGAAAACUCAAAAGGGGAGAUCAAAGUCAAAGUCCAGACUCGGGAAAGAUGAAUGUGCUUUUUGUCAUGAGAAAGGCCACUGGAAGAAAAAUUGUCCAAAGCUGAAGAAUAAGGGAAAAGCUGCUGUAGAUGCUUGUGUUGCUAAGCAUGAUACUAGUGACUCUGAACUAUCACUGGUUGCAUCAUCAUCGUCGUUCCAUUCAGAUGAGUGGAUAUUGGAUUCGGGUUGUACCUAUCAUAUGUCCCCUAACCGGGAGUGGUUCUCUGAUUUAGUAGAACUAAAUGGAGGAGUUGUUUAUAUGGGCAAUGACAAUGCCUAUAAAACUGUUGGGAUAGGUUCAAUCCAAUUAAAGAAUAAAGAUGGAUCAACCAGAGUUCUGACUGAUGUUCGGUACGCGCCCAGUUUGAAGAAAAAUCUCAUCUCAUUGGGAGCCUUAGAAUCCAAUGGUUCAGUUGUUACUAUGAGAGAUGGGGUUUUGAAAGGACAUUUGGCGCACUUGUGAUAUUGAAGGGCAUCAGGAAAAAUAACUUGUAUUACUACCAAGGUAGUACAGUUAUUGGAGCAGUCGCUGCAGCUUCCGGCAACAAAGAAUUGGACUCAAUACAGUUGUGGCAUAUGAAGUUGGGACAUGCCAGCGAAAAAUCCUUACAAAUUCUGGCAAAGCAAGGAUUGUUGAAAGGUGUAAAGGCUUGCAAAUUAAAAUUUUGCGAGCAUUGUGUUCUGGGAAAGCAAAAGAGAGUGAAAUUCGGUACUGCUAUCCAUAAUACAAAAGGUAUUUUGGAAUAUGUUCACUCAGAUGUGUGGGGGCCUUCCAAGACACCUUCAUUGGGAGGAAAACACUACUUUGUUACUUUUGUUGAUGACUUUUCCAGAAGAGUUUGGGUGUAUACCAUGAGAACUAAGGAUGAAGUGCUUAGAGUUUUUCUUAAAUGGAAAACUAUGAUCGAAAAUCAGACUGGCAAGAAAAUCAAGCGGCUUAGGACGGACAAUGGAGGGGAAUAUAAAAGUGAUCCGUUCUUCGAUGUGUGCCAAGAGUAUGGUAUUGUUCGACACUUCACAGUUAGGGAUACACCACAGCAGAAUAGAUUGGCAGAGCGUAUGAAUCGAACAUUGCUGGAGAAAGUUCGAUGUAUGUUGUCCAAUGCUGGGUUGGGCAAGCAAUUUUGGGCUGAGGCUGUAACAUACGCUGGCCAUCUUGUUAAUCGUUUGCCAUCAUCUGCAUUAGAAAGAAAAACUCCUAUGGAGGUAUGGUCUGGAAAACCGGCUACAGAUUAUGAUUCCUUAAAUGUGUUUGGAACCACUGCAUAUUACCAUGUGAAGGAGUCAAAGUUAGAUCCGAGGGCAAAGAAAGUUCUCUUUAUGGGAAUCACUUCUGGAGUGAAGGGAUUUCGUCUUUGGUGCUUAAGCACAAAGAAAAUGAUCUGUAGCAGAGAUGUUACCUUUGAUGAAUCUGCCACAUUGAAAAAGGUACCAGAUAAAGAUAUUCAGACGAGCAAUACUCCACAGCAGGUGGAGUGUACUCCAAAACAUGUGGAGUUUGAGCAGAUGGGGAUUUGCCCAGUUAAUAAGUCUAAUUCUCCAGCCACAAUGGAGGAAUUAGAGGUUGAAGAGGUUCUGACCCAAGAACCACUAAGUACACCAGAACCAGUUGCAGUUGCAAGGCCACGGAGAGAAAUUCGUAAACCUGCUCGAUUUACUGAUAUGGUGGCCUACGCCCUUCCCGUUGUUGAUGAUGAUAUUCCUAUCACUUAUCAAGAAGCAAUGCAAAGCUUAGAAAGUGAUAAAUGGAAAAGCGCCAUGGAUGAAGAAAUGCAGUCUCUCCGGAAGAACAAUACUUGGGAGUUGGCGCAAUUACCGAAAGGUAAAAGGGCAAUCGGAUGCAAGUGGGUAUUCGCAAAGAAAGAUGGAUCUCUUAGCAAGAAAGAUAUUCGCUACAAGGCAAGAUUGGUAGCUAAAGGCUACGCUCAGAAGGAGGGAAUUGACUAUAAUGAUGUAUUUUCCCCUGUUGUGAAGCAUUCCUCCAUUAGAAUUUUUUUUGGCCUUGGUAGCACAGUUGAAUUUGGAGCUAGCUCAACUUGAUGUUAAGACGGCUUUCUUGCAUGGUGAGUUAGAAGAGGAGAUCUAUAUGACUCAGCCCGAAGGAUACACAGAUGCUGGUGGUAGAAAUUGGGUUUGUAAGCUGAACAAAUCGCUAUAUGGAUUGAAGCAAUCCCCGAGGCAGUGGUACAAGCGAUUUGAUAGCUUUAUGAGAAGGCAGAAGUACACAAGAAGCAAAUAUGACAAUUGUGUAUAUUUGCAGAAGCUGCAUGACGGAUCUUUCAUUUAUCUACUCUUGUAUGUUGAUGAUAUGUUAAUCGCUUCGAAGAGCCAAAAUGAGAUAGAUAAGCUGAAGGCUCAGUUGAAUCAAGAGUUCGAGAUGAAAGAUCUAGGUGAGGCCAAGAAGAUUCUCGGUAUGGAGAUAAGUAGAGAUAGACCGAGAGGCAAGCUCUGUUUAAAUCAGAAGUAAUAUCUGAAAAAGGUAUUACAAUGUUUUGGUGUAAAUGAAAACACAAAACAUGUAAGUACCCCACUUGCUUCUCAUUUGAAACUUAGUGCUCAAUUAUCUCCGAAGACUGAAGAUGAAAGAGAAUAUAUGGCGAAAGUCCCAUAUGCUAAUGCAGUUGGGAGUUUGAUGUAUGCGAUGGUGUGUACGAGGCCUGACAUUUCACAAGCUGUUGGAGUUGUAAGCAGGUAUAUGCAUGAUCCUGGAAAAGGACAUUGGCAAGCUGUGAAAUGGAUUCUACGGUAUCUUCGAAAAACCGUAGAUGUUGGUUUAAUUUUUGAACAGGAUGAAGCAUUUGGUUAGUUUGUAGUUGGAUAUGUUGAUUCCGACUUUGCUGGUGAUUUAGAUAAACGUCGUUCAACUACGGGGUAUCUGUUUACUCUUGCGAAAGCCCCAGUGAGUUGGAAGUCUACCUUACAGUCUACAGUAGCUGUGUCUACUAUAGAGGCAGAAUAUAUGGCAGUUACAGAAGCUGUUAAGGAGGCUAUUUGGCUUAAUGGAUUGUUGAAAGACUUAGGAGUUGUUCAAAGUCACAUAAGUUUAUAUUGUGACAGUCAGAGCGCUAUUCAUUUAGCGAAAAUCAAGUCUAUCAUUCAAGAACCAAGCAUAUCGACGUAAGAUAUCACUUUGUACGGGAAGUCUUUGAAAAAGGAAAAAUUCUACUUCAGAAGAUUCCGACAGCAGAUAAUCCCGCAGAUAUGAUGACCAAGGUGGUAACAACAAUCAAGUUUAAUCAUUGUUUGAACUUGAUUAACAUCCUGAGAAUUUGAGCACCUUUAGGUGUAUGGCGCUCGAGAGCGCAUUUGGAGGCACUACAAAAGAUAGCUUUAUCGAAUUUGGGGAGUUGAAGGAAGUAUGUGAAGAUGUGAUUAUCCUAAUCAAAUCUUCAAGGUGGAGAUUGUUGAAAAGACAAAUUAAAAGGGAUGUUGAAAAGUCAAAAAAAUGAGAGGUGCAAGUGGCACCGAAAGAAAAAAAUGGUAGGCAAGUUGUUUAAAGUUGAAUGGGAUAAUUGCAAUUUUGGUCCCUAAUUUUUAGGCCAUUUGCAAGUUAGUCCCUGAACCUCAACUAUAAAUAGGCCUAACCAUUUCUCAUUUACACCAUCCCAACCAAUCUUUCUCUCUUAGUUUUCUCUCUUCUCCCAUUUGAGAAUUCUUAAGGAAUUCUAUUUGUUUGUAAUAUUUUGGAGAUAGUAAAGUUAUCAUCUGGUGUUAGUGCCCGAGGACGUAGGUAUAAUUUACCGAACCUCGUUAAAACUCUUGUGUUCUUUUUUGUCCUAUUUUUCUUUCAAUAUUUGAGGGUAUAAUAGUAGUAUUUAAUUGUGCUAUUAAAUUACUAUAGAAGGGAUAUUUUGACUAAGGAAAGACUUGGUAUUUAAGAGAUCAUUGUGAUCCACCUCUCUUCGCUGGGAAUUGAACUUUGUGUGAUUUUUUAGUACAAUAAUUUACACGCUUCCGACCCUAUUGGAACAACAUUUGUGACUACCAACUUACAGCCGCCGAUGGUGGUUAUGAAAAGUUCGAAAGUACCAUAUCUUUCUUGGAUGCUUCUGAGUCAGAGAAAUGCAUAGGUGAUCACGGUGUUUAUUCUAUUUAGCUUCAAAAUGGUUAAAAGAGACAAGAAUUAUGAUGAGGCAUCAUUUGAUUUCUACAUCAAAAAUUUCCAUCAUUAUGGAGAAGCAGUAGAAAAAUUUAUCAAGAUAGAGAGAUGUGGUGUUCAUGUAUUUUACGUGGAUGCAGAGAGUGAUGCUGAUGCUACAGAAAUGAGACCUGCCGGGACCAAAAGAAGCUUUAGCCAUGAUGGUGAAGAAGGGGAUGGAGGCCCUAAACAAUUGAAAUAGUUUUUAUUUCCUUUCAUCUUUGGCUCUGGUUUUCAGGAGUUAUAACUUCUCAAUCAUGUCAUCCACAUGCAUAGGUAAGGGGUUUUCAUCUCAUUCUUUCAUAUUAUUCAGUUUUUUUUAUUUCAUUUUUCAUAUUGCCAUAUUUUUGUUUUUCACAGGUGUUAAAACUAAAUUUUCAACUUUUAAAUUAAUUGCCUAUGAUAGAAAAUGAAUUGCUUCACUUAAUUAAGACCAACCAGGAUGAAUCUAACUUGCCCUGUUUAAAGCAAGAUUGUGCCCUAUGCCUAUUUUUUUAUUAUCUCACAUUAUAGAUGUGCUUUUUACUUGCAGAGUUUAAAGCAAGGUAGUAUAAGUCAGCCAAAACCUGGAGAUUAAACUUUGACUUUUUAAAUAUGCUACUAAGAAGGGAAUGAAGAUGGCAGUGAUCGGUGUAAGAAAAGCAGAUGAGGAAACAGAGAGUCAAGAGGGAAUUAAUGGCAGAUCUUUGGAAAGGCCAUUAUGCUUGGAAUUUUAGCUAUACAAAAAAAAAACAAAAAAACAAAAUGAGGAACAAGUAAGCUUCUAAUUUCUUGUACUAAAUUAUUGUCAUAUAUAUAUGUGUUUGAACUGAGAUAUUGAGGCUGUAUUGCAACCUGUUAACAGAUUUGGCUUGUUGAUAUCAUUCAACUCUGAUAAUUUUAUAUUGCAUGAUUUACACAAAUCUGUAGGUGUUUAGCUUAGCUGAACAUGUUAUGCGGCUGCAAUGUGGUGUUUGUGUCUUGAAACAAGCGAUGCAAUUUUCUAUAGCCAUUUGCUGCAUACAGUAAGUCUUCGGGGUACCAGAAUUCCAGCAAUCGUAAAACGUGGCUGUGAUUCGAGCUAUUAUACUGUGCUUGAAGCUUCGAACUAGAGCAUGACAGUUUUAUUGUGUAUCAAUUCAACCUCGGAUAGUUUGGGGGACGUAUCAGAGCUAAUUAAUUGAUCCAUCAAGUGAAAGAUAUCGAUUUUGGUAAAUGUCUUACCUAGGCAUCGGCCAAGGGUGGGGUGGAUUGGAUUUUAAUGUUUAUGGGAUGGUAUUUAUUGCCAUUACACAUUAUGUUGUAUUGUUGUUUUUUGUUUAAUGUGUUGCUUGUAAGCUGUAACACUUUUACACUUUGUUUCCUUUAUUUUAUAUGAUCUUUAAACCAUGUUUAAUAAAAAAAUUUCCACUUUAUUGUAGACUUUAUUGUAUGAAAUUCAAUUUCAUUAGAUUCUAAAUUAGGUAAUCAUAAGAGUAUAUUGCAAUUUGGUAAUGCUAAUUUUACAUAAAGGUCUAUGGAUAAAUUAUACAUCGUGAAUUCUACAAAUGUUUAAGCUAUGAUAACAAUGUCUAAUUUUUCAUUUUAUCAUUACAAAUUAGCUAGUGAUAGCUGUUGCAAACAAUGUUGUUUGAAUUGGGAUUUAGCGAGUCAGAAUUGAGUAUUUUAUUAUUGAUAAAUUCAAAACUUGAAUCUUAACAUUUACAAUCAUUUUGUCUCAAAUCCUAAACAAUGAUCUGAAAACUCAAAUUAUAUUAUAACAAAUAGGGAAAAACUUAAAUGUGGUUAUUUUAUAGUAUAACAAUGGCAGUCCUUUCGAUGAAAUGCACCAUACUUAUAUAUGGUGGUUAGAAAUUGACUGGAGCUAAGCUUAAGUCUGCCAUAAAGGAGUCCCAUUUUGUACAUCAAAUAUAAAGACUCAACUGUGUUUAAUGGUCCAUAGCCUAUACUUUUGUGUAUAUGUUAGAGUUUCAACACACUUUAACCGGAUAAAGUAAGAAUUUCAAACAGAGCACCAGUAGCAACGUAUUAUACCCGGGUAAAAUAUGAAGGAAAAAUGCUUGAAGUUCAAGCUUUUAGCUACUGUCAAGAAUGGAGAACAGAACUUAGAAUUUUUUAGAAGGCAAAGGAAGAAUGGAGCAUAUGGAGGAAAAUCUGAUAAUUUUCAUUUUUUUCAUAACUAUUGGCAUGUUGCCAUUACAUAUAUCAGAAUAAAAAAAAACUUACAAGUCAAAUUUCUACCUAAACAUAUACCUACUUCCACUAAGCUUUCCAAAUAACAAAAACUUAACUUGUACAUUAACACAAAGCUGGUUAACAGCUCCAUCAACAUCAAAUUGCAUCAAUCAAAAAGCUUAUAGCAAACUAGACUUCAAAAUGAACAAAAUAUUAGUUCAAAUCUAACAGCAACACAAAACCAAGGUUGCUGCAUGCUUGUCACGAGCUUGCAUGGCCAGCUUCCAGCUGCACUUGCUUCAUACCAACUGCAUGGAGAUCAGCUUCAACACUCCUCCUUGAGCUCCAUGCUGCAAACUCCCAUAAGUCUUCUUAGCUUGUUGAACCUUGAUGUACUUAGACCCUUAGUCAAAAUGUCAGCUAUUUGAGCCUCCGAAUUGCAAUGAAUCAGCUUUAUUUCACAAGCUUGCUCCAUCUCCCUUAUUAUAUGCAACUUUAUGUCAAAGUGCUUAGUUCUUCCAUGGAAGACAGGAUUCUUUGCAAUUGCAACAGCAGACUUGUUGUCACAAAGUAUCUCUGUUGUUUCCUUUUGGGAAAGGUUCAAAUCUGCUAGGAUUUUCCUUAGCCAAAUGGCUUGAUUUACUGCACUAGCAGCAGCUACAUACUUGGCCUCAGCUGUUGAUUGAGCCACUAAAGACUGUUUUUUGGAACUCCAACAAACCAUUGCUGAUCCUAAUGUGAAAGCAUAUCCUGAUGUACUUUUCAUAUCGUCUUUAGAACCAGCCCAAUCACUAUCUGUGUAACCUGUCAACUUUAGUUUUUUAGCCUUGGUAAAUAACAGACCAUGAUUUAGAGUACCUUUAAUGUAUCUUAGCACUCUUUUUGCAGCUUGAAAAUGCAGCACAUUGCAGCAGUGCAUGAAUCUAGAGAGUAAAGUUACUGCAAACAUGAUGUCUGGCCUCGUUGCAGUCAAGUAUAAGAGACAACCAAUCAAGCUUCUAUAAGUGGUUUCACAAACCUCCUCAUGACCCUCAUGGCUCGAUAAUUUCAUCCCAACUACAACAGGUGUAGGAGUUGGCUUACAAUUCAUCAUUGAAAAAUUUGUCAACACUUUCAAGGCAAAUGAUUUCUGAUUCAAGAAAAUUCUUCCUUGUUUCUGGCUUACUUCCAUUCCUAGGAAGUAUGUCAUCAGCCCCAGGUCAGUCAUCUCGAACAUUUUCCUCAUCUUUAUCUUGAAAUCUGUUAAAAUAGAUUCAUCACCUCCUGUGACUAGUAAAUCAUCCACAUAUAAUGACACCACAAGCUGAGUUUCAGAAUCAUUUUUCUUGAUGUACAAUGUUGGUUCACUGACACUUCUUUGGAAAUUCAAACUGAGCAAGUAAGUGUCAAUUCGAGCAUACCAAGCUCUAGGAGCUUGCUUUAGGCCAUACAAGGCCUUUCUUAGUUUACACACCAUGUCUUCCUUGCCAGAUACCUCAAACCCCUGUGGUUGCUCGACAUAAAUUUCCUCCUCAAGAAAUCCAUUUAGAAAAGUUGAUUUUACAUCUAGUUGAUAGACAUUCCAAUGCAUUUAAGCUGCAAAAGAAACAAUCAGCCUUAUUGUGUCUAAUUUAGCAACUGGUGAUUAUGUUUCAAAAUAAUCCAGGCCAUAUUUUUGACAGAAACCUUUCACCACAAGUCUAGCAUUCAGUUUAUUCAAACUUCCAUCAGCAUUCUGUUUGGCUUUGUAGACCCAUUUUACUCCAAUGACUUUUCUGUCAGCAGGUCUGUCAACUAGUAUCCAAGUCUGGUUUUUUUCGAUCAUAGCAAUCUCAUCUGCCAUUGCCUGUCUCCACCCCUAAUCAGCAUUAGCCUCUUCAAAACUACUUGGUUCAACUUGAGCCAUUUGAUCUCUUUCAUAAAUCUCAGCAAGAGUUCUUGUUCCUCUGACAGGUUCAUCAUCCAGAUUCAUAUCAGGACCAUUUUCAGCAUCUUCAGUCUGAUCCACUAUCAGGUCCUCAGCAGUAGCCUCAGGUUCACCCUUAUCCUAGUUCCAGCAAGCAUGUUCAUCAAAAAUUACAUCUCUACUCACUUGGAUUUUAUUGGUCAAAGGAUCCAAGAUCCUGUAGCCUUUCUUAACAGCACUAUAGCCCAUCAGAAUCCCAGGUUGAGCCCUUUCUGAUAGUUUAUCUCUUUUUACAGCUGGUAUGUGAGCAUAGCAUAGACAACCAAACACCCUAAGGUGCUCUACAGAAGGUUUGAAUCCGAACCAGGCUUCAAAUGGAGUCUUUUGUUCUAAGGCUUUGGUUGGAAGCCUGUUUUGUAAGUAGACUGCAGUGUUAACUGCUUCAGCCCACAAGCUUUUAGGCAAUUUCUUCUCAAACAAGAGACAUCUGGCCAUAUCCAAUAGACUUCUGUUUUUUCUUUCACUGACCCCAUUCUGCUGAGGUGUAUAGACAUUAGUUAACUGAUGUUUAACACCAGCUUUAUUGCAUAAUGCUUGGAACUGAGCUGAGGUGUACUCUGUUCCAUUAUUAGUUCUGAUUGUUUUCAACUUGGAGUCUGUUUCUGUUUCAGCUGCAACCUUGAACGUCACAAAUACUUGAGCUACCUCUGACUUGUGUUUCAAAAAGAAAAUCCAAUAGAAUCUGGUAUAAUCAUCAAUAAAGAGAAUGAAAUACUUACUUCCAUUCAAAGAUUCUGUCCUCAUAGGGCCACAGACAUCUGAAUGCACCAAUUCCAGCUUAGCUGAAGCUCUCCAGGAUGUUUUUGUAGGGAAUGGAAGCUUGGCUUGCUUUCCAAUUUGACAAACCUCACAGACAUCUUCACCUUGUACUGACUUGGUGAAGUUUUCAACCAGUUCCUUGCUAGCCAUUUGAGCCAGCUGUCGAAACCAUCCCUCGUUUCAAUUAUUUUAAAAUUUUUAAAUCUAAUGAAAAUACGGGGGAAUCGACUUUUGAAAAAAAACAGGAAUAAGGGAGUCGCCACCGAUCUUUUUGUUUUGGGUGUGAUCAGAUCACCUAAAAAUUUGGUUAUUUUAAUAAAAGAUUUGUGAUUUACUAAAACAAUGACUCUGGUCUACGAAAAUUUUAGAAAAAUAGGCUCGAGAGUCGGUUACGCAUGAGGAAGGAUUAGCACCCUCACUACGCCCAAAAUUGGUACCAAAUCAAUUAAAUACUAUCCUUAUGUCUAAAAAUGUUUUUCGGAAUGUGGCUCCUUUUAAUAAAAGUUGAAUAACCCGAGUUAAUUGUCAAAAAUCUUUUUGUUUCGAUGUCCGAAAAAUUUAUAAUUUGAAAAUCACAAAGGGAUGCUCAACUAUUUAGUCUAACGAAAAAUCGAAACCCAGCACAGUAGGGUACGAUUUCUCAAAUUUCCAAACAUUGACCAUUGCCUUACCUUAUAAAAUACAUGUGAAAUUUCGAGGAGAUAUUCGAUUAUUUUGGACAAAUGAAAAAGCGCAACCCAGCACGAUAGGGCACGAUUCUCAAAUCGCCAAACAUUGAACAUCGUCUUCGUUUUUAAGAAUGUUUUCAAAAAGCGAGUGAAAAUCUAAAGGAAUAUUCUAUUGUUUUGACUAAACGAGAAAUCACAACCCAGCGCGAUAGAGCAUGAUUCCCGAAUCGUCAAACACCGAGUAUUGCCUUCGUUUUAAAGGAUUUCCAGAAGAGCCGAGUGAAAUUUUGAAGGGAUAUUUGAUUAUUUUAAACAAUCGGGAAAUUGCUACCCAACACGUUAGGGCACGAUCUCGCGAAUUGCCAAAUAUCACAUAUCGCGUUCGUUUUAGAGAUUUUAAAAGACACGAGCAAAAUUUUAAAAUGAUAUUCGAUUAUUUUGAACAAAUGCGAAAUUGCAACCCAACACGUUAGGGCACAAUUCCGCGAAUUGCCAAACAUCAAAUCUCAUCUUCAUUUUAAGGGAUUUUAAAAAAAUAUGAAUGAAGUUUCGAAGGGAAAUUCGAUUAUUUUGAGCAAAUACGAAAUCCCAACCCAACACGUUAGGGCAAGAUUCCGCGAAUCGCCGAAUAUCAAAUUUCGCCUCCAUUUUGAAGAAUUUUUGGAUGAAUACUUAAGAACAUAUUAGUUUGAUUUGAAAUAAGAUGACAUUAGUCGUAGAAAUUGGAUUUUAUAGAACCACAUUUUGAAAAACCAAAUGAAAACGAUGAGAUGGGAUAAUUGACAUAUGUGAGAUACGACCAACUAACAAAUUAAAAAUAGCUAACCUAAAGCGUAAUCCGAUUGCAAUAAUGUGUGGAGAAUAAUCAACAUGACAAUGAACGAAUAAUAUACUACAACCACAUGCAUGGCCUAAUAUAGAAACAUUACUACAAGAUGAACAAAGCGAAAUACAAACCAAAGAAGCAACAUGGUAUAAAAUUAUUUUAAAGCAAUGAUAAAUAUGUGACACAUACUACAUGAAUUGAUGAAUGGAUAAAUAAGGAACAUUGGUAAAGACGAGCUUAAUAAACAUACGCAAUCCUUAAAAUACAUAUUGUAGAAUGAAUAUUUUUAAAAUAAUUAAUAUCUAAGUUGAUAAAUUGGCAUAGAAACUAAGAAUAUAUAAUUAUUGAAAGAAGUAUUAUAGAAUCAAAGUUUGAAUCCAAUUGCAUGUAAAUGUAAAUGUUUUAAGCACAAAUUCAUUUGAAGAUUUACACAAUACAUGAUAAUAAAAAAUAUAUGAUACAAAAGAGUAAUAAAUAAAUAAAAAAUGCAUGACAAGACAUAAUGCCCAAAAUAGAUUUAUAUAAUAAAAAUAUGUACAUAUAAAUUUAUAAAAAGAAUGAGGUUAAUAAUAAUAUAUAAAUUUUAAGUUGGUCUAAAAAUCAUCCAUAUCCUUAUAUCAAAACAUUUAAAAUAAUAAACUAUACAAACACCAAAACAAUAUAAUAUAUAGAUAGAUAUACUUAAAAGAAUAAUAAUUUUAUAAUUACAAAAAAAGAAAAAAUGAAGUUUCCAAAAUUAUUUCGUAUAUAUGUAUAGGAAAAUACUUGGCAAAUCAUAAAGCAAAAAAGUGUUUUAAAAUAAAAAAUGUUAAAAUAAAGGGCGUAUUAAUAUUUGUGUAUAUAUAUAUAUAGAAGAUAUAUGUAUAAAAUAUACGGGUUUAAGAACGUAUAGAAACCAAAUAUAUAUACUAGUAUAAUAAGUAUGAAAAUAACUUAAGUUUUAUUAUAAUAUAUGUGUAUAUAAUAAUAGAAAGGAAAUAAACAUUCAAAGUAUGCAAAAUGUGAUAAUGACGUUACAAAAAAAAGGAAUUUACAGUAAUGAAGAAACAAUUACAAAGUUAGUUGAAAUGUACAAGUAACAAAAAAAAACAUGAGAUUAAUAAGAUAUAUACAUAUAUAUAUACAUAUUGUUAAUAUAAAAAUAUACACGCACCCUUUUAUUAAAACAUUUAAAUGAUAGGUUAUAUAAAAUGCAAAAGCAUUGUAAUAUAAAGAAACAAAAAAACAAUAAUGAUUUUAAUUGAGAGAGUUUCUAAAAUUAUUUCAUAUAUACAUAAAGAAAAUGUUUGGCAAAUCAUGAAGAAAAGGUAUUUUAAAAUAAAAAAUCUAUUAAAGCAACAAGUGUAUAUAUAUACAUAAAUUUAAAAGUGAAUACAUGUAAAUUCCUAUAACAAAAGAUAAUACGUAGGUUUAAUAAUGUAUAUUAAGUAUAAAAAAAUAAUUUACAUGGAGCGUAUAUAUAUAACAUAUUGUCAUGGCAAAAUAUACAUUAAAAUACAUGGGGCUUAUACAUAUAUAUAUAUAUGAAAUAAAAAAUAACUUUAAUAUAAAGUAUAUAUAUAGUAGCGGAUGUGAAAAACAUUAUAAAAGGGAUUAAAGAAAAAAAAACGAAAUCAAAUCAUUAAAAUACAUAAAGAACAGUAAGUAAACAAGGUUAAAAACAGUUGAAUGCGUCAAAAAAGGGAUUGAUAAUGAGCCAUAAAAUGAAUAAAUAAAGAGGAGGGACUUAAUUAAAAGAGAACUAAAGUGAUAGGGACAAAGUAUAAACAAAAUCAACUAACAAAAUACAAAAGGGACCGGCGUGUAACAUGCGCGAAUGCCUAGGGACUGAACAUGGAAAUAGUCCAGACCCUAAAACCCAGUGCUGAAGCCCGGACCACGUUGCGAACGCGCGCAAAUUAGGGGGAAAAUUUUUAAAAAAGAAUUGUGGAAUGUGAGCUGAUUUGCACGCAGCACGAAAGGGGAGGGGCCUACUUCGCAAAAUCUCCAUUUGAGGCAAAGAAACGCGGAUCCGGGUCUUGAAUCCGGCCGACGCGCGGACUCCCCCUCCAAAUGGCACCGUUUCGUUGCCAAUCAAUAAAAAAGAAAGAAAACAAAACCUAACCUAAAUGCUUUAACAGACUAAAAUGGGCAGACGAAAAGGAGAAGAGGGAGAGAGAGGAGCGGUCAUGGCACUUCGGUCAUGGCCGAUUACAGCGUUCAUCGGCGCUCAAUGCCUCCGCCGUUGCACCAAUUCGAAGCCACUCGAACUGCUGGUAAAUCCUUUUCUCUCUACCUUAUUUGCUAUCAAAAUAAAAUAAAAAAACAAGAGAAUAAUCGCAAAGAAAGAACGCCCGGAGAUUUAGAUCAGAAAAUCACCUUCGAAUAUAGGUGGUCUUCUCUUUUCUUGUAUUGCCUUUUUUGCGUGUGUAACCGAUUACAAGGAUGGAACUUUCGGCUUUAUAGCCGAAGAAGAAGAAAAGUAAAAUCAAAAAACGAUAAAAAAUACAAUAUUUUCUUUUAUUUUCAUUUGCUGUUGUGUUUGUUUGUCUUCUUGUAGGUACGGGUGCGUGCUGGCGUGUGUACGGGAGCCAUGCUGGCGUACGGAGGCUUGGCGUGGUUGCUGGAGGCGUCGUACGGAGGUGGCUGACGUGGUGGCCAGGGCUUGGCUACCUGGUGAAGGCUGCGGCGUAGGAGAAAAAGAACCCUAGGGUUCUUGGGGUUGUAAUUUUCUGGUCCUAUCGGGCUUGUAUUUGGGUCUUGGGUCCUUUAGGGUAUUGGGCUAAGUUAUUGGGUUUGUGAUUUGGUUUUAAUUUUAGUCCAGGUUAUGUAAUUGGUUUCGGCCAUGUACUGAUUUGGUUUGCAAAAAAUAUUAAUGGACUGUUAUAAUUAUUUUAUGUUUGUUUUUUGGUUUAUUUGGGCCGGGCAAAUUUGGCCCAUUACACCAACGAUCUAAAAUUGGCAUGACCAAGUCUUUGAUGCCAAAGCUUGGUGUUUUCUGUUGAAGUAACAUGGGCUGAGUCACCUGACCAGUUGACUUCAAAACAUUUGUCACUCAUAGUGACUGUCAUGAGGCUUAUUCCAUUUGGAUCUGAGAUUUUGCACUCCUGGCCCUUGAACACAACAGAAUAACCCUUAUCCAGUAGCUGAGCAAUGCUGAGUAAGUUUCUAUCAAUCUCAGGUACCAGAAGCACAUUUGUGAUGACUUUGUCUCCAGUGGAGGUACAUAUGUGGACAUCUCCCUUUCCUUCAGCCUUGAUGAACUGACCAUUGCCUAUUUUCACUUUGGUUUUGCAGCUUCUAUCCAGGGUUCUAAAAAUAAUUGCAUCUGGUGACAUGUGGUUAGUACAGCCACUGUCAAGAAGCCAACUUUUGGUGACCUUGUUUUUUGUAGCUAAGCAUGAAACUGCAAAGACAUGUUCUUAUCUGUCAUUGCCAUGUUCAGCUACUCUAGCCUCUUCACUCUUGAGUUGUGGUUGAUUUUGGCUAGGUCUGCCGUUUUCUUUGCAUACCCUCUCAACAUGGCCUUUCUUCUUGCAGUGUUGACACACAGCAUCUGGCCUGAACCAGCAUCUGGCUCUGGAUGACCAGGUCUUUUACAAAAUCUGCAGAGUCGAUCUCCUCCUCUUGUAGCAUCAGGCUUAGGCCUGUUUUUCCAGUUCUUCUUGCCCUUAUAGGCAGUGGUACUUGAGGUUGCUUUAGCUUUGGCUUGAAAAGCUCCCUCCUGGUGCUCCUCCAUUCUACUGGCUCUCCUUUGUUCCUGAGCAUAAAGAGCAUUAAUAAGCUCUGUUAGAGAGAUGGUUGCCAGGUCUCUCGAAUCCUCCAAGGAUGAGAUCUUUGCCUCAUAUCUUUCAGGCAAUGUUGAGAGCACCUUCUCCACAAUUAUUGCCUCACUGAACUGUUCUCCUAACAAUCUUAUGCUGUUGACCACAGCCAUUAUCCUGUCUAAGUACUGCUUCACUGUCUCUUCUUCCUUCAUCUUGAGAUUUUCAAAAUCUCUUCUCAAGUUUAAUAGCUGCUGCUGCCUAGUUCUUUCAGUGCCUUGGAACUCCUCCUUGAGCUUGUCCCAGGCCUGCUUGGGAGUCUCACAAGCCAUGAUUCUGGUGAAAAUAACAUCAGAAACACAGUUCUGAAUGCAUGACAUGGCCUUGUGCCUUUUGGUCCUCUCAUCUACAUGCUGACGAAUCUGAGCCACAGUGGGGUUGGCCCUCAGUGGAGCUGGCUCGAUGUCUGUGUUAACAACUUCCCACAGAUCAAAGGCCUGUAGGUAAGUCCUCAUGUUGACAACCCAUAUGUGGAACCCCUCACCAUUAAAAACUGGUGGUGCUGCAGGAGAAAAACCUGAUGAAGCCAUUUAAUUUUCAACAACAGGUCCUCUAAGAUGAAAGCUCUUGAUACCAAUUGUACCUAAACAUAUACCUACUACCACUAAGCUUUCCAAAUAACAAAAACUUAACUUGUACAUUAACACAAAGCUGGUUAACAGCUCCAUCAACAUCAAAUUACAUCAAUCAAAAAGCUUAUAGCAAACUAGACUUCAAAAUGAACAAAGUAUUAGUUCAAAUCUAACAGCAACACAAAACCAAGGUUGCUGCAUGCUUGUCACGAACUUGCAUGGCCAGCUUCCAGCUGUACUUGCUUCAUACCAACUGCAUGGAGAUCAGCUUCAACAGUAUACAAAUAUGGAUGUCCAUGUCCUAAAAUUAAGGCACUGUUGUCUUCCACCAUUCAUUCUCUAGAGGUCUUAUCUACUACCCUUUCUGCAUUUAUUGGAGAUAUUUGGCACUAAUGAGCUUUGCAUAAAGAAUAAAAGCCCCCAAACCCCAUUUCUAUAAUGUUUGGAUUAUCUUUUCCUUGUGCAUUUUAGUGUAAUCUGCAGAUUUUCCAUGAAAUUUCAGCGAAAUUCCUAGUUAUAUAGCUUCGUGGAAAAAAGAGAUGAGAAGAUGACUCUUGACUCUGUACCUACUAUUGAUUUGUUUUUGUUUUUGUUUUUUCUCAAUCAAUGAAUGAAGAUAAUAACAUUACUUAAAUACUAAUUGAGUUAGCUUAGAGGUGUUGAUCGCCUUACAUUUUGUCCAAAUUCGGUCCGAUUUUAAAAAAUAAACCUGUUUGGUCUAUAUUUAAAAUUUAGAUUAAUUUUAUUUAAAAUUAAUUUUUUUAAAAAUAAUGUAUUAAAUACACUAAAAAAUAUUAAAAUAAAAGUUUUAUAAUACAUUAAAAAAACAUUUAUACUAAAAAUCAUUACCAUAAAAAUAAAAUAUAUAUUUUAUUAUAUUAAAAAACAUAAAUAUAUAUAAUAAAUAUUUUAAUAAAGUCUAAUUUUUUUAUGUGAAUUUUUAUAAAUAUAUUUGUUAGGUAAUUAUGUUAUCUGAAUGUGCCAGAAUUUAUCUCUAAUUAAAGCCAUUAUUUAAGUGAUGAAAAAAAAAACAAAAUAUUCUUAGUGAUGGAAUUUAAAUAGCUUAUUAAUGACAAUCUUUAAUAGAAAAAAAAAUAGCAUCACACGAAUGUUUAAAGACGUUUGAGUGUGUUUAAAUAUGUCUUUUCUUUCUAUUUAAAGGUAAGAAUGGAUUUAACUCUAUGUGAUGGCCAAGGGUGUUUACCGCUCCAGGUGUGGCCUGGGUUCAAGUCAUGUUAGUCGCUUUUGUUGUUUGGAUUUUGCACUGUUAAUGUAAUUCAAAAAAAAAAAGAUAAGAAAGGAUUAUAUGUAGCAGUAGGAAAAAGAGAAAUAAAUUUUUUUUCUUCUUCAAAAGGCAAACCAAAGCUCCCUUGCUAUAAUUUUUUCUCUUUGCCUCACUUACAUUAUCCAUAAUCUUUUAUGGCAUCUUCUUCAUCUUCUUUUCGUCAAAUGAUGCACCAAGUUUUCUUGAUCUUCGGAGGUGAAGACACACGCCUUAACUUCACCAGUCAUCUACUCAAAGCUUUUAAAGACAGGGGACUGAAUGUCUUCUUCGAUGAAAAAAAACUAGAGAAAGGGGAGCAACUUUCACAAGCACUUUCUCAAGCAAUUGCAGCCUCAAAUUUCUUAAUCCUUGUUUUAUCUAAAGACUAUGCUUCUUCGAAAUCAUGUUUAAGUGAACUCUCUCAGAUCAUGAAUUGUAAAAAGACUCAAGGACAUAUUGUUCUUCCCAUCUUUUACCAUGUUGAUCCCUCCCAUGUGCGAAAUAUUGGUGGGACUUUUAAGACAUCCUUCGGAGAGCAUGAAUCAAAGAGGUCGGUUGAUGAAGUGAAGCGAUGGAAAGCCGCCUUCACUGAAGUCGGUACAUUAAAAGGGUGGCAUAUAGGAGGAGACAAAUUCGAUAGGUAACUAUAUAUAUAUUUAUCUUAUUAUAUUUGACAUAUCUUUCUUUUGACGGUUGAUUUUUUUUAAUUAUUUUCUAGAUCUGAAACUGAGUACAUUAAAGAUGUGGUUGGAUAUGUUUUAAAAAAGUUGAAUAGCAAUUGUACAAGUGUUUCUGAAGAAUUGGUGGGAAUACAUGAUCAAAAGAAGAAGAUUUUGGGGUUGAUUGAGCAAGUGGACAUACGUGUAAUAGGACUUUGGGGAAUGGGUGGUAUUGGCAAAACUAGCCUUGCUGAUGCUGUUUAUAAGGAAGUCUUUCCAAAGUUCGAAUGUAGUUUGUUUCUUCAAAACAUUAGUGAGAAAAUAAAAAAAUAGGGGAAUGAAUCUUUACGAAAUGAACUUCUUUCCAAACUGUUAAACGAAGAAGAAAUUUGUAUUGAUACCCCUUCCAUAGGAUACCCUUAUCAAGAGAGGCUGAAUAAUAAAAAAGUACUUGUUGUCCUUGAUGAUGUUAGUGACUCAGACCAAUUAGAUUUUAUGGGUGUCAAAUAUUUUGGUCCUGGAAGUAAAAUCAUUGUAACAUCUAGAGAUAGACAAGUACUUAAAAAUGGAAGAGCUAACCGCAUAUAUAAGGUAAAGGAGUUGAAUGAGAAUGAUUCUCUUCAACUUUUUUCUACAUUUGCAUUUAAGUUCACUACAACAAAAUAAUUUUUUAGCGGCGUUUUCAGCAGCGUUUUACUAAAAAAUGCCGCUAUAGAUCGAGAAUUAGCGGCGCUUCUCGAAAAACGCAGCUAUAGAUUGAGCAAAAACGCCACAAAAAAAUUAAGCACAACGACGUCGUUUUAUGUUGAGCUUCAGUGGCAUUAGCGGCGCUUUCUAAAAAACGCCGGAAUAGAUCGAGAUUUAGCGGUGCUUUUUGAAAAACGCCGCUAUAUAUAAGGUUUAUGGAUUAUGGGUUUAAGGAUUAUGGGUUUAUGGUUUAUGGUUUAAGGGUUAGGGUUUAAGGUUUAAGGGUUAAGGGUUAGGGAUUUAGGGUUUAGGGUUUAUAUUUUAUGGUUUAAGGUUUUGGGGAUGGCGGUCAAGGGUUUAGAUUAAUUAGUGCUUUUAAAUUUAUAUAUUAAAUAAUUUCUUAUACAAUUGUAAAAGAGAUAAUAUUAAUUUUAAUAUAUUAAAAUUAUGAUUAUAGUUUAAAUUAUUUAAGAGAUAAUAGAUAAACUUUAUAUAUAUUAAAUGGUUUAGGAAUUAAGGUUUACUUGAGAUUUGUUAAAUGAUGAAAUUUUAUGCAAUCAAUUAAUGCUUUUAUAUUUAAAAAUAUUUAAUCUAAACCAUUUAAUAUAUUUAAAUAUUAGAUUUAAAAAAACAUUGAAAAAUAAAUAAAAAAAAGUAAUAGAUUGAUAUGGAUAGGUAACUAUCUAUUUUGAUAGGACCAAAUUAUAACAAAUAAGGUCUUAUUUUUAUUUUGAAGUUGACUUUAUAAACAAUAUAAAUUAACUACACCAUUCAUUUACCUAUGGGAAAGUCAAUUUCAUUUUAGUUACUUAAUUAUGAAAAGUUACACUUUGAUAACUAAACUAUUUAGAAGUUUUCAUUUAAGUUACCAAGCUGUUAAAAUCAAUGUUAUGGCUUUCAUUAAACCCUAACCCCUAAACCUUUAAAUCACUAAUCCUUUAAACCCUAAACCUUAAAUAUCAUAUCACAAACCCUUAAAACUCUAAACGCUAAACCACAACCCCUAAACUCCAAACCUUAAUUCCUAACACUAACCCAUAAACCCUAAACCCUAAACCUUAAACUCUUAAACCAUAAACCUUAAAAUCUAAAAAAUAAAUUUCAUAUGGAUAUUAAUGUGUGUGUAUAUAUAUAUUAAUGUAAGAGCAAAAAACAAAACACAAACAAUAAAAUAGGAAAAAAAAGUGAAAUGGCAAAAUGAUUACAAAACGUUGCUGUCUUAAUCUUUGUUUUAGUCGCGUUUUAGAACGCCACAAAAGGAUAGCCUUUAGUGGCGUUUUCACAAACAAUACCGCAAUUAUGUUUUAAGAGAGUGCAAAACACUACCGUUUUUGUCUGCCAAUUAGUGGCGUUUUUACUAAAACGCCGCAAAAGGAUAUCCUUUAGUGGCAUUUUCUCAUAAAACGCCGCAAAAAUGUUUUAAGACUGUGCAAAACGCUGCUGCUUUUAUUGGCUUUUUAAUGGUGUUUUUACUAAAAUUCCACAAAAAGAUAUCCUUUAGUGGCAUUUUAUCAUAAAACGCCGCAAAAAUGUUUUAAGACUAUGCAAAACGCUAUCGUUUUUAUCUACUUUUUAGUGGCAAUUUUACUAAAACGCCACAAAUAUCGAUUAUGAGUAGCCAAAACGUUUCUGUUUUAGCUGCGUUGGUGGCACUUAUGAUAAACGCCGUAAGGUUCAAUUCAACUAACUUAAACGGCGUCAUUUUGUUUAGCCCCGAAUUUCCCUAGUUUUCCCUCAAAUUAGAUUACUCUAAUUUCAUUCCCCCAAUUUCUCAGUUUCUUUUCUCUCAUUUUCUCCCAAAUCAGAUUACCCCGAUUUCAUUCCCCCAGUUUCCCAAUUUCUUUUCUCCUAUUUUCCCCAACGGCGUCUUCCCCAAAUUAUUUUCCAUAAUUUCCCAACUUUUCAAUCCCCAACUGAUCGAAAUCCCCAAUUUUUGAAAUCCCUUUUCUCUCUGCUGCAUCCUCUUCUCUCUGUCAUAGCCUCUUUUCUCUACCGCUGUCGCUGGAAUUUCGAGUCCUAUAGGUAUUUACGACUGAUUUCCCCUUUCCUGUAUUAUUUUAUGCAUUUUGGGUUUGGGUUUAUGUGCAUUUUGGUUUCCUAUAGGUAAUGAAUAAAUAUGUUGUUAAAAAAUUGAAUUUGUUUCAAUUUUCUGCAAUUCGGGUGUUGAAAAGUUUGCUACCCAAACAUUCUUCCACUCAUUCCUCCGAAAACUUUGUUACUACUUAUAUGGACCCUUUAUUUAAUUUCAGUCUCUUUGAAAAUGGAUAAUGAUUGUCAUCUAUUGAUGUUGUUUUUGAUAUAGCUGACUUUGUGUUUAUAUUGAAUUUGAUUUGAAAGGCACUUUGUUUGCUAUCUCAGUGUGCUAAAGAAAUCGGGACAAUAUGGAAUUUUUGGGGUGUUUUCUUAUGGGCUACUGAAUAUAGUUUACUACCUCAUUACCUUUCUCUUGGUGUGAUAACUAAACUAUUGCUUCAUUGUUAGUUCAUGAUUUCCUUGCUUGAUUUCAUUUGGCAUAUAUAUUGCAUAGGCCUAUAUCCUUUUUUGUGCCUUUGAAAUUUCAUAGAUUAAGUUGUAUAGUGAACGGAAAUAAAAAAGAUAGACAAUCAAGUUCAAAAGUAGAAUAUAUUAGAACAAAGGAAUAUAUAAAAUAUAAGUGCAAAAAUUCUUUGAAUUAAGCAAGCUGAGAAGUUUGAAGCAGUCUUUGGAUGAAAUUAUGACAGAUCAUAAAGUUAGUGGGAUUCCAAUUUGGCUGGAGGAAUUCCUGCUCAGCUGGCAAAUUUGUUAGCUUUUAUACACUAAAGCAAUACACAGAAAGCCUAGAUAACCAAAAGGUUAGUUAAUCUUUUAUUUUAUUUUAUUUUUUAGUUUUUUAAAUUAUUAUUCUUGUUUAUCCUUAGAUUAUUUUUUAACAGAUCAUUAAUGGAUCAUGUUUUUAACUUAUUUAAUUCUUGAAAAUACAUUAAUGGAUCAUUAAUAUUGUUUAUUCUUGAAAAUACAUUAAUGGAUCAUGUUUUUAACUUAUUUAAUUCUUGUUUAUCCUUAGAUUAUUUUUUAAUUUCAUGGUUGUUCAUUGUUUGUAGGUGUAAUUUAAUUUGCCAUCCAAUUUAAUCGACUCUACCAUCCAAUUUAAUUUCAGGGCUCGUAUUAGGGACGAUAUGUAUGCAUGUGAUUGGAUUUAAUUUGAAUGAAAAUUUAAGCCUCAUUUUUAUAUGUAUGUUUGUGUUAUAAGUCUGAUAAUGCCUCGUACCCUGUUCCAGCGUUGGAUACGGGUAAGGGGUGUUGCAUAAGCCAACAGUCUCACAUUUAAAAGUGUUUGGCUGUGUCUGCUAUACACUUAUCCCAACUGAGAAGAGAACCAAACUGGAGAAAAGAUCUGUGCCAGGGAUCCUUGUUGGUUACAGGAGCACAAAUAAGGGAUAUAUGAUCUUUGAUCCCUCCACCAAAAGGAUCAUGGUGAGCAGUGAUGUGAAAUUUGAUGAAUAAAGUGUAUGGAAAUGGAAUGGUACAGAUGCAAGACUGGAUGAUAAAAGUCAACAAGACAACAAUCUACAACCAGCGGAAGAAGAAGAGCAAAUUGGUGAUGAUUUUAAUGAUACACCUGUGAGAGGCACAAGAACCAUCACUGACAUAUAUCAAAUAUGUAAUGUUGCAAUACUUGAGCCUACAAUUUUCGAUGAAGCUGCCAGAGAAAAGUGUUGGAAAAGCGCCAUAGAAGUUGAAAUGAAGAUGAUACACAAGAAUGACACUUGGGAAUUGGUUGACAGACCAGACCAGUAGAGGGUUAUUGGUGUGAAGUGGGUGUUGAGGGUCAAAUAUAAUGUUGAUGGGACUCUAAACAAACACAAGGCAAGACUUGUGGUGAAGGGAUACAACCAACAGUAUGGGAUCGAUUUCAUUAAAACCUUUGCUCCUGUUGCAAGGUUAGAUACAAUAAGGCUUCUAUUUGCCUUGGGUGCUCAAAAGCAAUGGAGAGUGCAUCAGUUGGAUGUCAAGUCUGCUUUUUUAAAUGGCUUUCUCAGGGAAAAGAUCUUCAUUAAACAACCAGAUGGGUUCAAGGUUCCUGAUGAAGAGGACAAGGUCUACAAGUUGAAAAAGGGCUUGUAAGGUUGAAGCAGGCACCAAGGGCCUGGUAUGACAGGAUUGAUGCAUACCUGUCUAGGCUCGGGUUCAAGAAGAGUAUCAGUGAGCCUACUCCUUAUGUGAAGAAAUCAGAAAAUGAAACUUUGCUGAUUGUGUCACUUUAUGUGGAUGACUUGUUAGUAACUGGAAACAAGGGGGAGUUGAUUGAUGAGUUCAAAAUGCAAAUGCAUGAUGUCUUUGAAAUGAUUGACUUAGGAGAAAUGACAUAUUUUCUUGGCAUAAAAGUAAUUCAGACUGACCAAGCUAUUUUCAUAAGUCAGCAGGCCUUUGCUUUGAAGAUUCUAAACAAAUUUUGCAUGUCAAACUGCAAAAUUGUUAGCACACCAGUAGCUCAAGGUAAAAUGUUAACCAGCAAUGGGAACCAUGGGAGAGUUGAUGAAAAGGAGUAUAGAAGCCUUGUAGGUUGUCUGCUCUACUUGACAGCUACAAGGCCUGAUAUUAUAUUUGCUGUUAGCCUUCUGUCCAUAUUUAUGCAUUGCUGCGAUAUUAUUCAUUUUAAAACAGCCAAAAGAGUUCUUAGAUAUGUAAACGGGACUUCGGAGUAUGGAGUGAAAUUUGAGAAGGGAAAAGAGCUCAAGCUGAUAGUGAUUGGGCAAGGUCUACUGAUGACAUGAAGAGCACUUCUGGCUAUUUCUUCACUCUUGGCUUAGGGGUCUUUUUUUGGAGCUCAGAAAUAACAAAGUGUUGCUCAAUCUACCGCUGAAGCAGAGUACAUUGCAGCUGCUGCAGCUGUUAAAUCAAGCCAUUUGACUUAGGAAACUUUUAUGUGAUUUGAAUGAAGAGCAAGUUGAUGCUACUGAAAUUAAAGUUGACAAUCCGUCAGUUGUUGCCAUAGCUAAAAAUCUAGUAUUUCAUGGCAAGACCAAGCAUUUUAAGAUUAAAUUUCAUUUUGUUAGAGAGGCUGAACAAUCAAGGGAGGUGAAUAUGAUUCAUUGCAGCUCAGAAAAUCAGUUUGUGGAUAUUCUAACUAAGUCUCUAGGUGCUACAAGGUUUGAUCCUUUAAGAAGAAGUAUUGGUGUUUGUUGCAUACAGUCCAAGGAGAAGUGUUGAACUUUGGCCUGCAAUGCAACAACAAACCAGCAUUAAAGCUGAACCAAUGCAGCAGCAACAUUUUGUUCAUUUGCAACAUGUUUCAUUUGUUUUGUAAUAUGACUUUGAGUUAGUAAAAUUAGUUGCUGAUUUUGUAUGAAGUGAUCUAAUAGUUUAUAUGUCAGCUUCUUUGUGUGUAAUUUAAGCUAUGUUUUAGUUAAGUAUUAAUGGGAGCAAUUACACAUUAGGUGGCUGCCUUGUAUCACAUAUAUGUUCAUCAUCUUAAUGAAAUACACAAGUGAUUCUUAGUCAUCUUCUUGUAAAAAAUUUUCUUUGCAUUCAUUCUUUGCUUCAAUUCUCCUUAGUUUACAUGCAAAAACCCCAACAGUAUCGGAUGGUAAUUGAUGCAUCUUUUUCCUUGUCUUUACGAUUCUCAUCCUUAACAGUGUGAAACUUGAAUGGGAUUAGACAAGGUGAUAUCUGCUCCAACAAGUCUCUGCUUAGAAUUCAUAUUAUUUAUAUUUUGAACAAUGUUCCAGCAAAAACCAGAUUCUAUCAAAACGAAAAAUUCAAAAGAUCAAAAAGGAAAAGUUCAAAAGAAGAACAAUGUGUUCAACAAAUGAUUAUCCAAAAUGUUUUCAAGUCCAUAUAUAUACACACAUAAUAAGUUUGACUAAGACUACAAAACAUACUAGUAAGGAACUAUGCUUAAGAAGACUGGUGAAUGCAUAUGUGCCAUUGACCAUUAAUCAUCUCAAACACAUUUGUUACAAACAGCGGAAACCAAUUGCUACCUUUUGUUGUCUUGACAGAUUCCACGCACGUAACAUACCCAAAAUCUCCUCUAACAUGAACUCGAACAUUUUUCAGCUUUAUCUCUAGUGGAAAUUCGAAGUUCAUCCACACAAGUUUCCAGCUUUUCAUUAUGGAAUCAUAACCAGAUAUCCCUUUUCCCCCUGGGUGCACACAACAAACAUCAUCUCCUUUCACCCAAAGGUUUUGCAUCAUGUCUAGAUCCCCUCUCCUAAAAGCAUCAUAAAACCCAAAAUUUGCUAUCAGUACCAAAGCCUUACUAUCCUCAUGUAGGACUCGAAGAUCAUCCUUGAUUUUUGCUGCUUCAGCAUAGUUUUCUUCCUCGACGGUAAUCUGCAGGUCCCUUUGUAAGAUUUGUUCAUCUAACAUUAUGCUUUCAGCAUUUCGGUUACCCUCGUUGUCAUUACCUUUGGCUUGAAAAGGCAUCAACAAUAGCAUAUGUGGAUUUUGUUUGAUGGGUACUGCACUAGAUUAAUUAGCAAUUAGAUAAGCUGGAUUUGGCACAUAUGAUGAAUCUAUAUUAAGAUAAGUUGCAAAGACAAGAAACUUACAAGAGGUAUUCCAUUUCCCAACUUGUAGUGUCACUAUCCCAGUAAAAACUCGGUCUUGUUUCCACUUGAAGCCUUCCUUAUUGUUUAGUUUCUCUUGGAUAAAACUAGGUCCAAUCAAAAGGGUGUCUAUACAUAUUUCUUCAUUUAAUAUUUUGGAAAAAAGAUAAUUUCUUAAAGAUCUCACUUCUUGCUUUUCUAUAUUCUCACUAACAUUUUGAUGAAAAUCAUUACAAUCUCCGGACUUCGGAGAGACUUCUUGAUGUACAUCAUCAACAAGGGGAGUUUUGGUUAUACCACCUAUUCCCCAAAGUCCAAUUGCACGACAGUCUUUUCGUUCAAUCAGCCUCAAAAUCGUGUUUUUCUGAUAAUCCAAUCCAACCAGUUCCUCAGAAGCACUUUUAGAGUUGCUAUUUGUCAACUUUUCUGUAACAUAUUCAAUAAUAUUCUUGAUAUAUUCGGCUUCAGGUCUAGCAGAUAAUAAAGAAAGAAAAUGGUAAGAUGACAGCAUGUAAGUUUGAUAGGUUCUUAUAGACAAGUUUUUUUUUUUUUAAAAUUUAAGAUGAAUAUAAUUUUUAGAGUUUAGAAUUUGAAGGUCUAUGAUUUAAGGGGUCAAGGUAUAGGGUUUUAGUAUCUAGGAGUUAAGUUUUUAGAAAUUUAUAAAAAAAUAUUAAAUGAAUUAGUAAAUUUUUUCUUAAAACUUAAAAAGAAAUUUAAAAAAAAAAGCUCAAGAAAAAAAAUAUGGAUGGUGUAGAUUUCAUGAAAUCUAAUACAAAGAUAAAUAUAAGAAGAGGAAAAAUAUAGUUACCUAUCAAAUUUCCCACCAUCUAUAUGCCAACCUUUUAAUUUACCAACUUCAGCAAAAGCAGCUUUCCAUCGCUUCACUUCAUCAACUAACCUCUUUGAUUCAUGCUCUUCAAAGGAUAUCUGAAAGCUCCCACCAAUAUUUCGCACAUGGGAAGGAUCAACAUGGUAAAAGAUGGGAAGAACAAUAUGCCCUUGAGUGUUCUUGCGGUCUAUGAUGUCAGAAACUUCAGCCAGGCAUGAUUUUGAAGAAGCAUAGUCUACGGAUAAAACGAUAAUUGAGAGAUUUGAGGCUGCAAUAGCUUGAGAAAGUGCUUUUGAAAGUAGCUCUCCUUUUUCCAGUUUUUCUUCAUCGAAGAAGACAUUCACUCCCAUGUCUUUCAAAGCUUUGAGUAGAUGACUGGUGAAGUUAAGGCGCGUGUCUUCACCUCUGAAGCUCAAGAAAACUUGAUGCUUGAUUUGACGAGAAGAAGAAGAAGAAGUAGUCAUAAAGAAAGAGUAUUCAAACAAAAUAACCUAAGGAUUUUGUGAAGAGAAAAAUAAAAAGAGCAAACCAUACGAAGGAAUUAGAUUUUCUUGGCUUGAUUUCUUUAAAGUAUUCUACAAAAGAAAAGUUUAACAUACUAAGGAAGAUUUUCUUGGCCUGAUUUUCUUUAAGAUUUUCUUGGCCUAAUUUUCUUUAAGCCAAAGAGUUAUGUUUCUUAAUGCCCUUUAAAACAUUAAUUUAUUUGGCAAAUGGUAACUGCUGUGUAGUCCAGAGUAAAGGUCUUCCAGUGGGACAAAAUUGUGAACCUAUUUAGUGGAUUUAUAUUAACAAUAAAACACUUAAAAAAAAGAAUUCUAAAAUCGUGGAUUAAGUUUUAACUUAGCUGCCAUCAAAAUUGUUAUCAAUGCAAAAAGACAUGGGUUUAAGUGCUGUGAAGCAUAUUAUCCUUUUAUUUAAGGGUUGAGGAGGAGUUAUGAGUAGUUCUAGACAUUGUAUCAAAAAACCUUAGAAAAAACACCCAUUAGAUAUUAGAACUUAUAACACAUUUAGAUAAUUUUAUGUUUACGUUUUGAGGGUUCUUUUUUUUUCGGAUUUUCGGGGUUUAGUUUUUUAUCUCUAUCUUUUGUAUUCUUCGUUAUUUUACCAUUAUAGUAAAAUUAUCUUUACCCGUGGUUUUUUAUCCUCUUUGGAGGAGUUUUUUCACGUUAAAUUUUUGUAUUCAAUUUCUCAAUUUAUUCCGCUAUUUUUUUACUUGUUACUUAAUCGAGUCGAUCCCCAACCGUUUAUAUGAAUGCAGAAUUUGCCAAAGUUUUACUGUUAUCUCAAAACUUGUGGGAUGAUGGAGCUGGAUAUUAUUUUCAGUGGCACCCCUUUCACAGUUUUCACUCUCAAAGCUAGAUUGUUGAGCUUCAAAGUUUUAAGGGAAACCAGCAAGACACUAGAAUAUUGGCAUUCGCAAUCAACUCAGUCUCUAAGAAAUAACUAUUCCAUCACCUUAUUUUCUUUGUAUAAUUAUAUAUUUAAUUUAAUUGAUUCUGUGGAUGAUAAAUACUAUUUUUAAUGUUAAUUUUUUUAGUAUUGUUUUAAUUAUAUUUGUUGUUAUCUUUUAGUGACUAAUCAUAGUGCUUGCAGUAGAUUUUGGAUAUAUCUAUUGGAUAAGAAUGAUAAUAUGGACAAAUAUAAUUGCUGCUUAGGAUUUAAGGUUAGAUAACAUUUUCUACAAUAAAUAGGUGUAAAAAGAAGGUGAUAAAUAAUUGGACCAGGUAAUGGGAGUGGAUUAUCUGUUUAAAUUCAAAAUGUUAUUCAAAAUUUGAGAGUAUUUAAGAAAAAAGUAUCAGACUUAAAAUUGAAAGUGUCGUUCAAAAUUUGAGAGUAUUUAGAAAAAAAAAUUAGACUCAAAAUUAUAAGCUUGGGAAAAAUUAGGCCCAUUAAAAUAUGAGCUCAAGUUUGAACGUUAAAUGUUCGAGCCUGGCCUGACUCGACCAAUUUUUUAAGUUUGUAAUGGUUUAUAUUUUUUUAUGUAACUUAUGACACAAAAAAUUUAAAACUAUUAUAAUAUAAACAUUAAAAAAAAUGUUAAGAUGACUAUAUAUAAAAUUUUAAUAAAUAAAAAAUAUAAUUAUUAAAUAUUAAACUAAUAUAAUAUAAAAAAUUUAUUGAAAAUUUCAAAAAAAAAGGGCUUGGAUUAGUUAUUUAUAAAUAUGGACGGACUUCGGUAAAAUUUAGUCUCACAUUUUGGGCCAAAUCGGGCUUGGACAAUCAUAGUGUGUAUUAAUAUCAUGCUUAGGUCUAACUCAAAUUUAGCCCAACCCAUGAAUACUUCAAUGAAUGGUGGUGAUGUUGAAGCUAACAAAGGGGGUGGAAAAAUUCGGUGGAAACAACGAAGAAGAUGAGAAACCCAAAUAACUUCAGGGCUAGGUGUAAAAAGUUAUAAAAUAAUUAAAUAUGUUAAAUAAUUUUGUAGUUGUGGAGGCUUAAAUUUAUUUAAUAAUUUAAAAUUAAAAUCAAAUUAAUAGAAUGUAUAAAUGUUAAGAACUAAAAGUGUUAUUGUACCAACUACAAAUAGGUUACAUCAUCAUUUUCAUUAACAAUUUAACGGAGGACGACCAAAAUUGAAACACGUUAAUAGUUGGGUAACUAAUUAAGUAGUUUACCCUGUAUUCAUUGAAAAAAAAAUUAUUUAUGACUUAAUUAAAUAGGAAGCCUUAAUUUAUGCCCUUUGUUUUAGGUACUUAUUUUUUCUUUUUUAAUCGAACCAGGUACCUAAACUUUAUUCCGUUAGCCCCUACCGUUACCUCCAAUCGUCCCAGCCAAUCAAAAAACACCAAAUCUCAACCCCACUAAAAUAUAAUUAAAAAAAUAAUUGAUACUAGUAUUGUUAUAGCCCAAUUUUACCCAUGACCUAUUUACAUUAAACCCAAUAAAACCCAAAACAAAAUAACCCAUCAGCCAAAUACAUUACAACUAACCUACCCUAACCCAAACAACAAUAACCCAAUUCAAAAGCCCACUAAGCCUAACCCAACAGAAGCCCAAAUCCCACCAAACCCUAGCCCAUCCCAAUCAAAUCAACAACCAAACCCUAGGUGCGCCGCACCUAGGGUCUUCAGCCUUCUGCCGUCUGCCAUGGCCACCAACUCUCCCCACUUGCCCUCUGUCACCAGGCUGCUCCACCUGCACAACAAAUGAAACACGCAACAGCAACAAAAGGGGAAACAGAUAGUAUAACAAGUGGGCUAUAAAAGCCGAAUGAGGAGAUUGUAAUUAGGGGGGAUGAUUUUUCUUUUUCUUUCUAUUGAAAUAAAGCAUAGACAUUGAAACAAAAAAAAUAUAGAUCUGUGCAACAUCAAAACAGAAGUGCAAACAAAACUAAAACACCAAAAGUCAAAAAACAAGAAGUUCAAGGUGAGUUUUAUUUCUUUUCUUCUUUCCUAAUUUUGAGUUUACCCCCAUAUAUACACACACAUUAAAAAUCUAAAAAAAUAUAAAAAUAUAUAUACCUUCGGCGAUUUUCGACCACCGUGUACUGUGGCCGGCACGGCAGACGGUGAUUGGCUCGGCGACCGGAGGUCUUGGACCGAGAGAGAAAAGAGAGAGAGCCUUUUUCCUUUUUUUUUCUAAAACAAGAAGAAAAUGAAAUUUUUAGAAAUUUUUUUACUUUUAUAAUACAAGAAAACGACGUCGUUUUGAAAGACCCCCAAACGCGCCCAAAACGGCAUCGUUUUGGGGGUAACCCAAUUACCCGACCCAUUGGGGCUAGGAUCCGCGUGUUUUUGCGGAAGGGUCUAAUUGCACGAAUGACCCUUCCGCUUUUUAAGCGUUCUACAAUUUAGUUUAUAUUUAUUUAUAAAUUGGCCCUGAAAUUUAAUCUGUUUUAUAAAUUGGCCCCUCUUAUUGCGCAGCGUUUUAAUAGUUGGGGAUAUUGCGCCAUUGGUCCCUCUAAGUCAUGCGCGCGUUGCAAUUUGGCCCUGUGUCCUAUUUUAUUUCUAAUUUCGCCCCAAAAAUUCUAUUUUGGUCUCAAUUUUGUCCUUUUUUGUCGUUUUUGCUCUCAAAUAAAAUUUAUAAUAUUAAUUUUGCUAUUAUUAUUAUAUUAUUGUCACUUAUUAUUAUGUAUAUAUUAUUUAUACUAUUCUUAAUAUUAAUAUUAAUAUUAAUAAUAAUAUUAUAUUAUUAUAUUUACUAUUGUUAUAAAUAUUAGUGUAUAUUUUUUAUCAUAUAUGUAUAUAUACAUACUCUUUAUAUGUGGUAUUAUUUUUAACAUUAUUAUAUUUUCUAUUAUAUUUAUCAUCUUUAAUAUAUUAUUAUUUAUUACUUUGUUUUCUUUACCUUACAAAUAUGUCAUACUUUCUUUAUACUUUUACUAUUAUUGUUAUUAGUAUUAUUAUUAUUUAUUAUUAUUAUUUGUUUGUACAUGUUGUUCAUACUAUCAUUAUAAUAUUAUUUUUAUCAUUAUUACGUUUAUUAGGGUAGUAUUAUUAUUACUAUCAUCAUCAUUAUUAGUAUUAUUGUGUGUUUUCAUUAUAUAUAGAUUUUUCAUAUCUAUAGUAUUAUCUUAUCAUUAUGUUUACUAUAUAUGUUUACCCUUUAUACUAUUGUUAACUAUUAUUUUAUUUUUAAUAGUAUUAAGUUAUAUUUGUUUUUAUAUAUUCUUUUAUUAUUAUCAUUAUUAACUUAUGUAUAUGCAUAUAUAUAUUUUUUUAUGUACAUACAUUUUUUUAUAUAGUUUUUUUUAUAUAUAUUAUUAUGUAUAUACUUUAACACUACUAGUUAUAUAUAUUUUUACCUACUUUAUGUAUACUUCAAACAAUAUAUAUAGUAUAUUUCUAACACUAUUACUAUUUAUAUAUAUAUUUUACGUACAUAUUCUUAAUAUCAUUAUUAUGUAUAUAUAUAUUCAUUGUUUUUAUUUCGUGUUUGAUACUAUUAUCAUGUUUAAUAUAUCGCAUGCAUUGUCAUUGUUUUUAAUAUUUUUGUCGUAUUUAUUAUGUGCCUUGAUGUAUUUUUAACUCUUAUUUUUCGUUUCCCGCCUAUUUUAUAUCAUCUCAUUGUUCACCGUUUUAAAGAUGUUUAUUCAUGUUUUUUUAUUUAUUUCAAUAAGCAAGGCAACGUACCGAUUUAACAUUAAGUCAUCGAUUUCAUCGCUAUGUUGGGUGAACAUCAAUCGACUUGUGCUAAAACAGUAUGUCCUUCUCAAAAAUAAAAAAAAAAUUAAAAUUCUCGUGUUUCAACCUGUUUCAACCGGAUCACGACUAAAUGUUACAUUGAACUCGUAUUUUUGAAAAUCAAGACAACACAUGUUUUACAAGAUACCAAUUUUGGGCGUCGCGAGGGUGCUAAAACCUUCCUCGCGCGUAACCGACUCCUGAACCCUACUUUACUCUGAUUUUCGCGUAGACCCACAUUUGGCCUUCAUUUUUGUUCGAGAAUAAAUUUUCUUUUCAAAAAAGAUGAUUCAUUAGGUGUCUGAUCACACCUAGAAAAAGGAUCGGUGGCGACUCCCCUCUUUAUUUCAAAAUCAAACUUCAGUUUUCAAAUUUCACUAAAUCGCCACGAUUAGCGACCAAGCUAUAAUUUUACGUCGCUACAGCUGGCGACUCCACUGGGGACGUGUUUUUUUGAGAGUCGAGUCGAAUUAAACGUGUGUUGUCAAAAUUUUCAAAAUUCCUUGUUCAAAUUGAUAAUUAGUUGUGAUCCCAAAAUUGUGUUUUCAAAAAGUCAUGCAUUUGCAUUAUGUUGUAAAUGUUUUUCUAACUCGUUUUGUCCUUUUUGUUUUUCAGCCUUAAGUUUUAUGGUUUUGGCUUUGUAGUUUUUUUUAAAAUAAGAUGAAAGGUUUGUGAGUUUCUCCCCACACACCGUGCACUUGCAUUUUUGCAUAACAUGAGCUCUCUACCCGGGCUCCGUUCGUUUAAGUGAAAGUAAACGCUAUGCCUUCGUGAGUUAACUCGUCCCUCCGUACAGGCUAGUGAAUACUUUUGGGUUACAUAUGACUUAUGCUUUCAUGAGUUAACUUGUCCCUCCGCAUAGGCAUAAGUGAAUGUAAUCCCUCAAAUUGAACUCGUGAGCCUGUGAUGGGCUACGACCGAGGCUUCGUACUAAUCUUAGUAGAUGAUAGUACGAACAAUUCGAGUACCUGUCUAGAACCGAAACCGCAUAUAGUGAACCGUACGAGCCACCUAAUUAGAGCCAUGCCGAACCUCCGUCUGUUUAGUACUCACCAAAAUAAGUGCACGGGAGGAACGCCUCUUACCUUUUUCAUUUUCACUUUCUAUACAAGGGGAUUGGGUCUAUUUCAUAAAAUAGAUCGGGUAGUUCGAUUUGUUAAAUUUUCCAUGUUUUUCUGCCUGUAUUUAAUUACUAAUCAAGGUUGUUUGUCUUUGCCUUAUGUUUUUCAUCAUGCAUUAUAGGCAUCAUAUUAGGAAGGUGUUGACUAGAGAUCGGUUGCCAAAAAAUGGGUUUCUAAUGGAAGAGUCAAUUAUACAAACAACCGAGAAGAAUGCCGUGGUUCGAGACUGGUCUCUAAAAACUCAAAAAGAAAAAAGGGGAUAGACACGUAACUGUGAAUGUUCGCCAGAAUAACCUUGAAGAUUUGGUUCUGGUUUGGAAUCAGUGGGAAUCGGACACUAGGGGUAUCUUCACUGAGAGGUACAGAUAUAUAGCCCACUUGAUCACUAUCAAAAUAGACGAGCAUUUGAUUCAAGCCAUGAUCAGAUUUUGGGAUCCGACCUACCAAUGUUUUACUUUCAAUCAGAAAGACAUGACCCCGACUAUAGAAGAGUACGCUGCUUUGCUUCGUGUUGAUAAUGUACAACCCUAUAAGAUAUAUGUGAAAGAACCUAAACCGAUAACCUUCAAGAAAAAGUUAGUAAGAUUGACAGACAUGCUGAUGCGUGGGCCGAAAAACAAAUAAAGAAGAAGAAUGAAACCAUUUGCAUUCCAUGGUUUUCCCUACGAGAUUCGGUUCUGAACCAUCCCGACAUGUUGAAAAGGGUAAAUCUGUUCGCUUUAGCCAUUUACGGUUUGAUCAUCUUCCCGAAAGUCUUUGGAAACAUAGAAGUUGUGGUGGUGGACUUCUUCGAAAGAUUAAAACAAGGAAUCAACCCUGUCCCGACUAUCCUAACCGAGACCUUCAGAUCCCUGAGUAGUUACCGAAGGAAAGGGGAAGGACGAUUUAUUGGAUGCGCGCAGUUGCUCAAUGUUUGGAUUUUGAGUCACUUCUAGAAGUAGAGUGCACUCCGUUCCAUAUGUUUUCAAAAACAUUUGCCCCGUUGGAAGCUUAUCUCAAGAAAGAAUGGCCAAAGGAAGUCACUGAACAACAUUGGGUCUCAGUUUUUCAGAACCUUUGCGCCGAGGAUAUAACGUGGAGAGCACCGUGGAUACGCCCUUCGGUUUUCCUAUACAAGGUCGGAGAUCAAGACUGGGUGCCACUACUCGGAUUAUGGGGAGGAGUUGGAUAUGCCCCGCUAUUAGUCUAAAAGCAAUUUUCUUCGCGACAAUUCAUACCCAUCACCGGAGGAUUAGCACAGUCCAAGUUUGCUUUUGCGGGUGAGGGAUAUAUGAAGAGGGUCCGAGACACUGCAAAGUCUUGGAAAAAAUUUGAGAGUAUUUCAAAAAAAAAUAUUAGACUCAAAAUAUAGGCUUGGAAAAAAUUAGGCCCAUUAAAAUAUGAGCUCAAGUUUGAAUGUUAAAGGUUCGAGCCUGGCCCGACCCAACCCAUUUUUUAAAUUUGUAAUGGUUUAUUUUAUGUUACGUAACUAAUGACACAAAAAACAUAAAACUACUAUAAUAUAAACAUUAAAAAAAUAUUAAGAUGACUAUAUAUAAAAUUUUAAUAAAUAAGAAAUAUAAUUAUUAAAUAUUAAACUAAUAUAAUAUAAAAAAUUUAUUGAAAAUUUCAAAAAAAAAAAGAGAGCUUGGAUUAGUUAUUUAUAAAUAUGGACGGACUUCGGCAAAAUUUAGUCUCACAUUUUGGGCCAAAUCGCGCUAGGACAAUCAUAAAAUGUAUUAAUAUAAUGCUUAGGUUUAACUCAAAUUUAGCCCAACUCAUGAACACUUCAAUGAAUGGUGGUGAUGUUGAAGCUAACAAAGGGGGUGGAAAAAUUCGGUGGAAACAACGAAGAAGAUGAGAAACCCAAAUAACUUCAGGGCUAGGUGUAAAAAGUUAUAAAAUAAUUAAUAUAUUAAAUAAUUUUGUAGUUGUGGAGGCUUAAAUUCAUUGAAUAAUUUAAAAUUAAAAUCAAAUUAAUAGAAUGUAUAAAUGUUGAGAACUAAAAGUGUUAUUGUACCAACUACAAAUAGGUUACAUCAUCAUUUUCAUUAACAAUUUAACGGAUGACGACCAAGUCAUCAUUUCCGUUAACAAUUUAAUGAAAUGGUGACCAAAAUUGAAAUAAGUUAAUAGUUGGGUAACUAGUUAAGUAGUUUACCCUAUAUUUAUUGAAAAAAAUUUAUUUAUGACUUAAUUAAAUAGGAAGUCUUAAUUUAUGCCCUUUGUUUUAGGUACUUAAUUUUUUUUUAUCCAACCAGGUACCUAAACUUUAUUCCGUUAGCCCCUGCCGUUACCUCCAAUCGUCCCAGCCAAUCAAAAAACACCAAAUCUCAACCCCACUAAAAUAUAAUUAAAAAAAUAAUUGAUACUAGUACUAAAUAAAAAUAACUAAAAAGGUACCCAUCUCCUCAUAUAGUAAAAAUUUAUCUGUACUUUUAUUUAAUUAGGCCUUUUUGGUCUGUAUUAUUUUUCAUUUCUAUUUUAGUUUUUUUUUCUCCUUCAUUGUAAUACUUUUUCUUUCCUGUCUUAUUUUUUAUUUUUAAUAUUAAUAUAAUUAUUUUUAUUUAAUAUUAACAUAAAAUAAUUUUUUAUUUAUAUUUUCACGGGUGACAUGAUAAUUUUUUGAUUGGCCGACCGUAAUGAAUAAAUGCUAACUUGGAUUACAGAAGAAAAGUUUAAGUGCAUAACUCAAAUAAAUAACUUUUUUUAAGGUUUUCAAGUUGAAUUGAGCCUCUAUUUAUUUUCUCAUUAUGAAUGUGAUGUGCGUAUUUUGUUGAUAAUUCAACCCACCAGAUUUGAUUUAACCAAAUUCCACUUUAAUCGAAAACUAAGAUGAUUGGAUGCAAAAAUUAACCUUUUUGACGAAUGAAAAAGGGUAAAAGAAAUAGCCUUUUUCUGAUGCGAUUUGAUAAGGCGGUGGUUUGUUUGGGACUCAUCUGCUAGACACGAUUUGAUGACCUUUUUGGUUUUUCAAAGGAAUGAAAAUGAAAAUAAAAGACGCCGAAGAAAGCAAAGCUCCCUUGCUCUCUUUCUCCAUCAAUCACGCUCUCUGUUAGCUCUUUUCUUAAUAGUUUUUUCUUUUUAUAAAACUGUGAUUCCAUUUAAUAAAGUUAAAAUGUUAUUGAUAUUAGUGAUACGAAUUCUAUUUUUUCGUAUAGAAUUUUUAAAAAUAUAAUUUAUUUUAAUUAUAAAAGAAUUGAUUAAUAUUUUAAUUAAUUAAGUUGUUGUCACUUAACUUAUGAUACCAAAUUUAUUAGUUAACCAAUUGAGUUGAUAACACUUUACUUAUGACACCAAACUCAAUCUGAUUUUUAGCAUACCGACCUAAUGACCAUUUUUUUCCCAUGAAUUAUCAACUGCUUUAUGUGAGUUUAGAAUUUGCCAAAGUUACUCUUUAUCUCAAAACUUGUGGGAUGAACACAUUGAGCUGGAGAAUGUUUUUCAAUGGCAACCUCUCGACAGUUUUCUUUCUCAAGCUAGAAUGAAACCCAAGAAACAGUAGAAAAAGAAUUGUAAAAAAUCCAAAUGAUUUGGGUUUAGUUCGAGUUGCUUUCAUUUAAAUGGCUUUCAUGAAUCUUAUAGGGUUUUGGGUCGAGUUUGAGUCAUGUUAAUUGGUGUCGAAAUAAAUUUCGAAUUGUUUCUACUGGGAAUGAAUUGGACAAGGGUUAAACAAGGGCGUGUUUGUUUCUCUUUACAUAUGGAAGUUGAACAUACUAUUCUAUUUUCUUAAUGAGUAAAUGUGUAAAUGUUAAUGUUAAAUUUGUUUAUUUUUUAGAAUCAAGAUUAAAUUGACAAAAAUGCAAACAUUGAGAGCUAAAUUUAUUGUUAUACCAAUCAAAAUUAUGUGAAUUUAAUAGAAGACAUUAACAAUGUAGUUAAAUGUCAUUAGCUGCUCACUUUCAAAAUUAACAAAGAUUAAAUUUCUCUUCUUUUCAAGGGACCAAUUUAUUCAAUUUUGAAAUUAAGAAAAACUAAAGAAGUCGUUUUACCCAAACUUGCCCUCCCUAUGUUAGAAAGGACUAACAAAGAAAAUCUAUCAUUAUUUCACCUAGGAAAAUAGAAACACAACACCCUUCCUUCAAAAACUUUUCAUUCAGGGGAAGAAAGUGAAAAUUAUUCUUCAAGAAAGUGGUAGGAAAUUUAAGUUUAAUUCACUUAAAAUGGUCUAAAAGUGGCAAUUAUUCUUAAGAAAGUUAUACUAAAUUUCAGUUCAAUUGACCCAAAUGACAAAGUGUGUUCAAGUCAUUAUUUUUGUUAGGAAAUUCGUAAGAAAUUUCAUCACAACCCAAAAAGAAAUUCAUGAAUGGUGACUGUGGCGACGUAAAAAUUUUAGAUUGGUCACUAAUUGGGGUGUUUGAUUAAAAGUUUAGAGACCGAGGUUUGAUUUUAAAAAGGGAGUCACCACCGAUCUUUUUUUUAGGUAUGAUCGGACACCUAAUAAAUCAUCUUUUUGAAAAGAAAAUUUAUUCUCGAACAAAAAUGAAGGCUAAAUUUAGGUCUACGUGAAAAUCAGAGUAAAGUAGGGUUCAGGAGUCGGUUACGCGCGAGGAAGGUAUUAGCACCCUCGCAACGCCCAAAAUUGGUAUCUUGCAAAACACGUGUUGUCUUGAUUUUCAAAAAUACGAGUUCAAUGUAGCAUUUAGUCGUGAUCCGAUUGAAAAGACGAGAAAUUUUAGUUUUUCGGUUUUUAGAAGGGUGUUCCGUCUUUAACACGAGCCGACAAAUUUCAUCCAACAUAGCGAUGAAAUCUAUGGCUUAAUGUUAAAUCGGUACAUUGCCUUAUUUAUUAAAAUUAAUUAGAAAACAAGAAUAUGAUUUUCGAAGUAAUGCAAAGCAAUAUUGAUAAAAAUAGAUAAAUGAAAGAACUAGAAAUAUAUUGAAGCAAAUAAUAAAUGUGAUAAUAAUUUUAAAAAAUGAUAAAAAUGUAUGCGAUAUUAAACGUAAUACUAGAAUUAAACAUGAAAGGGAAACAAAGAGCGUAUAUACAUAAUAAUGAUAUUAAGAGCAUGUACGUAAAAUAUAUAUAUAAGUAGUAAUAGUGUCAGAAAUAUACUACAUAUGGUGUUUGAAGUAUAUACUUAAGAUAGUAAUGUUAAAUAUAUACAUAACAUAUACAUAUAUAUGUAUAAAAUAAAUAUCGAAAAGUGUAUAAAAAUAAGAAAAUGGUACAUUUAUAAUAAGUACAUGAAAAUAUCUAUACAUAUAUGUAAACAAUAACGAUAAUAUUAAAAAUAAGUAAUAAUAAUGACAAUAGUAAGAAUAAUAUGGUAUUAAGAGUAUACAUAUAAAAGUAAUAUUGAGAGUAUGUAAAGACGAAAAAACACGCUAAUAUUAAUACUAAUAAUAAGGAUAAUAUAUAGAAAAUAUAUACAUGAAAUAGUAUAAAAAAUAUAAACCUUAUUGUAUUUAAAAACAUGUACAUGAAAUAGUAAAAGAAAUAUAUAACAAAUAACAUAAAGAUAUAUGUCUGAAAUAACAUAAAAAUAUAUGAAUAGUAUGAUAUUUACAAAUAUAUACAUGAUAUAAUUAUUUUAAAAAAUAAUAUAAUGAAAUAUACAAAAAUAAUACUAUAUACUCAAAAAUGUAUAUAUACACGUAUAGUGAAAUAUAUGUACUAAUAUUAAUAAUAAAUAUAGUAGGAAUAAAAUAAAUGUAAUAAUAAUAUAUAUACAAUAUGUACAUAUUGAAAAUAAAAAAAAACUAUUGAUAAUACUUCACAAAUAUAUAUGUACUAAAAAUAUACGUAAUAAUAUAUAAAAUAUAAUAUUAAAAGCAUAUAUAACGUAUAUAAAGAAUAUAUAUAAUAUAAUACAUAAGUAUAUUAAAUACACAUACAUAUAUAAAAGAUCAUAUACUAAUACAUAAUGAUAAUAAUAAUAAUAUUGAAAUAAAAAAAAAACAAAUGUAAUAGAAAUAUUAAAAUAAAUAAUAAAGUAAUACCAUCAAUAAAUAUGCCUAUACAUAUACGUACAUAGUAAAUAUACACUACUACAUGUAAUAAAUAAAUAUAAUAAGUACAUAGAUUACAAUUAAUAAUAGUAAAUAACAGAAAAUAAUAACAAAUAAUUUGAAAAAUAAAAUAGUAAAUUGAACAUAAAACAAAAUUUUGGGGCGAAUUCGAGAAGAAAGUAAAGAGGAAGGGACUUAUUAGAACGCGCAUAAAACUGUGGGGGGCCAAUGGAGCAAUUUUCCAAAACCUUUAAAACGAUGCGCAUCACGGAGGAUCAAUUUGAGAAUCAUAACAAACUUCAAGGCCAAUUUAUAAAUAAAUAUAAACCUGAUUUAAAAUAUCAAAAAUGCGGAAGGACCGAUUGCGCAAAUAGCCCCUAAGAGCGAAAACACGCGAAUCCUAGUUGGAGCGGGUCGGGUUGACCUGACCCGGGGCCAAAAUGACGUCGUUUUUCAUUAAAAUGGGAGGGGACCAAAACGCACCGUUUUGGUCCCUAUAAAAGACAAAUUUUUUUUAAAAAAAUCAUUUGAACGGGGUAUGUAAUAUCCCGAAUUAGGGCCUAAUUAGAAUAGUGGUUUCGAGACCACAAAUUUGAGAUAGAAAUAAUUAUUUUAUAAUUAUUUUGAGGUCUAUGAUAUGAUUGCAUGAUUGUGUGAAAAUCUCGUGACAAAAUUCUAUGCAUAAAGUGCUUAAGUUGAGAUUAGGGACUAAAUCGAAUAAUUUGCAAAACUUGCAUUCUAGAAGUUUUUAGUAUGAAAUUGCUUUGGAAUAUUAAUGAGGAGGUCUUAAAUAGCAAUUUGACCAAAUUCUAAGUUUAUGGACAAAAAUUUGGACAUGGAUGGAAUUUUUGAAAGUUUAGUAAGGAAGGGUAUUUUGGUCAUUUUGAUAUUAAAUGAAAUAAAAUGGGAAAAAUAACACAAAAAUGGUCAUCUUCUCCAUAUGUUGCUGCCAAAUUUUUCUCUCUCCAUAGCUAGGGUUUCUUCAACUUUCAAGCUUUAUAGUAAGUGAUUUCAAGCCCCGUUUUUAAUGAUUUUUAUGUUUUUGAAAUCACGGUAGCUCGAAUUAGCUUAUGCUAGCAAUAAUUCAACCUAGGGUACCCAUAGGUGAAAUUUGUGUAUUUUGGUGUUUUAUGAUAGAAUAUGAGGUUUUAAAUUAUGUUAGACAACUUGUGCUACUCGGUUUUAAGUGAAAACGAGUAAAAAGGGCUUAAUCGGUAAAAAUACCUAAUAGUCAUAAGUACAUGUUAGAGUGAGAAUUUGAUGUUUCCAUAGAAGGAAAAAAUGAUCAGCAAGUCAUAAAACAUAAGAAAAUAGGAUGAAGUUUAAUUUACGAGCAUUGGGGCAAAAGUGAAAAUAUGUAAAAGUUUAGGGGCAAAAUUAUAAUUUUUCCAAAAUAUGAUUUUAGGUUGAUUUGAAUAAUAUGAGUCCUAAUUAGGCUAUAUUUGAAAUUAUAGAGCAAGGAAAAUUGAAAUUCGGGCUAAAAUCGGUAAAAUACCAAGUUGUGGACAAAAUGGUAAAAAAGACCAUUUUUGCGUACGAGGUAAGUUCAUGUGUAAAUGUAGUAACAUAAUUGUCAUUUUAGGUAAUUUAAUGUUAUUUAUAUGAUAUGAUGAUUAAUAUCAUGAAAUAUUAUGCUUUGUGGUUAUUAUUGAGUAAUAUGCAAAUUAUGUGUGCUACUUGUUAAAUAUGAAUUGCUACCGAGUAUCGGUUUCGACAUUCCGUGGAAGAGGGCAAAGUUGUGUAAUCGAGGAAAAAGCCCGUUUGAACCUUGGGAAUAGAUUAGGAUACAAGUGACAUGUCACUAGGAUAUUUGAGUUCCGAACUCGUUGAGUUGAGUCCGAGUUCGUGAGAUGUAACUAGGCAUCCGAGCUCGUUGAGUCCGAGUUCACUUAUGGAUGCAAACGCCCGAGCUCGUUGAGUUGAGUCCAAGUUCGCUUAUGGGCAGGUUACAUGGUAGCUUGACUACAUAUGUGGCACUUAUGUGCAAACUUUCCAUGUAUUCAAGUUAUAUUCCGAUGUGUUCAACGGGUAAAAUUCUAGUGAAAUGGAAGAAUUCUCGAGAUGAAAGUGACUAGUUGGUAAGUGUUGUGGAACGGAUACUUUGUACAGGUAUGUUCUUAACCCUCGGGUUGAGACUUUAAUAUAAUAAUAAUAUGGUAAGAUCAUGAAUGAGAAAUAUGAUAUGAAUGCUUUGGUGAUGUUAUGCGAAUGUGGACUUCGUAUUUAUUUCAUGGUUAUGUUACUUGCUACUUACAUGUGAACUUACUAAGCAUUUAUGCUUACUCCCUUCCUUCCAUUCCUUGUAGUUUUGACAAGCCAGUUUGGAGAUCAGGACGGUCGGAGGCACGCUCACCCUAUCAAUAGACCAUCUCGGUAUAGUGGCUUGCAUAUUUUGGGAAUAUGGCAUGUAUAGAUUUAUAAUCCUUUUGUCUAUAUAAUCUUAUGAUAUGAUGAAUGAGUGAUGUGGAAAUGCUUGUUGAUGAUUAGCUAUUGGAAUGGCUAAUCAAAAUUUAUAUUUAGUGUUAUGUAUACUUAAUGUAUUACCUACUCCAUGGAAAACCAUAAAAUGGUGAAAUUGGCUAUAAAACAGUGUUAUACAGCAGCAGUGACGAGAAUUUGAAAAAUCACUAAAAAUAGUAGAAAUGAGAUUAGAUGAUGAAUAAGUUAUGGAAUCGAAUCUUGAUGAGUCUAUUUUCAUUUGGAAGAAACGAAACAGGUAAAUGAGUUAUAUUUAUGAGAUAUUUAAAUUUUGGUGGAACAGGGUCAGAGCAAUCUCUGAAUCCCCUAUUCUAACUUUAAAAAUUCACCAUAAAUUUUUAAAAAACAAUUAGGAGUUUUUCCUUACAUGUAUGAAAUCUUUAUUGAGUAUAGUUUUAUGAGAAAUAAACGGCAUAGUCAUUGAAACUCGGUACAAGAAGAUAUCUGAUUCGUAAUACACAGGGGUCAGAGUAGCCAAACCCUAAAACAGGGGAAAAGUUAACUAAUAAACUGUACUAAUUGGCUCAACCAAAAAUUCUAGAAAAAAAUUAUUAAGUAGAUAUAUGAGUCUAGUUUCAGAAAAAAUUUACGGAUCUUGAUUUUUAGUUUCGUAACUCGAGAUAUGAAUUUUUAAGUGAUUGUGAUGCAGUUAGCCAGCUUGUCUGGAAAUUUUAAAAUAAAUUGUAUGAAUUGUUUAAUUAAUGAUUUAAGUUUAGUAACACCUCAAGCUCGACUCUGGCGACAGUCUCGGGCGUGAGGCCAUUACAGGGUGUAAGAAAAAAAAAGAGAGAAAAGGGAGAGGGGAAGGGAAUCCGGCCAUGGUCCGGUCACCGUCCGGUCGUCGGACCGGUGCUGGCGCCGGCGCCGGCCACCGUGCACAGUGGCCGGAGAAGGUAAAAAUUUGUAUUUUUUUGUUUUUUAUUUAUAUUUCUAUUAUCUAUGUAUAUAUAUAUGUAUUCUUUUUGAAAGAAGAGAGAAAAAAUAUAAAAGGAAAUAUGCGUAUGUAUUCGAAAGAAGAAAAUAUAGGUAAACAGAAACUAAAAAGAACGAAACCUUUUUGUCUGUUGAAUGGGAUUUGAUCAGCUUAAUAUAUAUUCUUAGUGUUUGAAUCUAUUCUGUCUUUUGCAUUCUAUUCUCUUGUCUGCAAUCUUCCUCUUUUUACAAAAAUUACUCGGCUCUUAUAGCCUAUAUUUUUUACAAAUUGUUUCCUUUUUCUGCUUUUUCUGUCUCUUCUCUUUACCGUCUUACAGGUGUAGAGGGUGGUGGAUGUGAUGGAGCAGUGCUACAGUGGGCAGGUGGCUGGUGGCCAGUGAAGUGGUUGGGGCAGAAGCAAGUGGGGGAGGCAAGUGGCUAGGGUUUCGGGAUUGGGCUAGCUUAAAUGGGCUUGGGUAGGUUUAGUUUGGGUUAGUUUUGGAUAUUUAGGCUUUGGGUCUGGUUGUAAAAGGGUUAAAGGGGUAAUUGGGUUUAGGUUGUAAAUAGGCCAACCGGGUUUAAGUUAUAAAUGGGUUUUGUGGGUAAUGUAUUUGGGUUUAGGGGGUUAGUGGGUUUAGUAAUUGGACUUGCAAAUUGGGCUUGUAUUCGAGCCCAGGCAAUUUGGGCUUCUACAGUGACAAUUUUUUUGAAGUUAUACAUUUGGUUACGAAAUCAGCUAAUAUCUAUUUUCGAAUAAAUGAUUUACUCAUACUAACAUAUUAAAUAGGCCUUUAAGCUUUAUCACAUUAUCUAAAUAAUCGUGUACUUUUAUCAUACCCCAAAUAAGCCUUUAAACUUUAUUUGUUAUCCAAAUUACUUUUAAUUUUUAAUUUGUAUCUAGAAAAGUUUUAAUCUUAACAAAUUUGUCCCAUUGGAAGACCUUGACUUGGAAAUUAACACCCAUCAUCAUCAUCAUCAUUUGGAACAGUUUUUCUUGUUCGUCAAAACUCCCUUUUAAUACUCUUCAUCAAAGUCCACAUCACCAGAAACCUAAUAAAUAGACUUAAGGCUUGGAAUAUGGUUGUUUAUAUAAACUCAAAAUCUUUUUGCUUUUGUUUUUCUAAAUAAUGUGAGAUAUGGGCUUUUAUAUAAAUUCAUAAUCUCUUUGUGCCUUGUUCUUAAGCAAUACGAGAUUUAUUAUCCUUUUAACUAACAAAAGAUUUAAGUUAAACUUGGUUUUUAAAAACUACAACAAGAAACACGAAUAAAAUAUAUUUUUCAAUAUAUUAAAUGGUGAUUAUAAGUUGAUGUUGAAAUUCAACUCUCCCCUCAUCAUCGACAUUUAUUUAAAUUGACAUGUCAUUUGAAAUAAGGGCUAAUUUAAACACAAAUAAAAAUAUAGGGGUUUAUUUGGGUACCACAAAAGUAAACUAGUUCAAGGACUCUUUUAAGAAUUUAACCAUUUGCUGAACAUUGUCCCAUUGGAAGACCUUGACUUUUGUGGGUAAAAGAUACAGAUAAAGAAGACUCAUUUCCUGGAAAGUUUGAGAGUGACAAUUUUCUUAGACUCAGAUAAUUAGCUAAUCUCCUCCAGUCAUUGCCUUUGUUAAAUCUCAUUGUCAUUUAAUACUAGGAUACCAAAACUCCAUUUGUGUACUUUCCUCUCUUCUUCCUCAAUCUCACAGUCCAUACACUUUCAUGGCAUAUUCUUCAUCUUCUCCUCGUCAAAUGAUGCAUUAAGUUUUCUAAACCUUCAGAGGUGAAGACAUAUGCCUUAACUCAAAAAUUAUUUACUCAUAGGUUCUAGUACAAUAAAAUUAUCCUGAUUUUAAUAAAAUUAGAAUUUGGUUGAGAAAAUAAUUUAAUUGAAUGAAUGAAUUAAAUUCAUUUUAAUUAAUUAUAUAAAUAAUAUUUUUACAAUGUAAACUUAAUAUUGGGUUGGAUAAAUCAAAUGAGUUGAUUUAAAGUUCAUAUAGAAUUGAUCAUGGGUCGAGCCAAUGCAAAAUUUUAGGCCCGUUUUCUAAGCUCAGCCUGACCUACCCGUAUUAAUUUCUUUAGAUUAUUUUUAUGUAAAGAUAAAUUUAAAAAAUAUAAUACAUAAAAUACACUAAAAAUAUUAAAAUAAAUAUUUUUCAACAAAUCGAAAAUACAUUUUUUUAAAAAUAAAUAUUUAUACUUAAAUAACACUAACACAGUUACAACUUAACAAUCAAAUGUUUUUAAAAUGGUAGAAAAAUUAACAAUAAAACAAAAAAUUUAAUAUAUAAACAAUAACAAUAUAAUAGUAGCAAUACAAUAAUGAAAUUGUAACAAAACAACAAUAUAACAGCAGUAAAGAACAACAGAAAAGAAAUAGUCAAAUUCGAGCUAGGCCAAAAUAUCUUGCCUAAGACCCGACCCGUUUAGAAAAUGUGCCGAUAUUGAUAUGUUGAAUAAUAUUUUACUCAUAAAACUAUUAUUUUCCAACUUUUAAAUUAAUUGCCAAUGAUAGAAAUAUGAAGUGGUUUAAUUAAUUAAAACCAACCAGAAUCACAUGCUCUACAAAUAGCUUGUGAUUUGGAAUUUUCAUUCAUUGGUGCAUUAUCAACUUACUUUUUUCCUUAUGCAUUUUACAAGCUAUAAGUAUGAUUGUGAUGUGCAAAUUUUGUGGAACUUCCAUGAAAAUUCAGCCCGGGAGUGGUCUGAUUUGAUUUAUCCAAAUUCCUACAUAUGUAGCUUCCAAGAAAGAAAGAAGGUUGGAUGGUAUUUUGAAGUGCUGUAAGAUUUAUUAGCCAUUUUGAAAUUGGUGUCAAAAGCAAAAGCGACCUUUUUUUUUUUCUCGGCCAAUAAAAAUAUUUUAUUAAAAAGUUUAAUGUAUCGUCUUUAUCACCUCACAAAAAAAAAAAAAAGUGAGUAGAAGGGGGUGAAUUUCCAUGGUUUGGUGCAUUAUCAACUUUUACUUUUCCAUAUGCAUUUUGGAACAAUAUGUAUGACUGUAAUAUGCAGAUUUUCUCUGCAAAUUCAGCGAAAUUCCUGAUUAUGUAGCUUCCUGGAAAAACAAAAGAAAAAGGAGAAGAUUCUUGACGUCUUUGUAGCAUAUUACUAUUUGUUUUUUUUUUUUGCAAUCAAUGAAUCAAUACUUUGGGGGUGUGGGAAUCAAAUCGUACAAUUAAUCAGUUCUUUCACAGACUGGGCAAGGAAAAGAGUUCCAUUGAUAGUAGUAUCACUAUGCAAACAAAACAAAAUGCAAAUCGAUAGUAGAUUUAUUCAAGGGACGAAUUAUUCGUUCAAAUUUGAAAAGUUUAUCUAAAAUACGAAAGUUUAAAUAAAAAUACAAUGAGCCAAAACUUGAUUAGAAUAAGACGAUUUUUUUAUCUCACUCGUGGCAUUAAAUAAAAGCUGCACUACUAAUGCUGGUGUACGACCUAUUUUUCACAUUUAUUAAAACGCUUUUGAGGAUUAUCUUUUUAAUUGGUUUCUAAAUAUGGCCUAAUUUUAUAUUAUUAUAAUAAUCCAAACUAAUUUGGGCAUCAAUAUUUUGUGCUUUGAAAAUUACUUAAUAUCCAUCAACUAGAUUUGGUUACAAAAUCAACUAGUAACUCUUUUUUUUUUCCCUAUAGAUGAUUUGAUUAGACUAAUAUACUAGAUAAUCCAUAAGCUUUAUUCAGUUAAGCUUUGGGUAAAUUGUCUUGUUAAUCAUUUUAAAUAGGAGUCAUUCCUAUUUUGGUUACUCUAAUAUUUUUGUUAAUUUGGUCAUCCAAAAAGGAAAUUGAUCACUCUUCUUUUAAAUGAUAAUGGAAUAUUAAUUGUGUAUUUCCAUAUUAGUCAUGCUGAAAUUAUUAUGAUGGAAGCAAUGUUUUUAAAAAAAAAUUCAUGUCAGUAUUUCAAUUGGAAUAAUUAAUAGUAAUAUUUACUUGGAUUAAUUGAUGAUAUUAUUGUAGUAAAGGAUCAAAUUAUUCCAUUUUAAAGUAUAAAAAUAAAAUUCUAAAUUUAGGAAUAAUAGUAGGACCAAAACAAAAUUUUAAUUGUAAGGACUAAAUUAUAAAAUCUAGAAAUUUUAGAACAGGGACUGUUUUGCAAAAUUGUACAAAACAGAGGUUUAGAACUGAACUGUAGAAUAAUAAAAUCUAUUUUUGAGGAAUUAAAUUGUAGAAUAGUAAAAAAUUAGAUUACAGGGACUAAUUUUUAAAAAUAUAAAAUUGAAAUAUGAGGGACUAUUUUCUUCGACAAUGAAAACAGUCAAUAUAGUUUUAUUAGUUUGGAAAAUGUUUUAUGGAAAAAAAAAUUGGGAAGAUAUUUUCCUUAAAAAAGUCUUGAUUUUACAUUUUUUUUUGAAGAAUAAUUUCCUUUAGUAAUUCAUUUUCCACCAAACAUACACUAUAAAACAAUGAAAAUAUUUUACGGAAAAUAUUUUACAUACAAACAAAUAGACCAUUAAUUAGAAAACCAAUUCGAUUUUAUAUUUAAAAUAAAUGUAGGCAAGCAUAUUUGUUGGUAAAAAUUCUAUCUAGUCUCUCUGAUCAAUUUUGGUAUUGAGCAAAUUGGAGUCUCUUAAAAAAAUCAGAGCAAUUUAAAUCCCAUUAGUUUUCAAAGUGAGUAAUUCAAGAUAGUUAAUCGUAACAUUAAUGUUUUCCAUCAAAUGUAAAUAAUUUUAAUUUGUAUAAUAAUAAAUUUAGCCCUCAAAGUUUACAAUUAUAUCACUUGUCCUGAUUUAACAAAUUUAGCUAGCAAUAUUUGUGUAAAUGUUGAUACUAAACUUGUUGAAUUUUCAGAAUUAAGACUAAAUUGACAAAACAUGCAAACAUGGCUAAAUUUUUUGUUAUACCAAUCAAAAUUAUGUACAAUUGACGAAAAACAUUAACGUCGUGAAUAAUUUUUCUUUGUUGCUCACUUUCGAAAUUAACAAUGAUUAAAUUGCUUUGAUUUUUUUGAGAGGGACCAAUUUAUUAAAUUUCAAAAUCGAAAGAGAUUGGAGAGAUAUUUUUACCCAAACUCACCUUACGUAUGUUCAGAAGAAAAGACUAAAUUGGAAACCCCCAAAAGCACAAAGAAAAUCUAUCUUUGUAUCACCUAAGAAAAAUAGAAACACGACAUCCUUCCUUCUAGAGACUUUUCAUUUAGGGGAAAAAAGUGUAUUCUUGAGAAAGUUGUAGGAAAUUUAAGUUGAAUUCACCUAAAAUUGUCUAAAAGUGGCAAAUUACUCUUAAGAAAGUUAUACCAAAUUUUAGUUGAAUUGACCCAAACGAUAAAAUGUGUAAAAGUCAAUAUUUUUAUAAGGAAAUUUAUAAGAAAUUUCAUCACAACCCAAAACGAAAUUUUAGAAUGGUGACAAUUUCCUUUUUGAAGUAAUACCUUUGGUUACAAAAUCAAUUAAUAUUAUUUUUUCGUAUAGAUAAUUUAUCGCAUUAUCUAAAUAAUCUCUUGUACUUUUAUCAUACUCCAAAUAAGCUUUUAAAGUCUAAAUAACCCUUAAUUUUUAACUUGUAUCUAGAUAAAUGUCAACAUUCAAUUUAUGAGAAAAUAAUUGGUACAUUGAUAAUAGAGGUUUAAGACUCCAUAAUCAUUACAAAUUUUUAUAUUAAAAAGUCAUUGGCUAUGCUUCACCCUUUCAAUCUCAUUCCCAUUUAAUUGACCCACUUUUUCGUCUUACCAUUACAAAAAUAGAAGCAAAAGCAAAGCUCCCUCAGUUUAUUUUGUUCUCUUUUUCCUCAAUCUCACAAUCAAUACACUUUCAUGGCGUCUUCUUCAUCUUCUUCUCGUCAAGUGAAACAUCAAGUUUUCUUGAGCUUCAGAGGUGAAGACACGCGCGUUAACUUCACCGCUCAUCUACUCCAAGCUUUGAAAGACAAGGGAUGGAAUGUCUUCUUCGAUGACGAUACACUAAAGAAAGGGGAGAAAAUUUCAUCAGCACUUUCGAAUGCAAUUGUGGCCUCAGUUCUCUCUAUCAUCAUUUUAUCUAAAGACUAUGCUUCUUCAAAUUCAUGCUUAAGUGAACUUUCUGACAUCAUGGACCGCAAGCGCAAUCCUACUGACAAAUAUAUUGUUCUUCCCAUCUUUUACCAUGUUAAUCCUUCCCAUGUGCAAAAAAUUGGUGGGACUUUUAAGACAUCCUUCCAAAAGCAUGAAUCAAAGCAGCCAGCUGAUAGAGUACAACGAUGGAAAUCUGCUUUUCAAGAGGUCGGUGCAUUAAAAGGGUGGCAUAUAGGAGGCAAAUCCGAUAGGUAACACAAUAUAUAUAUAUUCUCAUCUCCUUAUAUUUGACUUAUACGAAUAUCUUUCUUUUGACUGUUGAUUUUUUAACUAUUUUCUAGAUAUGAAACAGAGUACAUUAAAGAUGUGGUUGAAUAUAUUUCAAAAGAGUUGGAUAGCAAUUGUACAAGUGUUUCUGAAGAAUUGGUUGGAAUAGAUGAUCAAAAAAAGAUAAUUUUGGGGCUGAUUGAGGAAGAGCAUAGCCGUGUAAUAGGACUUUGGGGAAUGGGUGGUAUUGGCAAAACUACCCUUGCUGAUGUUGUGUAUAGUGAAAUCUGCCAAAAUUUUGAAAGUCAUUUGUUUCUGCGAAAUGUUAGUGAGAAAAUAAAAAAUGUAGGGAAUGAAUCUUUACGAAAUGAACUUUUUUCCAAAUUAUUAAACCAAAAAGGAAUUUGUAUUAACAGCCCUUCCAUAGGACACCCUUACCAAGACAGGUUGAACAAUAAAAAAGUACUUGUUGUCCUUGAUGAUGUUAGUAACCCAGACCAAAUAGAAUUUAUGGGUGUUAGACAUUUUGGUCCAGAAAGUAAAAUCAUUGUAACAUCUAGAGAUAAACAGGUACUUAAAAAUGGAAGAGCUAACCACAUACAUGAGGUGAAGAAGUUGAAUGAGAAUGAUUCUCUUCAACUUUUUUCUACAUUUGCAUUUAAGUUGUUGAAUCCCGCAGCUGAUUUUCAAGAUCUAUCAUGCAAGUUUGUAGGAUAUGCCCAAGGUAAUCCACUUUCUCUUAAAGUUUUGGGUUCAAAACUAUAUACAAAGUCUAGAAAAGAGUGGGAGAGCGAAGUGGAUAGUCUAAAGCAAUAUGCCGAGCCAAAAAUGUCACAUAUUUUGAAGAGUAGCUUAGAUGGGUUGCCUGAGCUCGAAAAGAAUAUAUUUCUUGACAUAGCAUGCUUCUUUAAAGGAGAAAAAAUGGAUACCGUAGAAAAAAUUCUAAGUAAUUAUUAUAUGGGUGCAAUGAGUGGAAUAAGAAACUUAGUCGACAAGUGCUUACUUGAUAGCAUUGAUUGUUAUUCUAUGCAUGACAUGCUUGAAGAAAUUGGCAAGGACAUUGUUCGCCAAGAAUGUAAAGAAGACCCGGGAAAGCGUAGCAGGUUAUGGUUUCCUGAAGACGUAGAUCAAGUGCUCAGAUAUAAUAAAGUAAGCGUUAAUUGUAUAUACAUCGUUUUCUAUUAUUUUCUAUAUUUGUUUUAUUUUAAUUAAAAUUUAUCUGUGAUAUCAUGUAAAUAAAUAAAUUCAGUGUUUUCAUAUGUUAAAAGUUUAAUUGUUUGUAUUUAUAUUGUAUCAAAUGUUAAUCAUUUUAAUUAUUAUUUCAAAAAAUAAAAUAUCAGUUUACUUACCAUACAAACAAAGACAAAUGUCUUAGAGUAUAACAUGGGAUCUACUCAAGGGUUUAUUCGGUUGGUAUUUAUUUAAUGCAUUGCUUUUAAAAAAAAAAAAGCAAAAUGUAUCUAUAUAUACUGAUACUCAAUAAAAUGUUUUUCAUUAUUAGGGGACCAUAUCAAUUGAAGGAAUAAAAUUAGACAUGUUUCAAAUGGAUGAGCUGCAGUUAUGUUCAUCUGUUUUUGAGAACAUGCUUAAUCUUAAAUAUAUUUGCUUCUAUGAUUCAAAGAUUGAGAAGGGCUAUCGAAAUUCGAAGUUUCUUGUAGACCAAGUUGAUAGUAUAUCUCUUCCUAAUAAGCUAAGGUAUCUUUGUUGGGAUUAUUUUCCUCUUAAAACUUUAUCAAGUUUUAAUCCAAAGCAUCUUGUCAUGUUGAUAUUACGAAGAGGCAAUAUGGAACAACUUUAGAAUGAAAAUGAGCAUAUGGUAUGUGCUUUCAUACUUUCUCCAUCUAAGAAUUUUUUUAAGGAAAACAUGAUUUAUAAUUUGAUGUAUCAAAUGAUCAUAUGAUGACAUCUUAUUUAAAGUUUUUAAAAAAUAAAAUAAAAGAUUUUAUUUUAUUUAAAUAAGUGACAUCAUUUGAUCUAUUAAUUAGUCGGGUAUAAGUUUUUAUUUUUCUUAGUAUUAUAAUUAUUUUAUUUCCUUUCCAUUUUUUAUUGCCUAAAGUUAGUAGAUGACAUUUAUUUAUUUUUCUGUACAGAACCUUGUUAAUUUAAGGGAAAUUAACGUCUCAAAUUGCAAAAAAUUAAGGAAGAUACCUAAUCUUUCAAGUGCCAUCAACCUUGAACUCCUUGAUUGCUCUUACUGUGGAAGUUUGGUUGAACUUCCUUGCCUCAAUCAUUUGGCAUCUCGUGAUGAGGAUAAGCUUCGCCUUGAGGGAUGUUAUAGUCUCAAGAAGUUUCCUCAGGUCCCAAGUCACUUUUGUUAUUUAGAUUUACGAGAAACUGAAAUAGAAGAAGUACCUGAUUCAAUUAAGUAUCUCCACAAACUUGAAAGAUUGUUGUUGAGCAAAUCAAAGGUAGAAAAAGUAUCGAUCAAUAUUUCAAAGUUGGAACUCCUUAUUGAAUUGAAUCUUAGUGAAUGCCCAAUGGUCGAAUUCCCGAAGAUCCCGAGAAGCUUAACAUGGUUAGACUUAUCUGGAACUGGAAUUGAAGAAGCUGCCUUGUCGUUAGACUCUUCAAGUAAUCUUCAAUACUUAAAUAUGAGCGGCUCAAAUAUUCAAAAGCUAAUUUGCACCCUGUUCAGUUCCAGAGAGUUUCCAACUGUCGAUUUGCCCACACCAAGCUUGAGGUCUAAAAUCCUUAACCAUAUGAGGAUAGAUCGUUGCGAGAGCCUCCAAUUACUCUCAGAGCUUCCACCAUAUAUGCAAACCUUGAAUGUACAAUACUGCACAUCAUUAGAAGAAGUUUCCUUUGCAGAUCAAACUUUAUAUCAGUUUGUUUCGUUAGGUGAUGAUUUGUUUGGCAUGCUAUUCUGUAAUUGCAUCAACUUGAAUCAAGAGUCAAUUGAUAACAUUGAGGAAAAUGCCAUGCUCAAAAUUGGAUCCCUAGCUAAGAAAUGGGCAGCGAGAUAUGAUUGGAAAUUCCAGCGAGAAGACUUUCCAAGAUUGAUUUGUUGUUUCCCAGGUAACAAAAUUUCAGCAGAUAAGUUCAAGUGUCAGAGAAUAAAUUCUUCCUUAAGUUUGAAGAUAGCCCCAAAUAGGGGUAGUGGGAGCAGAUUUUUGGUUUUUGCUAUCUGCCUUGUGGCUGAUCUCACUCACUGCCAUCGCUUUAAAUAUCUUACUUGUAUUUGUGAGUACCACCUUACAGCCGCCGGCGGUGGUUGUUGCGCGGAAGCGUGUGAAAGAGUAAAAUUAUUGUACUGAAAAAUCACACUAAGUUCAAUUCCCAGGAAAGAGAGGUAGAUCACGAAGAUCACUUAAAUACCAAGUCUUUCCUAGCCAGAAUAUCCCUCUAUCGUAAUUUAAUAGCACAAUAAAUCACUACAAUCACAUUCACAAAAUAUGCAAAACAAAUAAUAAAGAACACCAGAAUUUUAACGAGGUUCAGCAAAUUUUGCCUACGUCCUCGGGCACUACCAAAUAUAUUUCACUCCAAAAAUUACAAGUGAAAUUUACAAAUAGAGAGAGAGAAUAAUGCCUUAAGUAGAGAAUGGCAAUUAUGGGAUGAAGAAAGUAAGCAAUGGUUAGGCCUAUUUAUAGUUGAGGUUCAAGGAUCAACUUGCAAUGUCCCUAUACAAUUAGGGACCAAAAUUGCAAUUAUCCCAUGCCAACUUUUAACCCAACUUGCCAACCAAUAUUACUUUCUACUUUCGGUGCCCACCCCAUUUGACUUUUCAAACAAUGGUGGGUUCCAAUAAUCUCCACCUUGAAGAUUUGAUUACGAUAAUCUUAUCUUCACACAAUUCUUUCUGCUUUUGACAACAAUACUUGAUAGUGCCUUCUUCAACUGUUAAACUUGCAGGAUAUUAAUCAAGUUCAAACAAUGUUCGAACUUGGUUGCUGUUACCACCUUGGUCAUCAUAUCUGCGGGAUUAUCUGCAGUCUUGAUCUUCUGAAGACAAAUUUUCCCCUCUUCAAUAAUUUCCCGCACAAAAUGGAAUCGUACGUCGAUAUGUUUUGUACGUGCAUGAUAGACUUGAUUCUUUGCUAAAUGAAUAGCACUUUGACUAUCACAAUACACGUUAAUAUGCUCCUGAACCAACCCCAAGGUUUUAGCCAUACCUUGUAACCAAACAGCCUCCUUUACAGCCUCUGUUACAGCCAUGUACUCGGCUUCUGUGGUUGACAAUGCAACUGUAGACUGUAGUGUAGACUUCCAACUUAUUGGUCCUCUAGCAAGUGUAAACACAUAACCGGUGGUUGAUCUUCGCUUGUCCAAAUCACCGGCAUAGUCAGAAUCAACGUACCCAAUAACACCUUUACCAAGUGUAUUAUCCUGCUUGAACAGUAAUCCAACAUCCACGGUCUUCUGAAUAUACCGUAGAAUCCAUUUCACAGCUUUCCAAUGUCCUUUUCCAGGAUUAUGCAUAUACCUGCUCACUAUACUAACUGCCUGUGAAAUGUCGGGUCUUGUACACACCAUUGCAUACAUCAAGCUACCCACUGCAUUAGAAUACGGAACUUGCAACAUGUAUUCUCGUUUCGUAUUCGUCGAAGGAGAUAGUUGUGCAGAAAGCUUGAAAUGAGAAGCCAACGGGGUACUUACAGGUUUUGUCUGCUCGUUCAUGCCAAACUGCUGUAGUACCUUUUUCAAAUACUGCUUCUGAGACAAGCUAACUCUAUCAUGAGCUCUAUCUCUCCAUAUUUCCAUGCCGAGAAUCUUUUUAGCUUCUCCUAGAUCUUUCAUCUCAAACUCGAGAUUGAGUUGAGUCUUCAAUCUUUCAAUCUCAACUUUGCUCUUAGAUGCUAUUAGCAUAUCAUCAACAUAUAAGAGCAAGUAUAUGAAAGUUCCUUCUUGUAGCUUCUGAAAAUACACGCAAUGAUCAAAUUUACUUCUUGUGUACCUUUGCCCUUUCAUGAACUGAUCAAAUCGCUUGUACCACUGCCUCGGAGAUUGCUUCAAUCCAUAAAGCGACUUUGUCAUAUUGCAAACCCAAUUUUCUUUUCCAGCAACCUUGAAUCCAUCUGGCUGAGUCAUAUAGAUUUCCUCUUCCAAAUCACCGUGUAAAAACGCGGUCUUCACAUCAAGCUGAACUAGUUCAAGAUCAUAUUGCGCAACCAAGGCUAGCAAAAUUCGAAUAGACGAAUGCUUCACAACUGGAGAAAACACUUCAUUGUAGUCUAUUCCUUCUUUCUGAGCGUAACCCUUUGCUACUAAUCUAGCCUUGUAUCGAAUUUCAUUUUUAUCAUGAAAUCCUUCCUUCUUUGCAUAUACCCAUUUGCAUCCAAUUGCCUUCUUUCCCUUGGGUAGUGUUACCAACUCCCAGGUCUUAUUUUUAUGAAGAGACUGCAUUUCUUCAUUCAUUGCUUGCUUCCACUUUACACCAUCAGGGUUACUUAUUACUUCUGUGUAAGUAGAAGGAACAUCAUCAUCUGUAAUUGGAAGUGCAUAGGCCACUAUAUCAUCAAAGCGAGCAGGCUUACGAAUCUCUCUUCUUGGCCUUCUAUAUGCAAUUGAAUCUUAUUACUGUAGAGGUUCUUGGGUAGGAACCUCUUCAUCAUUUGUCCCUUCAAUAUUAGCUGGAUCAUCGUUAACCUUUUCAAGCUCCACCUACUGCAAAGUACUACUGGUUUUGUCAUCCUUUUGUGAAUCCUUGUACUUCAACAUGGUUGAUUCAUCAAAAGUCACAUCUCUACUGAAAACAAUCUUCCUUGUAUCAGGACACCAGGGACGAUAUCCUUUUACUCCAUCAGUUAUACCCAAGAAUAAUGCUUUCUUUGCUCUUGGGUCUAACUUAGAUUCUUUUACAUGAUAAUAUGCAGUGGAACCAAAUACAUGUAAAGAAUCAUAAUCAGUAGCAGAUUUACCAGUCCACAUCUCCAUAGGAGUUUUUCCAUUUAUUGCAGCUGAUGGCAAACGGUUAAUUAGAUGGCACGCAUAUGUAACUGCCUCAGCCCAAAAUUCUUUGCCCAAUCCAGCAUUGGACAACAUACAACGAACUUUCUUCAGUAUAGUUCGAUUCAUUCGUUCUGCCACCCCAUUUUGCUGUGGUGUAUCCCGAAUAGUGAAGUGUCGCACAAUGCCCUCAUCUUGGCAUACUUGUAGAAAUGGAUCAUUUUUGUACUCAGUACCAUUAUCUGAUCGAAGUCGUUUGACCUUUCGACCAGUCUGAGUCUCCACCAUCUUCUUCCAUUUCAGAAAUGCAUCCAAAACUUCACUUUUUCUUUUCAUUAGAUACACCCAUACUUUUCUUGAAUAAUCAUCAACAAAAGUAACAAAAUAGUGCAUACCUCCUAAAGAAGCUACUUUGGUAGGUCCCCACACAUCACUGUGAACGUAGUCCAGAAUUCCUUUCGUAUUGUGAAUUGCUGGACCAAAUUUUACCCUCUUCUGCUUGCCCAGAACACAAUGUUCACAGAAUUCCAUUUUGCAAGAAUUUGCACCUUUCAAUAAGCCUUGCUUCACCAAUGUCUGCAAAGCUUUUUCACCAGCAUGUCCCAAUCGCAUAUGCCAUAAUCUGGUAGCCUCUGAAUCUACAUCUUUUGUAGAAACUGUUGAUGUUGAUCCAAUAACUGUACUUCCAUUUAAAAAAUACAAGUUAUUUCUUCUUGUGCCUUUCAUCACCGUCAGUUGCCCAGCUACUACUUUUAGUAAUCCAUCUCUCAAAGUGAUUGUGAGCCCUUUAAAUUCUAGGGCACCUAAUGAGAUGAGAUUUUUCUUCAGGCUAGGUACGUAGUGAACAUCUGUCAAGACUUGGAUUGAGCCGUCGUGAUUCUUCAAUUGGACUGUACCCACUCCCAUUGUCUUACAAGCACUAUCAUUGCCCAUAAGAACAAUUCCACCUUCUAGCUCUUUAAGACUAGAAAACCAGUCCUUAUUAGGACACAUAUGGUAAGUACAUCCUGAAUCCAAAAUCCACUCAUCCGUUUGACAUGCCAUUGCCAUGCCAACCAAGCUAAAGUCUGACUCCUCAUAAUGCUCCGCUACACAUGCAUUAGAAAUAGCCUUGCCCUUUUGUAGCUUAGGACAAUUCUUUUUCCAAUGCCCUUUUUCACGGCAAAAGGCACAUUCAUCUUUGGCGGGUCUCCCUUUGGACUUUCCCCUUCUACCAGAUUUGCUGCUGUGUGAACGACCUCUUACUGUUAAGACUUCUGCGGUUGUAUCUCUGUGAUCUCCUUUAUCUUUCUUUCGAGUCUCAGAUCUAUACAACGCACUACAGACUGCAUCAAAUGUGAUCGUGUCCUUCCCAUGAAGCAAUGUGGUGGUAAGAUGAUCAUAUUCAUCAGGAAUGGAAUUCAACAACAACAAUGCCUUGUCUUCAUCUUCAAAUUUCUCAUCCAAAUUUAGCAAGUCUGCUAAAAUUUUAUUGAAUGAGUUCACAUGGUCAUUCAUCGACAUACCGGGUGCAUACGUGAAUCGAUAAAGUUUCUUUUUCAUAUAAAGCCUAUUUUCAAGACUUUUCGUUAGAAACUUUUCUUCCAGUGUAUCCCAUAACUUCUUCGCUGAUGUCUCCCUCUUGACAGAGUACUUCUGCUCUUUAGCCAAACAUAGGCGGAUUGUACCACACGCCUGUCUAUUGAUCUUGGCCCACUCCUUGUCAUCCAUCUUGUCAGGUUUUUCUUCAAGGGCUAUAUCUAGCUCUUGCUGACAUAAGACAUCCAGGAUCUCACAUUGCCACAUACCAAAAUUAUUGGUACCGUCAAAUUUCUCUACUUCAAAUUUUGUAUUUGUCACAGUAGUCCUUGCUGAUGACGAUGCUGCUGCCAUUUUUCUCCUCAAUCCCAACUACUGUAUACGUGAACAGUACCGUAUAUGUGAAUAGUACCGUAUAUGUAAAUAGUGCUGUAUACGUGAAUAGUACCGUAAACGGUCGUAUUCCCCAAGUACGAACCUGGCUCUGGUACCAAUUGUUGCGCGGAAGCGUGUGAAAGAGUAAAAUUAUUGUACUGAAAAAUCACACUAAGUUCAAUUCCCAGGAAAGAGAGGUAGAUCACGAAGAUCACUUAAAUACCAAGUCUUUCCUAGCCAGAAUAUCCCUCUAUCGUAAUUUAAUAGCACAAUAAAUCACUACAAUCACAUUCACAAAAUAUGCAAAACAAAUAAUAAAGAACACCAGAAUUUUAACGAGGUUCAGCAAAUUUUGCCUACGUCCUCGGGCACUACCAAAUAUAUUUCACUCCAAAAAUUACAAGUGAAAUUUACAAAUAGAGAGAGAGAAUAAUGCCUUAAGUAGAGAAUGGCAAUUAUGGGAUGAAGAAAGUAAGCAAUGGUUAGGCCUAUUUAUAGUUGAGGUUCAAGGAUCAACUUGCAAUGUCCCUAUACAAUUAGGGACCAAAAUUGCAAUUAUCCCAUGCCAACUUUUAACCCAACUUGCCAACCAAUAUUACUUUCUACUUUCGGUGCCCACCCUAUUUGACUUUUCAAACAAUGGUGGGUUCCAAUAGUGGUGAUUCUAAAAGCUACAUAAGUAAGAUAUCUUUCUUCGAUUGUUCUGAGCCAAAUAAGUACAAGGGUGAUCACGUAUUUAUUCUAUCUAGCAACAACAUGGUUGAAGAAGACAAGAAUUAUGAGGAGGCAUCAUUUAAAUUCUACAUCAUCAACAAUGAUGAUGAAGUUAAUCAAGAAGAAGACUAUAACAAGGUGGAAAGAUGUGGUGUUCAUGUAUUUUACGUGGAUGCUAUUGAAAAGAGAGUUGCUGGGAACAAAAGAAGCUUUAGCCAUGAUGGUGAAGAAGGGGAUGGAGGACUUAAAAGAUUGAAAUAGUUUGUAUUUCUUUCUAUCUUUGGCUCUGCUUUUGAGGAGUUUCAACUACUCAAUUAUGUCAUCCAAAUGUAUGGGUGGGGGUUUCAUUUUCAUCUCAUUUUUUUUAUAUUAUCAUACAUUUUCCAGGAUUUUAAUUUCAUUUUUCAUAUUGCCAUACUUUUGUUUUCCACAAUUGUUAAUAGUAAAUUUCAACUUAUAAAUUAGUGACAGAGUGCUUUAAUUGAUCAAAACCAACAGAAUGAAUCUAACUUGCUCUGCUUUAUAAAUUACUUGUCUUUUAGAAGGUGCUUUGCCAUACUGAAUCCUUGUAGUUCCACAUUAUCAAUGUUAAAAGCAUAGUUUAUGAACAUAAAAUUGGAAAUUUGUUCAAUAGUUUGUGGUAGUUUCUUAUUAUUAUUUUUCUCAUCUUCAUUCCCCUGUUGUUUGUAGAUAUAGCAUAUAUUUCCAAGAACGAAAUUCUCCAUAUAUAUUAAUUAAUUUGGAGGAAAAUUGAACGGAAACUAGAGAUUUCAACAAAGUAGCAAAAUGAUUCUGCUUUGGAGUUGAUAAAAUAUCCAUAGGGGAUUUGGGUGGGUACCAAAACUCAGAUAUUAAAAUUCAUACUUAAUUCGUUUUGACAGUUGACUUGUUAUUGGUUGUUUUUUUUUUAAUUCAUAGGACCAAUGGUGGACUCGAUUCCGCUUCAUUGUUUAGUUUCCAGCAUUGGUGUCAUCUGGUAUCUCAAUACUUCUGAAUUUUCUUUCAUUAGAAAGAUUGGUUAUUUGUGAGAUAGGUUUUUCUUAUAUCCUUUGCUUUUGUGUUGAUGUAAGACGAGGGAAUGACAGGUCUUUGAGAAUGCCACUGCUGAAUUGGAGCUUUAGCCAUACAAGGAGGAACACCUGAGCUGUAAGAGCUUUAAUUUGUUUUACUGAAUGCUUGCUUUAUACAAGUGUUUUAACUGAUAUUUGGUGACAAUGCAAGUUGUCAACAGGUUUGUCUACACAAAUGCAGAGUAAUCUUUUGACACCAUUUCUAGGUUCUGGCAAUUCAGUCUUGGUGGAGAAGUAAGUUACCUUUGACUUUGACUUAUUAUUAUGAUUUUAGGUUCAUAUGAUGAUUUUCAUUAUCCUUAAAUCUUUUUUUCCCAUAUUUAUCAAUGGGAUCAUAUAAAUCCAAACUUUGCAACAGAUCUCAAAACUUGUGAGAUGAACACAUGGAGCUGGAGGCAACCUUUGACAGUUUUCAUUCUCAAGCUAGAUUGAGUUAGUUUCAUGGUAGAGGCAUUGGAGUUGAUAUUUUCUUAUCUUGGAUUUUGAUUAUCAUAUCCGUUUGGGCUGAAAUUUCUUUGCAUGUUACUGCCUCUCAUGUUGUUUGAGCAUUGUAGUGAAGAGAUAUUAAGAUUCAUACUUGAAUUCUUUUUGGAAAUUGACUUGUUAUUGGUUGGUUUUGAUUCAUAGGAUCUGUGGUGGACAUCAUUCAGCUUAAAUUUUUGGGUAUUCGAAUUAUUUGUGUUAUUUGAAUUCGAAAACUCAACUUGAAUUAAACUCGAAAUUCAAAAAAAAAUUGAGUUGACUUGAUUAAACUGAUUAACUCAUUUAACUCGAUUCGAAUAAUUUAAAAUUUAAUUUUUUUCUUUGAUUUUUUCGAGUCGAAUCGAAUUUUGCUCACCCCUAAUUGCUAAGCAGUUUAGGUGAAUCAGUGUUUAAUUAGAAAAUUGAUUCGAUUCUAUGUUUAAAAUAAAUGUAGACAAGCAUAUUUGUUGGUAAAAGAUCUAUUCAAUCUCUCUCAAUGUUGAUAUUUAGUAAAUUGAUCUCUCUUAAAAAAAUUAGAACAAUUUAAUUUCCAUCAAUUUCGAAAGUGGGCAAUUAAGAUAAAUUAAUCACAACAUUAAUGAUGUCCAUCAAGUGUACAUAAUUUUGAUUAGUAUAAUAACAAAUUUAUCUCUCAAAUUUUACAAUUUUGUCUUGAUUUAACAAAUUUAGCCCACAACAUUUGUAUAAAUGUUGAUACUAAAUUUAUUGAUUUUUUUAGAACCAAUACCAAAUUGACAAAAAAAUGGAAACAUUGAAGGCUAAAUUUAUUGUUAUACAAAUCAAAAUUACGUACAAUUGAUAAAAGACGUUAACAUCGUGAUUAAUUGCCCUUAAUUACUCACUUUCAAAAUUAAUAACGAUUAAAUUACUUUAAUUUUUUUUAGAGUGACCAAUUUAUUCAAUUCUAAAAUUGAAAGAAACUGAAGAGGUCUUUUUACCCGAAACUCACCUUACUUGUGCUCAAAAUAAAGGACUAAAUUGGAAAAUCUAUCAUUAUUUUACCUAGGAAAAUAGAAACACAAAACCCUUCAUUCCAAAGACUUUUCAUUUACGGGAAAAGAGUGAAAAUUAUAAAGUUGUGGGAAAUUUAAGUUCAAAUCACUUAAAAUUGUCUAAAAAGUGAAUCUUAUUCUUAAAGAAAAUUAUAUGAAAUUUCAGUUCAAAUUGACCCAAAUCACAAAGUGUGUAGAAGUCAAUAUUUUUGUUAGGAAAUUUAUAAAAAAAUUCAUCAUAACCCCAAAGAAAUUCAAGAAUGGUGACAAAAUAUUUUUUCGUAUAGAAAUUUAUUUACUUAACAAUUUUUUCCCAUUGGAAAACCUUGACUUGGACAUUGACUUGGAAAUUAACACCCACCAACAUCAUUGGAACAAUUUUUCUUGUUGAUAAUAAUCUUUAAGACAAAAAUAGCAUCACAUACAUACGCAAGAGCUGAGUUACUUGACUACAAAUCAAAGUUUCAUAAAUUAAAAUAAAUUUUAAUUAUAAAAAGCCAUUUUGAUUAAAAAAUUUUCAAACUUCUAAAAAAAAAAGAGCAGAGCAAGCAGCAUAAUUAAUUUUAUUUGGUUCGAGUUUUUGAUGGUAGGCAGCAGUGUUAAAGGCUUUUGGAGAGAUAGAGUUUGAUUGGUGGUGUGGUUUCUAAGGUCCACACGCACAUUCUUCACUCAUACAAUUGGCUAUGCUUCACCCUUUCAAUCUCAUUCCCAUUUAAUUGACUCACUUUUUCUUCUUACCAUUAACAAGAUAGAAGCAAAAGCAAAGCUCCCUCGGUUUAUUUUGUUCUCUUUUUCCUCAAUCUCACAAUCCAUACACCUUCAUGGCGUCUUCUUCAUCUUCUUCUCGUCAAAUGAAGCAUCAAGUUUUCUUAAGCUUCAGAGGUGAAGACACGCGCCUUGACUUUACCGUUCAUCUACUCCAAGCUUUGAAAGACAAGGGACUGAAUGUCAUCUUCGAUGAAGAAAAACUAGAGAAAGGGGAGCAACUUUCACAAGCAAUUGCAGCCUCAGAUCUCUCAAUCCUCAUUUUAUCUAAAGACUAUCCUUCUUCAAAAUCAUGCUUAGCUGAACUUUCUGACAUCAUGGAUCGCAAGCGCAAGCCGACUGACAAACAUAUUGUUCUUCCCAUCUUUUACCAUGUUGAUCCUUCUGUUGGUGCAAGAGGCAGCAACAGGCUGUUUUGUAUCUUGCUUGAAUAGCAAGCCUCGAGCCUUGGUGAAGAAACAAACUCAGAAGCAGAAAAACAGAAAAUGAAACUAGCUAGUGAAAUAACAGAAAAGAGAGAAGAAGAUUGAAUGAAAAAUGAGCUGGUUUCUUUCAUUAACACAUCAACAAGGCAUUAAGCCAUUACAUAUAUUAGUCAACAAGUAAAACAAACAAGUAAUCACCUAAUAACAUACCUAACACCACUAAAUUGCCUAGUAACUUGGUAAACUUGAUUGAAAAACAAAAACUUCUACCUAAACUUGUCAUUCAGCACCUAAUUACAUCAAAAUGCAGCUACCAACUAAGUUUGAUCCUAACUAAAUACAAAACAUUCAAUUAAGGAAACUAAAUGGAUAGCUUCAGCUUGCUGCACCAAUUUUGCUGUUGAAGCACGUUCCUUGCAUGGCCACCUUUGCUGCUACAUGGGAGCUGACUUCAACACUCCUCCUCAGCUUCUAUGCAGCAGACUCCUAGCUCCCUCUUCAGGCUUAGAAAUCUUGAUACACCAAGAGGCUUUGUGAAGAUAUCAGCAAUCUGAUUUUUAGAACUGCAAUGGAUUAGCUCGAUCUCUCGAGCUUGUUCCAUUUCUCUUAUCACAUGGAGUUUGAUGUUGAAAUGUUUUGUCCUGCCAUGGAAGACAGGAUUUUUAGCAAUAGCAACUGCUGACUUGUUGUCACAAUGUAUCACAGUUGCUUCAUUCUACUGUAGAUUCAAGUCGCUCAAAAUUUUUCUCAGCCACAUAGCUUGAUUAACAGCAUUGGCAGCUGCUACAUACUCUGCUUCUGCUGUCGAUUGAGCCACCAUUGUUUGUUUUCUUGAGCUCCAACAAAUCAUAGCUGAGCCAAGUGUAAAAGCAUAGCCAGAAGUGCUCUUCAUGUCAUCCUUUGAACCGGCCCAAUCGCUAUCAGUGUAGCCAAUCAGUUUCAACUCUUCAGCCUUUCUGAACUGCAUUCCAUGGUUUAAGGUACCUUUGAUGUAUCUUAGCACCCUUUUCCCAGCCUUGUAAUGUUGCUGGUUACAGCAGUGCAUGAACCUUGAUAGCAUGCUCACAGCAAACAGAAUGUCAGGUCUUGUUGCUGUCAAAUACAAUAAACACCCAACAAGGCUUCUGUAAUCUGUUUCACAGACAGAUUCAUGUUCCUCCUGGCUCGAUAGCUUUAUGCCAAUAGCCAUUGGUGUGCUCACUGGUUUACAAUUCUCCAUUGAGAAUUUAACCAGCACUUUCAAGGUAAAUGUCUUUUGUUUCAAGAAAAUUUCUCCUUCUACUUGAUUGACUUCCAUUCCUAGGAAAUAUGUCAUCAAUCCCAGGUCUGACAUCUCAAACAUUUCCUUCAUUCUUGCUUUGAAAUCAGCCAUCAUAAACUUGUCUCCUCCAGUCACUAGAAGAUCAUCAACAUAUAGUGACACAAUAAGCUGUGUUUCAGCUCCAUUCCUCUUAACAUAGAGUGUUGGCUCACUAGCACUCCUUUCAAAUCCUAAACUGACCAAGUAUGAGUCAAUUCGAGCAUACCAGGCUCGAGGGGCCUGUUUUAGGCCAUACAAGGCCUUUCUUAGCCUAUACACCAAAUGUUCCUUACCAGGCACUAUAAAACCUGGGGGUUGCUCGAUGUAUAUCUCCUCUUCUAGGAAUCCAUUGAGGAAUGCAGACUUGACAUCCAUUUGGUGGAUUGUCCACUGGUUCUGAGCAGCAACUGCAAUCAGCAAUCUGAUUGUAUCGAGUCUGGCUACUGGAGCAAAUGUUUCCAUGUAGUCCAGACCAUACCUUUGACUGAAGCCCUUUACAACUAGCCUGGCCUUUAACUUGUUUAAACUUCCAUCCGCAUUGUGCUUCACUCGAUAGACCCAUUUUACAUUGAUAGUCUUUCUGUUGGCAGGCUUUUUAACCAACUCCCAUGUCUGAUUCUUUACAAUCAUGUUGAUUUCAUCAACCAUAGCUUGUUUCCAACCUUCAUCUGCCUCAGCCUCUUCAAAACUGCUAGGUUCUGCUAUUGCAACCUGUGCCCUUUCAUAAAUAUCUUUUAGGGGCCUUGUGCCUCUCACAGGCACAUCAUCAACAUCCAUUUCAGGUCAUAGCUGCUCAAGUUCAGCUUGAUUAGGCACUAGGUCUUCUGAAAUUGCUUCUGGCUCAUUUUUCUCCCAAUUCCAGCAGGCUUUUUCAUCAAAGAUGACAUCUCUGCUCACCUGGACUUUGUUUGUCAAGGGAUCCAGAACCCUGUAGCCCUUUUUGACUGAGCUGUAGCCUACUAGAACACCUGGUUGAGCCCUUUUAGAGAGCUUGUCUCUCUUUGCUGCUGGUAUUUGUGCAUAACACAAGCAACCAAACACCUUCAGAUGUGCCAGGGAAGGCUUGAAACUGAACCAAGCCUCGAAGGGUGUCUCAGAUGCAAGAGCUUUGGUAGGAAGCCUGUUCUGAAGGUAAACAGCAGUGUUUACUGCCUCAGCCCACAUGGUCUUGGGCAGUUUCUUUUCAAACAGGAGACAUCUGGCCAUAUCCAUCAGACUUCUAUUCUUUCUUUCAGCUACCCCAUUCUGCUGAGGUGUGUAGACAUUUGUAAGCUGAUGUUUGAUACCAGCAUCAUUGCAAAUGGCUUGAAACUGAGCUGAAGUGUACUCAGUGCCAUUGUCAGUCCUUAUCGAUUUCAGCUUGCAACCUGUUUCUGUUUCUACAGCAUUUUUAAACUUCACAAACACUUGAGCUACCUCAGACUUGUGUUUUAAAAAGAAAAUCCAGCAAAACCUUGUAAGAUCAUCAAUAAAGAGGAUGAAAUACCUAUUUUUGCUGAGUGAUUCAGUCCUCAUCGGGCCACAUACAUCAGAGUGCACCAGCUGCAGUCUUUCAGUAGCUCUCCAAGCUGAAUUUGUAGGAAAUGGCAGUCUUGCCUGUUUCCCCAUUUGGCAAACUUCACACACAUCAUCAUGCUCCACUGAGCUGGUGAAGUUCUCUGCCAAGCCCUCUUUGGCCAAUCGAGCCAUUGAUCUGAAGUUGGCAUGUCCAAGCCUUUGAUGCCAAAGCUUGGAGUCUUCAACAGAGGCUGUGUAUGCUGAGUUUGAGUCAUUUGCCCAGUGAACCUCAAAGCAUUUAUCAGUCAUUAUGACUGUCAUAAGGCUUGAUCCACUUGGAUCAGUAAUGUGGCAUUGUUUAUCCUUGAACACAACAGAAUAACCUUUCUCGAGCAGUUGAGCUAUGCUGAGAAGGUUUCUGUCAAUCUCUGGCACUAACAGCACAUUUGGAAUGAUCUUGUUGCCUGUGGGAGUACAUAUCAGCACUUCUCCUCUUCCUUCAGCCCUUAUAAACUGACCAUUUCCAACCUUGACCUUGGUUUUAUAACUUCUGUCCUAGGUUUUAAACAAGGAGGCAUCUGGUGACAUGUGGUUAGUGCAACCACUGUCCAGCAACCAGCCUUUUGAGCAUUUCUUCUCAGCAGCUAAACAGGAAACAGCAAAGACCUGUUCUUCUUGGUCACUACUGUCCUCAGCCACUCGAGCUUCAACUUUUGACUGCUGAAAUUGAUUCUGCCUUGGCUUACUUCUGUUUUUACAGACCCUUUCAACAUGGCCCUUCUUCUUACAGUGUUGGCAUACUGCAUCUGGCCUAAACCAGCAUCUGUCUUCUGGAUGGCCAGGCUUCUUGCAAUAUCUGCAGGGCUGGUCAUUGCUCCUUGCAGCAUCAGGCUUAGGCCUAUUUUUCCAAGGCUUUUUGCCUCUUUGAGCAUUGGUGCUCGAGGCUUCUCUGGCCUUGGCUUGAAAUGCACCUUCUUGGUGAUCUUCAGCUCUGCUAGCUCUCCUUUGUUCCUGAGCAUAGAAGGUGUUGAUUAACUCAGUCAAAGAGAUGCUAGCAAGGUCUCUUGAGUCCUCUAGGGAGGAUAUCUUGGCCUCAUAUCUCUCAGGCAAAGUGGAGAGGACUUUCUCCACAAUUCUUGCCUCAUCGAAGUGCUCACCUAGGAGCCUUAUACUGUUAACCACUGCCAUAAUUCUAUCUGAAUACUGCUUCACUAUUUCUUCUUCCUUCAUUUUCAAAUUCUCGAAAUCCCUUCUCAAGUUUAACAGCUGCUGUUGCCUUGUUCUCUCAGUGCCUUGAAACUCCUCAUUAAGCUUAUCCCAAGCCUGUUUUGGAGUCUCACAGGCCAUGAUUCUGGUGAAGAUGACAUCUGACACACAGUUCUGGAUGCAGGACAUGGCUUUGUGCCUUUUGGUCCUCUCAUCAGCAUGUUGCCUAAUCUGAGCUACUGUGGGAUUAGCCCUCAGUGGUGCUGGCUCAGUAUCUGUGUUGACAACUUCCCACAGAUCGAAGGCCUGUAGGUAAGUCUUCAUCUUGACCAGCCAUAUGUGAAAGCCUUCUCCAUUGAAGACUGGUGGGGCUGCUGGUGAAAAUCCUGAAGAAGCCAUCAGGUUCCUUGAUUUGAGGCAACAGGUCCACUAAGACAAGAGCUCUCGAUACCAAUUUUUGGUGCAAGAGGCAGCAACAGGCUGUUUUGUAUCUUGCUUGAAUAGCAAGCCUCGAGCCUUGGUGAAGAAACAAACUCGGAAGCAGAAAAACAGAAAAUGAAACUAGCUAGUGAAAUAACAGAAAAGAGAGAAGAAGAUUGAAUGAAAAAUGAGUUGGUUUCUUUCAUUAACACAUCAACAAGGCAUUAAGCCAUUACAUAUAUUAGUCAACAAGUAAAACAAACAAGUAAUCACCUAAUAACAUACCUAACACCACUAAAUUGCCUAGUAACUUGGUAAACUUGAUUGAAAAACAAAAACUUCUACCUAAACUUGUCAUUCAGCACCUAAUUACAUCAAAAUGCAGCUACCAACUAAGUUUGAUCCUAACUAAAUACAAAACAUUCAAUUAAGGAAACUAAAUGGAUAGCUUCAGCUUGCUGCACCAAUUUUGCUGUUGAAGCACGUUCCUUGCAUGGCCACCUUUGCUGCUACAUGGGAGCUGACUUCAACACCUUCUGAUGUGCGAAAUAUUGGUGGGACUUUUAAGACAUCCUUCGAAGAGCAUGAAUCAAAGAGACCAAUUGAAGACGUGAAGCGAUGGAAAGCCGCCUUCGCUGAAAUCGGAGCAUCAAAAGGGUGGCAUAUAGAAGGAGGCAAAUCCGAUGGGUAACAAUAUCUAUAUAUUCUCUUCUUAUAUUUGACUUAUAUAUAUCUAUAUAUAUCUUUCUUUUGACUGUUGAUUUUUUUUUCUAGAUUUGAAACUGAGUACAUUAAAGAUGUCAUCGAAUAUGUUUUAAAAAAGUUGAAGAGCAAUUGUAGAAGUGUCUCUGAAGAAUUGGUGGGAAUAGAUGAUCAAAAAAAGAAGCUUUUGGUGUUAAUUGAGCAAGCGGGCAUCCAUGUAAUAGGACUUUGGGGAAUGAGUGGUAUAGGCAAAACUACCCUUGCUGAUGCUGUAUAUAAGGAAGUCUCUCCAAAGUUUGAAAGUCGUUUGUUUCUUUAAAACAUUAGUGAGAAAAUAAAAAAACAGGGGAAUGAAUCUUUACGAAAUGAACUUCUUUCCAAACUAUUAAACAAUACCCCUUCCAUAGGACACCCUUACCAAGAGAGGCUGAAUAAUAAAAAAAUACUACUUGUCUUUGAUGAUGUUAGUGACCCAGACCAAAUAAAUUUCAUGGGUGUUAAAUAUUUUGGUCCUGGAAGUAAAAUCAUUGUAACAUCUAGAGAUAUACAAGUACUUAGGAAUGGAGGAGCGAACCACAUACAUGAGGUAAAGAAGUUAAAUAUGAACGACUCUUUUCAACUUUUUUCUACAUAUGCAUUUCAAUUGUUGAAUGUCCCAGUUGAUUUCAAAUAUCUAUCAUUCAAGUUUGUAGAAUAUGCCCAAGGUAAUCCACUUGCUCUUAAAGUUCUGGGUUUGAAAUUAUACACAAAGUCUAUAAAAGAGUGGAAGAGCGAGGUGACUAAACUAAAGCAAUGUGGAGAAAUAAAAUUUUCACAUAUUUUUAAGAGUAGCUUAGAUGGGCUGGAUAAGGAAGAGAAGGAUAUAUUUCUUGACGUAGCAUGCAUCUUUAAAGGGCAACACUUGAAUUAUGUAGAAAAAGUUCUAAGUAAUUAUUAUAAAGGUGCAAGAUGUGGAAUAAGUAAGUUGGUCGACAAGUGCCUACUUGAGGUCAAAUAUGAAUCUAUUUCUAUGCAUGAUAUGCUUGAAGAGAUGGGUAAAGACAUUGUUAUGCAAGAAUCUGAAUGCCCUGGAAAGCGCAGUAGAUUAUGGAAUUGUAAAGAUGUGGAAGAAGUGAUCAGAUAUGAUAAAGCAAGUGUUAAUUGUAUUUAUAUUCUUUUUAUUCUUUCAUAUAUGGUUUAAUAGAUGUUGUGGUGUACAAAACAUUAUCCUUUUUGAUUAUUAUUUCAAAAAAUAAAAUAUUUAUUACUUCCCAUAAACAUAAUGACCAAAUGUCUUAUGAUACAACAGUCAACAUGGAAUUUGCUAAAGGUUUAUUGAGUUAGUUAAAUAUAUAAUGCAUUACUUUUAAAAAAAUAAAACAGUAACAACAUUGCGCAUCUAAAAAUUCCUCUAAUAAAAAGGUAUGCCAAGUUAGUUUAAAGUCUUUCCUAAUAUAAUUAACUUUUUUAUGAAUGAUUUCAUGGAAUUUCUAUAAAUUUCUUUAUGUUAAUUCAUGAUAAAUAUUUUCUUAUUAUCAGGGGACUGACCUAAUUAAAGGAAUAAAGGUAGACAUGACUGAGGUUGAUAGUCUACAGUUUUGUGCUACUGCUUUUGAGAAGAUGCAUAAGCUUAGAUAUAUCAACAUCAGCUUUCCUGAGAAAAUGUUAUGGCUUAAGAAGCUAUAUGCAAAUCAAGUUGAUAGUAUAUUUCUUCCUGAUGAGCUAAGGUUUCUCCGUUGGGAUGUUUACCCUUUCAAAUCUUUAUCCGAUUUUAAUCCAAAGAAUCUUGUCGUGUUGAAAUUAUUACAUGGCAACAUGGAUCAACUUUGGAAUGAAGAUGAUGAUAUGGUAUAUACUUUCAUACUUUCUUCAUUUAAGAAGUUUUUUUAAGAAAAAAGAGAAUUUAAAAUUUGAUAUAUUAUUUAAAGUUUUUAAAAAAUAAAUCUGAAAUAUUUUAUUUUAUUUUAUUUGAAUAAGUGACAUCAUUUUAUUUAUUAAUUGUGGGUGAAUUUUCAAGCCCAAUACAUCAAGUUUUUAUUCUUAAAGCCCAAUCCAAAGAACCUUAUUAUGUUGGAAUUACCAACUGGAAACAUGGAACAACUUUAGAACAAAGGUCAUCAGGUAUAUGUAUUUUUAUAUUUUUUUCAUCCAAGAAUUUUUUUUAAGAAAAAUAAUUUAUAAUUAAUAUAAUAUUUAAUUAUAUGAUAACAUAUUUUUAUUAAUUUUUUUAUAAAAAAAUUAUUUUAUUUUUUAAAAGAGGCAACAUCAAUUAAUCAAUUAAUGGUAGGUGAAUUAAUACACCCAAUACAUCAAAUAUAAAUUUUUAUUUUGAUAGUCUUAAUACAAGUAAAUGAUGCUCUAAAGUAAUGAUAAUCUUCUUAAUUAUUUAUUUUCUUUUCAUUUUUUACUGCCUAAAGUAAGUAAGAUGAUUCUUAAAAGUGAUAUAAUUAUUUUUAUAUAUUUUUCUUUUGCACAGAACAUUACUAAUUUAAGGGAAAUUGACGUUUCAUAUUGUAAGAAUUUAAAGAAGAUCCAUAAUCUUUCAGGAGCCAUCAACCUUGAGCUCCUUCGUUGCAUUGGCUGUGAAAGUUUGGUUGAACUUUGGAAUGAAGAUGAUCAUAUAGUACGUGUGUUUUCUUACUUCUUUUCAUUUAAGAAAUUUUUAAAGUUUUUAAAACAUAAACAUGAAAGAUUCUAUUUAUUUUAUAUAAUUAGUGGCAUAAUUUGAUCUAUUAAUUGUGGGUUAACUUUUACACUCAAUAACAUCAAAUAUGAAUUUUUAUUUUUCUUAGUCUUAUAAUUAUUUAUUUCUUUUUUCAUUUUUUACUGUUUAAAGUAAGUAGUUGAUGCUUAAAAACAAUACAAAUAUUGUUUCUAUACAGGAGCUUAUUAAUUUAAGGGAAAUUUACGUUUCAGAAUGCAAUAAUAUAAGGAAGAUAUGUAAUCUUUCAAGAGCCAUCAACCUUGAAUUCCUUGAUUGCUCUUACUGUAAAAGUUUGGUUGAACUUUGGAACGAAGAUGAUCGUAUGGUAUGUGUUUUCAUACUUUUUUUUGGAAAAAAACGAUUUAUAGUUUGAUGUAUCAAAUAUUCAUAUGAUAACAUUUUAUUUAAAGGUUUUUAAAUGUAUAUAUAUAAAAGAAUUUAUUUUUUUAGAUGAGUGAUAUUUUCACACUCGAUACAUCAAAUAAAAUUUUUUUAUUUUUUUAUAGUAUUAUAAUUAUUUAUUUCAUUUUCAUAUUUUACCGCCUAAAGUAAGUAGUUGAUGCUUAAAAGUAAUACAAUUAUUUUUCUGUAUAGGACCUUGUUCAUUUAAGGAAAAUUUACUUUGAUGGGUGCGUGAAUUUAAGAAAGAUACCUAAUCUUUCAAGAACCAUCAACCUUGAAUUCCUUGGUUGCUCUAAUUGUAAAAGUUUGGUUGAACUUCCUUGCCUCAAUCAUUUGGCAUCUCUUCAUCAGUAUAGUCUUCGCCUUAACGGAUGUUAUAGUCUCAAGAAGUUUCCUCAAGUUCCACGUCCCUUUUGUUCUUUAGAUUUAUCAGAAACCAAAAUUGAAGAAGUGUCUGAUUCAAUUAGGGAUCUCCACAAACUUGAAACUUUGUGGUUAGGGAAGUCAAAGGUGAAAAAAGUAUCGAUCAAUAUUUUAAAGUUGGAAUUCCUUCGUAAAUUGGAUCUUAGCGGUUGCCCAAUUGAAGAAGUGUCGUUGCCUUUCGACCCCCUAUGUAAUCUUCAGCACUUAAAAAUGAGUGGCUCAGCGGUCAAAAAUGUAUCGAUCAAGUUGGAAUCCCUUCGUAAACUGAAUCUUAGUGGUUGCCCAAUGGUCAAAUUUCCAGAAAUCCCAGGAAGCUUAAUAAAAUUAAACUUAUCUGGCACUCAAAUUGAAAAAGUAUCGUUGCCUUUCGAAUCUCUAUGUAAUCUUCAGCUUUUAAAUAUGAGUGGCUCAGCAGUCAAAAAUGUAUCGAUCAAGUUGGAAUCCCUUCGUAAACUGAAUCUUAGUGGUUGCCCAAUGGUCGAAUUUCCAGAAAUCCCAGAAAGUUUAAUGGAAUUAAACUUAUCUGGCACUCAAAUUGAAGAAGUGUCGUUGCCUUUUGACUCUCUAUGUAAUCUUCAGCACUUAAAUAUGAGUGGCUCAGUGGUCAAAAAUGUAUCGAUCAAGUUGGAAUCUCUUCAUUAUCUGGAUCUUAGUGGUUGCCCAAAGGUCGAAUUACUCUCAGAGCUGCCACCAUAUCUGGAAGUCUUGAGUGUAAAUGACUGCACAUCAUUAGAAAAUGUAUCCUUUGCAGAUCAAAAUUUAAUUCAGUGUGAUUCUUUAGAUGAUGUGUUUUGCAAAAAUCAUAACUUUUUGAUGCGAUUCCGUAAUUGCUUCAACUUGAAUCAAGACUCAACUAAUAACAUUGAGGCAAAUGCCAUGCUCAAAAUUGGAUCCCUAGCUAAGAAAUGGGUAGCGAGAGAUGAUUGGCAAUACAACCCUGACAGAGCUCAAAGUUUGAUUUGUUGUUUCCCAGGAAACAAAAUUUCAGCAAAUAAGUUCAAGUGUCAGAGCAUGAAUUCUUCCUUAAGUUUGAAGAUAGCCCCAAAUGGGGGUAGUGGCAGCAGAUUUUUGGUUUUUGCUAUCUCCCUUGUGGCUGAUCUCACUCACAGCCUUGAAUUUCAAUUAAGUGAAUGUAUUUGUGAGUACCAACUUACAGCCGCCGGUGGUGGCAAUGGUUGAGGUGGUUGUGAAAUUUUCAGAAGUGAGAUAUCUUUCGGCAGUUUUUAUGAGCCAGUUAAGUACAUGGAUUAUCACGUGUUUAUAUUAUCUAGCAUUGACAUGGUUAUAGAAGACAAGAAUUAUGAGGAGGCAACAUUUGAAUUCUACAUCAAAAAUUUCCAUUUCGAUGAAGACAAUGAUGGAGGAGAAAAGUAUAUCAAGGUGGAGAGAUGUGGUGUUCAUGUAUUUUACGUGGAUGCAAAGAGUGAUAAAGAUGCUACUGAAAAGAGAGUUGCUGGGAACAAAAGAAGCUUUAGCCAUGAUGGUGAAGAAGGGGAUGGAGGACUUAAAAGAAUGAAAUAGUUUGUAUUUCUUUCCAUCUUUGGCUCUGCUUUUGAGGAGUUUCAACUUCUCAAUUAUGUCAUCCAAAUGCAUAGGUAGGGGUUUCAUUUUCAUCUCAUUUUUUUUAUAUUAUCAGACAUUUUUCCGUAUUUUCAUUUCAUUUUUCAUAUUGUCAUACUUUUGUUUUCCACAAUUGUUAAUAGUAAAUUUCAACUUAUAAAUUAGUGACAGAGUGCUUUAAUUAAUCAAAACCAACCAGAAUGAAUCUAACUUGCUCUGCUUUAUAAAUUACUUGUCUUUUAGAAGGUGCUUUGCCAUACUGAAUCCUUGUAGUUCCAUAUUGUAAAUAUUAAAAGCAUAAUUUAUGAACAUAAAAUUGGAAAUUUGUUCAAUAGUUUGUGAUAGUUGCUUAUUAUUAUUUUUCUCAUCUUCAUUCCCCUGUUGUUUGUAGAUAUAGCAUAUAUUUCCAAGAAGGAAAUUCUCCAUAUAUAUUAAUUAAUUUGGAGGAAAAUUGAACGGAAACUAGAGAUUUCAACACAGUAGCAAAAUGAUUCUGCUUUGGAGUUGAUAAAAUAUCCAUAUGGGAUUUGGGUGAGUACCAAAACUCAGAUAUUAAAAUUCAUACUUAAUUCUUAUUGACAGUUGACUUGUUACUGGUUGGUUUUUUUAAUUCAUAGGACCAGUGGUGGACUCGAUUCAGCUUCAUUGUUUAGUUUCCAUCAUUGGUGUCAUCUGGUAUCUCAAGACUUGCUGCAUUUUCCUUCAAUGACAUCUAGAUUCAUUAGAAAGAUUGGUUAUUUGUGCUACUGCUGAAUUGGAGCUUCCAUAUAAGGAGGAGCACCUGAACUGUAAGAGCUUCAAUUUGUUUUGCUGAAUGCUUGCUUUAAACAAGUGUUUUAACUGAUAUUUGGUGAAAAUGUAAGUUGUCAACGGAUUUGUGAACACAACAUCAAAGUAAUCUUUUGAGGCCCUUUCUGGGUUCUCGCAUAUUCAGUCUUGGUGAAGAAGUAAGUUACCAUUGACUUUGGCUUAAUUAUCAUGAUUUUAGGUUCAUAUAAUGAUUUUCAGCAUCCUCACCAAUUUUUUCCCAUAUUUAUCAAUGGGAUUAUAUAAAUCCAGAAUUUGCAAGAGAUCUCAAAACUUGUGGGAUGAACACGUGGAGCUAGAUGCAACCUUCGGCAGUUUUCAUUCUCAAGCUAGAUUGGGUUAGUUCCAUGGUAGAGCCAUUGGAGUUGAUAGCUUCUUACCUUGGAUUUUGAUUGUCGUAUAAGUUUGGGCUGAAAUUUCUUUGUAUGUUACUGCCUCUCAUGUUGUUUGAACAUUGCAGUGAAGAGAUAUUAAGAUUCAUACUUGAAUUCUUUUUGGGAAUUGACUUGUUAUUGGUUGGUUUUGAUUCAUAGGAUCUGUGGUGGACAUCAUUCAGCUUAAUUGUUUAUGUUCCACCAUUGGUGCUCAUGCCAUGGGCAGUAAGUAGAGAGUUAAUCAUAUUGUAUCUCAAUACUAUCUGCAUUUUACUUCAAUGAUCCGUUCACCCAUUCAUUUAUGCUUCAUAUUUCCUUAAAAUGUUAGUAAAUAUAUAUGUUUUCAGUUCAUGAUUUCUGAUUUAUAUUCAUGUUAGAUAAGGUAAACCUACCAACUAUUCCCUAUAUAUAAUCAACAAAUGCUUGAGAUUGGUUAAUCUUAUAACAUAUGGUUUUAUAUUGAUCUUGGAGUAGGUGUUUUCUAUUUGUUAUGUUUUAUUAUUUUGAAUUUUAUGACCGUGAUCCGUAGUUUCCAUAAAAUUUUAAUGAAAGUCAAGUCGGACAUAGUGCUACACAUAAUUCCUCACACUCAUUUUCAGUCGUGGAAUUCACAAUCUGCCAAAAACCAUAUACUCAUAAGAUUUCCCUAGCUUCCUUCCUAACCAAUUUUCAAACAUGUGCCUCGCACAAUUCCUAUGCUCCAAAUUUGGCGAUAUGUUAGAAAUUGCAAUCUCAAGGCCCUGAUUGUGUUCUAAUGAACUAGAUAGAUUGUUAGAAAAAUAUAGUUAAUUAUACUUAACAAAAUAAAAAGACAAGACCAAGCCCAAAUUAGUUAAUUCCCUAACCUUUCGUUGGCCCCUGAUAAUUGUGUACCCAUACCCAUCCUCCAAGCCCAAAUCAGUUGAUAGGAAACUAAGAAGCUAGGCUCAAAUCAGUGUACUCCACUUCAACCACAACUCAUGCAGUAGGAAACAUCUAGUUGUUUGCGUCCCUUUCAACAGCUGUGAGAAACUCAUUCUUAAAUGGCCAUUUUAGGAAGCAAUCAUCUAAUUCAAUAAGCGACCUACACGUCACUUUCCAGCCUCUCUUUAGUUCAUCAAAGCACAGAUAAAACCUUUUAAAAUGAGGAGGGGAAUCUAUUGUCACCCUUUGAACAACUAUUUUUAUUGUGUUGCCUGGCAUUUUAACCUUGACUCAUGAGUAUAGUCAUAUAAUUGACCAAAUUCCUCAUAAUUACUAGCCAUGUUCUCCUUCACCUCUUUCUUAGCUCUAUAACAACAGUAAAUGCCCACAUUUACAUGCAUCUCUGAAGCACAUUUUUGAAAUUUCCUUAGCUUCAUCUUAGGGUGAUCAUUGAUAGUUGUUUCAAAAUGUUGGGCAAUCAUAGUAGCAGUCACCAUUUUGUUCUUAAAACUAACCAAACAAUGGUACUCCUCCUGAAAAGUUUUUACUUGCAAGUAUUUGGCAAUAGGACUAUAGCUAGCCAAAAUUCUCUAUGGACAGUUAGGGGAAGCAAUGCACCUCACAACAACCCUUUUCGGUUCAUUCUUAAGAAACUUUCGUUGUCUUCUACAUUCUUUGGAGUAGUUUCGAAUUAUACUCUUAAACUAUUUGCUAUCUUUAAACAACAUUCCCAAACUAAAUUUUAAAGGAUUAGAUUGAUCAUUGUAUAAGAGAAACUUGCUUCUUCUUCUCUCACAAUCUUCAUGUUCUUCAUCUUCAUAUGACCCAAGCAAGCUGCCAUGUUCAUCUAAGUCCCAUACCUCAGCCUUAGUAUCAUUCCCAUCCUCCUCUUCUCCACUAAUUGCAACAACAACAUUGUCCACUCCAUCUAAUGUAAAAUCAGUAGCAUUUGCAUCACCAACAGAUGAUCCAUAACCAUUAUCAUUAUCCUUUACAACAGUAGACCCUAAACUAAUUUACCCACCACUUUCCCCACCACCAUACUCAUCUGCCUCAAUAUUAGUAGUAGUCACACCCUUCCCAUAAGCUUCUACCCCUUCAACAUCACCUUCCCCAACAACUUGUACUUUUUCUACAUCACCAUCCCCUUCAGCAUCAACUUUUACCCUGCAACUACACCCUCCCCAUUAGCUUGUACCUCUUCUACAACACCAUCCCUAUCAGCUUCCACUCUUUCAAUAUCACUCUCCCAAUCAGUUUCUACUCUUUCAGCAUCACUCUCCCCAGUAGUCAACAUUAACAUAUCAUCUUCUUAUAGGGUUAUCCACCUCAUGUUUAACAUAUAAGUGAAUUACUUAAACAUGACCUAAAAGUCUAAUAUAGCUAUUGUAGAAGUGUCAUCAUAAAUCACCUUGAGAUUAUUUUGUAACCUUACUGUACCAAACUCAUGAAAAUAUAUUAACAUGACAGUGUGAAACCCUAACACAAUUCUCAUUAUUUUAUAUAAUUUAAAAUAAGAUAUUGUGUCUGAUCCUCUUUAAGCCUAAUCAUUUCCCUACCUACAUACCUAACAUAUGGAUCCUUUACAAAGUGCUCACCCAUGUGCAAAAUAAGAUAAUAUUCCUCAUCCCACUAUAUCUGCAAAGCAUAAAAAAAUAAUUUACUAAGCAAAACCAGCAAAAAAAAAAAACAAAACUCAAUAACUACAUUGAGACCAUUUCUUUGAAUACAACAACAAACACUAAAUGUAACACCCCAAACCUGGCCUAAACGUUAUUUGGAAUGUUACGAAGUAGAGUAUAAAUUCAACUUUUUCUUUUUGAAAACAUCGUAUAUCUUUGUUACUAAAAGCGUCCACUUAAUUUAAAAAUGUUUUGUGACACUUAUUAGUUAAAAACCGUCAGUUGUUUACAUUUUCAAACAAAUCAAAUAAUUUGUAGCAAAAAAACUUAAGUCGUUAUAUUUUGAAAAACUGAGUUUGGUUUCUCGAAAAUGGUUGAUUGCAAGAAUACAGUUGUUUUCGUAAAUCAUUUUACCAUGUCAUGUGAGAAAUCCCAAAUUAAAAAUAUCAAAUCCAAAGUAAAAACCCAAAAGUUUAGAGAAUCCCAAAAUUAAAAAACUCAAAACAAAAUUCUUAAUAAGCAAAUUUAUUUAAAUAACAUUUUACGGAAUCGUGGGCUUAUGAGAGCUCUUGUCGCACUAACCUGCUUAAGUCUGAGGAUUACCUGAAAGUAACAGACAAAUAGAGAGUGAGUUUUAUAACUCAGUGUGUAACUUAACAAAAAUAAAAUCUCAGAUUUAAUUACAUGGCAGAAUAGAUACAGACUUAUUUUAUAAACAGAAUCAGAAUCAUGUCAGUAUAGUAUAGUUUCAGAUAUAUAUGAUCCUACCCCCAUCCUUUACACACUAGCUCCAGCCAUCUUACAACACUUUUUAAAGUAAUCGCAGUUGUGUUGCCGGUAUAAUGGUGAGAUAUCGCCCCACACAGAACACUUCUUCCACAUUAUACAUACCCCCGCCCCAUAACUAGAUACAGACAGUAAUAAUAGAUUCCAGAAUUAAUAUAUCAUGCAUGCUCGUAUAAUAGAUAUUCAACAUGCUUAUACGUAAUAGAAUAGAUCAUACGUACCGCAUUACAUUGCAUGCAUAUAGGCGUUAUUUAUGUCAAUUUCAAACUAACAGAUUCACGGACUUCAAGGCUUGUACCACACAUACCGACCCCACGAAAGGCCCACAGUCGAUCGGGACGACAUGUACGACCCUAGGGAAAAUUUUUAAAAUUUGGGUCCACACGCACGAAUGGCCCACGUAGCCUGGCACAUAGUUGUACGGCGUCGACAGGCCCCAAUUUUGACUUUCGUUGUUCGCUAUUUUUCAAGUUUCUCGUUACGUAUCUGGCUCGAUUUUGAUACCAAAACUUUCAUGUACGAGUCGCCCAGAACCUAAAAAUGACCAUAGUUCACAAAAUUAAUCACUUUAAUCACUACCAAAUCCGAUACCAAGUCGAUACAAUCAACCUAACAUCUUAAAUUAACCUCUUAUCUUCAAUCAAAAGCAGGAGCCCACCAAUAAAAUUAGGUUGCCGGAGGAAAACCCAAUGAUUCUCAAUCCUCCCCUAGCCAAAACAUACAUAGAAUCAAGUUCCUAACCCACACCUUUUUGCCACCAUCCACCAAAACACAAUAAACACAAGAAGAAAAAAAAACUUAAACUUUACCUUACACUAAGAAACCACCACUGAAGGAAUUAAUGAAACAAGAAUUAAAGUCCCACAAUCAAGUAUCGAAAAGAAAUUUUAGAAAUAGAAGGCCAUAGACAGUGGAAGAAGAAGGAAAAAAAGUCAGUAACCAAAAUGGAAUAAUGAAAUUUAAAAAAAAAAGAUGACAGACACUACUAACCAGAAUCCCAACAUGACUCUACCACUACUUCAUGGCCAGCCCAUGUGGAACAAAAUAAAUAUACUCCCACAGGUCUCAAACCCAAGACCUCACCCUCCUAAUCAAGGCUUACAAUCGUUGAGAUAUGCACUUAUUAAUUAAAAUCAACAAAUCAAUUACUUGAAUUCCUGGGCGUUACACUAAGUCAUUACUAAAAGUAAACAAUAAAACAUAGUAGGCAUCCACUCUUUUCGAUAUUCAAACAUAUUACUAUUCAAACAUCUUAUACCCUACUAUCGCAUCAGAAAUCGACAACACUAGCAAAAUUCAACCACCACUGCUGUUAAAAAACCCAUUUUCAUGGCAACUAAAACUGUAGCAGACAACAACCCUAGAUUAUCGAAUGGAGUCAACCUUUUGAUUUUGGAUAUCUAAACUAUACCAAAUUAAAAAAAAUGAUAACAUUUUCCUAAAAAAACCCACUAAAAAAUCACUUACCUUUUGAUUUGGGUUACGGAGUCUGCCCUAAUAAAAUUAAUCUAUGGCUCCCCCUCCUUGUUGUGAGAUUUCUUUUACAAUGAAAACUCUUUUGCUAUCGCAGGUUUUUUUAAGAUUGGCGAUUGUUGAAGUUUUUUUUAUCGUAACAAUUUUAGGGAUUCAAUGAUGAUUUGAGAAUGCUGAUAAUACUCUAAAAUGACGUGUUUUUAUAUAUUAAUCAUGUGUUUAUUUUGAGCUUGAGCCUACUAAUUUGAGCUAUUUAUGUCUUUUUAUCUUUUAGGGACUAAAUUGGAGGCGAAAAGUAAAUUCAAGGGAAAAAGCGUCAAUUUGGAGAUUAAAUGGGCCAAUAUGCAACGUGGGACAAAUAUGGUGCCAAAAGUGCGAACAUGGAAGGCACAAGGACUUAAAAGCAAAUAGAAGAGAUUUUAUUUUGGAAGACUCUAUUUUAUUUUAUUUUAUUAGGAUAAUUAAUAUUAAGAUAAUUAUUAGGAUUAUUCAAAUUUAGGAUUUUAUUUUAAUUAUCUUUGUUUAUCUUUAAUUAAAUGUAUUUAUCUUUUUAGAAUUUAAGUUCAAUUAGACGAUCUCCCUAGAACUAUAAAUAGGGGUGAAGUGACUCUAUUUGGGGCAUCUUUUCUGUAAACACUCUCUCCCCAAAAGUCUUUUGUUCUUUCUAUAUUUUUUUCCUUUCAAUAAAAUUUCUUUUUCCAUUUUUAUAUUUAUUUUCUUUUCCACCAUUAUCAUGAGCCACUAAAACCCUUCUAGCCAAAAGUUGUCAAUAUUUCCCCAAAAAGGGUUCUUGAGGCCUAGAAUCCGUACUUAGCCUUCUCACCAAGUAUUCAUCGUUUCUCCGCACUCCGGGCUGACGCUUCCGUCCAUGGCCCUUAAGAAGUAAGCUUUUCAGCAUAUGCAAAGGCGGCUGCUUUGUAUGUUUUGGAAGGAUUGCAUAGUCGGUUCGUUAACUUACUGCGUCAGAGGUUGGCGAGCCAAAGAGACAAAAUGGCGUGGGAUUCGCCAUUAAGAAGCGUUGAUCUAGCAUAGAUUACUGGCUAGAGUCAGGUUCCCUAAAAAUCGUAAGUCUAAUCUUUGGAAUUGGUGGUCGUAGGCGUCCUCUUCCGCUAUAACUGGCUUACUUGAGUCGAGAAGGAUCAUCCAAAAGCCAAGGAUUAAGCCCAAGGCGGAAUGAGACAACCGGAGGCUGGAACUUUCCCAUAAGAAUUUUUUCUUUUCUCUUAAAACUCUCUUUAUUAUUUUUAUUAUUUUCGUAAUCAUAAUUUCAGUAAAUUUUAAAUUCUGUUUUUGUUUUAUUUUUCGCUUCCAAAAUCAAUUCUUAAAUUCUUUUUUUUUUAUUUUUUCCAAGAACGCAAGUUUUCUUGGGUACGAUUCUGCCUAGGAUUUCGAGAAACAAGCAUUCAUAUAAUCUGGUCCCUAAGGAUUCGACCCUACUUCCCCUUUACUAUUUCUUUUUCAUUAUUUUAUAGGGAAUAGGAUAUUUUUGGUGCUCUCAACUACCGCAUCAAAUGCUAAAGUUUUUAGGGAUUUCACGAUUUGGGGUUUUUUUGGGGGGGGAUUUCAGAUUUUUUUGGAGUAGUUUCGGGUCACAAUUUGGGUUUUUUUCCAAGUCUUUUUUAUUAUAUUUAAUUAUUUUUUGCCAUAUCAUCCUUUAACCUAGCACGCCAUAUAGACAGCUAUGUUGACCGAUCCUUGACUAACGAGCAGCUAAUGUUUCCCAUUAAAAAUGAGUUGAUUUGUGGAAAAAUCAUUACAUUGAGGGCCCAAAUAAAAAAAAGGUCAAGGGCACAAAACCAAAAACCCCCAAACGUCGAGGGUAUUUUAUGCAAUUAUGUCUUUUUUAAAAGGGCCUAAUUUAUCGUUUCACGUAGGUCUCAAAAAUGUCAAGAACGGGCCUAAUCUCUUCAUAGGGAUAUAACGAUUCAAAUGGAUAGUCAUAUCUUUAGCAAUAACAUAAUUAUUCAAUAGAUAUCUAAAAUAAUUAUGACUAUUUGUUAAUAAUCAAAUGACAUAACUUUUGGUUACUUAUAACUUUUCAUUAGCAACUAUUGAAAAUUAUAUAUAUUGAAAAUAUUCCAACACUGGAAUGAAGACAUGAAGGUGGAUGUUAUUUUCAAUGCCAACCAGCUUAUCACAGUUUUCAAUUUAGUCAUAAUAACAAAUUUAACCCUCAGAUUUUACAUGUUUCAAUUUAGUCAUAAUUAAAAGUUUUAACCCUUAACAUUUACAUAUUAUCUCAAUUUAAUCCAAAAUCUUAAAAAAAUAAAAAAAAAUUUACUCAUCGUUUCUUAUUGCUCAUAAUUUUUCAUCAAUAAUUUAAUAGCAAAAUUAAAUUAUCAAAUAAGGGGAAAAGACUUUAACUUGGGGACAAAAGAACUUUUGAUUUUAUGGUCAUUCAAACACAAGAUACAAUUAAAAAAGAGAUUAAAUUGCCUCAAAAUUAUGUAAUUUGUGUAGUUAUUUACAAUUUAUGAGUCACACUGAAAUAAAUGUAAUUGUAACAUCCUAAAUACAUUUCUAAUACUGAGUUUAAAACAUUACACUCUCCAAUUCAUAUAAAGGAUUGAAAAUUAAAGGAAUUGCAUAGGUAACUAGUUAGGGUUAAAUUUUUUUUUAAGAUUAAUUUCACAAUGGGAAUAAAUAAAUAUUGAGAAUUAGAAUUUUUUAUAAUUAUAAAGCAGUGUAAUUACUCCUCAAUAAUUACCCUUUCUUACAAUUACUCUAUGAUAUCUAAAUACAUUAAACUCCCAAUUCUAAAAGCUUGGCUUGGCUACAUUCUUUUCAUUCUUGUAUCUUUCAAGAAAAAAAUUAGUGAAUGUUUAUUAAAAAAUUUUAAAAACAAUAAAAAUAUGGAUGAAUUACACAAAUAAUCAUUCAAUUACUAGUGUGUGUUUCUAUUUUAAUCACUCAAGUUAGAAAAAGAUUCUAUUUUAGUCACUAGCAUCAUCCACAUUUUAUAUUUUGAUUGCUCUUUCAUUAAAUCUAAUGACAAUAACAUUAGUGAUUAAAAUAGAAUUAUUUUUAAAUUUAGGUGACUAAAGCAGAAACACAUUAAUAGUUUAGUGAUUACUUCUAAAAAUAAUGAUGGAUGAAAUUAGUAGGGAUAUUAUAGGCAUAAGUGCAUUGUCAAGUUUACUUGGUAAAUUAUGCUUCACAUAUAUUUUCUAAAAAAAGAAUCCAAAUGUUAGGUACACAAUUCUUAAUUAUCAAAAUUCAGCAUCAUAGUGUAAACAUCAAAUGUAUUUAAUAUUUUUGAAAAUACUUGAUUCCAAGAAAAAGUUAAAAGAAAAUUCAAAGGUGAGGUACACACAACAUUUGUUUGAGAAAUGCUGAUUGGUGUGUAAAAUCAUAGUCAAGGUCUUCAAAUCAUGUAUUUGUUAAUGGUUUUUGUGGACCGGAAUGGUAUUAGUUGGGUUUGGUGAUUAUUGUCAAAUCAGAUGGGAUUAUUAUAAUACAAGAGAAUCGUCAAGUUUACUUGGUAAACCCCGCUUUAAAAAGUGACGAAGAAACACAAAUCUUAAUUAUCACAUAGAGAAUAACCAAAUAUAUGUCUUCGGUGGAAUAUUUUGGGGACAUUUAGGAAGGUUGGAUUACGUAGAGUUAUAAGAUAAUUAGAAAUAUCACAUAAACGAAGUAAGUCACUAUCAAUCCAAAAGAGAAAUGGAGUCAUAACAUCAAAAUUAUUGGGUACUUGUUGAAGCAUAUCUUGAUAAGAAAUGAGUGCUUGAUCAACAAACAAGUGCAUAAUAUUCCUAGCUCUUUCAAUGGUACCUGUACAAUAAUAAACAACUAGACCCGUAUUUUUAUUAAGUUGGUUUUCAACUUCCUACUUAUAGAGAACAUAUUUUUGUAUAGCUUCGUCUUUGCUCUUAAGACCAUAUUCCGUAAUCCAGCCAUGAAUUUUCAUGAAAUUUCUACAAAUAGUUGUAAAAUGCAUAAGAAAAACAAAGUUCAUAAUGCAACAAAGAAUGAAAAUUCUCCCCCUUGAUAUGUGACUCUCACAACUUUUUUCGAUGGAUAUGAGUACAAGUUUAUAUGCUUUUUUAAGUUUUUAUAACUUUUUUUUUCUUAUUUUUAGAGAAUUAUAUCUUCUUGCACAUAGUACCUAUGGUCUUUGUAUUUGAUAAAAGUUAUACAUUUUGGUAUUUCAAGAUAAUAAUAUUAAUUUUUUAGUGUUUAAUUUACGUUUUAGAGUUGUUUUGAUGAAAAUUUAUAAUUAGUUAAUAUUAUUAGCAAUUAAAUUUCAUCAAAUCAACCCAAAAAAUCUAAUUAAAUUACAUCCAUUGAACUGUAUUUUAAAAAUUAAACGUAAAAUUAAACAAAUUCAAAAUUAACAUUAAAUUUGUUCUAUGAACAAAUAAUGAAAAUUUUAGGCAUAAUAAUAUUAACAAUUAACUUUUAUCAAAUUAAUCCUAAAAUUUGAAUUAAACACUAAAAAAUUAUUACUAUUACCUUUAGAUAUCAAAUUAUUGCAUGCAAAAAAAAGUACAGAAUGUGGAGUUGUUGAUUAAUGUGAACCAAAAACACGUUCUCUUUAAUUGUUUUAAUUGGUCCUCAAUUGUGAAAGAGGAUGGCUGGCUUUAUUUAUUUAAUUACUACACCCAUUGGAGUUUCACAUGAAUGGGAUCCUUAUGCACUUAGUUUUAUUUGGUGCAGUUAUGAUGGGUUCACAUGGCAACUGGUUUGCAAAGAGACGAAGAUGAAGUCAGACUCAAUAACAAGACGAAGAUGGGUGUUCCAAUUAAUCAGUGUUAACAAAAAUGUCAAGGGCUGUCUUGAUGGCAAGAACUUCAGCAAUAUUUGAAUCCGAGCAUCUCCUUUUUGAGAAUUAUCUAUUUAAUUUUUUUUCUAAAUAUGUUUUGAUUAAAAGAGAUGGAAUUAUUUUUAGUUUUACCAAAAAUAAGGAAUCCAAUGUACAAUACAUUGAAGAAAAGACAAAGAAAGCCAACUAGGUUUUCAGAAUUUUCUUCACAAUAAAGAGAUUAAAUUAUAUAAAUUUAAAAUAUAGGGAAUAAAUUUUAAAUUUAAUAUUAGUUAAUAUAAAUCAAUAAUAGAUUAAUUAUUUCGAUUAAAAAUAUUAACAUGAUUUUUUUUUGUUUUUAAAAAUACACUUUUAACUCAUUAUGUCAACAUGAAUCAUAAAACCGUGUUGACUAAAAGAAAUUUGGCUAAGAAAAACGCCUUCAAUCUCUUUCCCGUUAAUAAAAGCAUACCAAAGAUGAUGCAUAUUUUACGCCACAACCCAAGCAAAACUCACUUGCUAUAUUUCUCUUUCUUUUGCUUCAAGCACACUAUCAAUACUCUUUCAUGGCUUCUUCUUCUUCAUCAUCUUCUACUCUAAUGAAGUAUCAUGUUUUCUUGAGCUUCAGAGGUGAAGACACGCGCCUUAAUUUCACCACUCACUUACUUCAAGCUUUGAAAGACAAGGGACUUGAUGUUUUCUUCGAUGAAGAAAAACUGGAAAGGGGGGACCAGCUUUCACAAGCACUUUCUCGAGCAAUUGCAGUCUCAAAUAUCUCAAUCAUCGUUUUGUCUGCAGACUAUGCCUCUUCGAAAUCAUGCUUGGCUGAACUCUCUAACAUCAUGGACCGCUAUCGCACCAAAAAACAAAUUGUUCUUCCCAUCUUUUACCAUGUUAACCCCUCUGAUGUCGAGAAUCUUGGUGGGAGUUUUAAGACAUCCUUUGAUCAGCAUGAAGCAACGAGGUCAGUUGAUGAAUUAGUGAAACGAUGGAAAACUGCUUUUGCUGAAGUUGGUAAAUUAAAAGGGUGGCAUAUAGAUGGAAGCAUCUCGGAUAGGUAACUAUAUUUGUCUCAUCUCCUUAUAUUUGACUUAUCUUUGUUUAGAACUUCAUAGAUAUACUUCUUCUAUUAUUUGCUAGACCUGAAACCCAGUACAUCAAGGAUAUUGUUGUGUACGUUAUGCAAAAUUUGAUGAAGCAUCAAGUUUUCUUAAGCUUAGGUGAAGACACACGCCUCAACUUCUCCAAUCACCUAGUCAAUUAUUUGGAAAACGUAGGAAUUAAUGUCUUCCCUCAUAACGAAACACUAGGAAAAGGAGAGAAACUUCCACCAAUAUAUUCUCGAGCAAUUUCGGCCUCAAAUCUCUCAAUCCUCAUUUUAUCUAAAGACUAUGCUUCUUCGAUAUCGUGCUUGGUUGAACUUUCUAGCAUCAUGGAUCGCAAGCGCGAGUCCACUGACAAACAUAUUGUUCUUCCCAUCUUUUACCAUGUUGAUCCUUCCGAUGUGCGACAUAUUGGUGGGAGUUUUAAGACAUCCUUUAAAAAGCAUGAAUUAGAGCAACCAGCUGAUAGAGUAAUACAAUGGAGAACUGCUUUUGCAGAGGUCGGUAAAUUAAAAGGGUGGCAUAUAGAAGGAGGCAAAUUUGACAGGUAACUAAUUUUUUCUCAUCUUCUUGUAUUCGACUUAUAUUUGUUUUAGAUUUCAUAUUUACUGGUUUAUAUUUUGUUUUUCUAGACCUGAAAUCCAGUACAUUGAAAAUGUUGUUGAAUAUGUUAUAAAAAAGUUGACGAAUAUUAAGUCUGGAAGUGCUUCCGAAGAAUUGGUUGGAAUAGAUGAUCAGAAAACGAUAAUUCUGGGUCUGAUUGAGCAAGAAGAUUGUCGGGUAUUAGGACUUUGGGGAAUGGGUGGUCAAGGCAAAACAACCCUUGCUGAGGUUGUAUAUAAAGAAAUCUCUUCAAAGUUUGAAAGUCAUUGGUUUCUUCAAAAUGUUAGAGAGAGAAUAAAACAAGGGAAGAAACCUUUACGAAAUGAACUUUUUUCGAAAUUAUUAAACUCAGAUGUUGAUAUAGGCACCCCCUCCAUAGGAUCCACUUUAACUCAAGACAGGCUCAACAAUAUGAAAGUAAUUGUUGUCCUUGAUGAUGUUGAUGACUUAGACCAAAUAGAUUUUAUGGGUGUUAAACAUUUUGGUUAUGGAAGUAAAAUCAUUCUGACAUCUAGAGAUAAACAAGUGCUUCAGAGUGGAGAAGCUGGUACAAUACAUGAGGUGAAGCCAUUAAAUGACAACGACUCUCUUCAACUUUUUUCUACCUUUGCGUUUAGGCAGUUGAGUCCCGCGGUUGGUUUUCGAGAAUUAUCCUAUAGGUUUGUAAAGUACACCCAAGGCAAUCCACUUGCUCUUAAAGUUUUGGGUUCUGGUUUAUAUAAGAAGCCUUCAAAAUAUUGGGAAAGUAAGGCGGAGAAGCUAAAGGAUUUUCCCCCAGAAGAACGAAUUUCAGAGACUUUGAAAAUUAGUUAUUAUGGGCUAAGUAGAGAAGAGCAGAAUAUAUUUCUUGACAUUGCAUGCUUCUUUAAAGGGGAACCCAUAGAAAGAAUAAAAUAUAUUCUAAAUGGUUGUUAUAAGAAUGUAGAGAGUGAAAUAAUCAAUUUGGUCGACAAGUGCAUGAUUAAUGUCUCUUCUGGUCGGGUUCUAUUGCGCCAUUCCAAUUGUUUUGGGGAUGGAGUUUACAUUUCUAUGCAUGAUAUGCUUGAAGAGAUGGGAAAGAAUAUUGUUUGUGAAGAAUCUAAACCCCCUAGAAAGUGGAGUAGAUUGUGGUAUCAUGAACACGUGGAACAAGUAUUCAAAUCUAAUAAAGUAAGCUCUAAUUGUAUUUAUAUAUAUUUUUUAAUAUGCUUUAUGAGAUACUGUUACUAUAUAAAAUUAUACCUUAGAUAUUGUAUAAAGUAUUAUCCCUUUUAAUUAGUAUUUAAAAAAAAUAUUUAUUAUCUAAGAUAUAUAAUGAUCAUGUCUUAGGUAUAAUAUAGAAACUGUUCAAGGUUUAUGACUUAGUUAAAUACUUAAUGGGUUGAUUUGAAAAAAAAAAGAUAAAAUAAAAGAAAACACCUUUUUGUAUCUAAAAAUACUCAAUUAGUUUCCGCUUGUGCUGAUAUAAUUACUUUUUCUUUUAUUCAUGCUAAUAUUUGAUAAAUUGAUUUUUAUUAUCAGGGGACAGAUCGAAUUCAAGGAAUAAAGUUAGACAUAUCACGUAUGGAUAAUCUAUUUUUCAGCCCUUCUAUUUUUGAAAGCAUGAUUAAUCUUAGGUACAUCAUGUUUUAUUUUUCUUCGAGUUCGUGGGAGAAAUGUGUGGAAAAAAUGAAACUACUUACAGACCAAAUUGCUAGUGUAUCUCUUCCGGAUAAACUAGAGUAUUUUCGAUGGGAUUAUUACCCUUUUGAAUCUUUACCAUCAAGUUUUAAUCCAAAGUGCCUUAUUGUGUUAGAAUUACCACAUGGAAACAUAAAAGAAUUUUGGACUGAAGGUCAUCAGGUAUAUAUACUUUUCAUCCAAGAACUUUUUUUGAGAAAAAAGCAUUUAUAAGUGAUAUAGCAUUUAAUCAUAUGAUAACAUAUUUUUAUUAAUUUUUUUAAAAGAAGAAAUAUCAUUUGAAUUAAUACAUCCAAUACAUCAAAUAUAAAUUUUUAUUUUGAUAAAUUCUAAGUAAAUGAUGCUUUAAAGUAUUGAAACUACUUUAUGUUGUCAUCCUGUGCAGGAUCUUGUUCAUUUACGAGAAAUUGACCUUUUUUAUUGCAAAAAUUUGAAGAAGAUCCCUAAUUUAUUAGGAGCCGUCAACCUUGAAACACUUCACUGUGGAAAAUGCAAAAGUUUGGUUGAACUUCCUUGCUGCUACCAUUUGACAUCACUUAAGACCCUUCACCUUGAGGGAUGUUGUAGUCUCAAGAAGUUUCCCCAGAUCCCAAAUAACUUUUCUGUUUUAGAUUUAUCAGAAACCGGAAUAGAAGAAGUACCUGAUUUAAUUGAGCACCUCGACAAACUUGAAAGGCUGGAGUUAUCAGACUCAAGGGUAAAAGAUGUAUCAAGCAAUAUUUUAAAGUUAAAAUCCCUUUAUUACGUAAAUCUUUGUCGUUGUCCAAUCGUCAAAUUUCCAACUGUUGAUGUGCCCUCACCAAGCAUGUGGUCUACAGCCAUUAGGAUUAUGUACAUGAAUGGUUGCGAGAGCCUCAAAUUACUCUCAGAGGUUCCACCAUAUCUGCAAGACUUGAGAGUACAUAACUGCAAAUCAUUAGAAAAAGUAUCCUUCGCAGAUCAAAAUUUAUGUCAGUUUGAUUCUCUAGAUGAUGAUUAUGAUGAUGAUCAUGUUCACACUGUGUUUACCAUGCUAUUCUGUAAUUGCAUCAACUUAAAUCAAGAGUCAAUUGAUAACAUUGAGGAAAAUGCCAUGCUCAAAAUUGGAUCCCUAGCUAAGAAAUGGGCAACGCGAUAUGAUGUUUGGGAAUUCAAAUAUUGUUACAACAUUCCAAGUUUGAUUUGUUGUUUCCCAGGAAACAAAAUUUCAACAAAUAAGUUCAAGUGUCAGAGCAUGAAUUCUUCCUUAAGUUUGAAGAUAGCCCCAAAUGGGGGUAGUGGCAGCAGAUUUUUGGUUUUUGCUAUCUGCUUUGUGGCUAAUCUCACUCACCGCCAUGACUUUCCAGAACUUCGAUAUAUUUGUGAGUACCAACUUACAGCCGCCGGUGGUGGCAAUGGUGGUGGUUAUGAAAAGUUCAGAACUGAGAUAUGUCUCCGUAGUAUUCCUGCUCCGAAGAUGUGCAUGGGUGAUCACGUGUUUAUUCUAUCUGGCGUGGACAUGGUUAAAGAAGACAAGAAUUAUGAGGAGGCAUCAUUUGAAUUCUACAUCAAAUAUAACGUUUACCCUGAAGAAGAAGAAGAAGAUGAAGAAGAAGAAGAAGAAGAAGAUAAAGAAGAAGAAGAUGAAGAAGAAGAAGAUUAUGAAGUAGAAGACGAUUUCAAGGUAAAGUCUAUCAAGGUGGAGAGAUGUGGUGUUCAUGUAUUUUACGUGGAUGCAGAGAGUUAUACAGAUGAUACAGAUGCUACAGAUGAUACAGAUGCUACUGAAAAGAGACAUGCUGGGAACAAAAGAAGCUUUAGCCAUGAUGGUAAAGAAAGGGAUGGAGUACUUAAAAGAUUGAAAUAGUUUGUAUCUCUUUCCAUCUUUGGCUCUGCUUUUGAGGAGUUUCAACCUCUCAAUUAUGUCAUCUAAAUGCAUAGGUAGGGGUUUCAUUUUUUCUUAUUAUCAUACAUUUUUCAGUUUUUUCAUUUCAUUUUUCAUAUUGCCAUACUUUUGUUUUCCACAGUUUUUAGUGUUAAAUUUUUAACUUAUAAAUUAAUGACAGAAAAUGAAGUGCUUUAAUUAAUUAAAACCAAUCAGAAUGAAUCUGACUUGCUCUGCUUUACAAAUUACUUUCUUUUAGAAGGUGCUUUGCCAUACUGAAACCUUGUAGUUCCACAUUGUAAAUGUUAAAAGCAUAAUUUAUGAACAUAAAAUUGGAAAUUUGUUUAAUAGUUUGUGGUAGUUGCUUCUUUUUUUCUCAUCUCCAUUCCCCUGUUGUGUCUGUGUUCUUUUGUAGAUAUAGCAUAUAUUGUCCAAGAAGGGAAUUCUCCAUAUAUAUUAAUUAAUUUGGAGGAAAAUUGAACGGCAGUUGGAGAUUUCAAUACAGUAGCAAAAUGAUUCUGCUUUGGAGUUGAUACAAUAUCCAUAGGGGAUUUUGGUGAGUACCAAAAUUCAGAUAUUAAAAUUCAUACUUAAUUCUUAUUGACAGUUGACUUGUUAUUGGUUGGUUUUUUUAAAUUAUAGGACUAAUGGUGGACUCGAUUCAGCUUCAUUGUUUAGUUUCCAGCAUUGGUGUCAUCUGGUAUCUCAAUACUUGCUGCAUUUUCGUUCAAUCAUAGCUUCAUUCAUUAGAAAGAUUGGUUAUUUGCGAGAUUGGUUUUUCUUAUAUCCUUUUCUUUUGUGUUGAUGUAAGACUAGGGAAUGACAGAUCAUUGAGAACACCUGAGCUAUAAGACCUUCAUUUUUUUUUACUGAAUUCAAAGUAAUCUUUUGAGGCCCUUUCUAGUUCUGGCAAUUCAGUCUUGGUGGAGAAGUAAGUUAACUUUGACUUAGACUUAUUAUUAUGAUUUUAGGUUCAUAUAAUGAUUUUCAGCAUCCUCACCUUCUUUUCCCCAUAUUUAUCAAUGGGAUUAUAUAAAUCCAGAAUUUGCUAGAGAUCUCAAAGCUUGUGGGCUGAACACGUGGAGGUGGAGGCAACUUUUGACAGUUUUCAUUCUCAAGCUAGAUUGGGUUAGUUUCAUGGUAGAGCCAUUGGAGUCGAUAUUUUCUUAUCUUGGAUUUUGAUUAUCAUAUCAGUUUGGGCUGAAAUUUCUUUGUAUGUUACUGCCUCUCAUGUUGUUUGAGCAUUGCAGUGAAGAGAUAUUAAGAUUCAUACUUGAAUUCUUUUUGGCAAUUAACUUGUUAUUGGUUGGUUUUGAUUCAUAGGAUCGGUGGUGGAUAUCAUUCAGCUUAAUUGUUUAGGUUCCACAAUUGGUGCUCAUGCCAUGGGCAGUAAGUAGAGAUUUAAUCAUAUUGUAUCUCAAUACUAUCUGCAUUUUACUUCAAUGAUUCAUUCACCCAUUGAUUUAUGUUUCAUAUUUCCUCAAAACGUUAGUAUAUAUAUAUAUGUUUCCAGUUCAUGAUUUCUGAUUUAUAUUCAUGUUAGCUAAGGUAAACCUACCAACUAUUCCCUAUAUAUAAUCUAUUUGCUAUGUUUUAUUAUUUUGAAUUUUAUGACUAUGAUCUGUUGAUUCCAUAAAACUUGGAUGAAAGUCAAGCCGGACACAAAUUCAAUACUCUACUGGAAUUGAAGUUGCAGAUUAUGGGUGGUUUUGAUAUCUUCUUUCUCACCAACAAAUGAAGUUCCCACAAAAUUACUGGUGUUAAGGUGAAGGUUGUGAAUCAAUGCAAAAUCCACAUUUAUAGAUGUGCCCUUUUACCUAGAGAUUAAGCUUUUACUUUUUGAAUUUGGUAAUGUGAGGGGAAUAAAGAUGGCAAUGGUUGAUGAAAGGAAAGCAGAUGAGGGAAUAAAUGACAGAUGUUUGUAACAAGUAAGCUUUUAUGAUGUUCAAUUUCUUCUACUGAAUGAUUUCUUUAUAUUGUUGUUGAACUGAGAUAUUGAAGCAGUACUGAAACUUGUCAACAGAGUUGCCUUGUUCAUCCCAUCCAGCUUUGCUUCAACGCUUUCUGGAUUUUGGCCAUUGAGAGGAAGCAUAUGAUCUUGGGUAAAUUACUUUUGACUCAUUCUGAUUAUUAGUAUCCUAAUGGCAUUCUUUUCCCCUGAUUUACCAAUGGAUUAUAUAAAUGCAUGCAGAAUUAGGCAAGUUGCUCUUAUGUCAAAAUAAGUUGAAUGAACACAUGGAACCUGGAUGUUAUUUUCAAUGCCAACCCUGUCACAGUUUUCAUUCUCAAGCUAGAUUGAUGAUCUUUUAUGUUUACCCCAUAGAGGAACCCAACAUAAACACUUGGAAGAAAAAACUCCAAAUGAUUUUGGUUUAGUUGAAACUUCAAAUUGCAGAGCUGGUUUCAUGGUAAAGCCAUUUGACUUGAUUGUUAUAUCAGUUUGGGCUAAAACUUGAAUCAAUUUUCCCCUUUUGUAAUUAAAAUUCCAGAAUUUUAUUCUGUUUUGGAAUUGAAAGGAUGUAACAUUGGAAUUGGUUUGUACAUUCGUUUUUAUGAGAUGGUGUCCAACAAGUUCAAGAUUUGUAGCUUAGUAAUUAAAAUAACUUUCUGUAACACUAAACUAUGAUCUACUAUAAGAAAAACACAAAUUUUUAUACUUCUCUGAUUAUUUUAUAAUGCCAUGUGACUUAAAUUUUUAGUAAUUAAAAAGAUUCUGCUUUGGAGUUCAUAAAAUAUCCAUGCGAAGCCGUGGUGGGUACCAUAGUUCAGAUAUGGAGCUUCGUACUUAAAUUCUUUUAGGCAGUUGACUUGUUAUUGGCUGGUUUUAAUUCAUAGGAUCAGUGGUGGACUUCAUUCAGCUUCAUUGUUUAGUUUCCAGCAUUGGUUCUUAAUACUUACUGCAUUUGCUUGCUUAUGUCCUUGGUAUUUGUUGUGCUUUUUAUUUGCAAGUUUAAUGCAACGUAACAUAUGUUAACCAAAACAGAGUGUCAAUAGAGAAUUUGUUGCGCGGAAGCGUGUGAAAGAGAAAAAAUAUUAUACUGAAAAAUCACACUAAGUUCAAUUCCCAGAAAAGAGAGGUAGAUCACGAAGAUCACUUAAAUACCAAGUCUUUCCUAGCCAGAAUAUCCCUCUAUCGUAAUUUAAUAGCACAAUAAAUCACUACAAUCACAUUCACAAAAUAUGCAAAACAAAUAAUAAAGAACACCAGAAUUUUAACGAGGUUCAGCAAAUUUUGCCUACGUCCUCGGGCACUACUAAAUAUAUUUCACUCCAAAAAUUACAAGUGAAAUUUACAAAUAGAGAGAGAGAAUAAUGCCUUAAGUAAAGAAUGGCAAUUAUGGGAUGAAGAAAGUAAGAAAUGGUUAAGCCUAUUUAUAGUUGAGGUUCAAGGAUCAACUUGCAAUGUCCCUAUACAAUUAGGGACCAAAAUUGUAAUUAUACCAUACCAACUUUUAACCCAACUUACCAACCAAUAUUACUUUCUAACUUCGGUGCCCACCCCAUUUGACUUUUCAAACAAUGGUGGGUUCCAAUAGAAUUGAUGGUAGAUCUUUGGAAAUGCCAUUAUGCUUGAGCUUUACCUAUACUAGAAAAAGGAGGAACAAGUAAGCUUUUCAAGAGCUUGAAUUUCUUCCAAUGAAUGCUUGCUUUAUGUUUGUGCUUGAACUGAGAUAUUGAGGCAGUACUGCAACUUGUCAACAGAUAUGCCUUCUUGAUCUUAUUCAACAUUGAGCCAAUGCAAAUUGAAGCCAUUUCUUAAGCUCUUUCUGGUUUUUGAACCUUCAGAGGAACCAUAUGCUCUUCGGCAAUUUAGCCUUCCUAGAGAGGUAAUUUACCUUUGUUUCAUUGUGAUGUUUUUAGCAUCCUCAUGACCUCUUUCCCCUAAUUUAUCAAUUGGUUUAUAUGAAAUCAGAAUUUGCCAAAAUUGGUUAUCUCAAAACUUGUGGGAUGAUGGAGCUGGAGAUUAUAUUCAGUGGCACCCCUUUCACAGUUUUCACUCUCAAAGCUAGAUUGUUGAGCUUCGAAGUUUUACCCCGUAGAGGAAACCAACAAGAAACUAGAAUAUUGGCAUUCACAAUCAACUCAGUCUCUAAGAAAUAACUAUUCCAUCACCUUAUUUUCUUUGUAUAAUUAUAUAUUUAAUUUAAUUGAUACUGUGGAUGAUAAAUACUAUUUUUAAUGUUAACUUUUUAGUAUUAUUUUAAUUAUAUUUGUUGUUAUCUUUUAGUGACUAAUCAUAAUCCUUGCAGUAGAUUUUGAAUAUAUCUAUUGGAUAAGAAGAUUUUGGAUAUAUCUCUUGGAUAAGAAUGAUAAUAUGGACAAGUAUACUUGCUGCUUAGGAUUUAAGUUUAGAAAACAUUUUCUACAAUAAAUAGGUGUAAAAAGAAGGUGAUAAAUAAUUGGACGAGGUCAUGAGAGUGGAUUAUCUGUUUAAAUCCGAAGUGUGGUAAAUAAUUGUCACAGUAAUACCAAAGAUGAUGCUACUCAUAAUUCUUUUCAUUUUUCUUCUUCUAUUUCUUCUUCAAAAGUACGAAAACAAGAGAAGCCCAGCAAAGGAAAGCUCCCAUGGUGCAUCUCUUUUGCCUCAAUCAGACAAUCCAUACUCUUUGACUUCUUCUUCUUCUUCUUGUCAAGUGAAACAUCAAGUUUUCUUGAGCUUCAGAGGUGAAGACACACGCCUUAACUUCACCAGUCAUCUACUCAAAGCUUUGAAGGACACGGGACUGAAUGUCUUCUUCGAUGAAGAAAAACUAGAGAAAGGGGAGCAGCUUUCACCAGCACUUUCUCAAGGAAUUGCAGCCUCAAAUCUCUCAAUCCUGGUUUUAUCUAAAGACUAUGCUUCUUCAAAAUCGUGCCUAGCUGAACUCUCUGCCAUCAUGGACCGCAAGCACACACAAGGACAUAUUGUUCUUCCCAUCUUUUACCAUGUUGAUCCUUCCCAUGUGAGGAAUAUUGGUGGGAGUUUUACAACAUCCUUUGAAGAGCAUGAAUCGAAGAGGCUAGUUGAUGAAGUGAAGGGAUGGAAAGCAGUCUUUGCUGAAGUUGGUAAAUUAAAAGGGUGUGUUAAGAAAUGGCUUAAAAUUGGUAGUGGAUUGUUGUUGUUGGUAGUGGGUUGUUGGUGGUAGUGGAUUAGUGGAUGGUUGUUGGUGUCCAUUUUCAACCACAAAUCUUUGCCAAAGUUUUGGACAAUUAUGUCCUUGAACUCUCUUAUAAAUAGAGAGGUUCAUUAGCCAUAUUUAUCAUCCCAAACCAAGAGAGAGCAAAUCUUGUUCUUUGAAAGCUAGGAUUUUAGCUUUCGGGUUUUCUAUAGGGGUUGAGAGUUGUGAGGUUCUCGGGUUGUGUCUUGAGUGUAAAACACUUGUAAUCUUCAUCUUGUUAUAGUGAAAUUUCUUUUCGCCUCUGCCCGUGGACGUAGGCAUUAAAGCCGAACCACGUAAAUCCUUGUGUUCACUUUAUUUUUCGUUCCGGUCAAUUUACUUGUAGUCAUAUCGGAGUUCUCGAAUCGAUCCUUUCCGCAACAAAUUGGUAUCAGAGCGUAGUUGAAGGAGUGAUAAUAUUUUCUGAAUUGCCCUGUGACUGCAGCUUUGUCUGAUCUUUCACAUCAGGAAGAAAAUAUUAUCAUUCAUUCAAAGGUUCCAAAUUAUGGCUACAAGUGUUUCAUCGACUAAGUAUGAUGUCGAGAAAUUUACCGGGAAAAAUAGUUUCAGUUUAUGGCGCAUCAAGAUGCGGGCAGUGCUGGUUCAACAAGGAUUGCUAAAAGCAUUGUCUGGUAAAGAUAAAUUACCAAGCACGCUUUCGGAAGAGCAAAAGGAUGACAUGCUAGAAAGAGCACAUAGUGCUAUUCUGCUAUGUCUAGGAGAUGAAGUGCUACGAGAAGUAGCGGAUGAGAAAACCGCGUCCGGUUUGUGGCUCCGGUUAGAAAGCAAGUACAUGACGAAGUCAUUGACGAACCGGCUCUACCUCAAGCAAAGACUCUAUGCCCUGAAGAUGGAGGAAGGUACACCUGUUUCCCAGCACCUGGAUAAAUUCAAUUCCAUUAUCAUGGAUUUGAAUAAUAUCGAUAACAAAAUCGAUGAUGAGGACCAAGCAAUAAUUGUUUUGUGUUCUUUGCCUCCCUCGUAUGAGAAUUUUGUUGAUACAAUGAUGUACGGUCGUGAUGACCUGACUCUAGAGGAGGUGAAAAAUGCCUUAAGUUCCAGUGAGUUGAGGAAGAAAAUCACUGGUAAGGUGGUCGAAAACAAUGAAGGCGAAGGCUUGGUUGCUCGAGGAAGAUCCAAGGCAAAGGGUGGAAGUUCAAGUAAAAGCCAUCCUAGAUCGCAGUCCAAGAAGAGAAUACAGUGCUACUACUGUAAGAAGUACGGGCACAUGAAGGUAGAUUGUCCGAAAAGGAAGGAGAAAUCAGAAUCACAGGAGCAACAAAAUGAUCGUGCGAAUGUAGCUGAUGCAGAUUCUUCAAGUGAUGCCGAGAUCGUUCUUGCAGUAUCCGACUCUUACGCUGGUGGGAGAUGGAUUCUUGAUACGGGAGCUACAUUUCAUAUAAGUACUUCGAAAGAUGCAUUCUCAACAUACGAGAAGCAUUCUGGUUCAGUACUAAUGGGAAAUGACCACGCAUGUCAAGUCAUGGGGAUUGGCACAGUUCGUAUAAAGAUGUUUGACGGUAUUGUUAGAACUCUAACUGAUGUUCGGCACAUUCCAGAAAUGAAGAAAAAUUUGAUCUCUUUGAGUACGUUGGACAAGAAAGGCUUUCGGUACUCUGCUGAAGGUGGAGUUCUCAAGGUAUUCUCGGGUGCUUUGACUGUGAUACGUGGUAAUUUGGAGCGGGGCCUUUACUUCCUCGAUGGUUCCUCGGUUACAGGUGUUGCGGGAGUGUCAUCAUCAGAUGAUCUAGAUUCUGACACCACGAAGUUAUGGCAUAUGCGGCUCGGGCAUAUGAGCGAGAGAGGCUUAUCGGUGCUAAGCAAACGAGGAUUAUUGUCUGGGCAGUGUACAGGAAAGUUGAAUUUCUGUGAGCACUGCGUCUUCGGUAAGCAGACUCGGGUAAAGUUCAGCACUGGGAUUCACAAGACAAAAGGCACAGUGGAUUACUUCCAUUCUGACCUUUGGGGGCCUUCUCCGACAAUUUCUAAAGGUGGUUACAGAUAUCUGCUUACCUUUAUCGAUGAUUACUCGAGAAAGGUUUGGGUGUAUUUUCUGAAGAGCAAGUAUGAGGUUCUCAUCAACUUCAAGCAAUUUAAAGCUUUGAUCGAAAAUCAAACAGGAAAGAAGAUCAAGCGAUUCCGGACGGAUAAUGGCUUGGAGUUUUGCUCAGGUGAAUUCAAUGAGUUCUGCAAAAAUGAAGGAAUAGUGAGACACCGCACUGUUCGUCGAACACCACAACAAAAUGGAGUUGCAGAACGCAUGAAUAGAACUCUCUUGGAGCGAGCUCGUUGCAUGCGAUCAAAUGCUGGGCUCGGUGAAGAAUUUUGGGCUGAAGCUGUUAAUACUGCUUGUUAUUUGGUUAACAGAUCUCCGUCAACAGCUAUUGAGCUGAAGACUCCUGAGGAAGUAUGGUCUGGUUCUCCUGCUGAUUACUCUGGUUUAAGAGUGUUUGGCUGCCCUGCGUAUGCUCAUGUAAAUGAGGGAAAACUCAAACCGAGGGCGAAGAAAUGCAUAUUUCUUGGAUACGGCCAAGGGGUGAAAGGAUACAGGUUGUGGUGUCCUGAUCCGGUUUCGUCCAAGUUCAUCAUCAGCAGAGAUGUGACUUUUGAUGAGUCAUCCAUGCUUCGAUCCACCACAAAUUCCCGGGAAAAGGAGGAGUCAGAUAGAAUGGGAGAUCACGGUGUUGAGAAGCAGGUGGAGUGUCAGGUGGACGCUCCAAUUCCUACGGAAGGUACUUCAGUCCAGGAUGAUCAAGUUGAGGUGCAAGAUUCCGAUGAAGAUAAGUCACCUCAAGAAAAACCAUAUAGCAUUGCCACUGGAAGAACGAAGAGACAAAUCAAACCAAAUCCGCGUUACGCUAAUCUGGUGUCUUUCGCGCUCAGUGUGGCGGAGUCCAUUGGUAUAGAACCUUCCAGUUAUAAUGAGGCUGUCACGUGUGAUGAGUCGGCACAGUGGGCAAUUGCUAUGAGUGAGGAGAUAGAAUCUCUUCACAAGAACCAUACUUGGGAGUUGGUUAAGCCGCCAAGUAACCAGAAGAUAGUUGGUUGCAAAUGGGUCUUCAAGAAAAAGGAAGGCAUCCUAGGGGUUGAAGCAACUAGAUUCAAGGCACGAUUGGUUGCUAAAGGCUUCACUCAGAAAGAGGGGAUUGACUACAAUGAAGUUUUCUCCCCAGUCGUAAAGCAUUCUUCCAUUCGUAUAUUACUUGCCAUGGUGGCCAAGUCUGAUCUAGAACUUGAGCAGCUUGACGUAAAAACGGCGUUCUUGCAUGGUGAGCUCGAGGAAACAAUCUACAUGCGUCAACCAGAGGGUUUUACAGUUCCUGGUAAAGAAGACCAUGUCUGUCUAUUAAAGAAGUCUUUAUAUGGAUUGAAACAAUCCCCAAGGCAGUGGUACAAGCGGUUUGAUAGCUUCAUGAUUCAGCAUGGUUACACAAGAUGUGACUAUGAUGCUUGUGUCUAUCAUCGGAAGCUCUCAGAUGGUUCGCACAUUUAUUUGUUGCUGUAUGUUGAUGACAUGUUAAUUGCUUCCAAAAACAUGUCGGAAAUCAACAAGUUAAAGUCGCAGUUGAGUGGUGAGUUCGAGAUGAAGGAUCUGGGUGCUGCCAAGAAAAUUUUGGGCAUGGAUAUUCACAGAGAUCGCAAGGCGGGCAAGCUUCGUGUGUCGCAGAAGAACUACAUUGAAAAGGUUCUUCAACGCUUCGGCAUGGAUAAAGCGAAAACUGUGAGUACUCCGUUGGCACCACAUUUCAAACUCUCUGCAGAGUUGUCACCACAAUCUGAUGAAGAAAAGCAGCAAAUGUCUCACAUUCCAUACUCGAGUGCAGUUGGAAGCGUGAUGUAUGCAAUGGUUUGCACUCGUCCAGACAUUUCACAUGCAGUUAGUGUGGUCAGCAGAUACAUGAGUUGUCCUGGCAAGGAACACUGGCAGGCCGUGAAAUGGAUUCUCAGGUACUUGAGAGGUUCUGCAGAUUUAUGCUUGGUAUAUGAUCAGAGUGACUGCACUAGCAGUGUCACGGGCUAUGCGGACUCUGAUUAUGCUGGAGAUCUGGACAAAAGAAGAUCUCUGACGGGUUAUGUUUUCACUUAUUCUGGAGGAGCCAUUAGUUGGAAAGCUGUGUUACAGUCUACCGUAGCCUUAUCUACGACUGAGGCGGAAUAUAUGGCGUUAGCAGAAGCAGUGAAAGAAGCAUUGUGGAUGAAAGGUCUAGUAAGCAGUUUGGGUUUACAACAGGAUUUCACUGUUGUAUUUUGCGAUAGCCAGAGUGCCAUACAUCUGACUAAAAAUCAGAUGUUUCAUGAACGGACCAAACACAUUGAUGUCAGAUAUCAUUUUGUUCGGGAACAUGUUACGCAAGGUGACAUUGUUAUCAGCAAGGUUGCUACCGAGAAGAAUCCUGCAGAUAUGUUAACUAAGGUGAUCCCUGCAUAUAAGUUCAAGCAUUGCUUGGACUUGAUAGGUAUUCGGGAUUGAUUAGCGCCAGAGAGGCGUUUGGAAGAGGUGAUCCAGUUCACUAUGAUGUUCAGCUUGGUAAAUUUCAAGCCAAGGUGGAGAUUUGUUAAGAAAUGGCUUAAAAUUGGUAGUGGAUUGUUGUUGUUGGUAGUGGGUUGUUGGUGGUAGUGGAUUAGUGGAUGGUUGUUGGUGUCCAUUUUCAACCACAAAUCUUUGCCAAAGUUUUGGACAAUUAUGUCCUUGAACUCUCUUAUAAAUAGAGAGGUUCAUUAGCCAUAUUUAUCAUCCCAAACCAAGAGAGAGCAAAUCUUGUUCUUUGAAAGCUAGGAUUUUAGCUUUCGGGUUUUCUAUAGGGGUUGAGAGUUGUGAGGUUCUCGGGUUGUGUCUUGAGUGUAAAACACUUGUAAUCUUCAUCUUGUUAUAGUGAAAUUUCUUUUCGCCUCUGCCCGUGGACGUAGGCAUUAAAGCCGAACCACGUAAAUCCUUGUGUUCACUUUAUUUUUCGUUCCGGUCAAUUUACUUGUAGUCAUAUCGGAGUUCUCGAAUCGAUCCUUUCCGCAACAGGGUGGCAUAUAGGAGGAGGCAAAUUUGACAGGUAACUAUAUUUUUCUCACCUUCUUAUAUUUGAGUUAUCUUUGUUUUGGAUUUCAUAUAUGUAUGUAUAUUUAUUUAUUUAUUGUAUGCUAGACCUGAAACAGAGUACAUUGAGGAUAUUGUUAAAUAUGUUAUAAAAAAGUUGAUGAGUAGCAAAUCUGGACAUGUUUAUGAAGAACUGGUUGGAAUAGAUUAUCAGAAAGAUGCAAUUUUGAGGCUGAUUGAGCAAGAACGCUAUCGUGUAAUAGGACUCUGGGGAAUGGGUGGUAUAGGCAAAACUACCCUUGCUGAUGUUGUACAUAAGGAAAUGUCUCCAAAGUUUAAAAGCCAUUGCUUUCUUCAAAAUGUUAGUGAGAAAAUAAAAAACCAAGGAAAGGAAUCUUUACGAAAUGAUCUUCUUUCCAUACUGUUAAAUGAAAAAGAUAUUCAUAUAGACACUCCUUUGAUAGGAUACCCUUACCGAGAGAGGUUGAACAAUAAAAAAGUACUUCUUGUGCUUGAUGAUGUUAGUCACCAAGACCAAAUAACUAUUAUGGGUGUUAGACAUUUUGGUGAUGGAAGUAAAAUCAUUGUAACAUCUAGAGAUAGAAAAGUACUUGAGAAUGGAGAAGCUGACCAAAUUUAUGAGGUAAAGAAUUUAAAUGAGAUUGACUCUCUUCAACUAUUUUCUACUUGUGCGUUUAAGCAGUUGAAUCCUAAUGCUGAUUUUCGAGACCUAUCGAUAAAGUUUGUGGAGUACACCCAAUACAAUCCACUUGCUCUAAAAGUUUUAGGUUCCCAACUAUAUAAAAGGUCUAGAGAAUAUUGGGAAAGCGAGAUGGUUAAGUUGAAGGAAUAUAGCCAACCAGAGAUUUCAAAUAUUUUGAAGAGAAGCUUUGAUGGGCUUGAUGAACAAGAAAAGAAUAUAUUCCUUGAUAUUGCAAUCUUCUUCAAAGGGGAACUUAAGGAAAAUGUAGAAAAUAUUCUUAGUAGUUGUUAUAAUGGCGCAAAGUCUAGCAUCAGAAACUUGGUCGACAAGUGCCUCCUAGAUAUCACAUCUCUUCCUAUUUCUUUGCGUGAUAUGCUUGAAAUUCGCAGUAGGUUUCUCAUGAAAAAAGCAGAAGAGAUUGCAAGUUUCCCUUACAGGGAUGCACUAGAUAAUCGAAGAAGUAGCUUCUUGGAUAAGAAUCCGCAGUGUAUUUCGAUGCAUGAUAUGCUUGAACGGAUGGGUAAAGACAUUGUUCGCCAAGAAUCUAGAGUUCCUGGAAUGCGCAGUAGGUUAUGGAAUUCUAAUGAAGUAAAGCAAGUGCUCAGACAUAAUAAAGUAAGUAUUAAUUGUACUUAUGUUUCUUUUUAUAUUUUUCUAUAUAUUUGUGUGAUUUUUUUCUAGGCUUAUAAAAUUUUAUUAAUAAUAAUGAUCCGAAAACGGGAUUUGAAAAAAAAAUAGAUACCAUGCAUAGCUGAACGAAAAUCGCAAAAAAAAAAAAACAAAAUAAUACCAACUCAGCAAUAUAUAUAAAUCUAUGUACAAAAAAAUACCAUUAAAACCAUGCCCAUUACACCAACCAAAAGAGCAAUCAGAAAUCACUUCUAGUCACCAUAACCCAUCUCGUAUAAACCAAAUCACAUCCCAUUGAAAUCAGGAUUAUAAAAAUGAAUUACUUGUAGAGAUAGAAGAAGUACUUACAACUCCAAUAAUUCAAACUAUUUUUAAGUUGAUUCGAUAACUCGAAUAACUCAUCAAACUUAAAUCGAUUAAUUUAAAAUUUAAAUUUUUUCCAAAGAGAAAAUUGAAUUUUACUCAACCUACCUAAGUCAUUGAUCAUUAUGUGUAUGGUAUGUAAAAAAAAAUUAUUUUUAAAUAAUAUUUAAUAGAAUUAAUAUUUCUCACACAGUAGAUGUAUAAAUUUAUAUGGUAAACAUCACUAUUGGGCACGUAAGUGUUACAGUGUUUUUGUUUUAACCACGUAACUAUAAAAAAAUUUAAUUUCAUCAUCAACGUUAAUAACAUCAAGUUUUUUUUUUUAUCAUUCCUCUAUUAUUAAUUAUUAAUGGAAGCAUGAUAGGCCUUUUUUUAAUUGGAAUAAUAACAAAUUUAGCUCUUAAUAUUUAUACAUUUUUAUCAAUUUGAUAAAAUGUAUAAACGUUGAGGAUUAAUUUAUUCUUAUUCUAAUUAAAAAAAGACGCAUAAUCAUUCUGUUGAUGAUUUUUUAUCAAAUUUAGCACUCACUAUUCGUAUCUGUUGUCAUUUGAGUCGUUAUACUUUUUGAUAAUGAGUAAAUAAGGACAAUUGAAAUAAGCAUUUCUAACCCUGUACUCUUCCAAUAUAUUCUUUUAUCAAUAUUUCAUAUCUAUGACGACAACAAAAAAAAAAAAGAAAAAGGAAAUUUUCAAUCGAAAAAUGAGUGGAAUGGCAAAUUAAGUCUUUAGUCGGCACUAAUUCUAAGUUCCAUCGUUAGACAAUCUUACAUCCUUUAUAUACUCUUAAAUGUAUGUACUCUAGUUUAAAAUUUAGUUAAAUAAUAAAAUUCACCAAUUUGAUUAACUAAAAUUUUCUUUUCAAUUAUUUUUAUCAAAUGCUAACCCUAAUCUUAAGUUAUUACAUGGAUCUACUUAGGGUAAUUUUAUUAAAUUAAUUAAAUAUCUAAUGUAUUGCUUUAUACAAUAAAAUUAAACACUUUUUAAAUCUAAAAUUUCUUGUAAUAAAAAAGUAUGCUCAAUUAGUCUAAGCCUUAUUUAAUUUCUAAUGAGUGAUUUAAUGGAAUGCCUAAUACUUGUUUCUUGUUAUUAGGGGACAGAAUGGAUUGAAGGAAUAAAGUUAGACAUGUCUCAAAUUGAUAAACUACAGUUAUGUUCUUCGGUUUUUAAGAACAUGUUUAAUCUUAAAUAUAUCCACUUCUAUUUUCCUCCAUUUAUUGGAAAGCAACGAAAUAAGAAGCUACAUGCAGACCAAGUUGGCGAUGUAUCUCUUCCUGAUGAGCUAAGACUUCUCUGUUGGGAGUAUUACCCUUUUAGGUCUUUAUCAUCAAGUUUUGAUCCGAAGAAUCUUGUUGUGUUAAAAUUACCUUAUGGUGAUAUGGAACAACUUUGGAAUGAAGAUAAUCAUCAGGUAAAAUUUUCAUACUUUCUUCGUCCAAUAAACUAAAAAAAAAAAAGUGUAACAAAUGCCAACCCUUACUAUAAUUAUUAUAAUUUUUUUGUACUGCCCAAAGUAAGUAGUAAGUAAGUAGUAAGUAAGUAGACAAUGCUAAGUAAUAAAGCUAUUUUAUAUUUUCAUUGCGCAGGAUCUUAUUAAUUUAAGAAAAAUUGUCCUUUCGAAUUGCAAGAAUUUAAGGAAGAUCCCUAAUCUAUUAGGAGCCGUCAACCUUGAAAUCCUUUGCUUUAAUGGGUGCAACAGUUUGGUUGAACUUCCUGGCUUUAGUGAUUUGGCAUCUCUCAAAACGCUUCAGCUUCAUGGAUGUUAUAAACUUAAGAAGUUUCCUGAGCUCCCAAAUGAUGUUGUUGAAAGCUGGACUGCAAUGCAACAUGGAGCCAGAAGCAAGCUACUAUCGAGACCAGCAGCUAUCGAGCUCAACUCAUUUUGCUUGGUGUGCAGGAAUGGUUUUCAGACCAAAUGAAGCAACUGAUAUAGCUGCUUUGUUUUGAUGUAACUUAGUUCAGUUUAAUUGUAACUAGCUUUAAUAGUUAGUUGGAUUAAGUUUGUGAUUGGAUUGAUGAUGUAAAAGCUGAUAUGUCAGCUUAUUUUGUAUUUGACUCUAGCAUGUAUUAGUUUAGUCUAAGUGGGAGUAGUUAUGUCAUUAGGUAUCUGUCAAAUGAACCAAAAAAAUUUGUAGCUCUUUUAUAUAUUCAAAUCUUGAAUGAAAAAUGUAAUGUUCAGUUACAACUUUGCUGAGUAUUCAUUUUUUAUCAUUUUUUGCUUUGCUUUGCUCUUUCUUUGCUUCGAUUCUUCUUGCUUCAGUCUUGCAAACACUGUGUUGCAACUUUGUUUGAUGUUUACUGUUGCCAUUGUUCCAACAAAUGGUAUCAGAGCAGCCCGAGUCUUUGAGGGGCCUUUGUAUGCAAUCUGUUGUGUUCGAAUCAAAACCAACAGUAAGUUCAAAAUUUGGUAAGAUUGAAGCACUUAAAAUCAGUUUAACAGAAUGAGUUUCACUCCACCACCUCCACUAGUGUUCACUGGAGAAAACUAUCACAUUUGGAUAGUUAAAAUGAAGACUUAUCUCCAGGCACAUGAUCUUUGGAGUGUGAUCGAGAAUGAUGCUGAACCACCUCCAUUGAGAGCCAAUCCCACCAUUGCACAGAUGAGGCAGCAUGCUGAUGAGCGAGCCAAGAAGCAUAAGGCUAUGGCCUGCUUGCAAAAUGGAGUCUCUGAUGUGAUUUUUACUCGCAUCAUGGCCUGUGACUCACCAAAGCAGGCUUGGGAGAAGCUGAAGGAGGAGUUCAUGGGGACUGAUAAGACAAGGCAACAGCAAGUGAUCAACCUCAGGAGAGACUUUGAAAAUUUGAGGAUGAAGGAGUCUGAGACCAUCAAGCAGUACUCAGACAGGAUAAUAGCCAUUGUCAACAGCAUUAGGCUCCUGGGAGUGGACUUCACAGAGAGCAGAGUUGUUGAAAAGGUUAUUACAACUCUCCCUGAGAAAUUUGAGUCUAAAAUCUCUUCACUUGAGGACUCGAGGGACUUAUUAGCCAUUUCAUUGUCUGAGCUGAUAAACUCCCUGUAUGCACUUGAGCAAAGGAGGGCAAAUAGGCAGGAGGAGAAUCCUGAAGCUGCUUUCCAGGCUAAAGCCAGUGAAGGCUCGAGUGUGACUGCAAAAGGCAAGAAGCCUUGGCACAAUAGAAGGGUCAAGUCAGGAAGAGAUGAAGCAAAAAGGGUGUUCCCACCAUGUGUUCAUUGCAAGAAGACAACACAUUCAGAAAAGUAUUGCUGGUUUAGGCCAGAUAUUCAGUGUAGAAAAUGCAAGCAGUUUGGCCAUGUGGAGAAGGUAUGCAAGGGCAAACCAAGGGAGGCUGCUCUGCAACAAGCUAGACCUGCUGAGGACAUUCAAGCUCAAGAGGAGCAAGUGUUCACAGCAACUUGUUUUGUUGGUACAACCAAGGCCAGCAAUGAUUGGCUACUAGACAGUGGCUGCUCACACCAUAUGGCAGCAGAUGAGAAGCUGUUCAAAGGCCUAGACAGAAGCUUCCACUCGAGGAUUAGAAUUGGAGAUGGUAGGCUGAUUGAGGCUAAAGGCAAGGGCAGUGUGUUGAUUAGCACUGGUUCAGGUAAUAAACUGAUCUCAGAUGUGUUUUUUGUACCUGACUUAGACCAGAAUUUACUUAGUGUAGGCCAAUUAGUUGAAAAGGGCUAUACAUUGGUUUUUAAGGAUGGUUGUUGUAUUGUUCAAGACAUGAAUGGUCUGGAGUUAGUCACAGUCUCUAUGACUGAUAUGUGCUUCAUGCUGGAUGUUAGACAAAUAGAAAGAAAGGCAUACACCAGCCUUGUUGAAAGCACUGACUUGUGGCAUAGGAGACUAGGCCAUGCAAAUUUUAGAUCCAUCGAUCUGUUACAUAGGAUGAAUUUGGUUGAUGACAUUUCAAAAAUUGAAGUUAGUGGGAAUGUUUGUGAGGUUUGUCAGCUUGGUAAGCAGGCUAGACUGCCUUUUCCUGCUGACAGUGCUUGGAGAGCUCAAAACAAGCUCGAAUUGGUGCACUCUGAUGUUUGUGGCCCUAUGAGAACACCUUCAAUCAGUGAGAACAGGUACUUUGCCCUGUUUAUAGAUGAUUUAACAAGGUUGUGCUGGGUCUACUUCUUGAAGCAAAAGUCAGAAGUGUUUGAAGCCUUCUGCAAAUUCAAGGCUUAUGCUGAAAAUCAGUCAGGCUGCAAAAUUAGGGCCUUGAGGACUGAUAAUGGCUCUGAAUAUGUGUCUGAGAAAUUUCAGAAGCUUUGUGACAGUGCCGGGAUUCACCAUCAGCUCACAACAGUCUAUACUCCUCAACAGAAUGGAGUCUGUGAGAGAAAGAAUAGGACUGUACUGAACAUGGCCAGGUGCCUCUUGUUUCAAGGCAAGCUUCCAAGUCAGUUUUGGGCUGAGGCAGUCAACACCUCAGUGUAUCUGCUCAACAGACUGCCAACUAGAGCAGUCAAGGAUAAGACUCCUUUUGAGGCUUGGCAUGAAGUCAAACCUAUGGUAACACACUUAAAAGUGUUUGGCUGUGUAUGUUAUGCACUUAUUCCAGUAGAGAAAAGGACCAAGCUUGAGAGCAGAGCAACUCCAGGAAUCUUUGUUGGCUACAGCAGCAACAAGAAGGGCUAUAGAGUGUAUGAUCCUACAGCAAAGAAGGUUUUAGUCAGCAGGGAUGUAAAGUUUGAUGAGGAAAAGGUGUGGAAUUGGAAUAGUGUUGAGGCUGACUUGUCUGAAUUGGACCAGUUAGACUUGGUUGUUGAACCUGCAGAAGAAGGACUAAGUAAUGAUGAUGUCGAUGAUAUACCAGUGAGGGGCACCAGAACUUUAGCUGAUGUCUAUCAGAGGUGCAAUGUUGCUGUGAUUGAGCCCUCAGACUUUGAGGAGGCUGUUAAGAACAGAAGCUGGAUGAAAGCUAUGGAAGCCGAGUUGGAAAUGAUCAACAAAAAUCAGACUUGGGAGUUGGUGUGCAGACCAGAACACAAGAGGGUCAUAGGAGUUAAAUGGGUGUACCGGGCCAAGUACAAUGCUAAUGGCUCACUGAACAAGCACAAGGCCAGGCUUGUAGUGAAGGGCUACAGUCAACAGUAUGGUGUUGACUACCUAGAAACUUUUGCUCCAGUAGCAAGACUGGAUACAAUUAAGCUACUGUUUGCUUUAGCAGCUCAGAAGCAAUGGAGAUUUCACCAAUUGGAUGUCAAAUCAGCAUUCCUGAAUGGUUUUCUCAAGGAGGAGAUCUUCAUCGAGCAACCUGAAGGUUUUGAAGUUGCUGGACAUGAAGACAAAGUGUAUAAGUUGAUAAAGGCCCUCUAUGGCCUGAAACAGGCACCAAGGGCCUGGUAUGACAGAGUUGAUGCUUACCUGACCAAACUUGGAUUUGUAAAGAGCCUUAGUGAGCCUACUCUAUAUGUUAAAAGGUCAGAACAUGAAACCUUGCUGAUUGUUUCCUUGUAUGUGGAUGAUUUGCUUGUGACAGGGAGCAAAAUUGAGCUCAUUGAUCAGUUCAAGGUCCAAAUGCAGCAAGUGUUUGAGAUGACAGAUUUGGGGAUCAUGACUUACUUCCUUGGCAUGGAAGUACACCAGUUUGAUCGAGGUAUCUUCAUCAGCCAACACUCAUUUGCUUUGAAGAUCCUAGAAAAAUUUUGCAUGCAUAACUGUAAAGCAGUCAGCACACCUGUGGCUCAAGGAGAAAAGUUGACUAGCAGUGGUGAUCAGCAGAGGGUUGAUGAGAGGCACUAUCGAAGCCUAGUUGGUUGUCUAUUGUAUCUAACAGCAACCAGGCCAGACAUCAUGUUUGGUGUCAGCCUGUUAUCGAGAUUUAUGCAUUGUUGCAAUGAGGCACAUUUGAAGGCAGCAAAGAGGGUCCUUAGAUACAUCAAGGGCACUACUAGUUUUGGUGUAAUGUUUGAAAGUGGGAACCAACUGAAACUAGAAGGCUACUCUGAUAGUGACUGGGCAGGAUCUCUCGAUGACAUGAAGAGUACCUCUGGAUACUUCUUCACACUUGGAUCGGGCAUGUUUUGCUGGAGUUCAAAGAAGCAACAAACUGUUGCUCAGUCCACAGCUGAAGCAGAGUACAUUGCUGCAGUAGGAGCAGUCAAUCAGGCCAUUUGGCUAAGGAAGCUGCUUCAUGACCUUAAUGAAACUCAAGGUGAAGCAACUGAAAUUUGGGUGGAUAAUCAGUCUGCAGUUGCAAUAGCCAAGAACCCUGUGUUCCAUGGUAAGACUAAGCAUUUUAAAAUCAAACUGCACUUUGUUAGAGAGGCUGAACAAGUAAAGGAAGUCAGCCUUGUGCAUUGCAGCUCGGGAGCACAAUUGGCUGACAUAAUGACCAAGCCCUUAGGGGCUGCUCGAUUUGAAUCUUUGAGAAGUGCAAUUGGAGUGUGUUGCAUACAGUCCAAGGAGGAGUGUUGAAAACUGGACUGCAAUGCAACAUGGAGCCAGAAGCAAGCUACUAUCGAGACCAGCAGCUAUCGAGCUCAACUCAUUUUACUUGGUGUGCACGAAUGGUUUUCAGACCAAAUGAAGCAACUGAUAUAGCUGCUUUGUUUUGAUGUAACUUAGUUCAGUUUAAUUGUAACUAGCUUUAAUAGUUAGUUGGAUUAAGUUUGUGAUUGGAUUGAUGAUGUAAAAGCUGAUAUGUCAGCUUAUUUUGUAUUUGACUCUAGCAUGUAUUAGUUUAGUCUAAGUGGGAGUAGUUAUGUCAUUAGGUAUCUGUCAAAUGAACCAAAAAAAUUUGUAGCUCUUUUAUAUAUUCAAAUCUUGAAUGAAAAAUGUAAUGUUCAGUUACAACUUUGCUGAGUAUUCAUUUUUUAUCAUUUUUUGCUUUGCUUUGCUCUUUCUUUGCUUCGAUUCUUCUUGCUUCAGUCUUGCAAACACUGUGUUGCAACUUUGUUUGAUGUUUGCUGCUGCCAUUGUUUCAACAGAUGUUUCUUUCUUAGAUUUAGCCGAAACUGGGAUAGAAGAAGUGCCAAAUUCAAUUGAGCAUCUCGCUGGACUUGAAACAUUGUUAUUGGCAAAAUCAAAGAUAAAUAAUGUAUCGUGCAAUAUUUUGAAGUUGGAAUGCCUUCGUUAUCUGGAUUUUAGUCAUUGCCUAGUAGCCGAAUUCCCAGAAAUUCUACGAAGACCCGAAAGACCCGAGAUGCAAGAACUUAUCCGUCCAUAUUCUUUGCCACCCUAUUUCCCCCUCCCUGGUAGGAGAAAGUUUCCGAUUGUUCAUGUGCCCCCCAAAAUCCUAAAGUUCAAAAGGCUUGAAUAUUUGAAAAUGGAUCAUUGCGAGAGUCUUAAAUUACUUUCGGAGCUUCCACCAUAUUUGCUGUACUUGGAUGCACAUGGCUGCAAAUCGCUAGAAAAAGUAUCGUUUACAGAUCGAAAUCGAGACCUAUAUGAACUCUAUUCUUUUUACGGUGAAGAUGAGUUCUUUAUGAUAUUCUCUGAUUGCUUCAGCUUGAAUCAAGCUUCAAUUAAAAACAUUGAAGGAAAUGCCAUGCAAAAAAUUGAAUCACUUGUAAAGAAAUGGGGAUGUAAAUAUGAUUAUGGUCCAAAAUCAUUGUUUUGCUGUUUCCCAGGGAGCGAAAUUUCGGCCAGUAAAUUCGAGUAUCAGGGGAUGAAUUCUUCAUUGAAGUUGAAGAUAACCCCAAACGAGUUUAGUGAGAGCAGAGUCUUGAGUUUUGCUAUCUGCCUUGUGGUUGAUCUCACGCAUUGCCAUAAAUACAAUACAGAUCUUCGAGGUAUCUGUGAAUACCAACUAACGGCCUUCGAUGGUUGUUAUGAAAAGUUCGAAUGUGAGUGGGGUUACAAGCUAGAUUUUGAGUUACAUCGAAAGUACAUGGGUGAUCACGUGUUGAUUCUAUUCAGUGACAAACUGAUCAAAAAAGACGACGAUUAUGUGGAGGCAUCAUUUGAAUUUUAUAUAAAAAAAUGCUACUACAAAAGCGAUGCUGAAGUUGAUGACAUCAAGGUCAAAAAAUGCGGUGUUCAUGUAUAUUAUGUGGCUGAAAACUACAAAGGUCCAAUUAAUCCUUAUACCAUGCAAAUGUGAGGACCCGAUUAUCGGUGGCUCAUUGGAAUAACGUCAGCACUGGCCACGGGGGAAAACAGUAAAAUCACUAGGGACAACGGAAACAAAGGGGGAAAAAGGAGGAAAUUUGUUCAUGACUUAAAGGGUUGAUAUUGCAUCUCUUCCUUAGGUGCUAAGGUAAACUUUCCACCUAUUCCCUAUAUAUAUAUAUAUAUAUGUUAAUUUGAAAGAUUGCUUUUGUUUGAGACUGGUUUUUCAUAUAAUAACCUAUACUUUUAUGAUGGUGUAGGUGUUUGUUGUGGUAUAUCUUAGACAACAUAAUGAAUGGUCUCUUCAAUUUUCCCUCACUUUCAAUGCAUUUUGUUAUGUUUCUUAUGCAUAUCUUUUACAAUUAUAUGACUCAUUAUCAUCUGUAGAUUUGGUAGUCUAAGUGUUGUUUGAUAAUUCCUUAAAAAAUUUAAAUUGACUGAAAAUUAAUAUUUUUAAUGAUUUAAUUUUUUAAUCAUUUUUGAUAAUUCAUAAUAAAAAAGUAACUGAUAAAUUUCUUCUUUUUUCUUUUAUGAUGAUAAGUAGAUAAGGAGCUACUACGUAGCACUUAAUAUAAAAAAAAUUCAAUUCUUUUUAUCUUAUUUUCUUUGUUUUAACAUUUAAAAUUUGAUACUAUGAAAGGGAAUAAAGAUGGAAGUGACUGCUGUAAGCAAAUCAUAUGAGAAAAUAGAGAGCCAAGAGGGAACUAAUGGCAGAUCUUUGGAAAGGCCAUUAUACUUUGAGCUUUAGGUAUACAAAAUAUCAGAGGAACAUGCAAGCUUUUAAUUUUUUCUACUGAAUGUUUGCUUCACAUUUGUUCUUGAACUGAGAUAUUGGGACAGACUGCAAUUUGUGAACAGAUUGCUUUGUUUUUGGACCUACAGAGGAACCGUUUGCUCUUGAGAAUUUAGCCUUCCUAGAAAACAAAAGUAAAAACUUCAAAGUGAAGGGGUUGGUUUCAUGGUACAGCCAUUCGACUUGAUUAUCACAUCAUCUUGGGCUGAAUCUUGAAUGAAAUUUCCUUUUUUUCAAGAUUAUGAGAGAUUGAAAUUUGAUUUUUGUAAUUAAAAUUCUAGAGUUUUACUCUGUUUUUGGAUUGAAAGGAUGCAAUAGUGGAAUUGGUAGUCACUAAAUGAGUGCCAUUUAGCAACUUGCGGAUUUUGUUGUGUUCAAUCUACUUGGAUUUGCAGGGCAAAAUCUAUUGAAUCAAACUUUGCUUUGUUGUACAUUAGGUAAUUAAAAUAAGGAAAACUAUGUCAUACAUUGUGCCUAGCCUUUGUAGUAUUAUUAUUUUAUUCUAUUGUUAACCUUUUGCUCUUGGAAUCAAAUGUACAAAUAUAAAAAACAAAUUGAAGUAUAAUGAACUUGAGAAUUCUCUUAUUUUGAUAAUCAUCCCAAAGCUUAAAUCCCUUAAAAUUGGCACCUUUCCACAUAUUAGUAUUUAAGGGGUUUUCCCCCUAGAUUAGUACUUAGGAUUUUUGUGUAAAUUAUUUUGGUAACACCAUUAAAUUUAAAACACGUUACACUCUCAAAUCAUGACAUGUGUCAAUGAUGAUAUCAAUUUUAAUGACAUAAAAUUGGAAAUUUGUUUAAUAGUUUGUGAUAGUUUCUUUUUUUUUCUCAUCUCCAUUCCCCUCUUGUGUCUUUGUUCUUUUGUAGAUAUAGCAUAUAUUGUCCAAGAAGGGAAUUCUCCAUAUAUAUUAGUUAAUUUGGAGGAAAAUUGAACGGUAGUUGGAGAUUUCAAUACAGUAGCACAAUGAUUCUGCUUUGGAGUUGAUACAAUAUCCAUAGGGGAUUUUGGUGAGUACCAAAAUUCAGAUAUUAAAAUUCAUACUUAAUUCUUAUUGAGAGUUGACUUGUUAUUGGUUGGUUUUUUUUAAAAUCAUAGGACCAAUGGUGGACUCGAUUCAGCUUCAUUGUUUAGUUUCCAGCAUUGGUGUCAUCUAGUAUCUCAAUACUUGCUGCAUUUUUGUUGGGGAUUUAGCACACUUUAACCGGAUAAAGUAAGAACUUCAAUCUGGACUUUAAUAGCAGUGUAUUAUACCCGCGUAAAGAAUGAAGGAAAAAUACUUGGAGUUCAAGCUUUGAGCUACUGCCAGGAAUGGAGAACAGAAUUUAGAAGGCAAAGAAAGAUGGAGCAUAUGGAAGUAAAAUAUGAUGAUUUCAUUCAAAAGAAACUUUGGCUCAAAGCCAUUAUAUAUACUAGUCAUUGCUGGUCAAAAUAAACAAAUCCAUCACCUAAACACUACCUGACUCCACCUAUUACAUUGGAACUAGGUGAUAUUACUUGCACACUUGAACAAAGCUGGUAACCAGCUCUUUGACCAUCAAGUUACAUCAAUUUGUCAUCCAAGCAUAAUUAAAAAUGAACUAAAUUACAAAAAUAUUGUUAAAAAGUAACAAAAUGAAACUGAGAUGAAACAGUGGUAUUAACAUCUCCUGUUGCAUGUAUUUUACCCGGACAACUUAUGUGCAAAAAAAAAUCUUGCGUGCAUGAAUUUGCUUGAGCUGCAUGUGUUGCAUGGGAACUAACUUCAACACUCCUCCUUAGUUUCCAUGCUUGUAACACCUAGCUGCUUUCUCAGUUUUAUAAACCUUGACACACCAAGGGCCUUUGUGAAAAUGUCAGCAACCUGUUCCUCUGAAUUGCAAUGAAUCAGCUCCAGAUCUCGAGCUUGUUCCAUCUCCUUUAUCACAUGUAACUUGAUGCUGAAGUGCUUCGUUCUACCAUGAAAGACAGGAUUCUUUGCAAUUGCAACAACAAACUUGUUAUCACAAAAGAUUGCCUCCCUUUAAUGUAGGUUAAGAUCAGCUAGAAUUUUUCUCAGCCAAAUGGCUUGAUUUACAGCAUUGGCAGCUGCAACAUAUUCAGCUUCUGCUGUUGAUUAGGCCACCAUCGAUUGUUUCCUUGAGCUCCAACAAAACAUGGUUGAGCCAAGGGUAAAAGCAUAUCCAGAGGUGCUUUUCAUAUCAUCACUUGAACCAGCCCAGUCACUAUCAGUAUAGCCUCUCAAUUUCAAACUUUCAGCUUUGUUGAAUAACACACCAUAGUCAAGAGUGCCUUUGAUGUACCUUAGCACUCUCUUUGCUGCUUGAAAAUGCUGGACAUUACAGCAAUGUAUAAACCUUGAUAACAUACUCACAGCAAACAAGAUAUCUGGCCUAGUUGCUGUCAAAUAUAACAAGCAGCCAACUAGGCCCCUGUAGGUAGACUCAUUGACUGGUUCAUGAUCUCCUUGGCUUGAUAGCUUCAUUCCAACAGCAAUAGGAGUGCUUGUUGGCUUACAAUUCUCCAUUGAGAAGAAGAUUUUUCCUUCUGCUUGGUGCACCUCCAUUCCCAAAAAGUAUGUCAUUAGCCCCAAGUCAGACAUUUCAAACAUGUCCUUCAUUUUGGCUUUGAAUUCAGCCAACAUGUUUUGAUCUCCUCCAGUCACCAAAAGGUCAUCGACAUAGAGGGAUACAAUAAGCUGUAAUUCAGCUUCAUUCUUCUUGACAUAUAGUGUUGGCUCACUAACACUUUUGUUAAAUCCCAAACUGACCAAGUAACUGUUAAUUCGAGCAUACCAGGCUCUAGGAGCCUGUUUCAAGCCAUACAAUGCCUUCUUAAGCCUGUACACCAUUUGUUCUUUGCCAGACACAACGAAGCCUUGAGGCUGAUCAAUGUAGAUUUCUUCUUCAAAGAAGCCAUUUAGGAAUGCAGACUUGACAUCUAACUGAUGAAUGACCCAUUAUUUUUGUGCUGCUAAAGCAACUAGCAAUCUGAUGGUGUCAAGUCUGGCUACUGGUGCAAAAGUCUCCAAGUAGUCCAGGCCAUAUCUUUGACUGAAGCCUUUGACAACAAGUCUGGCUUUCAGCUUGUUUAAACUGCCAUCAGCAUUUUUUUCGACUCGAUAGACCCAUUUAACACCAAUGGUCUUUCUGUUGGUAGGCCUUUCAACUAGCUCCCAUGUUUGAUUCUUUUGUAUCAUCUUGAUUUCUUCAACCAUGGCCUGUUUCCAUCCUUCAUCAGCUUCAGCUUCUUCAAAACUGCAUGGCUCCAAUAUGGCAACUUGUGCUCUUUCAUAAAUUUCAGCUAAAGGUCUAGUGCCUCUGGCUCAUUCUUGUCUCAAUUCCAGUAUCUUUUUUCAUCAAAGAUCACAUCUCUGCUUAUUUUAAUUUUGUUUAUUACAGGGUCCAAGAUCCUGUAGCCCUUCUUGACCAUACUAUACUCGGCUAAAAUACCAGGAAUAGCUCUUUUGGACAACUUAUCCCUCUUUACAGCUGGUAUUUAGCUGUAACAUAGGCAACCAAAGACUUUCAUAUGAGCCAAUGAUGGCUUGAACCCAAACCAGGCCUCAAAAGGUGUCUUGUGAGCAAGUGCUUUGGUUGGAAGCCUAUUCUAAAUGUAGACAGCAGUAUUGACAGCUUCAGCCCACAUGGUCUUGGGCAAAUUCUUCUCAAAUAAUAAACAUCUGGCCAUAUCUAUCAAGCUCCUAUUCUUCCUUUCACUUACAUCAUUUUGUUGAGGUGCAUAAGUGUUGGUGAACUGGUGUUUAAUACCUGCUUCAUUACAAAAGGUAUUAAACCCGAAUAAAGUAUACUCUGUUCCAUUAUCAGACCUAAAGGUCUUGAGUUUACAGCCUGUUUUAGUUUCUGCUGCAGCUUUAAAUUUCUGGAAUAUUGAGAGUACUUUAUACUUAGUGAAAGUAUGCCCAACAAUACCUGGAGUAAUAAUAAAUAAAUAAAAUGAAGUAUCUGCUUCCAUUCAAUGAUUCAGUAUUCAUGGGGCCACACACAUCUAUGUGUACAAGCUACAGCUUCUCAGAGGCUCUCCAUGCUUGAUUGGUAGGAAAUGGCAAUCUUGCUUGUUUUCCCGAUUGACAGACUUCACAUACCUCUUCUUCCUUAACAGAGUUGGUGAAGUUUUCAACCAAGUCUUCACUGAUCAUCUGAGACAUUGAUCUGAAGUUGGCAUGCCCAAGCCUUUGGUGCCAAAGCUUGGAGUCUUCAGAAGAAAUAGCAUAGGCAUUAUUAAAGCCUUUAUUCUAGUCCACAACAAAGCUCUUUUCUGUCAUGGCUACUGACAUGAGCAUAGAUCCACUUGGAUCACUAAUCUGAUAUUCAUUUUCUUUGAACACCACAGUAUAGCCUUUUUCAACUAAUUGAGCUAUACUUAAUAGGUUUUUGUCAAUUUCAGGAACUAACAAAACAUUUGAAAUGAUCUUGUUACCUGUUGGCGUGCAAAUAACCACAUCUCCCUUUCCUUCUUCCUUGAUAAAGUGGCCAUUGCCAACUUUAACUUUAGUUUUACAGCUUCUGUCUAAAGACUUAAAAAUAGCUGCAUCUGGUGACAUAUGGUUGGUGCAGCCACUGUCAAGGAGCCAACCAUUUCAGACUUUCUUUUGACCAGCUGAGCAUGAAACAGCAAAGACUUGCUCUUCAUAGUCACUACUGUCUUCAGCCACUCGAGCUACUUUAUUCUUGUGUUGUGGUUGGUUUUCGCCAGGUCUGCCUUUUUCUUUGCAGACCCUUUCAACAUGGCCCUUCUUCUUACAGUGUUGACACACAGCAUCUGGCCUGAACCAGCAUCUGGCCUCUGGAUGACCAAGUUUUUUACAAAAACUGCAAAGUCGAUCUUCUCCUCUUGCAGCAUCAGGCUUAGACCUAUUUUUCCAAUUCUUCUUGCCUUUGUAGGCUGAGGAACUUGAAGCAGACUUGGUUUUAGCUUGGAAAGCACCCUCUUGGUGCUCCUCCAUCCUGUUAGCUCUCCUUUGCUCCUGAGCAUAGAGGGCAUUAAUGAGCUCAGUUAAGGAGAUGCUUGCUAGGUCUCUUGAAUCCUCUAAGGAGGAUAUUUUUGCUUCAUACCUUUCUGGUAAGGUAGAGAACACUUUCUCCACAAUCCUUGCCUCAUCAAAUUGCUCACCAAGGAGCCUUAUGCUGUUAACUACAGCUAUGAUUCUGUCAAAAUACUUUUUGACAGUUUCUUCUUCCUUCAUCUUCAAAUUCUCGAAAUCCCUUCUUAGGUUCAAGAGCUGCUGCUGCAUUGUCCUCUCUGUGCCUUGGAACUCCUCUUUGAGUUUGUCCCAGGCUUGUUUUGGUGUUUCACAAGCCAUGAUUCUAGUAAAAAUUACAUCAGAAACACAGUUCUGAAUGCAUGACAUGGCCUUGUGCUUUUUACUUUUUUCUUCAGAGUACUGCUUCAUUUGAGCCACUGUUGGAUUUGCUCUCAAUGGUUCUGGUUCAACAUCUGAGUUAACUACCUCCCAUAGAUCAAAUGCCUGGAGGUAGGUUCUCAUCUUGACUACCCAAAUGUGAUAUCAUUCUCCAUUGAAAACUAGAGGUGCAGCUGGUGAGAAGCUUGAUGAAGCCAUCAGUAUGUGAUCCAACUAUAACAGGUGCACUAAGAUAAAGGCUCUGAUACCAAUUGUUGGGGAUUUAGCACACUUUAAUCGGAUGAAGUAAGAACUUCAAUUUGGACUUUAACAACAGUGUAUUAUACCCGGAUAAAGAAUGAAGGAAAAAUGCUUGAAGUUCAAGCUUUGAGCUACUGCCAGGAAUGGAGAACAGAAUUUAGAAGGCAAAGAAAGAUGGAGCAUAUGGAAGUAAAAUCUGAUGAUUUCAUUCAAAAGAAACUUUGGCUCAAAGCCAUUACAUAUACCAGUCAUUGCUGGUCAAAAUAAACAAAUCCAUCACCUAAACACUACCUAACUCCACCUAUUACAUUGGAACUAGGUGAUAUUACUUGCACACUUGAACAAAGCUGGUAACCAACUCUUUGACCAUCAAGUUACAUCAAUUUGUCAUCCAAGCAUAAUUAAAAAUGAACUAAAUUACAAAAAUAUUGUUAAAAAGUAACAAAAUGAAACUGAUAUGAAACAGUGGUAUUAAAAUCUUAUGUUGCAUUUAUUUUACCCAGACAACUUAUGUGCAAAAAAAAUCUUGCGCGCAUGAAUUUGCUUGAGCUGCAUGUGUUGCAUGGGAACUAACUUCAACAAUUUUCGUUCAAUCAUAGCUUGAUUCAUUAGAAAAGAUUGGUUAUUUGUGAGAUUUGUUUUUUUUAUAUCCUUUUCUUUUUUGUUGAUGUAAGACUAGGGAAUGAUAGAUCAUUGAGAACACCUGAGCUGUAAGACCUUCAAUUUGUUUUACUGAAUUCAAAGUAAUCUUUAGAGGCCCUUUCUGGUUCUGGCAAUUCAGUCUUGGUGGAGAAGUAAGUUACCUUUGACUUAGACUUAUUAUUAUGAUUUUAGGUUCAUUUAAUGAUUUUUAGCAUCCUCGCCGUCAUUUAAAGAUUUUUAGCAUCCUCGCCGUCUUUUCCCCAUAUUUAUCAAUGGGUUAUAUAAGUCCAGAAUUUGCUAGAGAUCUCAAAGCUUGUGGGCUGAACACGUGGAGGUGGAGGCAACUUUUGACAGUUUUCAUUCUCAAGCUAGAUUGGGUUAGUUUGCUGGUAGAGCCAUUGGAGUCGAUAUUUUCUUAUCUUGGAUUUUGAUUAUCAUAUCAGUUUGGGCUGAAAUUUCUUUGUAUGUUACUACCUCUCAUGUUGUUUGAGCAUUGCAGUGAAGAGAUAUUAAGAUUCAUACUUGAAUUCUUUUUGGCAAUUGACUUGUUAUUGGUUGGUUUUGAUUCAUAGGAUCGGUGAUGGAUAUCAUUCAGCUUAAUUGUUUAGGUUCCACCAUUGGUGCUCAUGCCAUGGGCUGUAAGUAGAGAUUUAAUCAUAUUGUAUCUCAAUACUAUCUGCAGUUUACUUCAAUGAUUCAUUCACCCAUUGAUUUAUGUUUCAUAUUUUCUUAAAACGUUAGUAAAUAUAUAUAUGUUUUCAGUUCAUGAUUUCUGAUUUAUAUUCAUGUUAGCUAAGGUAAACCUACCAACUAUUCCCCAUAUAUAAUCUAUUUGCUAUGUUUUAUUAUUUUGAAUUUUAUGACUAUGAUCUAUUGAUUCCAUAAAACUUGAUGAAAGCCAAGCCGGACACAAGUUCAAUACUCUACUGGAAUUGACGUUGCAAAUUAUUGGUGGUUUUGAUAUCUUCUUUCUCACCAAUAAAUGAAGUUCCCACAAAAUUACUAGUGUUAAGGUGAAUGUUGUGAAUCAAUGCAAAAUCCACAUUUAUAUAUGUGCGCUUUUACGUUUUGAAUUUGGUGAUGUGAAGGGAAUAAAGAUGGCAAUGGUUGAUGAAAGGAAAGCAGGUGAGGGAAUAAAUGACAAAUUUUUGUAACAAGUAAGCUUUUAUGAUGUUCAAUUUCUUUUUUUGAAUGAUUUUUUCAUAUUGCGGUUGAACUGAGAUAUUAAAGCAGUACUACAACUUGUCAACAGAGUUGCCUUGUUCAUCCCAUCCAGCUUUGCUUCAACGCUUUCUGGAUUUUGGCCAUUAAGAGGAAGCAUAUGAUCUUGGGUAAAUUACUUUUGACUCAUUUUGAUUAUUAGUAUCCUCAUGGCAUUCGUUUCCCCUGAUUUACCAAUGGAUUAUAUAAAUGCAUGCAGAAUGUUGAAGUUGGCCUGCAUGUGGCACAUGCAGCACAUGCAACACAAGUUGUGCUGAUGAAGUACUUGCAGCUGGAAAGGAUCAAGCUGCUAUAUUAUUACCGGAUGAAGUAUGCAUGAAGUUGCUGAAGCACAUCACUGCUAUAGUAUUUCAUUUUGUUUUGUUACUUUAAACAUUAUUUUGUAAUUAGUUUGAUCUAAACUAAGUUGACAUUGUUUUUUUUAUGUAAUUUGAUGUAAUUAGGUGCUGAUAGAUUGAUAAAUUAGUUUACCUAUGUGUACAAGUAGCGUUUUUUCAUAAGUUCCAAUGUUACUUGGUGGUAAUAGGUAAUGUUAGGUGACAAUUUGCUUUAUUUUGACCAGCUAAAUGUUUGGCAUAUGUAUUGGCUCUAAGCCUUCAUUCAAUGUUAAUGAAAUCACUUUGAGAAUUUCAUCCAAAUACUCUCUCAAUUCUUAGCAUUCAUUUUUAUCCCUUAAGUCCGAUUCUGUUCAUUUGCUCAAAAUCUCCUGACUUGAAUUUCAAGUUUUCUUCAUUCUUUACCCAAAUUUAUUUCGUUGUUGUUUAAGUUCCUAACUGAGCUUCAUACUUCCUCUAGAUAAAUUGUUCAAAAACCCAACAAUUGGUAUCUAAAGUUGUAUUCUCAGUGGACCUGUCAUAUUUCAACCUUAAAAACUAUGGCUUUAUCAAGCUUCUCACCAGCUGCACCACCAGUCCUCAAUGGAGAGGGCUAUCACAUAUGGAUGGUUAAAAUGAAAACCUAUCUGCAGGCAUUCGAUUUGUGGGAGGUGGUCAACUUAGAUGUUGAACCAGCACCACUCAGAGCCAAUCCAAUAGUGGCUCAGAUCAGGCAACAUGCUGAUGAAAGGACCAAGAGGCAUAAAGUCAUGUCCUGCAUUCAAAACAGUGUGUCUGAUGUGAUCUUUACAAGGAUCAUGGCCGGUAAGACACCAAAACAGGCCUGAGAUAGAUUGAAGGAGGAGUUCCAAGGGACAGAUGGAACAAGACAGCAACAGCUACUGAAUUUGAGAAGGGAUUUUGAAAACUUGAAAAUGAAAAAGGAAGAAACAAUAAAGCAAUACUCAGACUGAAUCAUGGCUAUUGUAAACAACAUAAGGCUGCUUGGAGAAUAGUUCAAUGAAGCAAGAAUUGUGGAGAAAGUGAUCCCAACCUUGCCUGAAAGGUAUGAGGCAAAGAUAUCAUCCCUAGAAGACUCGAGGGACCUGACCAGCAUUUCUUUGGCAGAGUUGAUCAUGCUUUCUAUGCUCAAGAGCAAAGAAGAGCUAGCAGACUGGAGGAGCACCAAGAAGCUGCCUUCCAAACCAAAACCAAACCAGCCUCAAGCACCUCUACCUACAAAGGUAAAAAGACCUGGAGAGAUAAGCUUAAGCCAGAUGCUGUAAGAAGAAGGAAUCAAUCCUACAGGCAUUGCAAAAGGCCUAGUCAACCAGAGGCUAAUUGUUGGUUUAGACCAGAUGUGCAAUGCUAAUACUGCAAAAAGAUGGGUCAUGUUGAAAAUGUUUACAAAAGUAAAGGUAGACCAAGGCAGAAUCAACCACAACAACCAAAGGUUGAAGCUCGAAUAGCAGAACAGGGCAGUGACCAUGAGGAGCAAGUCUUUGUAGUUUCCUGCUCAGCUGCUAAAGAAAUUGCCACAAAAGGAUGGCUCAUGCACAGUGGUUGCACCAACCAUAUGACACCUGAUGCUGCCAUCUUCAAGUCAAUAGAUAGAAGCUUCAAAACCAAAGUGAAGGUGGGAAAUGGCCACUUCAUCAAGGCAGAAGGCAAGGGAGAUGUGCUGAUAAGCACUCCCACAAGUAACAAGCUAGUUUCUAAUAUUCUUUUGGUGCCUGAGAUCGAGAGAAACUUGCUCAGCAUAGCUCAGUUGCUUGAGAAGGGCUAUAUGUGGUGUUCAAGGGCAAUGAGUUUCAAAUUAAUGAUCCAAGUGGAUCCAAUCUCAUAACAGUAGUCAUGACUAAUAAAAGCUUUGCUGUGGACUAGAAUAAGGGCUUAAACAGUGCCUACAUAGUCUCAUCAGAUGAAUCCAAGUUUUGGCACCAAAAGCUUGGCCAUGUCAACUACAGAUCGAUGGCUCAGCUAGCUAGAGAAGAUCUGGUUGAAAACUUUCCCAAUUUAGUUGAAAAUGAAGAGGUUUUUGAAGUAUGCCAGUUUGGAAAGUAGGCCGGGCUGCCAUUUACUUCAAACAAUGCCUGGAGAGCCUAAAAAAGGUUGCAACUGGUGUACACUGAUGUGUGUGGCCCCAUGAAGACUCAGUCUCUAAAUGGAAAUAGGUAUUUCAUCUUAUUCAUUGAUGAUUACUCAAGGUAUUGUUGGAUCCACUUCAUCCAACAUAAGUAUAAAGUAGCCUCAGUUUUUUCAAAGUUCAAGGCUGCAGCAAAAAUAGAAUCAAGAUGCAAGUUAUAGACUCUGAGAUUUGAUAAUGGAAUUGAGUACACCUCAACUUAAUUUCAACGCUUUUAUGAUGAAGCAGGCAUCAAGCACCAGCUCACCAACACUUACACAACUCAACUGAAUGGUGUAAAUGAAAAGAAGAAUAGAAGCCUGAUGGAUAUGGCCAGAUGCUUGUUGUUUGAGAAGAAUUUGCCAAAAACCUUGUGGGCUGAGGCAGGUAACACUACUAUCUACAUCCAAAACAUGCUCCUAACCAAGGCUUUGGCUCAGAAGACUCCAUUCAAGACCUGGUUUGGGUUCAAGCCAUCAUUAGCUCAUCUAAGGGUCUUUAGAUGCAUAUGUUAUGUACAAGUUCCAGUUGUAAAAAGAAACAAGCUGAAUAAGAAAGCUCAAGCAGGUAUUCUGGUAGGUUACAACACAGUUAAGAAAGGCUAUAGGAUAUUGGAUCCUUCAAUAAACAAAGUGUUUGUAAGCAGAGAUGUGGUGUUCAAUGAAAAAACAAGUUGAAAUUGGAAAAAGAAUGAGCCAGAGGUAGUUUCUGAGGACUUUGUAGCAGAUCAGACUGAAACUGAUCAAAAUGGUCCUAAAAUGGACAUUGAUGAUGAACUAGUUAGGGGCAUUAGACAUUUGGCUGAGAUUUAUGAAAGAGCUCAAGUAGCUAUAGUAGAACUAAACUGCUUUGAAGAUGCUAAAGCUCAGCAAGGCUGGAAACAAGCCAUGGUUGAUGAAAUCAACAUGAUUGAGAAGAACCAGACUUGGGAAUUACUUCGGAAACCAGUCAACAGGAAGAUCAUUGGGGUAAAAUGGGUCUAUCAAGCCAAGCACAAUGCUGAUGGGAACUUGAACAAGCUUAAAGUUAAGCUAGUUGUGAAAGGGUUCAGCCAGAAGUAUGGCAUAGACUACCUGGAGACCUUUGCACCAGUGCGCAGGCUUGGCACCAUUAGGCUGCUAGUUGCCUUAGCAGCACAGAUGCAGUGGAAAAUUCACCAGCUUGAUAUAAAACUAGCCUUCCUCAAUAGAUUCCUUGAAGAAGAGAUUUAUGUUGAGCAACCUCAAGGCUUUGAAGUGGCUGAUAAAGAACACAUGGUGUAUAGGCUAAAGAAAGCCUUAUAUGGCUUGAAACAAGCACCAAGGGCCAGGUACAGUAGAAUUGAUGGCUACUUGGUCAAUUUGGGAUUUGAAAGGAGCAUUAGUGAGCCAACAUUGUAUAUUAAAAAGGAUGGAGUGCAAACUCAGCUCAUUGUGCCCUUGUAUGUUGAUGACCUGUUGGUGACAGGAGGAAACUAAGCAAUGUUAGCUGAUUUCAAAGCCAAAAUACAACAGAUGUUUGAGACAAAUGUCUUACUUCUUAGGCAUAGAAGUAACACAAACUUAGGAAUGAAUUUUUCUAAGUCAGAGGGCUUUUGCCAUAAAGAUCUUAAACAAAUUCUCAAUGCAGAAUUGUAAAGCAACAAGCACUCCAGUUGCUGUUGGGGAGAAGCUAUAUAGCCAAAGUGUUUUUGAGAAGGUAUGUGAGUCAACCUAGGUAUGUGAGUCAACCUAUAGGAGCCUAGUUGGUUGUUUGCUAUACUUGACUACCGCUAGGCCAGACAUAAUGUUUGCUAUGAGUUUGCUCUCAAGAUUUAUGCAUUGUUGCAAUACAAGUCACUUCAAAGUUGACAAGAGAGUUUUCAAGUACAUCAAAGGUACUCUGAGUUAUGGAAUAUUGUUUAGUAAAGCUAAAAGCUUGAAAUUGGUUGGCUAUACUGAUAGUGACUGGGCAGGCUCAAUGGAUGACAUAAAAAGUACUUCUGGGUACAUUUUUACACUUGGCUCAGCCAUUUUUAGCUGGGGUUCAAAGAAGCAAUAUGUUGUUGCUCAAUCAACAGCAGAGGUAGAAUAUGUGGCAGCUGUAGAAGCUGUCAACCAAGCCAUUUGGCUAAGGAAGAUCUUAGCUAAUCUGAAUCUUCACUAAAGGGAAACAACAGAAAUUAUGUGUGAUAAUCAAUCUACUGUUGUAAUUGCAAAGAAUCCAGUUUUUCAUAGAAGAACAAAUCACUUCAACAUUAAGUUUCAUAUUGUUAGAGAGAUAGAGUAAGCUCGAGAAGUGUUGCUAAUUCAAUGCAAUUCUGAAGACUAAGUUGCUGACAUCUUGACAAAACCCCUUAGUGUGUCAAGGUUCAUCAAACUAAGAGAACUAAUGGGACUCUACAGCAUGCAAGCCAAUGAGGAGUGUUGAAGUUGGCUUGCAUGCAGCACAUGCAACACAAGUUGUGCGGAUGAAGUACAUGCAGCUGGAAAGGAUCAAGCUGCUAUAUUAUUACCGGAUGAAGUAUGCAUGAAGGUGCUGAAGCACAUCACUGCUAUAGUAUUUCAUUUUGUUUUGUUACUUUAAACAUUGUUUUGUAAUUAGUUUGAUCUAAACUAAGUUGACAUUGUUUUUUUAUGUAAUUUGAUGUAAUUAGGUGCUGAUAGAUUGAUAAAUCAGUUUACCUAUGUGUACAAGUAGCGUUUUUUCAUAAGUUCCAAUGUUACUUGGUGGUAAUAGGUAAUGUUAGGUGACAAUUUGCUUUAUUUUGACCAGCUAAAUGUUUGGCAUAUGUAUUGGCUCUAAGCCUUCAUUCAAUGUUAAUGAAAUCACUUUGAGAAUUUCAUCCAAAUACUCUCUCAAUUCUUAGCAUUCAUUUUUGUUCCUUAAGCCCGAUUCUGUUCGUUUGCUCAAAAUCUCCUGACUUGAAUUUCAAGUUUUCUUCAUUCUUUAUUCGGAUUUAUUACAUUGUUGCUUAAGUUCCUGGCUGAGCUUCAUACUUUCUCCGGAUAAAUUAUUCAAAAACCCAACAUAGAAUUAAGUAGAGUUGCUCUUAUCUCAAAACAAGUUGAAUGAACACAUGGAACCUGGAUGUUAUUUUCAAUGCCAACCCUAUCACACUUUUAAUUCUCAAGCUAGAUUGAUGAGCUUUUAUGUUUAUUCCAUAGAGGCCAACAUAAACACUUGGAAGAAAAAAAUCCAAAUGAUUUUGGUUUAGUUGGAACUUUAAAGUGCAGAGCUGGUUUCAUGGUAAAGCCAUUUGACUUGAUUGUUAUAUCAGUUUGGGCUAAAACUUGAAUCAAUUUUCCCCUUUCGUAAUUAAAAUUCCAAAAUUUUAUUCUGCUUUGGAAUUGUAAGGAUGCAACAUCGGAAUUGCUUUGUACAUUCGCUUUUUAUGAGAUGGUAUCCAAUAAGUUCAAGAUUUGUAGCUUAGUAAUUAAAAUAACUUUCUGUAACACUAAAUUAUGAUCUACUAUAAGAAAAAACACAAAUUUUAUACUAAUCUGAUUAUUUUAUAACGCCAUGUGACUUACAUUUAUAGUAAUUAAAAAGAUUCUGCUUUGGAGUUCAAAAAAUAUCCACGCGAAGCCGUGGUGGGUAUCAUAGUUCAGAUAUGGAGCUUCGUACUUAAAUUCUUUUAAGCAGUUGACUUGUUAUUGGCUGGUUUUAAUUCAUAGGAUCAGUGGUGGACUUCAUUCAGCUUCAUUGUUUAGUUUCCAGCCUUGGUUCUUAUGCUGUAGGGAGUAAGUGGAGCUUUAUUGUUUAGUUUCCAGCAUUGGUCUUAAUACUCACUGCAUUUGCUUACUUAUGUCAUUGGUAUUUGUUGUGCUUUUUACUUGCAAGUUUAAUGCAACGCAUAUGCUAACCAAAACAGAGUGUCAAUAAAGAAUUGAUGGUAGAUCUUUGGACAUGCCAUUAUGUUUGGAGUUUUACCUACAAUAGAAAAAGGAGGAGCAAGUAAGCUUUUCAAGAGCUUCAAUUUCUUCCAAUGAAUGCUUGCUUUAUGUUUGUGCAUGAACUGAGAUAUUGAGGAAGUACUGCAACUUGUCAACAGAUUUGCCUUCUUGAUCUUAUUCAACAUUGAGCCAAUGCAAAUUGAAGCUAUUUCCUAAGCUCUUUCUGAUUUUUGAGCCUUCAGAGGAACCAUAUGCGCUUCGAAAAUUUAGCCUUCCUUGAGAGGUAAUUUACCUUUGUUUCAUUGUGAUGUUUUUAGCAUUCUCAUGAACUCUUUCCCCUAAUUUAUCAAUUGGUUUAUAUGAAUUCAGAAUUUGCCAAAGUUGCUGUUAUCUCAAAACUCGUGGGAUGAUGGAGCUGGAGAUUAUUUUUAGUGGCACCCCUUUCACAGUUUUCAAUCUCAAAGCUAGAUUGUUGAGCUUCGAAGUUUUACCCCGCAGAGGAAACCAACAAGACACUAGAAUAUUGGCAUUCGCAAUCAACUCAGUCUCUAAGAAAUAACUAUUCCAUCACCUUAUUUUCUUUGUAUAAUUAUAUAUUUAAUUUAAUUGAUUUUGUGGAUGAUAAAUACUAUUUUUAAUGUCAAUUUUUUUAGUAUUAUUUUAAUUAUAUUUGUUGUUAUCUUUUAGUGACUAAUCAUAGUCCUUGUAGUAGAUUUUGGAUAUAUCUAUUGGAUAAGAAUCAUAAUAUAGACAAAUAUAGUUGCUGCUUAGGAUUUAAGUUUAGAUAACAUUUUCUACAAUAAAUAGGUGUAAAAAGAAGGUGAUAAAUUAUUGGACCAGGUCAUGGGAGUGGAUUUUCUGUUUAAAUUCGAAGUGUCACUCAAAAUUUAAGAGUAUUUGAGAAAAAAAUAUUAGACUCAAAAUAUAAGCUUAGGAAAAUUUAGAUCCAUUAAAAUAUGAGCUCAGGUUUGAACGUUAAAGGUUUGAGCUUAGCCCGACCCGACUCAUUUUUUAAGUUUGUAAUGGUUUAUAUUAUGUUAUGUAACUUAUGAUAUAUAAAACUUAAAACUACUAUAAUAUAAACAUUAAAAAAAUGUUAACAUGACUAUAUAUAAAAUUUUAAUAAAUAAAAAUAUAAUUAUUAAAUAUCAAACUAAUAUAAUAUAAAAAUUUUAUUGAAAAUUUCAAAAAAAAAAAGGGCAGGCUUAAAAUGAGCUUAGAUUAGUCAUUUAUAAAUAUGGAUGGACUUGGGUAAUCAUAAAGUGCAUUAAUAUUAUUCUUAGGUCUAACUCAAAUUUAGCUCGGCUCAUGAACACUUUAAUGAAUAGUGGUGAUGUUGAAGCUAACGAAGGGGGUGGAAAAUUUCGAUGGAAACAACGAAGAAGAUGAGAAACCCAAAUAACUCCUGGGCUAGGUGUAAAAAGUUAUAAAAUAAUUAAAUAUAUUAAAUAAUUUUGUAGUUAUAGAGGUUUAAAUUCAUUGGAUAAUUUAAAAUUAAAAUCAAAUUAAUAAAAUGUGUAAUCGCUGAAGACUAAAAGUGUUAUUGGACCAACUACAAAUAGGUUACAACAUCAUUUUCAUUAAUAAUAUAACGGAGGACGACCAAGUCAUCAUUUCCAUUAACAAUUUAACGAAAGGGUAACCAAAACAAAAACAUGUUAAAGGUUAAGUAACUAAUUGAGUAAUUUACCUUAUAUUCAUUGAAAAAAUAUUUAUUUAUGGCUUAAUUAAAUAGGAGGCCUUAAAUUAUGCCUAUUAUUUUAGAUACUUAUUUUUUUAAUCGAACCACAUAUUCCAUAACCGAAGUUAGCCCUGUGGUUACCUCCAUAAAAAAGAAAUCGUCCCAGCCAAUAAAAAACACCAAAUCUCAAUCCCACAAAAAUAUGAUUAAAAAAUAAUUGAUACUAGUAUUAAAUAAAAAUAACUAAAAGGGUACCCCUCUCCCUAUAUAUUAAAAUUUUAUCUACACUUCUAUUUAAUUAGGCCUUUUUGGUCUGUAUUAUUUUUUCAUUUCCAUUUUAGUUUGUUUUUUUCUCCUUCAUUGUACUACUUUUAAAAUGUUAUUGAUAUUAGUGAUAUUAAUUCAAUUUUUUCGUAUGGAACUUUUAAUAAUAUAAUAUAAUUUAAAUAUAAAAGAAUUAAUUAAUAUUUUAAUUAAUUGACUUGUUGUUACUUAAUUUAUGAUGCCAAACUUAUUAGUUAACCAAUUGAGUUGGUAUCACUUCACUUAUGACAUCAAACUCAGUGUAAUUUUUAGCAUACUAAUCUAAUGAGUGAAUUUAGAAUUUGCCAAAGUUACUCUUACCUCAAAACUUGUGGGAUGAACACAUGGAACCGGAGAAUGUUUUUCACUGGCAACCUCUUGACAGUUUUUUUUCUCAAGCUAGAUUGAAACUCAAUAAACACUGGAAAAAGAAUUGUAAAAAAUCCAAAUGAUUUGGGUUUAGUUCGAGUUGCUUUCAUUGAAAUGGCUUUCAUGAAUCUUAUGUGGUUUUAGGUCGAGUUUGAGUCAUAUUAAUUGGUGGCGAAAUAAAUUUCGAAUUGUUUCUAGUGGGAAUGAAUUGGACAAGGGUUAAACAAGGGUGUGGUUGUUUCUCUUUAUAUAUGGAAGUUGAACAUGCUAUUCUAUUUUCUUAAUGUGUAAAUGCGUAAAUGCGUAAAUGUUAAUGUUAAAUUUGUUGAUUUUUUAGAAUCAAGAUUAAAUUGAUAAAAAUGCAAACAUUGAGGGCUAAAUUUAUUAUUAUACCAAUCAAAAUUAUGUGAAUUUGAUAGAAGACAUUAACGAUGUAGUUAAAUGUACUUAGCUGCUCACUUUCACAAUUAACAAAGAUUAAAUUUUUCCUCUUUUAAAGGGACCAAUUUAUUCAAUUUUGAAAUUAAGAAAGACUAAAGAAGUCGUUUUACCCAAACUUGCCUUCCCUAUGUUAGAAAGGACUAACAAAGAAAAUCUAUCAUUAUUUCACCUAGGAAAAUAGAAACACAACACCCUUCCUUCCAAAGACUUUUCAUUCAGGGGAAGAAAGCGGAAAUUAUCCGUCAAGAAAGUGGUAGGAAAUUUAAGUUUAAUUCACUUAAAAUGGUCUAAAAGUGGCAAUUAUUCUUAAGAAAGCUAUACAAAAUUUCAGUUCAAUUGACCCAAAUGACAAAGUGUGUUCCAGUCAUUAUUUUUAUUAGGAAAUUCAUAAGAAAUUUCAUCACAACCCAAAAAGAAAUUCAUAAAUGAAGACAAUUUUUUUUGAAGUUGUACGUUUGGUUACAAAAUCAACUAAUAUCUAUUUUUGAAUAGAUGAUUUAUUCAUACUAACAUAUUAAAUAGGCCCUUAAGCUUUAUCACAUUAUCUAAAUAAUCUCGUGUACUUUUAUCAUACCCCAAAUAAGCCUUUAAACUUUAUUUGUUAUCCAAAAAACUUUUAAUUUUUAACUUGUAUCUAGAAAAGUUUUAAUCUUAACAAAUUUGUCCCAUUGGAAGACCUUGACUUGGAAAUUAACACCCAUCAUCAUCAUUUGGAACAAUUUUUCUUGUUCGUCAAAACUCCCUUUUAAUACUCUUCAUCAAAGUCCACAUCACCAGAAAACUAAUACAUAGACUUAAGGCUUAGAAUAUGGUUGUUUAUAUAAACUCAAAAUCUUUUUCAUUUUGUUUUUCUAAAUAAUGUGAGAUAUGGGCUUUUAUAUAAAUUCUUAAUCUCUUUGUGCCUUGUUCUUAAGCAAUAUGAGAUUUAUUACCCUUUUAACUAACAAAAGAUUUAAGUUAAACUUAGUUUUUAAAGACUAAAGAUAAUAGUUAAACUUUGCACAACAAUAAACACGAUUAAAAUAUAUUUUUUAAUAUUUUAAAUGGUAAUUAUAAGUUGAUGUUGAAACUCAACACUCCCCUCAUCACCAACUUUUAUUUAAAUUAACAUAUCAUUUGAAAUAAGGGCUAAUUUAAACACAAAUAAAAAUAUAGGGUUUUAUUUGGGUAUCACAAAAGUAAACUAGUUCAAGGACUCUUUUAAGAAUUUAACCAUUUGCUGAACAUUGUCCCAUUGGAAGACCUUGACUUUUGUAGGGAAAAGAUACAAAUAAAGAAGACUGUCAUUUCCUGGAAAGUGUGAGAGUGACAAUUUUCUUGACUAGAUAAUUAGCUAAUCUCCUCUCCAGUCGUCGCCUUUGUUAAAUCUCAUUGUCAUUUACUACUAGGAUACCAAAGCUCCCUUUGUGUAUUUUCCUCUCUUCUUCCUCAAUCUCACCAUCCAUACACUUUCAUGGCAUCUUCAUCAUCUUCUUCUAUUCAACUGAUGCAUUAACUUUUCUUAACCUUCAGAGGUGAAGACUCAUGCCUUAACUCAAAAUUUUAUUUACUCCUAAGUUCUAGCACGAUAAAAUUAUCAUGACUUUGAUAAAAUUAGAGUUUAAUUGAGAAAAUAAUUUAAUUAAAUGAAUGAAUUAAAUUUAUUUUAAUUAAUUAUAUAAAUAAUAUUUUUACAAUGUAAACUUGAUAUUGGGUUGGAUAAAUUAAAUGAAUUGAUUUAAAGUUCAUAUAGACUUGAUCAGGCCCACUUUCUAAGCCCGACCUAAUCUACCCAUAUUAAUUUCUUUAGACUAUUUUUAUUUAAAGAUAAAUUUUAAAAAUAUAAUACAUCAAAUACAUUAAAAAUAUUAAAAUAAAUAUUUCUCAACAAAUUGAAAAUAAAUUUUUUUAAAAUAAAUAUUUAUACUUAAAUAACACUAAUACAGUUGCAAUUUAACAAUCAAAUGUUUUUAAAAUAGUAGCAAAAUUAACAAUAAAACAAAAAAUUUAAUAUCUAAACAAUAACAAUAAAAUAGUAGCAAUACAAUAAUAAAAUUGUAAUAAAAAUAAUAUAAGAGCAGUUAAUAACAACAAAAAAGAAAUAGUCAAAUUCGGACUAUUGGUAUGUUGAAUAAUAUUUUACUCAACAUUUACGUUCUAACACAUAAACUAUUAAUUUCCAACUUUUAAAUUAAUUGCCAAUGAUAGAAAUAUGAAGGUGUUUAAUUAAUUAAAACCAACCAGAAUCACAUGCUCUAUAAAUAGCUUGUGAUUUAGAAUUUUCAUUCAUUGGUGCAUUAUCAACUUACUUUUUUCCUUAUGCAUUUUACAAGCUAUAUGUAUGGUUGUGAUGUGCAAAUUUUGUGGAACUUCCAUGAAAAUUCAGCCCAGGAGUGGUCUGAUUUGAUUUAUCCAAAUUCCUACAUAUGUAGCUUCGAGGAAAGAAAGAAGGUUGGAUGGCAUUUUGAAGUGCUGUAAGAUUUAUUAGUCAUUUUGAAAUUGGUGUCAAAAGCAAAAGCAACCUUUUUUUCUUUUUCUUUUCUCAGCCAAUAAAAUUAUUUUAUUAAAAGGUUUAAUGUAUCGUCCUUAUCACCUCACAAAAAAAGUGAGUUGAAGGGGGUGAAUUUCCAUAUGCUUUGGUGCAUUAUCAACUUUUACUUUUCCUUAUGCAUUUUGUAACAAUAUGUAUGACUGUAAUAUGCAGAUUUUCUUUGUAAAUUCAGCGAAAUUCCUAAUUAUGUAGCUUCCUGGAAAAACAAAAGAAAAAGGAGAAGAUUCUUGACAUCUUUGUAGCAUACUACUAUUUGUUUUUUUGCAAUCAAUGAAUCAAUACUUUGGGGGUGUGGGAAUCAAAUCGCACAAUUAAUCUGUUCUUUCACAGACUAGGCAAGGAAAAGAGUUCCAUUGAUAGUAGUAUCACUAUGCAACCAAAAAAAAAAUGCAAAUUGAUAGUAGAUUUAAAAUGAAAGUUUUGAAGUGAUCUUAAAUAAAAAGGAUUUGGUGACUACUCAAGUCGAUUUAAAAAAACGUUCAGGUAGAAAUAAACUCAAAUUUAAUAUUUUUUAUCUAAGCCGAGUUUUGACAAAAAAUUUAAGUUCAUGGUUCAUACUGGACAAACCUAAAAGAUAAUUCUAAAAUUUUAUAUUGAACCCACGCGGUAAAUCUCACAAUUAAAAUUCAAUCAAAAUAACAUUGGUGAAUCAAAGGAGACAAAUGGGAUUGAGAUGAACAUUGUUUUGGUUAUUCUCUUUGGUACAAAGAUAGCUACACUCUAUGAAUAAGAAACCAGUUUAGACAGAAUCUACAUAGAUAAAGGGAUAACCAGCACCCAGAGACAAUACAAUACGUAAAACCCCGUGUAAGCAAGCUGAAGGAUAAACCGUAUGCUACAACUACAAUGGUCGUUCCUGUCCAGAAUUCAUCACAUAGGAAAAGGCAUAACCAAACUCCCUGAAUUAUACUUUGUAAAACUAAACUAAAACUACCAAAAUAUUGCAACACAAAAGAACGGAAAAACCAACAUCCCAGAAUUGCAACACUAAGUUUCGACACUCGAGAAGUGGAAACCAUGAGCACCGUUAAAAAAAAAACCAAAAUCGAAAAAGAAAUCAUAACUCUAGUUGUGGACUCUGUUGGCGCUAUGUAAACUAUUGAUUGGUCGAAGCAUAUUGCGAAGAAAGCAAGUAAGACUUGAAGUGCUGUUCUGAAACAAUGGGGAUAAGGUUUAAGCAAGGCUAAUGUUAAGAAAAAGGUUACGAUGAAGACAAGAUAAGUUGGAAUAUAGAAAACAAAAAAAAGUAAAUUCAUCUAAGAUUGAUUUACCCAAUGCCAUCUCAUCAUAUGACCCUUUGGACUUUGAAGUGUUAUCUCCCUGCCAAACACCACCAGGUGGGCUAAGACUAGCUUGGAAGGUUGCAGUUAGAAGCAACCCUAAAAUUACUAGUAAGGCAUUGCGGUCCUCGCCUGACAUAUUAUCUAUCUCGUGAGGCAUUAGAUAUGAUAUUUUUAUCAUUUGGUUCUUGUACUUACGUAUAAAGUUUGAAACUCCUGGAAUAAAGCAACGACGUAGAACAGUAAUACUGUCUUCAUUAUGAUGUUGGUCUGCAAUAUCCAAUGCUGUCAAACCAGCUUGAUUGGUAGCGUACUCAUCGGUGUUCCAGUUCAAUAAUAGUUUAAGCAUCUGUUUAAUUGAUAGUUUGAGAAAUAAAAGAACUACAAUCUAUGUCUAUAAAGAUUAAAAAGAAGCCGUACUGAACUAGAUGAGUCAAACCUCAGGUCGAUCAUGAAAAGCAGCUAAGUGCAGUGCAGUGUUUCCGCCUUCAUCUUUUUGGUUCACCACUUCACUAUAGUAGCCUGUCUUCUCAAGUGUUCGAAUUAGGACUUGAAGAACAUCCAGUCCGUUUUCUUCCACGGCAAUAUGCAAAGCAUUACGAUUCUCAAUUGUCACGUCUCUAAUCGAUUGAGGACAAAUCUCUGGAAAUCUAUCCAACAGACCAUUAUGGUUCCCAACUUCAGUUAUGAUGUGCAAAGGUGUCUUGCCAUUCUUUCCUUUGACACGAGCUAGAUCUUUAUUAAUUUCCAAGAAACGUAGAGCCAUACUUGUAUCCGGAUUUGUAACUGCAAGGUGAAGUGGAGUCAAGCCUUGUUUGUUUAGCUUGCUAGCAAAUGAUGGCUUUAAGCUCAUCAUUUCCAUUGCAAGCCUAAGGCAUCCUUCUUCUGCAGCAAUGUGUAAGGGCCGAGUUUCGACAAACUCCUCCUCGUCAAAUUGCUUCAAAGCAUUUCCAUCUAUUUCAAUUAAACUGUAUAGAUCACUAACAUUUCCUGUACAAGCUGCUGUUCUCAACCUUUCAUCCAUGACAGAAGAAGAAUGGAAAGAGCUUAAGCCCACUUAGAGUGUUAACUAGAAUGAGUGAGGACUUACGGUUUUAAAGAUCGUUGCUGCUUUGUCUAUAGAGAAAGCAGAAAAAAUGAAUCUUUCAACUCCGCGUGCUUAUUUUUUAAAAGAAAGUUGCAUUUGAAUAAUUUUAAAUUAAUUUUAAAAAUAAUAAUUUAAUUAUAUAAUAAAAAAAUAUUUUUAAUAGAGCUGCAAUGGUUGUUGAUGGAAUGCUUUUUUGUGCCGUAAUUAACUUAAUCUCAAAAUUCGAAAUAAUGAAACUCGAAAUCAAAUAAAUUUGAAAUAAUUCAAAUUUAAAUUGGAAUCAAUUCAAAAUUAAUCUUAUUCAAAUGAAACUAAUUAAGGAUCAAUCACAACUCUCUAAAUCUAUUAAUCUAAUUUAAUUACUAUUUCUAAUAUAUAUUGAAAGUGUUAUAAGUAAAGUAUAAUUAAAAUAUAAAUAUAUAUAUUUAAGUAAUCAUAAAUAUUAAAUUAUUACGGUAUAAAUGAAUUGUCUGAAAAAUCACCAAAUAGAAUUAAAUUAUUACAAUACAAAUAGAUUAAGAGCUUAUACUAAAGUUAACUAACUUAAUUAAUUGGAAAAAAAAUUACAUACAAUAAAUAUACAUUAUUACACAUAGUAAAUCUCGAACUUAGUCUACCUUUCUAGUGCCAAAUCCUAUUAACAUUACUACCUAUAAAAAUCUCGAACUUAGUCUUCUAGUGCCAAAGCCUUUUAACAUUACUACCUAUACAUUUUUUUAAUGCUCAUGAAAACAUAUAUCUCCUAUGCAAUUGUCUUUUUUUUUUAAUUAUCCUAUCAUUAUUUAUUUUAUAAAGUUGAAGCUUACUGACACUAUUAUAUAGGUGUAUUUGUGGAUCGAAAUUUGAAAUUAAAUAUAAAUGGACUCACUUCAAUUAAUGAAUCUGUCGCUUGAGUUCAUCCCAUUAACUUUUUGGUUGGUAAAAAGUAUAUCAAUAAUAUAAGAUAUUAUUAUAAUGAGAUAACAUAAGAUUCUUCAAGAAAGUGGUAUGAAAUUUAAAUUUAAUUUACUUAAAAUUGUCUAAAAGUGGCAAUUAUUCUUAAAAAAGUUAUACGAAAUUUCAGUUCAAUUGACCCAAAUGACAAAAUGUGUUCAAGUUAUUAUUUUUGUUAGGAAAUUCAUAAGAAAUUUUAUAACAACCCAAAAAGGAAUUCAUGAAUUGUGACAAUUUUUUUUGAAGUUAUACAUUUGGUAACGAAAUCAACUAAUAUCUAUUUUCAUAUAGAUGAUUUACUCAUACUAAUAUAUUAAAUAGGCCCUUAAGCUUUAUCAAAGUACCUAAAUAAUCUCAUGUACUUUUAUCAUACCCCAAAUAAGCCUUUAAACUUUACUUGUUAUCCAAAUAACUUUGAAUUUUUAACAUGCAUCUAGAAAAGUUUUAAUCUUAACAAUUUUGUCCCAUUGGAAGACCUUGACUUGGAAAUUAACACCCAUCAUCAUCAUCAUCAUUUGGAACAAUUUUUCUUGUUAGUCAAAACUCCCUUUUAAUACUCUUUCAUGCCUUCUUCUUCAUCAAAGUCCACAUCACCAGAAGGCUAAUAUAUAGACUUAAGGCUUAGAAUAUGGUUCUUUAUCUAAACUCAAAUUUUUUUUUGCCUUUGUUUUUCUAAAUAAUGUAAAAUAUGGUCUUUUCUAUAGAUUUAUAAUCCUUUUGUGUUUUGUUUUUAGAUUUAUUAUCCUUUUAACUAAAAAAAUAUUUAAGUUAAACUUGGUUUUUAAAAACUAAAUAUAAUAGCUAAACUUUGUAUAACAAUAAACACAAAUAAAAUAUAUUUUUCAAUAUAUUAAAUGGUGAUUAUAAGUUGAUGUUGAAAUUCAAGGCUCUCCUCAUCACCAACUUUUUUUCUAAAUUAACAUGUCAUUUGAAAUAAGGGCUAAUUUAAACACAAAUAAAAAUAUACGGGUUCAUUUGGGUACCAUAAAAGUAAACUAGUUCAAGGACUCUUUUAAGAAUUUAACCAUUUGCUGAACAUUGUCCCAUUGGAAGACCUCGACUUUUGUGGGUAAAAGAUACAAAGAAAGAAGACUGUCGUUUCCUAAAAAGUGUGCGAGUGACAAUUUUCUUGACUCAGAUAAUUAGCUAAUCCCCUCCGGUCGUUGCCUUUGUUAAAUCUCAUUUUCAUUUAAUACUAGGAUGCCAAAGCUCCCUUUGUGUAUUUUCCUCUCUUCUUCCUCAAUCUCACAAUCCAUACACUUUCAUGGCAUCUUCUUCAUCAUCUUCUCGUUAAAUGAUACAUUAAGUUUUCUUAACCUUCAAAGGUGAAGACACAGGCCUUAACUCAAUAUUUAAAACUCAAAUUGACUUAAUCAAUCCAAAUUAUUAAUUAAAAUUAACCCAACAUGCCUGGUUCAUAGGUUUAGUUAAGGGGUAAUAGGUCAAGGACAAGGCUAUAUGCAUGAAGUUACGACAGAUGGGUGUGGAAAAGUUGGGGUCCUAUUUGCCAUUAUGUUAGUUAUGUGAGUGCCGAAUUUGAAUAUGUUCAAUUUUUAUUAAUAAUUUUCAUUUAUUUGUAUCGUUGGAUGGACAAGAUCAAAAUAGAUGCUAUUAAUGGUAUAAGCUUGAUUAAGUCUUCUUUAGUUUUAGUCUAUUAAUUUUUUUCUCUCUCUAAAAUUUGAAUUUUUUUAUUUUUUAAAUAAUUUUUUUCUCAUUUUGUUAUUUAAAUUAAUAUUUAAUUUAUCUUAAAUCGUUUCUACUAGUCUAAAUAGAAUUGUCAAUGAAAAAUGUGUAUCUUUCUUCCCAUCCUUUUCAAAACCUUACAUAACAUAUAAAGUCAGAAUAUCUCUAAAUGAAGAGUCGGAACUUAAGUACAAAUUAUUUUAGUCUUAAUUAUAUAUGUUCAAUUAAUCAUUUUGCUAGCUCAACACAAUCAUUUACGGAUUUCAUUUGAACCGAAACAGAUUUCAUUUGAACCGAAAUGAAAAAAGAGAAAAAGAAAUAGAUUGCAUGUAUCACUAUCUACAAUGAAUGUGUUUUUUCGCUAAGAACAAGAAAUGACUUAUAUUAACUUAUUUCUUUAAAUUAUUAUUUAAUUAAUUAUAAUUAAAUAAUUAAAGUUUGAAGGGAAAAUUAAAUUAAUUAAUCAUUGUGGUUUUAAGGAAUGAGACAAUUAAAUUUAUUUACUCAUAGGUUCUAGUACGAUAAAGUUAUAAUGACUUUAACAAAAUUAAAAUUUAGUUGAGAAAAUAAUUUUAAUUGAAGGAAUUAGUUAAAUUUAUUUUAAUUAAUUAUAAACAUAAUAUUUUUACAAUGAAACUUGAUAUUGGGUUGAAUAAAUUAUAUGAAUUAAUUUAAAGUUCAUAUAGACCUGAUCAAUGGUCGAGUCAAUGCAAUUUUUUAAGCUUGUUUUCUAGGCUCGACCCGACCUUCCUGUAUUAUUUUUUUAGAUUAUUUUUCAUAAAAAGAUAAAUUUAAAAAAUAUAAUAUAUCAAAUAUACUAAAAAUAUUAAAAUAAGUGUUUCCCAACAAAUUGAGAAUAUAUUUAAAAAAUUUAUACUUAAAUAACACUAACACAUUGCAACAUAGCAAAAAAAAACCUUCUAAAAUAGUAAUAAAAUUAACAACAAAACAAGAAAUACAAUAUCCAAACAAUAACAGUAAAAUAAUAACAAUAUAAUAAUAAAAUAGUAACAAAACAACAACAUAACAAUAUUAAACAACAACAGAAAUUUUUUUCCCCAAAAUAUUUAAACUAAGUUUAAAUUUUAAAAUUGAAAUUAUAAAAAAAAAUUACUUAAAUUAUAUCCCGAAUAAAAACUAGGCUCAAACCAUAAAAUCAAACAUAGCAAGUAAAAGAAAUCACGGGUGCGGUACGGUUCCUAAGGUACACGCAUUGACAGUUUUGGUCUGUAAAAGAUUUAAAGAACAUUGAUUAUCCCAUGUGCUGUGACCAGUGAUGUAAUUUGGUUUCUUUUGCCUCAAUCUCACAACCCAUACUCUUUCAUGCUUGCUUGCUUGCUUCUUCUUUUUUUCUCAAAAAAUGGGUCAUCAAAUAAAUACUAAUAUUAAAUAUUUUAAUUAGGUUGGUGUAUAAGUUAUUUAAAUGUUAAUUUAAUAAAAAAAUAGUUAAAAACUUAAGAGUGUAAAAGUUGGAAUCAUAUCCAAUUUUCAUGCUGUCUUAAUGUAGAACAAGCAACAAAUGAUACCCAGCAAGUAUCUAAACAAUUUUCUCAUACAGAAGUCACAGUCAAGGCUUACUAAAUAUCACACAAGGGCUGAAAUAUACUAUAAAAGUCUGUUUUAGGCUUGCAUCUACAAUUUUUAAAUUGAUCUCAUAUUAUAAAAAAAUAAAGUGUUUAAAUAAAAACAAAUCAAAUUCCAUGUGAUUGUUUGAUGAUUAAAAGUGUUUACCGCUCUAAAUGUGAUCUGAAUUUGAGUCGUUUUAAUCACGUUUAUUGAUUUGAGUUGUUUUACUCUGUUAUUUUAAUUCAUCAAAAUAAUAAUAAUAAUAAUAAUAAAUCAAGAUGAUAGGUGUUUAAUGCAUCUUCUAUAUCACUCCAAAAAAAAAAGUUAUGAGUCACAUAUGGAGGGGUGACUUUUCAUACUUUGGUGCAUUAUGAGCUUACAGCUAGACGACUGUAACCUGCAGAUUUUCCAAUGGAAAUUUAGCCAAGAGGAUGACUCUGACAGCUUUGUAGCAUGGUUUUGAUUUGUUUUUUUUUUUUUUUUUUUGCAAUCAAUGAAUAAAGAUAAGGAAAAGUACAGUAAAGUCAAUAUGAUGUGAACUUAACUUUGGGGGUGUGGGAUCAAAUAGUAUAAUUAUUCAAUACCUAAAUACUUGUUUUAUAGACUAGGCAUGAAAAAGAGUUUUGUUGAGUAAUAUUCUCUCAUGUUGUAUUAAGAAAAAUAUGGGGGUAUUUGUACAUAUUCUUAUUGUUACUAUUACAACUCACAAUAGGGCCAAUUGUUUUGUCUUGAUCUUUGGGCCGAGAGUGCUAACAUUCUCUGUCCCUAGUGCUGACAUUCUCUAGGCCUCCUUUAGCUUAUUGGACCCUUGCUUGCAAAGCAUGCGGUCCUUUCUGACCCUAGGACUAACUCUCCCAACGAACCUCGCACCUACCAGUCAUGAGCGAAGGUUAUCUUCGCAGAUACGGCUUGCGACCUCGUCCCUACGAGGUUUACUCGAGCUCUCUUCUUGCGACCUCAUUCCUACGAAGCUUACGCGAGCUCUCCUUAUGGUUUCCCGCGUGAGCUAUCUUCGCAAACAUCUUGUACCCCCGCGAGGUCCUCAGAUGACUAUACCUAAUUUUUUUAGGGUCGAGUUCAUCUGGUUCGGAGGUCCAGAUCUUAUCGGCCACUUGGACUAUUGGUUUCCAAAUCCUAACAAUCUAGUCCCCCUUGGUGCACCUAAGGGACGUUAUAAAGUGGUUGGCCUUAGGUCCAUUUCAGACGUAGCUUGCUAGGUACGCCGUGGGGCCAUAGUGUAUGAUAGUUAUCUUACCAUGUGCAAAUCCAUGCAUUGGGGCGUGCAUCCGAAUGUUGAGAUACGAAUGAUUUUUUUGUGCUCGCAUAUGAACCGUUGGUUUAUUUUUGGUUACCCAAACGGUUUCAGGGGUCUCCCUUUAAAAAGGGAUGGCCAACGUUUUAGGUUUCUCCAUUGUUUGGCUUUUUUGUAUAUCGAAAUCGAGGUAAAUCUCAUGAAUUUCUCUGUUUCUUAACUCUGAUAUAUGUUUUCUUUCUUCUUUUGUUCAAAAUAUGGUAAGAAUGAGAUGAGCUCACAACCAGAUUGUAUUGGCUUGUUCGAUUCUAAUCAUCGUGACUGAAAAACCUAUGCCUACACCACAACACCAGAGGAGAUAAAACGGGCUCUGACCGUGCGGGGAAUUUAGCUUCCUUACUUCGCUUAUGACUUUUCCAUUCCCUCGAGGUCACACCACGUAUGUAAGGCGACGGAGGACGGUUUUUUCUUUCGUUGCAAGUUUUGGAAGUGCACUUUCACCUUCUUUUACACCCUUUCUUUUGCAGUCUCCUCAAUGACUAUAGGUUCUUUCCUGGCCAACUUUUCUGUUUCUCUUGGUGGCUCGAUAUGGCGUAUUUCUUUGACUGAUACUAGCAUGAUGAGGUUCCUACUUUCCCUAUCUUCCAACAUCUGUAUCAGCUGAAGGUGACUGACUUGGAGGAGUCCGCGGGGUUCUACUAUUUUUCCCUUUUCAGAAGGUGCAAACAAUUAUCAAAAACUAAUGUAAGAAUUUUCUCCUAAAACAGGGGAAAUACAUCUAAUUUCACAGUCUACUUGGUGAGGGCUUUGGGUUUUCCAUUAGAUGGUCUUCCCCUAGCAAGGAUAUAUACGUUUUUCAAAGGAGCCUCACCACUGAUGAGGCUAUCGUGCAAUAUUAGAGAUUGCGCGUUGGUCGCAUGCUAGCCUUGAAGAAGGUUCUAACUACUAAGAAUGUCUUCAGAUUCUAUCUGGAAAAUCUUAGUCCGAAUAGCUAGAGGGCUGGUAAUAACAAAGACAUCGUGCAAUUGGUUGGUUGGCGAUCAGCGAGGGAACUUAGACCUAUGAUUCUUACGACCAAUUGGGGAUAAUAUUGAUGGGGUACUUGAGGGAGCCUGUGAACUUCUUCUACCAUUAUUGCGGGAUAAUGUUUCGUUCCUUUGCCCUCUUAAAAUUUAAGCGAAAUAAGAGGGUCAGAGGAGGUACUAACUUGUUACUUACUUCUACUAAUAUUAGGGUUCUUGGUGGUACAGGAGGCAAUCAAAGCAACAAAUGUAAUUCACAUGAUAGUGACAGCAUCUCACGCGAGCUUAACAUAGCUAUGGACAUCGAUGCUUUAAUAAGUAGUGGCCGCAAGAAGCGCAGGACUUCGACUGGGGCCCUGCGUGUCAAUCCCUCUAGCGAGUAGGAAGGGAGUGGUCCUCAACUAGGGCACUGUCAGAAGAUAAGGGCAAUAGUGGAGACCUUGCUGUUACAGUCACCUCCAUCCAUUCUUCCCCUCUAGUAAACUUGACAACCGUUGCCUAGGUGAGCUCGCCUAUCACCAUCACCGAGGACACUCCCCCUCCCUUGCUUUUGAAGACUCUCCAAUGGCUCCCACAAUUGAAAAAAUAUCCAUUGAAGCUGUGAAGGACUUUCCUUCAUUUUUACACUGUCUAUUAUUUGAGGUUGGCACUCUCGGCCUAAGGUAUGCGGAGGCCCGUGAUAAGGAGCUCACUGAUACUCAGACUGAGUUAGAAAGGGUAAACGAGCUGUACAACAAGGUAAUAGAAGAAAAUAAAAUAAUAAAUGAGUAAUAGGGAGUCCUCACCAAGCGCUUGGUGAUGAUAGAGACGAUAGUGGAGGAGUGUGGAGCUAGCUCAUUGUUGAAAAAGAGAGACACAUAUUCGCAGAAGUGGAGCUGAAGGUUAUUGUGAGGCACUUCAUCGAAAUAGAAAGGAUCAUUAAAGAGUGUAAAGAACAGUUGGAUACUACCCUCCUAAAACAAGGGGAGGUGUUGGCAGCUUCCAAGCAGCAAACUUCUCAGAACAUCUUGAGCUCCCUUCAAAGGUUCAAGGAGAAUCUGCUCCUACAUACCCAGGUCCUCUGUGGCCCCUUUGAUGUCCGUAAGGUGGAUUUUGACACGUUUACGAACAUGGAUGUUAACAACCUGGGCUUCGAUACCUUUAACCCUUCUAGGCUUGCUUGGGAUUCUUUAGUGGCCGCUUGGAAAUGAGAGCUUUUUGUGGAGGAGGGGGAAGGCUCUCAUACUGUAAACCUGGCUCCAUCUGCUGUUGGUGAUGCUGUGAUUUCAAUUCCUCCCUCGGUCACUGGGGAUAUUAAAGUUGCUGCCCCAGCUAUUGAGAAUGUUGCUCCUAUUGAUUAAGAUCAAGGUGAAGGUGAUGAGUAGUUGAACAAUGAUAUUGUACUCAUAUUUUUCUUAAAUUUUUAAUUUCUAGCUAUUCUCUUUGUAUUGAAUUUUUUUUAAAUGAAAAGCGUUGUUGCGAGAUAUUUCAUACUUGGAAUUUUUUUAGAAAAUUUUUAUAUGCGAACCUUGGUCUUACAGUUGGGAGCUUUGCUCUUACUAACUAUGUUUGAGGCCGUGGCUCUUCACUUGUGAACAUUAAUUUUACAACUGGGAACUUUGAUCUUGCUAUCUGUAUUGGACGUCGCGACUCUUCACCUACAAACCUUAAUUUUACAGCUGGGAGCUUUGCUCUAGCUAACUAUGUUGAAGGUCACGACUUUUCACAUACGAACCUUAAUUUUACAAUUGGGAGCUUUACUCUCGCUAACUAUGUUGGAGGUCACGGCUCUUCGCUUGCAAACCUUAAUUUUACAACUGGGAGCUUUGCUCUCACUAACUAUGUUGAAGGUCGUAACUCCUCAUCUAUGAACCUUAAUUUUACAACUGGGACCUUUGUUCUCACUAAUUGUGUUGGAGGUCACGGCUCUUCGCCUGUGAACCUUAAUUUUAUAGACGAUAAUUUUGUGAGGAAGAAAUUUUAUUUAUAUGAUGGGUAUUCAUACAAAAUGCUUUUUAAGGUGUCGGGCAUUCUAGGUUUGCAGUAUCAUAACGCCUUCCAUUCUUGCCAAUUUAUAUGCUCCAUAGCUUAUCUUUUUUACCACCUUGUAUGGUUCCUCCCAACUCAGGGCCAUCUUUUUAGCAGAAGGUCGCCUAUUUGAAACUACUCUCCUUUGACCUUGGAGUUAUAAUAACGAGCUACUUGUUGGGCACGGGCUGUGUUUUUUAUUUCAACUAUUUCUCUAGGUUCGUCGAUUAACUCCAAGUUAAGUCUUAAGGCCACAUGAUUAGCUUUUUCAUUGAAGUGUUGCAUUCUGUGCGAUAUUAGGCCUAUCUCUACAGGGAUGACGACUUCUACACUAUAGACAAUUGAGAAGGUUGUUUCACUCGUCGCAGUAUGGGGCGUAGUUCGUAAUACCCAUAAGAUUUCUGGUAGUUCUUCUAAUUUGCCUGCUUUCUUUUUAAGCGCGGUCAAAAAUUUCUUUUUUAUAGCCUCUACUUGGCUAUUGGUUUGUAGGGUUUCACCGAGCUUUGAGCUAAGGAUACCCGGAAGUUUGUGCAAAAUUUCAUGAACUUCCCUUAGAACUGUGUGUCAUUGUCUAUGAUAACAGUGCGAGGUAUCUCAAACUUACAGACAAUCGACUUCUACAUUAAUGACUCUACCUGUCUCUCUAUUAUGGUUGCUAGAGCUUCUGUCUCAAUCCAAUUGGUGAAUUAGUCAACAGCUACUAUAAUGAACUUUUUCUGCAUUAUGGCUAUAAAAAAUGACCCGAGAAUAUUGACCCCCAUGUCGUAAAAGGGCCCUGUCAUGAUUUGGAGAGGUUCUGCUGGUUGUUGAUGUAUUCUGGCGUUUCUUUGGUAAGGGUCACAUUUUUUAACCAUGUGUUAGGCAUCUUCAUAAAUAGUAGGCCAAUAAUAUCCUUGUCUGAGUAUUUUCUUGCCUCCUAGAUGAUCACCGCAAAUGCCCUCAUGGGUUUCUCUCAUGAUAUACUUAGCUUUUGAUAGAGAGAGGCUUCGCAGAAAUGGGUAUGAAAACCUUUUUUUUAUAUAGCACGCCAUUUAGGAGGGUGUAUCGCGCUGCCUUGCAUUGUUAUUUUUCGAGCUCUUUUCAGUUUCUUAUUUACUGUGCAGUGUAUGGAUUAUAAGGGUCAUCUACAUUUCUUUCUAGGUUGUAGAGAACACUUGGGGAACGUCAUAGCUCGGUGCUUCCUUAUGUUCGAGUAAGAUUUUUCCUCUCUCUCAAUAAUGAUGGAGGAUGCAAGCUUUAACAGGACAUCUACGCACGUGUUGUCAUUUAUUAGAAGCUGUCUAACUUCAGCUUUGUUGAAUCCCUACAGCAAUUGAAUUACUGUUGUAUGAUAUCAUUUUAGUAUUAGUUAUUUAACCUCAUACUCGCGCUGUAUUUGCUUUACGAGGAGCUCAGAAUCGGUGUGCAUAGUCAAAUUCCUAGCACCUAGCUGGCACGCUAAUUGUAGUCCCAAGAUUAGCACUUAGUAUUCGGCGAUGUUGUUUGAUGUUUGAAAUCCAAAUUAUAGUCCAUAUUGUCACUCGUUACCCUCUAGGUCUAUCAUAAGUUCGCCUGCCCCGAAUCCCAUUCUAGCUGCGAAGUCAUCGACUUAAACCAUCCAAUCUUUCGAUUCAUCUAUUGUACGUACACUUCUUGGUGUGUUUACUAUUGGUAGUGUCCAAUAACAAAAAGUAAUUUUAGUAAAAAAUAUAAAGUGAUUAUUGUUUCUCUGCAAAGUGUGAGAAUCAUUAGUGAGAUAAAUUUUAUCGCAUAAUGUGUCACUCGUAAACUUGCUAAUUUUCAUUAGUAUUCACAUAUUACAUUAUGUCCGCGAGGUAUCUCACUAUUCGAUGUUUCAAAUUACAUUCUAUGUUACCUGUUAUAUCUUUAUUUCUUUCGAAUUAGCAUUCUACCAUGAUAUCUACCAACAUCUGCCCUUUUAUUGUCGUCCAUGGGGUAAAAUCUAUCCCAAAUUCAGUAAGUUCAAUGUUCUAUUUUGUUAUCCUCCCCAGGGUGUCUGCUUUGGCGAGCACCUCAUUCUUGGCUAGUUAAUGACCACGACGAUCAGGUGGGUCUGAAAGUAUGGGCGUAGCUUACGAGCUGCAAUGAUUAGAGCAUAGAUGCAUUUUUCUGUAUUUGUGUAUUUGAGCUAGCCAUACUGAAAGACCUUGCUAACAUAAUACAUUAGAAAUUAGAGGAUGUCUUCGGAUUUGACCAAGACGGCUGCGAUUGUUUCUUCUGAGGCUGCUAGGUACAAAUAUAGUGUUUCUCUUCUUUGAGGCGGCCUUAGAAGUGGGAGGAAAGUAAGGUACCAUUUUAGCUAUUUGAAAGUAGUUUGACACUCUUCGUUCCAUGAGAAGGGUUUCUUUAAAGCCCUGAAAAAUUGUAAGCACUUGUAUGCCAUUCUGGAGAUAAAUCUAUUUAUCGUCACCACUCCGACUAUUAGGCGUUGGAUUUCUUUUAUAGUUCGCAGUGGGGGAAUCUCUGUGAUAGCUUGAAUUUUUUCUAAGUUCGUCUAUAUUCUCUUCUAUGAUAUCAUAAAACCCAAGAACUCGCCAGCUCACAUACUGAAUGAGCAUUUUUCGGAGUUAAGCUUCAUAUUGUGGGCCUUCAACAUCGUGAAUGUGUCAAUAGGUUUCGCACAUACUCCUCCAUAGAUUUACUUUUUACAAGUAUAUCAUCUAUAUAUACCUCUAGAUCGCAACCUAUCUGUUCUUUGAAUAUCUUGUUUACCAAAGUUACACUCAGAUUUUUAGUCUAAAUGGCAUAACCUGGUAACAGAAGAGACCUUACUUAUUGAUGAAGGUUGUCUUCUACUGGUCACCUUAGUCUAAUAGGAUUUGAUUGUAGCUCGAGAAGGCAUCCAUGAAGCUCAUGUACUUGUGCCCAGUGGAGAUGUCCACUAGGCAAUUUGUCGACGGUAAGGGGAAGCUAUAUUUAGGGCAUACCUUGUUUAAGUUUGUGAAGUCAAUAAAUCUUACACUUGCAUGUCGUCUUUUUUAUCAUUACCACAUUCAAAAUCUAAUCCAGGUACUCCAAUUCCCUGAUAAAUCUAACGGCUAACAACUUGGUGACCUCCUAUCUUAUUGCUUCGAUUACAUGUGGUGCGAAAUUUCCCUUCUUUGUUUCAUGGCUUUUGCCUUUGGGAGUAUAUUUAACUUGUACACUAACGCUUGGCAGAACCGUUGCGGACUAUGUGAAGACGUCUGAAUUCCCCCUCGAGCAUUCGACCACUAAAAUCUUUUUUUCUCCAUUCAGUGCUAACAAAAUUCUGACUGUUCUUUCUUUAUUACUGCAAAAUAUCUGUAGGGUCUCUGUGUGCUCUGCUGUAUUGGGUUUUGUAUAUUGAUGUUCUUCCCUCAUAUUUAGGUCAUCCAAGUUGAUGGCUUUUCUUGGCGAACUUUGCUUCUUGAUUAGAGGCUGUUUUGCCUACCUCACAGACAGUAUGUGACACUGUCUCACCGUGCACUGGUUGACUCACAAGAAGUUGACGUCGGAACUUGUCUGAAACUUGAUCUUCAUACAAUAAGUUGUCAUCACCAUCUUUUCCAUUUGCAUGAUUGGUCUACCAAAGAUGGCGUUACAUGCCAUUGGGUAAUCAACCACAUAAAAUUGGACACAUUUCGUGGUCGUAUGUUCGCUAUCACCCUGAGUGACUGGUAAUGUGAUAAUGCCCCUUACUUUGGUAGGAUGGUUUGAAAAGUAGUACAAAGGGCUGGUUACGAAUAAUGAUUACUUUUUUAAGCCUAUUUUCUUAUAUGCUCCCCAAGAUAGGACUUCUACUACGCUGCUACUAUCGGCAAGUAUCCUUUUGACUUCAAACCUUACGAUCUAAGCUGAAACCACUACUGGGUCAUUUUCAUCUUCGUCGCGGACUAGCUCAUCAUCACCACUUCCAAACUCCAUAUUUUACUAUUCAUAGUGUCUCAGUUUCUUCGAGAUACUAAGCGACAUCACACCACUCAUGUGAGCUCGCUUCUUUUUGUGCUUAACUGCAUCCACUCAUUGCUUGUGCCUACUAUUACAUGAAUGGUUCCUCAUACCCUUUGCUUUUCCUUGGGGUCCAGUCCUUACGAACUCUGGCCCUGUUAGAAACCUCCCUUGUUUAUGAACUCAACAAGUUCGCCAUUCUAGAUAGCUUCUUCUACGGUGUCCUUUAACAUGAAGCAGUCUUCGAUCUUAUGUUCUGUAUCAUCAUGGAAGGCUUAUUGAUCCUUAGAAUUCGUCCCUCUACCGGUACUUCGCAUCAGGGGUGAUUUAGAAAGGAUGCACAAGCUCUUCACCUGGUUAAUGAUGUAAGCUCGUGUGGCAUUCAAUAAGGUGUAAGCUUCGAACCUGCCUUGGGGGGUAUAACGCCUCAUGUACUCAUGUUGGUGCCUUUGCGGGUUUUUAAAUAAAUCACUUUGGGUUGAGGUCUUGUGUGACCUAUCGGUCCUAACCCGCAAGAACUAGUUGCUAGGAGAUUGCCUAGUGCGUUGCCCUUCUCUGUUCCUAGGUUGUCUAUCCUCCCUUUAAAAUCUAACUCGUGAUACCUUCUUGAUUUCUUCUGCCUUCGUGAACUUACGAGCUCGUUUGUAUAGGUCAGCUAGGCUCUGAACCUAUUAUCAGUUAACGAGUACUGCAUAUAGUCAUUAUGCACCCCUAUGAUGAAUGCUUCUAUUGCUCAUUGGUCUUCUAAGUUUUUUGUGUUGAGUGUAGCUAUGUGAAACCUCUUUAUGUAGUCUUGGAGAGACUCACCCUCUCGGUACUUAACCGAUAUUAGCCCCAUAGGUGUAUUCAUGAUUGCUCGGUGGGUCUAAAAUCUUCUCAAGAACAUUUUCCCUAGCUAUGAGAUGUUGCAAACUGAGCCUUGGUGGAAGAGAGAGAUACCAGCCAUUGGUGCUUGCUUUCAGCGUUGUAGAGAAUGCUUUGUAUUUUGCAGUGUCUGAUGCUCCCAACACAUUCAUAUAGUUGUUAUAUUGCAUUCAAAUAUGUCCUUAGGCACCUUGAAGUCACGGGGUAGGCCAACUUCCGCGAUUUCGAGAGCUAAAAGGUUAUUAGAACAAAACAACCAGUCUAUGUCUUGCGACUCUAGCUGCAGGGCCCGUAUGUCGCGACAAAGCUCAUCCAUCUCAUUUAUCCACUCCUUCACCUAAGUGCUCGUGGCUUCAUUUUGGGUGGUAACAUUUAUUGGGAUCCCGAGUUAUUGGCUUGUGCCUUUUAGCGUAGUUCCUUAUUUUGCCUUAGUAACUCCUAUUGAAAGGCUUGCUGUUCCACAAAUCGUGCCUCUUGUGCCGUCAUUUACUCCCUCAUGAACUUCAUCUACUCCUAGAGGGCUUGGAGCUACGAGCAGGGUGGUUCUUAGUUGAGGGAAUAGAGCAUUCCCUAAUCGGAGGAGAGAUUAAGGUCUAAGGAAGGAGAAGGCCCUCGAUAAACCGUAUUCUCGAGGUUUUCGGGCCUGACAGCAAAUCAGACAACAAACAAGUCUAUUUCAUCAUGUCAAGGGUCGGGACUCGAUGCUUCUAUCUGACUGGAGGAGAGGAUGAAAGGAGAGGUGUAACAGCCUAAUUUUCAGUGGUGUUGGAACAGUGAUUCGAGAUCACUAAAUCCGACAAAUGAGUAGGAUAUAUUAAUUUAGUGUGUAUAAAUUAAAUGUGCAGUUAGGAAAAAUUUUGAAAUAGUGAAUAAUGUACUAAAAAUAAAUAUUAAAAUAAUUAAAAUUGAAAAUGAGGUAUCGAGACCUCGAGAAUUUCAAAUCGAGCCAUAAAUAUUUUUAUAAAUAUUUAUGGAGUGUUAAUAUGUUAGUAUUAAAGUUUCGUCAAGAAAUUUUAAAGUUUUGAUAGUUAAUUGAACAAAAAGGACUAAAUUGUAUCAAAUGCAAAAUUUUGAGAAAUGAUUAAAUAGCUUAAUUGAUAAAAGAAAGAGGGUUUAAAAGGAAAAUAGACCCAAGGUCUAUUUGGGCUGGACGGCAAGGGCAUGAAAUCAGCAAGAAAAUAAGGAGAAUUAAGGGCAAAAUUGGAAAAUUCCCAAAAUUAACUAAAUAAAAAUGGGACCAAUUUGGAAUAUCUAGAAUUCUCUUCAUUUCUCUUCAUAUUAAUCAGCUGAAAAAUAGCCAUGGAGGAGGGUUGAAGCUGGUUUUCAUACUCUAGCUUCAUGUAAGUUUAAUUCUUGCUUUCCCCUUGAAAUUUUUAUGUUUUUGUGACUUUUACAACUAGGUCCACUUGUUGAAUUCAUUAGUUUUUGAUUCUAUGAAAGAAAUUAAGUUGCUAUGAAUAUGUUAUGGAAGUAUAUAUGAUUUGGCAUGGAAUUAGAGCUUUAAAUUGUUUAUAUGCUGAUUUUAUUGAAAGAAUUGAAUAGAAAGUGAAUGUUUAGGACCUAAUUGUAAAAGAGUUUGAAGUUAGAGUUUUAUAUGGAAAUUAUGAAUUUCAAUAGUUAUGAAAUAACUUAUAAUGUUUAGGAAAAGUAUUAAUUGAGAAAAUUAUCUUAAUUUAUGGGUUAAUUGAGUAAGGACUGAAUUGUAUGAAUUGUGAAAUUUGGGGCAAAAUGGAAAUCAACAUUUUGCACUAAAACUGUUUUGGACAGCAGCAGUAGUCUAACUUUGAAAAAUCACCAAAAAUUUUAGAAAUGGAAUUAGAGGAUGAAUAAAAUAUGAAAUUAAAGAUUAUUGAGUCUAGUUUCUUAUAGAAGAAAUAAUGUAAGCAAUGGAAUUGUAAAUCAUGAGAUAUGAUAAAUUUUGUGAGACAAGGUCAGAAUGAAUUCGAGAUCCACUGUCCUGACUUUAGAAAUUUACCAUAAAUUGUAAAAAACUUAUUAAGAGUCAUAAUUUACAUGCAUGGAUUCCUUAUUGAGUCUAUUAUCAAGAGAAACAAACAGGAACAUCAUUCAAAUCCUGUACGAGGAGAUAAUUAGUUUUUAGUGAAGAAGGGUCGGAACUAUCAGACAGCAGAACAGGGGAGACUUCAAUGAAUAAACUGUAUUAAUUGGCCCAACCAAAAAUUAUGAAAUUUUUAUGGUAAGAAGACGUAUGAGUCUAGUUUCUGGGAAAAUUUAUGGAUCUUAAUUUGGAGUUCUUUAGCUCAAUAUAAAAAUAAUUUAGUGACUAUGACAUAGAUGGACAGCUUGAAUAUUCACCUAAGUAGAUAGUAAAAAUUAUGGAUAAUGUUACCUACAAAUCUGUUGUUUAUACUAAGGUCUUGUUUAUACUAAGGAUGUGGAUGGAGAGGAGGAGGAGGAAAAAUAUACAUAUAUAUGAAUGACUUGUGUAUAAAUUGAUCACAUGCCCGAUUAUAAUCAAUGAAUGUUGAAUUAGAAAUGAUAUAAUAUUUUAUUUGGAAUAUUUAUGAAUGUUAAUUGUUGAAAAUAAGUAAAUUGUGUACAAAAGGUAUGAAAUUGAACUGAGUAUUUCGAAAGAAUGGAAUACAGGAAAUGAGUACGAUCUUUCAGUGAAAAAGAUGAAUUGACGGUAAAUUACCCAAGUAAACCGAGAUUCAGCAUUUGUUGCGAAUUCUCGUGUUUACUUUCCGUUUAGCUCUUACGAGCUUCUGCUAACUCAUAUGAUUUCAGUUAACCCUUUUGGGGUUUCAGUUCAGCUCUGAUGAGCUUCAGUUAGCCUUUGGGCUUCCGUUUAGCACUUAUGUGCUUCAGUUAGCCUUCGAGCUUCCGUUUAGCACUUAUGUGCUUCAGCUAGACUUCGGGUUUCAGAUCACGAUGUACUUCAAUUUGUAAGUCGUUUCUUAAAUGGAGAAGCUGGUAAGUUGUAAAUGUAACGUGUGGAAAAAGAAAUGUAAGUAAUGCUAUUAUUAUUAUUGAGCUCAAUUAUAUGAUUUCGUCAUUCGGAGAUUGCGAUUGACAAAAUAUGUUAGUAAAUUAUGAGUAUGUGAAUCAAAGUGACAGAAUUUAAACACUUAAUGAGGUUGAGCUCAUUCACAUGAAUUUGUCAUUUGAAAUUGUGAUUGACAGGAAGAAACAGUGAAUUGCAUACUUAUGAAUGGUUACAUAUAAUUACCUGAAAAACAAGAAAAAUGACAGUGAUUGAUAUAUGGAGACAUGAGACAUUGAUAUAUGAAUGUGGAAUAUAUUUGAUAAAUGUGUUCAUUCAUAAUUAUGGAAUUAUGUACCUCAAGUGUGCUAUUUGCAUAAAGAUGAUAUUUCAAAUACUUUGGUGAAUAAAGAUUAAAUAUGAAAUUGUAUGAAAUCGAGACAAGAUGUUAUGAAAAUAUAUAUAAAUUAUCCGUAAGUGUGUCGUACUUAUUGGCAAUGCCUCGUACUCUAUUCCGGCGACGGAUACGGGUAGGGGGUGUUACAAGAGGUCUCGUCGGGGUGAGUCAUUUUUUGCUUUAGGUUGAAGAGAAUUGAAUCAAACUAGAGAAAAUAUGUCAGUCAAAAGUAGUCCACCUUCAUCGCACCAAUUGUUGAGUAAUAUUAUCUUGUGUUGUAUUAAAGGAAACACAGGGGGGAUUUAUACACAUUCCUACUACUACUAUUACAGCUCAAAAUAGGAUACACUAUUUUGUCUUGGCCUUUGGGCUGAGGGUAUUGACAUUCCCUAUCCUUGGUACUGACAUUCUCUGGGCCUCCUCUGGCUUAUUGAAUGCUUACUUGCGGAGCACGCAGUCCUUUUUGACCCUGAGAUUGACUCUCCCAACGAACCUCGCACCUACUAGUCACGAGCAGGGGUCCUCUUCGCAGACAUGGCUCGCGACCUCGUCCCUGCAAGGUUUACGCAAGCUCUCCUCUUGCGACCUCAUUCCUGCGAGGCUUACAUGAGCUCUCCCGCGGGCUUCCAGCGAACAUCUUACAUUCCUGCAAGGUCCUCAACUGACUAUGCUUGUAGGGGAGCAUUCUUCUUCCGGGUGGGGUUCAUCUGGGUCGGAGGUCCAGAUCCUAUCGGUCACUUGGACUAUCGAUUCCCAAAUCCUAACAAGUUUCAUUAAUUGGACACUGAUCUAAAACGUUUGAUAACAACUAGCGUUAUUGACAAUAUUAUGCAAAUUACGAGUAUAUCUAAUCAAGAGGCGGAAUUAUUCGUUCAAACUUAAAGGUUUGUUCAACAUAUAAAGGAAUUUGAACAAAAAUACGAUACUCAAAAAAUAAAUUUAGACAAAAUUUAAGAUUUUUUUAUUCAAGCCGAGAAUUGAUUAAUACCCACCAAUGUAUAAGAAAUUUUAAUGCAACCCACAAGUUUUUAAUUGAUUAAUUAAGUGAACUUUUCUCAUAAUUGAUAAUGUAUCUUACUUAACUUUAUUAAUAUUAAGAUUUUAUUUAAGUUGCGGUAAUGCUAAUUUAAUUAAAAUUUCUAUUUAAAAACAUAAAUAAAAUUAGAUUUAUGAAACACCCACGAGAUAAAUGAAAAAAUUAUGUAACACAUAUGUUUAUAAAAAAUUUCACAUAAAAAAAAUUUUAAUUGGUAUUUUCGUUACAAUUGUAAAAUUAAUUACUUAUAUGUUGUUCUAAAUUCAAAUAUCAUUAUGUUUAAAUUUUUAUUGAUUUAUUAUAAAAGGAUAAAAGCAACCUCAUAAAAUAUAACUUAAUUUGUAUAUUAUAGGAUAAUUUAAUAGUUUUUAAUAAAAAAUAUACAUUUUUGCCAACAAAAUUACAGUUACAACAUGGCCUAAAAAUCCCAUAAGAUGAAAAUAAAAAUGGCAUCAAGAAGAAAGAAGCUCAAUGCUACAUUGCCAAAAAAUCUGCAGUAAGAAGAGACCCCACGAUGGUACCCAAAUAGAAGUCAUCCACCACAAAAGAAGAGAACAUUAAUCAAUUCACCCCUAUACAAUUUAAAUUACUUAUAACACCAUUUAAAAAAAAAACCAAUAACUUAUAACACCAAUUUGCAUAAUUAUAUGUAAAAAGAUUCAGGGACGCGGUACGGUUUCAAAGGUACACAGGCACAUUGACUGUUUUUGUCUGUGAAAGAUAUAAAGAAAAUUGAUUAUCCCAUGUGCUGUGACCAGUGAUGUAGUUUGGUGUCUUUUGCCUCAAUCUCACAACCCAUACUCUUGCUUGCUUGCUGCUUCUCAAAUACUCUUAAUUCUAAACCCUAAAUUAUAAAAAUUAUUUUAAAAUUUAAAAUUGUUAAAUUGUUAAAUUUUAAUUAAUUGUAAAUGUGGCACACGUGAAAUAUCAUACUAUAGAUGUCACAUCAAUAAAGUUAAUAGACUUUAACUUUUUUAUUAAUUUUGAGGUGAUUUGAUAAAAAAAAUGUAAAUUCAAGCAUUAAAAAAAGUGAAAAAUUAAAUGAACAGCUAAAAUAAUUUUUCUUAUAAAAUUAGAGGGCUAAAUAAAUAAUUAUGCCUUUGGCUUUGUAAAAAUAUAAUUCAAUGAUGUCUUAAUGUAGAACAAGCAGCAAAAGAUACCCACCAAGUAUCUAAAUAAAUUUCUCAUACAAAAGCUUGUAAAUAAUUUGACACAGUCAAGAACUUACUAAAGAUCACACAAGGGCUGAAAUAUACUAUAACAAGGGUUGAGAGCAUUUAGUAACUACUUGUAAACAAAGCAGUAAAAUCAGUCCUAAUUAAACCAAGCACACUUACAUCACAACCAUAACAAGUUUCCAAAAGUCCUAAUUGCAGCGGUCCUAAAAUGUGGCUGUGAUUUGAGCUAUUAUACAGUUCUUGAAGCUUCGGACUAGAGCAUGACAGUUUCAUUGAGUAUCAAUUCACCCUCAGAUUCCUUGGGGGAUGUCUUGCUAAUUGGUUGAUCCUUCAUGUGAAAGAUAUCAAUUUUCGUGAAUGUCUUGCUAAGCGCAUAUAUUUUACACUUUUUAGGCCGAAGAUUUAGCAUUUUGCACAAUCCUUAAGUAAAAUGGUGCAUAUUAGAGUGGACAAUAAUGAGCUUCGCAUAAAGGACAAAUAUUGCCAAAUCCUAUUUUUAAUUUCAAGAUAACGUUUGACUUUAGUUAAAAAAGAAAAAGAAAAAGAAAAAAUAAACUUAGGGUUAUCCACAUAUUUUAUAAAUUAGAGUGGAAUCUUAACCCUGAAGAACUUAAAAUUAUUUAUUAGCUAAAUGGUUACUAGUGAUAGUUGUUGCUGGUACAUAAUUAAAAUGAUUUUUAAUGCAGAAAUCCAUGGUUUGAUUCAUGGAUCUUGAUGGGGCCGGGUUUUUGGUUUAAUAUUCAAACUCAAAUUGAUGUUGAACUUGUUGCAAGCUUGGAUAUAUACCAGAUAUUUCAUGCCACCUGUAAAGAAAGAAUAAAAAGGUUUCAAUAUUCAUCAAAGACUCAGUCUACCAAAAAACGAGUUCAAUCUCAUUCCCAUCUAAUAAGCAGAUACCAAAGAUGAUGCUACUAAUAAUUCUUGUCAUUCUUCUUCUUGUAUUUCUUCUUCAGAAGUACGAAAAAGAGAGAAGCCCAGCAAAGGAAAGCUCCCAUUGUGUAUCUCGUUCUCUUGUGCCUCAAUCCGACAAUCCAUACCCUUUGACUUCUUCAUCUUAUCAAGUCAAACAUCAAGUUUUCUUGAGCUUCAGAGGUGAAGACGUACGCCUUAACUUCACCAGCCAUCUACUCAAAGCUUUGAAAGAUACGGGAAUUAAUGUAUUCUUCGAUGAAGAAACAUUGGAAAGAGGGAAGCAACUUUAUUGAAGCAAUGGUUAGCAUGUAGCAAUCACAUGUUUUAUUAUUAUUAUUAUUAUUAUUAUUAUUAUUAUUAUUAUUAUUUGGAUGUAAUGAUGUAACUUAGUUGUAUUCCAACUAAGUUUGUUAGUGGUAGUAGGUGGUGAUUUAUUUUAAGUGGAUGUAAUGAUGAAACUUAGUUGUAUUCCAACUAAGUUGUCAAGUUGUAAGCUUGUAUAAAUAGGCUUUAUGCCAUUUUAAAAAAUAUGAAUGAAUUCAAUCAAGAUUUCAUCCAUAUACUCUCUAUUUUAGCUUUGCUUAAAAUUUAUUUCAUUUUUCUUCUUUGUUUCUGCCGCAAGUCUCGAUUCUUGCUCAUCAAGCUUUUUGUUGAACCUUGCUAUUUGUUGCACUUAGCUCCAACAAUUGGUAUCAAGAGCCUAUUUCUUAAGGGAUCUGUUAUACAAAUUCAUGGCUUCAUCAAGCUUUUCACCAGCUGCACCUCAAGUCUUCAAUAGAGAAGGCUACCACAUAUGGGUGGUUAAAAUGAAGACCUACCUACAAGCUUUCGAUCUGUGGGAGGUAGUCAACUCAGAUGUUGAACCAGAGCCACUCAGAGGCAAUCCAACAGUGGCUCAAAUCAGGCAGCAUGCUGAUGAGAGGACCAAGAGGCACAAAGCCAUGUCUUGCAUCCAGAACUCAGUGUCAGAUGUGAUUUUCACAAGGAUUAUGGCCUGUGAAUCACCAAAACAAGCCUGGGACAAGUUGCAAGAGGAGUUUCAAGGGACAGAGAGGACAAGGCAGCAACAGUUGCUGAACUUAAGGAGAGAUUUCGAGAAUUUGAAGAUGAAGGAAGAAGAAACUAUCAAGCAGUACUCUGACAGGAUUAUGGCUGUUGUUAACAGCAUUAGGCUCCUUGGAGAGCAGCUCAAGGAAGCUAGAAUAGUGGAGAAGGUUAUUGCAACUCUGCCCGAGAGGUAUGAGGCAAAAAUCUCAUCUCUCGAGGACUCAAGGGACCUGUACACCAUCUCCCUGACAGAGUUGAUCAAUGCUUUAUAUGCUCAAGAGCAAAGAAGAGCAAGCAGACUGGAGGAGCAUCAAGAAGGUGCCUUUCAGGCAAGAACAAACAUUGCCUACAAAGGCAAGAAGGCCUGGAGAGACAAGCCAAGGACUGAUGUUGCAAGAAAAGAGGGUCAGACUUGCAAGCACUGCAGAAGGGCUGGUCAUCCAAAAGAAAAAUACUGGUUCAAUCCAGAUGCUGUAUGUCAGCAUUGUAAAAAGAAGGGUCAUGUUGAGAGAGUCUGCAAGAGCAAGGCCAAAUCAAGGCAGAGUCAGUUUCAACAGAUGAAAGCUGAGGCUCGAGUAGCUAAGGAGGACAGUGACCAAGAGGAGCAAGUCUUUGCUGUGUUAUGCUCAGCUGCUCAAGAAAGGUUCUCAUCUGGUUGGCUUCUAGACAGUGGAUGCACCAACCACAUGACACCUGAUGCUGUAAUCUUCAAGUCUUUAGACAGAAGCUGCAGAACUAAAGUCAAGAUAGGAAAUGGACAUUUUAUUCAAGCUGAAGGCAAGGGUGAUGUGCUGAUAUGCACCCCCACAGGUGCCAAAGUGAUUUCAAAUGUGCUUUUGGUGCCUGAAAUUGACAGAAACCUGCUCAGCAUAGCUCAGUUGCUGGAGAAAGGUUAUUCUGUUGUGUUCAAAGACAACCAAUGCCAAAUCAAUGAUCCAAGUGGAUCCAAGCUGAUGGCAGUUCCUAUGGCUAAUAAGAGCUUUGUAGUUGACUGGACCAGGGAGUCAAACAUUGCCUACACAGUCACAUCAGAUGAAUCUAAGCUUUGGCAUCAAAGACUGGGACAUGCCAACUUCAGAUCGAUGGCUCGAAUGGUCAGAGAGGACUUGGCUGAAAACUUCAUCAACUCAGUGGAUCAUGAUGAUGUGUGUGAAGUGUGUCAGCUAGAAAAGCAGGCCAGACUCCCAUUUCCCUCGAAUCAAGCCUGGAGAGCCUCUGAAAAACUCCAACUGGUGCACACUGAUGUGUGUGGCCCUAUGAGGACUGAGUCAUUAAGUGGAAACAGGUACUUCAUACUGUUCAUUGAUGAUUUUUUAAGAUAUUGUUGGCUUUACUUCCUAAAACAGAAAUCAGAGGCGGCCUCAGUGUUUUGGAAGUUCAAGACUGCUGCUGAGACUGAAACAGGUUGCAAGCUGAAGUCCAUAAGGUCUGAUAAUGGGACUGAGUACACCUCAGCUCAGUUCCAAGCCUUCUGUGAUAAGGCAGGCAUCAAACAUCAACUUACCAACACAUAUACACCUCAGCAAAAUGGUGUAAGUGAAAGGAAGAAUAGGAGUUUGAUGGAUAUGGCCAGGUGCUUGAUGAUUCAGAAGAAUCUGCCUAAAGCACUAUGGGCAGAGGCAGUUAACACUGCAAACUACAUUCAAAAUAGGCUUCCAACCAAGGCCUUGGAUCAGAAGACUCCAUUCGAAGCCUGGUUUGGAUUCAAGCCAUCACUGGCUCAUCUGAAGGUCUUUGGAUGCAUCUGUUAUGCUCAUGUACCUGCUGUAAAAAGGGAUAAAUUAUCUGAAAGGGCUCGACCUGGUAUUUUGGUGGGCUACAGCACUGUUAAGAAGGGCUAUAGGAUCUUGGAUCCUUCAACAAAGAAAGUGCCAGUCAGUAGGGAUGUGGUAUUUGAUGAAAAGUCAUGUUGGAACUGGGAAAAACAUGAACCUGAGGAAGUUUCAGAAGGACUUGCAGCAGAUCAAGCUGAGCCAGAUCAAAAUGUUCCUGAAAUGGACAUUGAUGAUGAACCAGUUAGAGGAACAAGACCAUUGACUGAGAUUUAUGAAAGAGCUCAUGUAGCCAUAGCUGAACCAAGCAAUUUUGAAGAGGCUGAAGCUCAGCAAGAGUGGAAGCAGGCAAUGGCUGAGGAGAUUAGCAUGAUUGAGAAGAACCAGACUUGGGAAUUAGUUGAAAGGCCAGUCAAAAGGAAGAUAAUUGGGGUGAAAUGGGUGUACAAAGCCAAGCAAAAUGCUGAUGGUACCUUGAACAAACUGAAAGCAAGGCUAGUUGUCAAGGGGUUCAGUCAGAGGUAUGGCCUGGACUACCUGGAGACCUUUGCACCAGUGGCCAGACUAGACACCAUCAGAUUACUGAUUGCCUUAGCAGCACAGCUCGAGUGGAAGAUCCAUCAACUCGAUGUGAAAUCAGCCUUUCUGAAUGGUUUCUUAGAUGAAGAGAUCUAUGUUGAACAACCACAAGGGUUUGAGAUAGCUGGCAGAGAGCAUAUGGUCUACAAACUGAAGAAGGCCCUAUAUGGCUUAAAACAGGCUUCAAGGGCCUGGUACAGCAGAAUCGAUGGCUACUUGACUAAUUUGGGAUUCGAUCGAAGCAAGAGUGAGCCAACACUGUAUGUCAAGAAGCAAGGGACACAAACACAGCUCAUUGUAUCCCUAUAUGUUGAUGACCUGCUGGUGACAGGAGGAGAUCGAGCAGUGCUGGUUGAUUUCAAGACCAAGAUGCAAGAAGUAUUUGAAAUGUCUGAUCUAGGGGAAAUGUCUUAUUUCCUUGGAAUGGAGGUGACUCAAGCACAAAAUGGGAUAUUUCUAAGUCAGAGAAACUUUGCCACAAAGAUUCUGACCAAGUUCUCCAUGCAAAACAGUAAAGCAACUAAAACACCUGUUGCUGUUGGAGAAAAACUAUCGAGCCAAGGUGAUUUUGAGAAGGUUUGUGAAACAACCUACAGAAGUCUAGUUGGUUGUCUGUUAUAUUUAACUGCCACUAGACCAGACAUAAUGUAUGCUGUAGGAUUGCUCUCAAGGUUCUUGCAUUGUUGCAAUAAAAAGCAUUUACAAGCUGCUAAGAGAGUGCUUAGAUAUGUCAAAGGCACUUUGAGCUAUGGUUUAAGGUACAGCAAUGAAGGAAAUCUGAAGCUGGUUGGCUACACUGAUAGUGACUGGGCUGGCUCGAUAGAUGACAUGAAAAGCACCUCAGGGUAUGCUUUCAACCUUGGUUCAGCCAUGUUUUGCUGGAGCUCGAAGAAGCAAAGUCUGGUGGCUCAAUCUAUUGCUGAAGCAGAAUAUGUGGCAGCUGCAAGUGCUGUCAACCAAGCCAUUUGGCUAAGGAAAAUCUUAGCUGAUUUGAAAGUGCAUCAAAAGGAAGCUACUGAGAUCUUCUGUGACAACCAAUCUUCAGUUGCAAUUGCUAAAAAUCCAGUGUUCCAUGGAAGAACAAAGCAUUUCAGCAUCAAGUUGCAUGUUGUUCGAGAAAUGGAGCAAGCUCAGGAAGUGAAACUGAUCCAUUGUAAUUCUGAGGAUCAACUUGCAGACAUUUUGACUAAAGCCCUUAAUGUCACAAGGUUCGAAUGUCUAAGAAGGAAGCUAGGUGUUUGCUCCAUGCAAACCAAGGAGGAGUAUUGAAGCAAUGGUUAGCAUGUAGCAAUCACAUGUUUUAUUAUUAUUAUUAUUAUUAUUAUUAUUAUUUGGAUGUAAUGAUGUAACUUAGUUGUAUUCCAACUAAGUUUGUUAGUGGUAGUAGGUGGUGAUUUAUUUUAAGUGGAUGUAAUGAUGAAACUUAGUUGUAUUCCAACUAAGUUUGUUAGUGGUAGUAGGUGGUGAUUUAUUUUAAGUGGAUGUAAUGAUGAAACUUAGUUGUAUUCCAACUAAGUUGUCAAGUUGUAAGCUUGUAUAAAUAGGCUUUAUGCCAUUUUAAAAAAUAUGAAUGAAUUCAAUCAAGAUUUCAUCCAUAUACUCUCUAUUUUAGCUUUGCUUAAAAUUUAUUUCAUUUUUCUUCUUUGUUUCUGCCGCAAGUCUCGAUUCUUGCUCAUCAAGCUUUUUGUUGAACCUUGCUAUUUGUUGCACUUAGCUCCAACAAACUUUCACAAGCACUUUCUCGAGCUAUUGCAGCCUCAAACAUCUCAAUAAUUAUAUUAUCAUUAGAUUAUGCUUCUUCAAAAUCGUGCCUGGCUGAACUCUCUGACAUCAUGGACUACAAGCGCACUCAAGGACAUACUGUUCUUCCCAUUUUUUAUCAUGUUGAUCCUUCCCAUGUUCGGAAUCUUGGUGGAAGUUUCAAAACUUCCUUUGAUGAUCAUGAAUCAAAAAGGCUACGUCAGGUACAACGAUGGAAAGCUGCCUUCGUUGAAGUGGGAAAAUUAAAAGGGUGGCAUAUAGAAGGAGGCAAAUUUGACAGGUAACUAUAUUUUUCUCACCUUCUUAUAUUUGACUAAUCUUUGUUUUAGAUUUCAUUUAUAUUUAUUUAUUGUUUGUUUGCUAGACCUGAAACAGAGUACAUCAAGGAUAUUGUUGAAUAUGUUAUAAAAAUGUUGAUGAGUAGCAAAUCUAGACAUGUUUAUGAAGAACUGGUCGGAAUAGGUUAUCAGAAAGAUGCAAUUUCGAGGCUGAUUGAGCAAGAAGGCAGCCGUGUAAUAGGACUCUGGGGAAUGGGUGGUAUAGGCAAAACAACCCUUGCUGAUGCAGUUUAUAAGGAAAUGUCUCCAAAUUUUGAAAGCUGCUGGUUUCUUCAAAAUGUUAGUGAGAAAAUAAAAAAACAAGGAAAGGAAUCUUUACGAAAUGAUCUUCUCUCCAAACUGUUAAAUGAAAAAGAUAUUCGUAUAGAUACUCCUUUGAUAGGAUACCCUUACCAAGAGAGGCUGAACAAUAAAAAAGUACUUGUUGUGCUCGAUGAUGUUAGUCACCAAGACCAAAUAACUAUUAUGGGUGUUAGACAUUUUGGUGAUGGAAGUAAAAUCAUUGUAACAUCUAGAGAUAGAAAAGUACUUGAGAAUGGAGAAGCUGAUCAAAUUUAUGAGGUAAAGAAGUUAAAUGAGAUUGACUCUCUUCAGCUAUUUUCUACUUGUGCGUUUAAGCAGUCGAAUCCUGAUGCUGAUUUUCGAGACCUAUCAAUAAGGUUUGUAGAGUACACACAAUACAAUCCACUUGCUCUAAAAGUUUUGGGUUCCCAACUAUAUAAAAGGUCUAGAGAAUAUUGGAAAAGCGAGAUGGAUAAGCUAAAGGAAUAUGGCCAACCAGAAAUUUCAAAUAUUUUGAAGAGAAGCUUUGAUGGGCUUGAUGAACAAGAAAAGAAUAUAUUCCUUGAUAUUGCAAUCUUCUUAAAAGGGGAACUUAAGGAAAAUGUAGAAAAAAUUCUAAGUAGUUGUUAUAAUGGCGCAAAGUCUAGCAUCAGAAACUUGAUCGACAAGUGCCUACUAGAUAUCACACCUCUUCCUAUUUCUUUGCGUGAUAUACUUGAAAUUCGCAGUAAGUUUCCCAAGAGAAAAGCAGAAGAGAUUGCAAGUUUCCCAGACAGAGGUGCAUUAGAUGAUCGAAGAAACAGCCUCUUGGAUGAGAUUCCGCGAUGUAUUUCUAUGCAUGAUAUGCUUGAGCUGAUGGGCAAGGAUAUUGUUCACCAAGAAUCUAGAGCUCCUGGAAUGCGCAGUAGGUUAUGGAAUCCUAAUGAAGUAAAGCAAGUGCUGAAAAAUAAUAAAGUAAGUAUUAAUUGUACUCAUGUUUCUUUUUAUAUUUUUUUAUAUAUUUGUGUGAUUUUUUCCUAGGCUUAUAAAAUUUUAUUAAUAAUAAAGAUCCGAAAACGGGAAUAGAAAAAAAAAAACCAACUCAACAAUAUAUAUAUAUAUAUAAAAUCUAUGUACAAAAAAAAAAUACCAUUAAAAACAUGCCCAUUCCACCAAAAGAGCAAUCAGAAAUCACUUCUAGUCACCAUAACCCAUGUCGUGUAAAACAUUUACUAAAUCAAAUCACAUCCAAUUGAAAUCAGGAUUAUAAAAAUUAAUUACUUGUAUUUAGUUUUAAUUGAUAGAGAUAGAAGAACUUCAACUCCAAUAAUUCAAACUAUUUUUAAAUUGAUUUGAUAAUUCGAAUAACUCAUUAAAAUUAAACUGAUUAAUUUAAAAGUUGAUUUUUUUUUGUUUUUCCAAGGAGAAAAUUGAAUUUUACUCAACCUCCCUAAGUCAUUGAUCAUUAUGUGUAUGGUAUGUAAAUAAAGAUUUUAUUUUUUAAAUAAUAUUUAAUAGAAUUAAUAUUUGUCACAUAGUAAAUGUAUAAAUCUAUAUAGUAAACAGCACUAUUGGUCACAUAAGUUUUUGUUUUAAUCAUGUAAUUAUAAAAAAAAUUAUUUUCAUUACCGACGUUUUUAACAUCAAGUUUCUUUUUUUUUUUUAUCAUUCCUCGAUUAUUAAUUAUUAAUGGAAGUACGAUAGGUCUCUUUUUUAUUGGAAUAAUAGUAAAUUUAGUUCUCAAUAUUUAUAUAUUUUUUUCAAUUUGAUAAAAUGUGUAAACCUUGAGGAUUAAUUUAUUCUUAUUCUAAUUAAAAAAAGACGCAUCAUCAUUCUGUUGAUGAUCUUUUAUCAAAUUUAGCCCUCACUAUUUGUAUCUAUUAUCAUUUGAGUCCUUAUACUUUUUAAAAAUAAGUAAAUAAGAACAAUUGAAAUAAGUAUUUCUUACCCUAUACUCUUCCAAUAUAUUCUUUUAUCAAUAUUUCAUAUCUAUGACAAGAGAAAAAAGGAGAAGGAAAUUUUCAAUCGAAAAAUGAGUGGAGUGGCAAAUUAAGUCUUUAGUCGGCACUAAUUCUAAGUUCCAUCAUUAGAAAAUCUUACAUCCUUCUGAAAUUUAUGUACUCUAAUUUAAAAUUUAGUUAAAUAAUAAAAUUCACCAAUUUAGUUAAUUAAAAUUUUCUUUUCAAUUAUUUUUAUCAAAUGUUAACCCUAAUCUUAAGUUAUUACAUGGAUCUACUAAGGGUUUUAUUAGAUUAAUUAAAUAUCUACUGUAUUGUUUUAUACAAUAAAAUUAAACACUUUUUAAAUCUAAAACUUCUUGUAAUAAAAAAGUAUAAUAAAAAAGUAUGGUCAAUUAGUUUAAGCCUUAUUUAAUCUCUAAUGAGUGAUUUAAUGGAAUGCCUGAUACUUGUUUCUUGUUAUUAGGGGACAGAAUUUAUUGAAGGAAUAAAAUUAGACAUGUCUCAGAUUGAUAAACUACGAUUAUGUUCUUCUGUUUUUGAGAACAUGUUUAAUCUUAAAUAUAUCCACUUCUAUUUUCCUCCAUUUAUUGGAAAGCAACGAAAGAAGAAGCUACAUGUAGACCAAGUUGGCGAUGUAUCUCUUCCUGAUGAGCUAAGACUUCUCUGUUGGGAGUAUUACCCAUUUAGGUCUUUAUCAUCAAGUUUUGAUCCAAAGAAUCUUGUUGUGUUAAAAUUACCUCAUGGUGAUAUGGAACAACUUUGGAAUGAAGAUGAUCAUCAGGUAAUUUAUUCAUACUUUCUUGGUCCAAUAAAUUAAAAAAAAAAAGUGUGACAAAUGCCAACCCUUAUUAUAAUUAUUAUAAUUUUUUUUAUACUGCCCAAAGUAGUAAGUAGACAAUGCUAAGUAAUAAAGCUAUUUUAUAUUUUCAUUGCGCAGGAUCUUAUUAAUUUAAGAAAAAUUGUCCUUUCGAAUUGCAAGAAUUUAAAGAAGAUCCCUAAUCUAUUAGGAGCCAUCAACCUUGAAAUCCUUUGCUUUAAUGGGUGCAACAGUUUGGUUGAGCUUCCUGGCUUCAGUGAUUUGGCAUCUCUCAAAACGCUUCAGCUUCAUGGAUGUUAUAAUCUUACGAAGUUUCCUGAGCUCCCAAAUGAUGUUUCUUUCUUAGAUUUAGCAGAAACUGGAAUAGAAGAAGUGCCAGAUUCAAUUGAGCAUAUCGCUGGACUUGAAACAUUGUUAUUGGCAAAAUCAAAGAUAAAUAAUGUAUCGUGCAAUAUUUCGAAGUUGGAAUGCCUUCGUUAUCUGGAUUUUAGUCAUUGCCUAGUCGCCGAAUUCCCAGAAAUUCUACGAAGACCCGAGCUUGAAAGGGCUGAAGGAGCAACCUAUGCAUUUUCAUUGUCACUCGAUUUCCCCCUCCCUGAUUGGAGAAAGGUUCCGAUAGUUCAUGUGCCCCCCAAAAUCCUAAAGUUUAAAAGCCUUGAAUAUUUGAAAAUGGAUCAUUGCGAGAGUCUUAAAUUACUUUCGGAGCUUCCACCAUAUUUGCGGUACUUGGAUGCACAUGGCUGCAAAUCGCUAGAAAAAGUAUCGUUCACAGAUCGAAAUCAAGAUCAAUAUGAACUCUAUUCUUUUUACGGUAAAGAUGAGUUCUUUAUGAUAUUCUCUGAUUGCUUCAGCUUGAAUCAAGUUUCAAUUAAAAACAUUGAAGCAAAUGCCAUGCAAAAAAUUGAAUCACUUGUAAAGAAAUGGAGAUGUAAAUAUGAUUAUGGUCCAAAAUCAUUGUUUUGCUGUUUCCCAGGGAGCGAAAUUUCAGCCAGUAAAUUCGAGUAUCAGAGGAUGAAUUCUUCGUUGAAGUUGCAGAUAACCCCAAAUGAGUUUAGUGGGAGCAGAUUCUUGAGUUUUGCUAUCUGCCUUGUGGUUGAUCUCAAGUAUUGCCAUAAAUACAAUAAAGAUCUUCGAUGUAUCUGUGAAUACCAACUAACAGCCUUCGAUGGUUGUUAUGAAAAGUUCGAAUGUGAGUGGGGUUACAAGCUAGAUUUUGAGUUACAUCGAAAGUACAUGGGUGAUCACGUGUUGAUUCUAUUCAGUGACAAAAUGAUUAAAAAAGACGACGAUUAUGUGGAGGCAUCAUUUGAAUUUUAUAUAAAUAAAUGCUACUACAAAGGCGAUGCUGAAGUUGAUGAUAUCAAGGUCAAAAAAUGCGGUGUUCAUGUAUAUUAUGUGGCUGAAAACAACAAAGGUCCAAUUAGUCCUUAUACCAUGCAAAUGUGAGGACCCGAUUGGAGCCCCUCCAACGGAGCAUCAGAACUUAACGUCAGCGCUGGCCACGAGGGAAAACAGUAAAAUCACUAGGGACAACGGAAACAAAGGGGGAAAAAGGAGGAAAUUUGUUCAUGACUUAAAGGGUUGAUAUUGCAUCUCUUCCUUAGGUGCUAAGGUAAACUUUCCACCUAUUCCCUAUAUAUAUAUAUGUUAAUUUGAAAGACUGCUUUUGUUUGAGACUGGUUUUUCUUAUAAUAACCUAUGCUUUUAUGAUGGUGUAGGUGUUUGUUGUGGUAUAUCUUAGACUACAUAAUGAAUAGUCUCUUCAAUUUUCCCUCACUUUCAAUGCAUUUUGUUAUGUUUCUUAUGCAUAUCUUUUACAAUUAUAUGACUCAUUAUCAAGAUUUGGUAGUCUAAGGUGUUGUUUGAUAAUUUAUUAAAAAAUUUAAAUUGACUGAAAAUUAAUAUUUUUAAUGAUUUAAUUUUUUAAUCAUUUUUGAUAAUUCAUAAUAAAAAAGUAACUCAUAAAUUUUUUUUUUAUGAUGAUAAGUAGAUAAGGAGCUACUAAGUAGCAUUUAAUAUAAAAAAAUUCAAUUCUUUUUAUCUUAUUUUCUUUGUUUUAACAUUUAAAAUUUGAUAUUAUGAAAGGGAAUGAAGAUGGAAGUGACUGCUGUAAGCAAAUCAUAUGAGAAAACAGAGAGCCAAGAGAGAACUAAUGGCAGAUCUAUGGAAAGGCCAUUAUACUUUGAGCUUUAGCUAUACAAAAUAUCAGAGGAACAUGUAAGCUUUUAAUUUUUUAAGCUUUUAAUUUUUUCUACUGAAACGUUUGCUUCACACUUGUUCUUGAACUGAGAUAUUGAGACAGUACUGCAAUUUGUGAACAGAUUGCUUUGUUUUUGGACCUACAGAGGAACCGUAUGCUCUUGAGAAUUUAGCCUUCCUAGAAAAGAAAAUUAAGAACUUCAAAGUGAAGGGUUUGGUUUCAUGGUAGAGCCAUUCAACUUGAUUAUCACAUCAUCUUGGGCUGAAACUUGAAUGAAGUUUCCUUUUUUCAAGAUUAUGAGAGAUUGAAAUUUGAUUUUUGUAAUUAAAAUUCUAGAGUUUUACUCUGUUUUUGGAUUGAAAGGAUGCAAUAGUGGAAUUGGUAGUCACUAAAUGAGUGUCAUUUAGCAACUUGCAGAUUUUGUUGUGUUCAAUCUACUUGGAUUUGCAGGGAUAAAUCUAUUGAAUCAAAUUUUGUUUUGUUGUACAUUAGGUAAUUAAAAUAAGGAAAACUAUGUCAUACAUUGUGCCUAACCUUUGCAUUAUUAUUAUUUUAUUCUAUUGUUAACCUUUUCCUCUUGGAAUCAAAUGUACAAAUAUAAGAAACAAAUUGAAGUUUAAUGAACUUGAGAAUUCUCUUAUCUUGAUAAUCAUCCCAAAGCUUAAAUCCCUUAAAAUUGGCACCUUUCCACAUAUUAGUAUUUAAGGGGUUUUCCCCCCUAGAUUAGUACUUAGGAUUUUUUUGUAAAUUAUUUUGGUAACACCAUUUAAUUUGAAACACGUUACACUCUCAAAUCAUGACAUGUGUCAAUGAUGAUAUCAAUUCUAAUGACAUAAAAUUGGAAAUUUCUUUAAUAGUUUGUGAUAGUUGCUUCUUUUUUUCUCAUCUCCAUUCCCCUGUUGUGUCUUUGUUCUUUUGUAGAUAUAGCAUAUAUUGUCCAAGAUGGGAAUUCUCCAUAUAUAUUAAUUAAUUUGGAGGAAAAUUGAACGGCAGUUGGAGAUUUUAAUACAGUAGCAAAAUGAUUCUGCUUUGGAGUUGAUACAAUAUCCAUAGGGGAUUUUGGUGAGUACCAAAAUUCAGAUAUUAAAAUUCAUACUUAAUUCUUAUUGAGAGUUGACUUGUUAUUGGUUGGUUUUUUUUUUAAAUCAUAGGACCAAUGGUGGACUCGAUUCAGCUUCAUUGUUUAGUUUCCAGCAUUGGUGUCAUCUGGUAUCUCAAAACUCGCUGCAUUUUCGUUCAAUCAUAGCUUGAUUCAUUAGAAAAGAUUGGUUAUUUGCGAGAUUGGUUUUUCUUAUAUCCUUUUCUUUUUUGUUGAUGUAAGACUAGGGAAUGAUAGAUCAUUGAGAACACCUGAGCUGUAAGACCUUCAAUUUGUUUUACUGAAUUCAAAGUAAUCUUUUGAGGCCCUUUCUGGUUCUGGCAAUUCAGUCUUGGUGGAGAAGUAAGUUACCUUUGACUUAGACUUAUUAUUAUGAUUUUAGGUUCAUAUAAUGAUUUUCAGCAUCCUCACCUUCUUUUCCCAUAUUUAUCAAUGGGAUUAUAUAAAUCCAGAAUUUGCUAGAGAUCUCAAAGCUUGUGGGCUGAACACAUGGAGGUGGAGACAACUUUUGACAGUUUUCAUUCUCUAGCUAGAUUGGGUUAGUUUCAUGGUAGAGCCAUUGGAGUCGAUAUUUUCUUAUCUUGGAUUUUGAUUAUCAUAUCAGUUUGGACUGAAAUUUCUUUGUAUGUUACUGCCUCUCAUGUUGUUUGAGCAUUGCAGUGAAGACAUAUUAAGAUUCAUACUUGAAUUCUUGUUGGCAAUUGACUUGUUAUUGGUUGGUUUUGAUUCAUAGGAUCGGUGGUGGAUAUCAUCCAGCUUAAUUGUUUAGGUUCCACCAUUGGUGCUCAAGCCAUGGGCAGUAAGUAGAGAUUUAAUCAUAUUGUAUCUCAAUACUCUCUGCAUUUUACUUCAAUGAUUCAUUCACCCAUUGAUUUAUGUUUCAUAUUUCCUUAAAACGUUAGUAAAUAUAUAUAUAUAUGUUUUCAGUUCAUGAUUUCUGAUCUAUAUUCAUGUUAGCUAAGGUAAACCUACCAACUAUUCCCCAUAUAUAAUCUAUUGGCUAUGUUUUAUUAUUUUGAAUUUUAUGACUAUGAUCUGUUGAUUCCAUAAAACUUGAUGAAAGUCAAGCCGGACACAAGUUCAAUACUCUACUGGAAUUGAAGUUGCAGAUUAUGGGUGGUUUUGAUAUCUUCUUUCUCACCAACAAAUGAAGUUCCCACAAAAUUACUGGUGUUAAGGUGAAUGUUGUGAAUCAAUGCAAAACCCACAUUUAUAGAUGUGCCCUUUUACCUAGAGAUUAAGCUUUUUACUUUUUGAAUUUGGUAAUGUGAAGGAAAUAAAGAUGGCAAUGGUUGAUGAAAGGAAAGCAGAUGAGGGAAUAAAUCACAGAUGUUUGUAACAAGUAAGCUUUUAUGAUGUUCAAUUUCUUCUACUGAAGGAUUUCUUUAUAUUGCGGUUGAAUUGAGAUAUUGAAGCAGUACUGCAACUUUUCAACAGAGUUGUCUUGUUCAUCCCAUCCAGCUUUGCUUCAACGCUUUCUGGAUUUUGAUCAUUGAGAGGAAGCACAUGAUCUUGGGUAAAUUACUUUUAACUCAUUCUGAUUAUUAGUAUAGUCAUGGCAUUCUUUUCCCUUGAUUUACCAAUGGAUUAUAUAAAUGCAUGCAGAAUUAGGCAGAGUUGCUCUUAUCUGAAAACAAGUUGAAAGAACACAUGGAACUUGGAUGUUAUUUUCAAUGCCAACCCUAACACAGUUUUCAUUCUCAAGCUGGAUUGAUGAGCUUUUAUGUUUACCCCAUAGAGGAACCCAACAUAAACACUUGGAAGAAAACAAUCCAAAUGAUUUUGGUUUAGUUGGAACUUCAAAGUGCAGAGCUGGUUUCAUGGUAAAACCAUUUGACUUGAUUGUUAUAUCAGUCUGGGCUAAAAUUUGAAUCAAUUUUCCCCUUUUGUAAUUAAAAUUCCAGAAUUUUGCUCUGUUUUGGAAUUGAAAGGAUGCAACAUUGGAAUUGGUUUGUACAUUCGUUUUUAUGAGAUGGUAUCCAACAAGUUCAAGAUUCGUAGCUUAGUAAUUAAAAUAACUUUCUGUAACACUAAACUAUGAUCUACCAUAAGAAAAAACACAAAUUUUAUACUUCUCUGAUUAUUUUAUAAUGCCAUGUGACUUAAAAUUUUAGUAAUUAAAAGGAUUCUGCUUUGGAGUUCUAAAAAAUAUCCAUGCGAAGCCGUGGUGGGUACCAUAGUUUAGAUAUGAAGCUUCAUACUUAAAUUCUUUUAGGCAGUUGACUUGUUAUUGGCUGGUUUUAACUCAUAGGAUCAGUGGUGGACUUCAUUCAGCUUCAUUGUUUAGUUUCCAGCCUUGGUUCUUAUGCCAUAGGGAGUAGGUGUAGCUGUUGGAACAUUGGCAGCAACAUAAGCAAGAAUGAAAACAAAAGCCAAAGAAGGAAUUGAAAAAUGAAAGAGAAAGUUUGAACAAAGUUGCAACCGAAUGAAAAUCAUUUUCAUUGAUUGAAAAUUAAAAAAAUUUAUGAGUUACAACCAUGUUUGACAGUUACCUAAUAGUUGUAACUGCUCUCACUAAUACUAGACAAACAUAAUCUUUGAAUUACAAGUAAAAGUAAGCUAACAUUUCAGCUAUUACAUCAAGUACCAAUCAAAAAACUAAUCCAACUAGAUUGUGAUCAAAUUACAAUCAAACUAAACUAAGUUACAUAGGAACAAAAUGAACAAAAUGGUCCAAAGCUAGCUGCUGCAUUCGGUUCUACUCCUUGCUGGUCUGCUUGUUGAGCUGCUGGUCACAUGUUGCAUUGCAGGCCAAUGCUCAACACUCCUCCUUGGACUAUAUGCAACAUACACCAAUCUUGCUUCUUAAAACCUCGAACCUUGUUGCACCAAGUGGCUUAGUCAAAAUGUCAGCCUAUUGGUCUUGUGAGCUGCAAUGAACAAGACUGAUUUCUUCUGAUUGCUCAGCUUCUCAAACAAAGUGAAACUUGAUCUUAAAAUGCUUGGUUCUUCCAUGAAAAACUGGAUUCUUAGCAAUAGCCACUGCUGAUUGGUUGUCAACUUUGACUUCAGUAGGUUCACAUUGCUCUUCAUUUAGAUCGCAUAGCAACUUUCUAAGCCAAAUGGCUUGAUUCACUGCUGCUGCUGCUGCAAUAUAUUCUGCUUCAGCUGUGGAUUGAGCAACAGUUUGUUGCUUCUUAGAACUCCAACAAAAAACUCCUGAACCAAGAGUAAAGAAGUAGCCAGAAGUGCUCUUCAUGUCAUCAACAGAACCAGCCCAGUUACUAUCUGAAUAUCUUGUUAGCUUGAGCUCAUUUUCCUUCUUAAACAUGACUCCAUGGUUCAGAGUCCCUUUGAUGUAUCUGAGGAUUUUUUAACUGCCUUGAGGUGAAUUACAUUGCAGCACUGCAUAAAUCUUGAUAGGAGACUAACACCAAACAUAAUAUCAGGCCUAGUUGCUGUUAAGUAAAGCAGGCAACCUACUAGGCUUCGAUAUUCUUUUUCAUCAACUCUUGCUUCAAUCCCAUCACUGGACAACUUCUCCCCUUGUGCUACUGGUGUGCUUACUGAUUUGCAGUUUGACAUGUAAAAUCUAUCAAAGAUCUUUAAUGCAAAAGCAUGUUGGCUGAUAAAAAUGCUUUGAUCAGACUGGUUCACUUCCAUACCAAGGAAGUAUGUCAUAAUUCCUAGGUCUGUCAUCUCAAAUACUUCCAGCAUUUGCUCUUCAAAUUCAUUGAUCAAUUCAUCUUUGCUUCCAGUCACAAGUAGAUCAUUUACAUAGAGUGACACAAUCAGUAAGGUUUCACCUUCUGAUCUCUUCACAUAGAGUGUGGCUUCACUGACACUCUUUUCAAAUCCAAGCUUAGACAGGUAGGUGUUUAUUCUGUCAUACCAGGCUCUUGGUGCCCGUUUCAGGCCAUACAAGGCUCUCUUUAAUCUAUAAACCUUGUCUUCUUGUCUUUGGACUUUAAAGCCUUCUGGCUGCUCUGUGUAAAUUUAUUCCUUGAGAAAACCAAUCAAGAAAGCUGAUUUGACAUCAAGUUGAUGAAUCUUCCAUUGUUUCUAUGCAGCCAAAGUAAACAAAAGCUUGAUUGUGUCAAGCCUUGCUACUGGAGCAAAUGUCUCUAUAAAGCCAGUGCCAUAUUGCUGACUAUAGCCCUUCACCACCAACAUUGCCUUGUGUUUGUUCAAAGAGCAAUCAGAGUUGAAUUUGGCUCUAAAAACCUACUUGACACCUAUGACUUUCUAUUGGUCUAGUCUAUCAACCAAGUCCCAUGUCUCAUUCUUCUUGAUCAUCUCAAGCUCAGCUUCCAUAACCUUUCUCCAGCAUUUGUCCCUUGCAGCAUCUUCAUAGCUAGAUGGCUCAACUAUAGCAACAUUGCAUCUGUGCUAAAUGUCAGCAAUGGUUCUGGUUCCUCUCACAAGAGGAUCAUCGAUGUCUGCAUUUUCUGGUCUAUUCUCAGCUAGCUCUGGGCUGAUGUCAAAUUGGUCUUCAUCAAACUGGCUUGCAUCUGAACCUUCCCAAUUCCAAAACUUUUCCUCAUCAAAUUUGAUGUCCUUGCUCACCAAAAUCUUCUUUUUUUGAGGGGUCAUACACUCUGUAGCCCUUUUUGGUAUUGCUGUAGCCAACAAAUAUACCAUGAGCAAACUUUCUCUCAAGUUUAGUUCUACUUUCAGCUAGAAUAAGCACAUAGCACACACAUCAACAGAUGGCUUGAGUCCAUGCCAGGCUUCAAAAGGUGUUUUGUCCUUCAUUGCUCGAGUUGGAAGCUUGUUGAGCAAAUAUACUGAGGUAUUGACUGCCUCAGCCCAAAAUUUGUUUGGAAGUUUGCUUUGAAAUAGCAAAAAUCUGGCCAUAUCCAUCACUGUUCUAUUCUUCCUUUCACAAACUUCAUUUUGCUGUGGAGUGUAAAUAGUGGUUAGCUGAUGAUGGAUCCCUGCCUGCUCACAAAGCUUUUGAAACCUCUCAAACAAGUAUUCAGCCUCAUUGUCAAUUCUCAAGGACUUAAUCUUACAACCUGUUUGGUUCUCUACUAAUGCCUUGAAUUUGCCAAAAGCUUCAAAGACUUCAGACUUCUGUUUCAUGAAGUAGACCUAGCAAAAUCUGGUCAAAUCAUCAAUGAACAGCACAAAAUACUUGUUGUCAUUCAAAGAAAGGGACUUCAUUGGUCCACAAACAUCAGAGUGCAUCAGCUCAAGCCUUUCUCGAGCUCUUCAUGCCUAGUUCAUUGGAAAAGGCAAUCUAGCUUGUUUGACAAGCUGACAAACUUCACAAACAGUCUCCCUUGCCUCAACUUUGCACAUAUCAUCUACCAAAUUCAUCUUAUGCAACAGAUCAAGUGAUCUGAAAUUACAAUGGCCUAGUCUUCUAUGCCAUAGGCCAGCAUUAUCAGCUAAGCUUGUAUAAGCUUUCUUCUCAAGUUGGUUCACAUCAAGCUUGAAACAUUUGUCUACCAUGCCUACAGUAAUCAUCUCCUGGCCAGGGAAGUCCUCAAUAACACAUGAACCAUUCUUGAAAACUAGAGAAUACCCUUUUUCAACUAACUGACCAACACUCAACAAGUUCUGAUCAAUGUCAGGUACAAAAAGCACAUCUGAAAUGACUCUGAACCAGUGUUGAUCACAACAUUCCCUUUGCCUUUGGCUUCAAUCAGACUCCUAUUGCCUAUUCUGAUUUUUUAGGCAUAGCUUCUGUCAAGAUCUUUGAACAUGCUUUCAUCAGCUGCCAUGUGAUGUGUGUAGCCACUAUCCAUCAGCCAAUUGCAUUUGACCUUGCUUGUGGUAGUAAAGCUUGAGGCUGUGAAAACAUGCUCCUCCUGAGCUUGAAGGUCCUCAGCAGCUUGAGCCUGAAUCUGCUGCUGUACCGGUGCCUUUGCUUUGUUUUUACAAACUUUCUCAACAUGGUCAAACUACUUACAGUUUCUACAUUGGAUGUCUGGCCUAAACCAGUAAUAUUUUUCCAAGUGUGUGGUCUUUUUGCAGUGGACACAUGGUGGAUACCUCCUCUUGCCUGAAUCCUUCCUUGGUUUGUCCCUCUUGUCAAGCCAAGGCUUCUUUCCUUUCUGCCUUGUGUUGGAGCUUUCUUUGGCCUUUGCUUGGAAGGCUCCUUCAGGAUGAUCUUCCUGCCUGUUAGCCCUUCUCUGCUCCAAAGCAUAAAGAGAGUUCACCAAUUCUGCAAGGAAAUGGUUGUCAAGUCCCUUGAAUCCUUAAGUGAUGAGAUUUUAGACUCAAAUCUCUCAAGAAGAGUGGUGAUGAACUUCACCACAACUCUGCUCUCACUGAAGUCUUCACCAAGCAACCUUAUGCUAUUGACAGUGGCCAUGAUCCUGUCUGAAUAUUGCUUGAUGCUCUCAGAUUCUUUCAUUUUCAGGUUCUCAAAAUCUCUCCUCAAGUUAAUCACUUGUUACUACCUUAUUUUAUCUAAUCCCAUAAACUCCUCCUUCAGCCUCUCCCAUGCUUCCUUAAGUGUGCUGCAAGCCAUGAUUCGAGUGAAGAUUACAUCUGUCACUCCAUUUUGCAAUCAGGCCAAGGCUUUGUGCUUCUUUGUGCUCUCCUCAGCAUGCUGCCUCAUCUGAGCAAUUAUGGAUUAGCCCUCAAUGGAGGUGUCUCGAAAUCAUUCUCAACUACACUCCAUAAGUCUUGUGCUUGAAGGUAUGUUUUCAUUUUGACUACCCAAAUGUGGUAGUUCUUACCAUCAAACACUGAAGGUGGAGGUGGAGUGAAACUGGAGGUGGAGGUAGAGUGAAACUCAUCCUGCUGAAAUAAGUUUAACAACUUCAAACUCUUGCUUCUCGUACUUUUGUUUUCUCAAAAAAUAAAACAACCAACAACAAAGGCCUCCCAAGACUUAGGCUCUGAUUACCAUUUGUUGGAACAUUGGCAGCAACAUAAGCAAGAAUGAAAACAAAAGCCAAAGAAGGAACUGGAAAAUGAAAGAAAAAGUUUGAACAAAGUUGCAACCAAAUGAAAAUCAUUUUCAUUGAUUGAAAAUUCAAAAAAUAUAUAAGGUACAAACAUGUUUGACAGUUACCUAAUAGUUGUAACUGCUCCCACUAAUACUAGACAAACAUAAUCUUUGAAUUACAAGUAAAAGUAAGCUAACAUUUCAGCUAUUACAUAAAAUACCAAUCAAAAAACUAAUCCAACUAGAUUGUGAUCAAAUUACAAUCAAACUAAACUAAGUUACAUAGGAACAAAAUGAACAAAAUGGUCCAAAGCUAGUUGCUGCAUUCGGUUUUGCUCCUUGCUGGUCUGCUUUUUGAGCUGCUGGUCACAUGUUGCAUUGCAGGCCAAUGCUCAAUAGUAGCUUUAUUGUUUAGUUUCCAGCAUUGGUCUUAAUACUCACUUUAUUUGCUUGCUUAUGUCCUUGGUAUUUGUUGUGCUUUUUACUUGCUAGUUUAAUGCAACGUAACAUAUGUUAACCAAAACAGAGUGUCAAUAGAGAAUGGAUGGUAGUUCUUUGGAGAUGCCAUUAUGUUUGGAGUUUUACCUAUAAUAGAAAAAAGAGGAGCAAGUAAGCUUUUCAAGAGCUUCAAUUUCUUCCGAUGAAUGCUUGCUUUAUGUUUGUGCAUGAACUGAGAUAUUGAGGCAGUACUGCAACUUGUCAACAAAUUUGCCUUCUUGAUCUUAUUCAACAUUGAGCCAAUGCAAAUUGAAGCCAUUUCCUAAGCUCUUUCUGCUUUUUGAACCUUCAGAGGAACCAUAUGCUCUUCGGCAAUUUAGCCUUCCUAGAGAGGUAAUUUACCUUUGUUUCAGUGUGAUGUUUUUAGCAUCCUCAUGACCUCUUUCCUCUAAUUUAUCAAUUGGUUUAUAUGAAUUCAGAAUUUUCCCUAAUUUAUCAUUGUGAUAAAUAAUUGAUACUAAUAUUAUAUGAAAAUAACUAAAAAGGUACCCCUCGCCUCACCGUUCUUUCCCUCUCCAUAUAUUAAAAAUUUAUCUAUACUUUUAUUUAAUUAGGCCUUUUUGGUCUGUAUUAUUUUUCAUUUCCAUUUUAGCUUUUUUUUUUCUCCUUCAUUGUAAUACUUUUGUUUCCUGCUUUAAUUCUAGAGAAUUGUCAAAUUGAACUGAACUGAAGACCAAAAAGGUGAUAAAUUUUGAGGGACGAGGGGUUAUUUUUUAUUUUAAUAUUAAUAUAAUUAAUUUUUAUUUAAUAUUAACAUAAAAUAAAUUUUUAAUUAUAUUUUAACGGGUGACAUGAUAAUUUUUUGAUUGGCUGACUGUGAUGAAUAAAUGCUAACUUAGAUUACAGAAUAAAAGUUUAAGUACAUAACUCAAAUGAAUAAAAUUUUUUAAGGUUUUUCUAGUUGAAUUGAGCCUCUAUUUAUUUUCUCAUUAUGAAUGUGAUGUGCGUACUUUGUUGAUAAUUCGGACCACCAGAUUUGAUGUAACCAAAUUCUACUUUAAUGGAAAUGUAUGAUGAUUGGACGCAAAAAUUAACCUUUUUGACUAACGAAAAAGGAUAAAAGAAAUAGCCUUUUUCUGGGAUAAGGCAGUGGAAUGGAAGUUUCCCGUUCUUCUAAAAACUCUGGGGACAUCUAAAAACGUAAAAAAUUUAUAUAUUAAAUACAUAAAUAAUCAUAUUUAUUUAAUAUAAAAAUAAAUUAAUGUAUUUUUUUAUUUAAAUUAUUUUCUCUUUUUCUUUUUUACACUUGUUCUUCUUAUAAUAACACCACAAUCCAAGCAAAACUCACUGUACAAAAUUAAUAUAUAUUUUAAUUUUAAUUUGAAAAUUUAAUUUUAAAGUAAUAUAAUUAAAAUUAAUUACUAGUUGAAUAUUUGAUUCAGUAUUCAAAACUCAGGGAUAAAUACUAGAAAGUUCAUGCCACCUGUAAAGGACUCAGUCUAAUAAAAAUAAGAAGAUAGCAAAGAUGAUGGAUAUUUCACUCUUUAUCUUCUCACAAUAAUACCAAAGAUGAUGCUACGAUCAUAAUUCUUUUCAUUCUUCUUCAAAAGUACGAAAACAAAGCUCCCAUGGUGCAUCUCUUUUGCCUCAAUCGCACAAUCCAUACUCUUUGACUUCUUCUUCUUCUUCUCUUUUGCCUCAAUCAGACAAUCCAUACUCUUUGGCUUCUUCUUCUUCUUCUCUUUUGCCUCAAUCAGACAAUCCAUACUCUUUGGUUUCUUCUUCUUCUUCUCGUCAAAUGAAGCACCAAGUUUUCUUGAGCUUCAGAGGUGAAGACACACGCCUUAACUUCACCAGUCAUCUACACAAAGCUUUGAAGGACAAGGGACUGAAUGUCUUCUUCGAUGAAGAAAAACUAGAGAAAGGGGAGCAACUUUCACCAGCACUUUCUCAAGGAAUUGCAGCCUCAAAUCUCUCAAUCCUUGUUUUAUCUAAAGACUAUGCUUCUUCAAAAUCGUGCCUAGCUGAACUCUCUGCAAUCAUGGACCGCAAGCAGACACAAGGACAUAUUGUUCUUCCCAUCUUUUACCAUGUUGAUCCUUCCCAUGUAAGAAAUAUUGGUGGGAGUUUUACAACAUCCUUUGAAGAGCAUGAAUCGAAGAGGCCAGUUGAUGAAGUUGAUGAAGUGAAGCGAUGGAAAGCAGCCUUUGCUGAAGUUGGUAACUUAAAAGGGUGGCAUAUAGGAGGAGACAAAUCUGACAGGUAACUAUAUUUUUCUCACCUUCUUAUAUUUGAGUUACCUUUGUUUUGGAUUUCAUAUAUCUAUGUAUAUUUAUUUAUUUAUUGUAUGCUAGACCUGAAGCAGGGUACAUUGAGGAAAUUGUUAAAAAAGUUAUAGAAAAGUUGAGGAGUAGCAGAUCUAGACAUGUUUCUGAAGAACUGGUUGGAAUAGAUUAUCAGAAAGAUGCAAUUUGAGGCUGAUUGAGGAAAAAGGCAGUCGUGUAAUAGGACUCUGGGGAAUGGGUGGUAUAGGCAAAACUACCCUUGCUGAAGCUGUAUAUGAGGAAAUGUCUCAGAAUUUUGAAAGCCGUUGCUUUCUUCAAAAUGUUAGUGAGAAAAUACAAACACACGGAAAGGAAAUUUUACGAAAUGAUCUUCUUUCCAAACUGUUAAAUGAAAAAUAUAUUAAAAUAGACACUCCUUCGAUAGGAUACCCUUACCAAGAGAGGUUGAACAAUAAAAAAGUACUUGUCGUGCUUGAUGAUGUUAGUCACCAAGAUCAAAUAGCUAUUAUGGGUGUUAAACAUUUUGGUGAUGGAAGUAAAAUCAUUGUAACAUCUAGAGAUAGAACAGUACUUGACAAUGGAGCUGACGAAACUUCUGAGGUGAAGAAUUUAAAUGAGAUUGACUCUCUUCAACUGUUUUCUAUUUGUGCGUUUAAGCAGUUUGUUGUGCGGAAGCGUGUAAAAGAGUAAAAUUAUUGUACUAAAAAAUCACACUAAGUUCAAUUCCCAGGAAAGAGAGGUGGAUCACAAGGAUCGCUUAAGUACCAGGUCUUUCCUAGCCAGAAUAUCCCUCAAUCGUAAUUUAAUAGCACAAUAAAUCACUACAAUCACACACACAAUUCAUGCAGAAUAAUACAAUAAAGAACACAAGAAUUUAACGAGGUUCAGCAAAUUUUGCCUACGUCCUCGGGCACUACCAAAUAUAUUUCACUCCAAAAUACAAGUGAGAAUUUACAAAGAGAGAGAGAGAAAACAAUGUCUUAAGUAGAGAAUGGCAAGUUUGAGAUACAGAAUGAGAGAUGGUUAUGCCUAUUUAUAGUUGAGGUUCAGGGAUCAACUUGCAAAGUCACUUUACAAUUAGGGACCAUAUAUUGCAAAUAUCUCAGAUUUUAUUAUGCCAAUAUAUCGAUACCCAUAUCUUUGACUUUCCAAUAUUUGAUACCCAUAUCUUUGACUUAUUAUUUGAUACCCAUAUCUUUGAUUUUCUAUAAAUAUGGAUAAUUCCCAAUACAGUUCAAUCCUGAUGCUGAUUAUCGAGACCUAUCAAUAAAGUUUGUAGAGUACACCCAAUACAAUCCACUUGCUCUAAAAGUUUUGGGUUGCCAACUAUAUAACAAGGGUAGAGUAUAUUGGGAAAGCGAGAUGGAUAAGUUAAAGGAAUAUAUCGAACCAGACAUUUAUAAGAUUUUGAAGACAAGCUUUGACGGGCUUGAUGAACAAGAAAAGAAUAUAUUCCUUGAUAUUGCAAUCUUCUUCAAAGGGGAACCUAAGGAAAAUGUAGAAAAUAUUCUAAGUAAUUGUUAUAAUGGCGCAGAGUCUAGCAUCAGAAACUUGAUCGACAAGUGCCUACUAAAUAUUACCCCUCUUCCUAUUUCUUUGCGUGAUAUGCUUGAAAUUCGCAGUAAGUUUCUCAAGAGGAAAGCAGAAGAGAUUGCAAGUUCCCCUUCCAGAGGUGCAUUAGAUGAUCGAAGAAGUAGUUUCUUGGAUGAGAUUCCGCAAUGUAUUUCUAUGCAUGAUAUGGUUGAGCUGAUGGGCAAGGACAUUGUUCGCAAAGAAUUUAGAGUUCCUCGAAAGCGCAGUAGGUUAUGGAAUCCUAAUGAAGUAAAGCAAGUGCUCAAAUAUAAUAAAGUAAGUAUUAAUUGUACUUAUGUUUCUUUUUAUAUUUUUUUUAUAUAUUUGUAGAUACCAUGUAUAAGGUAGUAAUCCCUUGAGAACACCAAAUACCUGAACGAAAAUCGCCAAAAAGAAAAACAAAAUAAUACCAACUCAACAAUAUAUAUAUUUAAACCAAAUCACAUCCAUUGAAAUCAUUAUAAAAAUUAAUUACUUGUAUUUAGUUUUAGUUGAUAGAGAUAGAAGAUUUACUUACAACUCAACUUCAACUCCAAUAAUUCAAACUCUCAAAUUUAUGUACUCUAAUUUAAAAUUUAGUUAAAUAAUAAAACUCACUAAUUUAAUUAACUAAAAUUUUCUUUUCAAUUAUUUUUAUCAAAUGCUAACCCUAAUCUUAAGUUAUUACAUGGAUCUACCAAGGGUUUUUAUUAAAUUAAUUAAAUAUCUAAUGUAUUGCUUUAUACUAUAAAAUUAAACACUUUUUAAAUCUAAAAUUUCUUGUAAUAAAAAAGUAUGCUCAAUUAGUCUAAGCCUUGUUUAAUUUCUAAUGAGUGAUUUAAUAUAGUGCCUGAUACUUGUUUCUUGUUAUUAGGGAACAGAAUGGAUUGUAGGAAUAAAGUUAGACAUGUCUCAAAUUGGUAAACUACAGUUAUGUUCUUCUGUUUUUGGGAAAAUGCUUAAUCUUAAAUAUAUCGACUUUUAUUUUCCUCCAUUUAUUGGAAAGCAACGAAAGAAGAAGCUACAUGCAGAUCAAGUUGGCGAUGUAUCUCUUCCUGAUGAGCUAAGACUUCUUUGUUGGGAGUAUUACCCAUUUAAAUCUUUAUCACUAAGUUUUGAUCCGAAGAAUCUUGUUGUGUUAAAAUUACCUCAUGGUGAUGUACAACAACUUUGGAAUGAAGAUGAUCAUCAGGUAAUUUUUUCAUACUUUCUUCAUUCAAUAAAUUAAAGAUGUAUACCAAAUACUAUAAUAACUUUUUUUUAUACUGCACAAAGUAAGUAGACAAUGCUGAGUAAUAAAGCUAUUUUAUAUUUUCAUUGCGCAGGAUCUUAUCGAUUUAAGAAAAAUUGUCCUUACGAAUUGCAAGAAUUUAAAGAAGAUCCCUAAUCUAUUAGGAGCCGUCAACCUUGAAAUCCUUUGCUUUAAUGGGUGCAACAGUUUGGUUGAACUUCCUGGCUUCAGUGGUUUGGCAUCUCUCAAAACGCUUCAGCUUCAUGGAUGUUAUAAUCUUAAGAAGUUUCCCGAGCUCCCAAAUGAUGUUUCUUUCUUAGAUUUAGCAGAAACUGGAAUAGAAGAAGUGCCAGAUUCAAUUGAGCAUAUCGCUGGACUUGAAACAUUGUUAUUGACAAAAUGAAAGGUAAAUAAAGUAUCAAGCAGAAUUUCAAAGCUAGAAUGCCUUCAUUUUCUGGAUCUUAGUCAUUGCCUAAUCGCCAAAUUCCCAGAAAUUCUACGAAGACCCGAAAAACCUAAAGAGCCUGAAAAGCGCCAGCCAUGUUCCUCGAUAUACUAUUUCUCCCCUCUACCGAGACCCGAAAAACCUAAAGAGCCUGAAAAGCCCCUUCCAUGUUCAUCGUCAUCCUAUUUCCCCCACCCUUUACCAAGACCCAAAAAACCUAAAGCGCCUGAAGCGAAAAAAGCGCCUGAAGUGAAAAAAAAAAAGCUCCGUCCAUAUUUAUCGUCAUCCUAUUUUCCCCUAGCUCGUCAGAUAGUUUAUAAGCCCCCAAAAAUCCUAAGGGUGCGUUUGGUUCGUUGUAUUGGAUUAGAAGUGUAUUGGAUUAGAGGUGUAUUGGGAUUAGAGGUGUAUUGGAUUAGAGGUGUAAUAGCUAAUCCACUGUUUGGUUGAAUGUAAUGGAAUAGAGGCGUAAUAGUAAUCUUGUGUUUGGUUGAAUGGAAUAGAGGUGUAAUAGCAUAAUGGAAAAAACUAAAAUGACUAGAAUACCCUUAGGAUAAAAUUGUUUUGGUAAAUGAUUAUUGUUAUUGUUAUUUAAAUUUUAAUAAGAUUAUUAUUAUCAAUAAUAAAUAUUUUAAUCAUAUUUAAACAUAAUUAUAAUUAAAUAUAUUUUAAUUAAAAUAUAUAAUUUAAUAAAAUUCUUAUAAUUAGCAGAAAAUUGUUUUGGUAAAUGAUUAUUGUUAAUGUUAUUUAAAUUUUAAUAAGAUUAUUAUUAUCAGUAAUAAAUAUUUUAAUCAUAUUUAAACAUAAUUAUUACUAAAUAUAUUUUAAUUAAAAUAUAUAAUUUAAUAAAAUUUUUAUAAUUAGCAGAAAUUUGUUGUUGUUAUUUAAAUUUUAAUAAGAUUAUUAAUAUCAAUAAUAAAUAAUUUAAUCAUAUUUAAACAUAAUUAUUAUUAAAUACAUUAUAAUUUUGGUAUAUAAUUUAAUAAAAUUCUUAAUAAUUCAUAUUCUUAUAUGAAUUUACUCAAAUCAUAAUAUAUGAUAAAUGAAAAUUUGAAAUAAUUAAUAUUAAAUAUAUUUUAAUUAAAAUAUAUGAUUUAAUAAAAUUUAAAAUAAUUAUUAUUAAAUAUAAUUUCAUAAAAUGUUCUUAUGAAUUUAUAAAAAUAAAAAUAUAACUUAAGAAUUAUUUUCUGCAUAAACAUAAUUAACUUAUACUAAGAAAAAGUUAGAUGAAAAUGAAAUUGUACAUCAUAAUCCAUAUGUUAUAUAGUUUUACAACAUCAAAAAGUUUGAACAUUGAUAUUUAAUGGUGAGAAAGAAAUCUUCUGACCCAUUCCAAUCGGGCAACAGAAGGUAAACUAAAGAAAACGAUCAUUUGAUUUGGAUGAUCGGGAAUUUUACUCAAAGCAUCAUACCGCUGAUCGUCGGUUAAACCUUCAAUUGACCAUAAGGCUGAAUAUAAAUUUGAAGCUUUCUCUUCCAUCUUCUCUUCUGACUUCUGCUGAACUACCACCUCGGAGGCAAUACUCCUACUGAUUUUAUCACCAACGGCCUGGAUUUUUUCCCCCAACAAGGUGGCAGCCUCCUCAAAUGAAGAAUACCCACCAUGUAUGCAUGUAAGGAAAAUAAUAUGUCAACGAACUCUAUCUAAGACAUUAUAAUUGCUAAGCCUUUGAAUUGAUAUGUUCAAAAGGGAGUUCAGCAGUGAGCAAUAUUAUUUUCAUCAAAGAUCCAAUAAUUGAGCCAUAUGCCCCAUAUGACUUGGUACUAAAAUAAGCAUCAACAUUUCUAUCAAGAUGGCACAUGUUUAUUUUUAUUUAGUAAAAUUAUUAGUAAAAAUUUACAUAAAUGAUUGAUAGCUAUUAACAAAUUUAAUAUUUUAAAGAUAAAUAAAAUGAUAAUAUUUUGUAAUCAAAUAAUAAUAAAGAGGUAAACACUCCAUAAGUAAUAAAUAAUUUAUAACACAUAGGUAAAAAAUAUUAUGGAAAAAAAAUUUGAAUUAUUAAUAUCAAUAAUAAAUAUGUUUUUCUAUUAAUAUUAAAUUUUAAUUGUUAUGCCAUGUUUUAUUUAUAUUUUCAAUUUAAAUGUAUAGUUUUAUAUUAAUAUUAUAUAAUCAAAAUGAUUUUAAUUAUAUUUCAAUUAAAAAUAUUAAAUAAUAAAUAAUGAUUUUAAUUAUAUUUUAAUAUACCUUAAAUAACAUAAAUAAAAUUUUUAUUUCAGCUUAAAGUUAGCACAAUUUAUUUUAAUAAUGAUUAAAUUUGAACGAGAUCUUUGAAAGUAUCAAAAUCGUUAUAUUUUUAUCAUAAUUGAUAUUAAUACAAGAAUUGGUACUAAAGUUUGAUGUCCUUUUUAAAUUAUAACGAAGAAUUGGUAUACCAUUAUCUUUAAGUAUCAAAAUAUUUAUCAAAUACAAAUAAUAGAUUAAAAAAAGAAAAAACACAAGUACCAAAUUAUAUAUUGCUCCUUUUUAUAACAACAUUUUGUCCAUGAAUUUCCUUUUUAAUACAAGAAUUGGUACUAAAGUUUGAUGCCCUUUUUAAAUUAUAUAGUACUCAUUAAUGGUUUUGGGGACAAAGGAAUAUAACAUAUGAUAUCCAAGUACAAAUCAGAUGUGUGCUCACAUGCAAUUUGCAAUCAUAAGCAUAACCUGGUUUUUUAAUGAAUGAAAACAAUUUAUAAAACAUCUUUUAAGGUAGACAUAUAACCAUAAAUAUUCGACAGUUGCAUGUUAAUCUUCAAAAGAUCCUAGAAUUCCAACGAUUUGCUUGAAAGUUGGACAAUGGAAGGUGGAGGAGAGAGAGCAAGUGAAAGCAGCAACCACGUAAGACCAAAUUAUAUAUUGUUUGGAAAGAAAGGAAGUACAUCCACAACUGAAAAAUGGGUUAAUGUUUGAUAUAUUGACAGAUUAUAAGUUUGACAGAUAAUUUAAAACUUUUAAAAGUAAGAUGACAGAUUUGGUAAUGAAGAAAGCUUUGGGUAAUUUAAAACUGUACAGGUCAUGGCUUCAUUUUCACUUCUAUAUAUAUAGCCGAACAAGAAAGGGUUUUCUUGGUUUCUCAUAUAUGGCCAGAAGCAGAUACAGUGGAAGGAGACCUUAUCAGCUAAUUAUUUCAGAAAGAGUGAAACGUAAAAGCAACAUAUAGGAAAAUACUCUCUUAGUUUCAUAAUUCCACACCAACUUGGAGAUUAAAUUAGCAGUAAAUGUACUUGGGUGUUAACUCAUUUCAAACAUUUCAAAGCAUUCAAAGUUAACAGUACCAAAUUAACAGCACCAUUUCAAACAUUUAUCAGUGAGCAAACAUUUCAAAGCAUUCAAAGUUGAAGUAGUAACAGCACCAUUUGAAACAUUUCAAAGCAUUAACAGUACCAAAUUAACAAAGCCAUUUCAAACAUUUCAAAGCAUUCAAAAUUAACAGUACCAAAUUAACAGCACCAGGACUAUGCAUGACAUUCUAGAGCUCAUUAUAUGCACUUCAACAUUGCAGUAGCCAUGAAAGAAUAUCAGAGUGUUUCUAUUCAACAAAAAUCUCAAAAAGCAUACAAAUCCAAACAGGACAUGAGCAUUCAUAGUCCUUUGUUUUCAUUUCUGACUGAUCAAGCAGAUGGAGCCACUGCAAAUAAAUUAUAUAGCCACUGCAAACAAUUGUAUAGCCACUGCAAACGGGGGAAACUAACCUGUAAUGAGGAAAUCGGAGAGGAGACCGAUGAUGAACUGCAGCAACAAAGAACCUGUAAUUCAGGACAAACAAACAAACAAUGAAGUUAGUUGUUGUAUAAUUCCAUGUCAUUCGGUUGAAUUUAGAUUUAAUUUUCAGUAACAGCAGUGUGUAAAUGAUAGAGAAACAAAACAUGCUAAAUAAAAUGGCUACACAAGAACCAUCAUCUAGGCAUUUGACUAGAAAAAUAAACAUGUUUUCACAAAAAUGAAAAUGGAAUACCAGUGCAAUUAGAGUUUGCUUACAUACAUAUUCUCAUACAGCCUUUCAAAGAUAAUUUAAUUACAAAAGAUAAAUAAUAUUCUUAUUUCUGUCAUGGAAAAGCACAAGAUUGUUAAAUGAGUUUAUUGAUUUAAAUGACUAAGAAAAAUGCACAGCAAGUACUUUCAUCAUAACAAUAUCAUGAGCUGGUUGCACUGGUUUUAAUAUUUCACAAUCUUGUCUCUACUGCUUUAGUUUGAUAGAUAAUGAUGUGUGGAUUACAUAAUCAAUAUAUUAAACUGCAGAUGGGAACUUAAGACAAUAUUAAAGAAUUAUAGAAAACAAAAAAUUAAUGGAUGGGAAAAUUAUAAGGAAAAUUAUGAAAUACUGACAACAAGCCUUUAACAAUGCACAAUGCCAAAUGACAAACAAAUUAAGGUCAAGAAGAUUAUUUAAAUGGAAAUACAAAAUCUAGCCUUUCCUUGACAAGUUGGAACUCAAACAAGAAUAUGAGACCUCUAGGAAUAUCAGUUGGAACAAAUCUGUUAAUUUCUCUACAAAUGUCCCACUACUGAUAUGCGUUCAUGGUUUAUAAGUGAGGAAAAGGAUUAUUAACUUCUAACAAUGGAUUAAAAUCAUGUUUUUAUUUGAAGUUAGUUGUUGUAUAAUUCCAUGUCAUUCGGUUGAAUUUAGAUUUAAUUUUCAGUAACAGCAGUGUGUAAAUGAUAGAGAAACAAAACAUGCUAAAUAAAAUGGCUACACAAGAGAACAUGCUGAUCAUUGAUAAUAAAUUAAGCUACAAAAGCAAAAAUGGCAAGAGGAACAAAACAUGGUACAGAAACAGAAAAUAGAGAAACAAAAAACCACUACAGAAAAUAGAGGAACAAAACAUGGUACAGAAACAAAAAAUAGAGAAACAAAACAUGGUACAGAAAUAGAAAAUAGAGAAAAAUAAAGUAGACAGAAUAUGAAAAAUGUUGGAGCAAAGAACCUGUAAUUCAGGACAAACAAACAAACAAUGGAAAAAAAAACCAUAACCGGCAAGAAACGAAACGCCGAUUUACCAAGGACUGAAACAAUCGCAUGCAGAGAGGAAAGAAAUAGGUUAAGUUUGACGGAGAUUACUGAUUCAAGCCGUCCGGAGAUCUGACACCGUCGAGUCGGAGAAGGAUGCAAAGCUGAAAUCGGGAGCGGGUAGAGGUUUGGUUCGCUGGCACGUUCUGUUUAUGUUGGGAGGGAGAGGGUCAGCUGGAGGCGAUUUCGGCAAGGGGAGGGUAAAUAAGACACCGAUUAGCUAAUCUUAGUUGUUGCAAGGGAUUACAAAUCGGUGGUGAAGCAGCCAAAAUGUGGAAUCCGUCCGCAACGGAUUAGAACAGUAUUAGAGAAAACAGCGAACCAAACGCUGUAUUCAGUGGGGCCACCGAUUCGGGGUGUAAUGGAUUAGCCAUUACACCCAACCAAACAAAGCCUAAAGUUUAAAAGCCUUGAAUAUUUGAAAAUGGAUCAUUGCGCGAGUCUUAAAUUACUUUCGGAGCUUCCACCAUAUUUGCGGUACUUGGAUGCACAUGGCUGCAAAUCGUUAGAAAAAGUAUCGUUCACACGUCGAAAUCGAGAUCUAUAUGAACUCUAUUCUUUUUACGGUAAAGAUGAGUUCUUUAUGAUAUUCUCUGAUUGCUUCAGCUUGAAUCAAGCGUCAAUUAAAAACAUUGAAGCAAAUGCCAUGCAAAAAAUUGAAUCACUUGUAAAGAAAUGGGGAUGUAAAUAUGAUUAUGGUCCAAAAUCAUUGUUUUGCUGUUUCCCAGGGAGCGAAAUUUCAGCCAGUAAAUUCAAGUAUCAGAGGAUGAAUUCUUCGUUGAAGUUGAAGAUAACCCCAAACGAGUUUAGUGGGAGCAGAUUCUUGAGUUUUGCUAUCUGCCUGGUGGUUGAUCUCACGCAUUGCCAUAAAUACAACAGAGAUCUUCGAGGUAUCUGUGAAUACCAACUAACAGCCUUCGACGGUUCUUAUGAAAAGUUCAAAUGUGAGUGGGAUUACAAGCUAGAUUUCGAGUUACAUUGGAAGUACAUGGGUGACCACGUGUUGAUUCUAUUCAGUGACAAAAUGAUUAAAAAAGACGAAGAUUAUGUGGAGGCAGCAUUUGAAUUUUAUAUAAAAAAAAUGCUACCACGGCGAAGCUGAAGUUGAGGAUAUCAAGGUCAAAAAAUGCGGUGUUCAUGUAUAUUGUGUGGCUGAAAACAACACAGGUCCAAUUAGUCCCUGUACCAUGAAAAUGUGAGGACUCGAUCAUCGGUGGCUCAUUCGAGCCCUCCAACGGGGCAUCAGAACUUGACGUUAGCGCUAGCCAUGAGGGAAAACAGUAAAAUCACUAGAGACAAGGGAAAUAAAGGGGGAAAAAGGGGGAGGAAAUUUGUUCAUGACUUAAAGGGUUGAUAUUGCAUCUCUUUCUUAGGUGCUAAGGUAAACUUUCCACCUAUUCCCUAUUUAUAUAUAUAUAUAUAUAUAUAUAUGUUAAUUUGAAAGACUGCUUUGUUUGAGACUGGUUUUUCUUAUAAUAACCUAUGCUUUUAUGAUGGUGUAGGUGUUUGUUGUGGUAUAUCUUAGACUACAAAAUGAAUGGUCUCUUCAAUUUUCCCUCACUUUCAAUGCACUUUUUUUUUGUUAUGUUUCUUAUGCAUAUCUUUUACAAUUAUAUGACUCAUUAUCAUCUGUAAAUUUGGUGGUCUAAGAUGUUGUUUGAUAAUUCAUUAAAAAAUAAACAAAUGGCCUGAAAAUUAAUAUUAUUUUCUUUGUUUUACUUUUUUCGGUAAGCUUAUUUUCUUUGUUUUAACAUUUAAAAUUUGAUACUAUGAAAGGGUAUGAAGAUGGAAGUGAUUGGUGUAAGCAAAUCAUAUGAGAAAAACAGAGACCCAAGAGAGAAUUAAUGGCAGAUCUUUGGAGAGGCCAUUAUACUUUGAGCUUUAGCUAUACAAAAGAUCAGAGGAACAUGUAAGUUUUUAAUUUUUUCUACUGAAUGCUUGCUUCACACUUUUUCUUGAACUGAGAUAUUGAGAGAGUACUGCAAUUUGUCAACAGAUUCGCCUUGUUUCUGGACCUACAGAGGAACCCUAUGCUCUUGAGAAUUUAGCCUUCCUAGACAGGUAAAUUACCUUUGACUCAUUGUGAUUUUUAGCAUCCUCACCUCAAGACCAUCUUUUCCCCAGAUUUCUUAAUGGAUUUGUAUGAAUUCAGAAUUUCCCAAAGUUGUGGGAUGAACACACAUGGAGCUGGAGGUUACUUUCAAUGGCAACCGCUCGAUAGUUUUCACUAUCAAGCUAGAUUGGUGAGAUUAUGUUUUUCCCAUAGAAGAACCCAAAAAACACUAGAAAAAGAAAUGUAAAAAAUUCCAAAUGAUUUGGGUUUUGUUUGAGUUGGUUUCAUUUAAAUGGUUUUUAAUGCAGAAAUUGAUGGUCUGAUUCAUGAUUCUUGAUGGAGAAGAAGACAAGAAUUAUGAGGAGGCAUCAUUCAAAUUCUACAUCAGAAAUUUCUAUUUCUAUCAUGAAGAAAAUAGCAUGAAGAAUAUAUUAAGGUGGAGAGCUGUGGUGUUUAUGUAUUUUACGUGGAUGCAAAGAGCGAUAGAGAUGCUAGUGAAUAGAGACUUGCUGAGAACAAAAGAAGCUUUAGCCAUGAUGGUGAAGAAGGGAUGGAGGACUUAAAAGAUUGAAAUAGUUUGUAUUUCUUUCCAUCCUUGGCUCUGCAUUUGAAGAGUUUCAACUUCUCAAUUAUGUCAUUCAAAUGCAUAGGUAAAGGUUUCAUUUUCAUCUCAUUUUUUCAUAUUAUCACUUUUUCAUUUUCAACUUAUAAAUUAGUGACAGAAAAUGAAGUGCUUUAAUUAAAUAGAACCAACCAGGAUGAAACUAAACUUCCUCUGCUUUAUAAAUUAAUUGUCUUCUAGAAGGUUCUUUACCAUACUGAAACCUUGUAGUUCCACAUUGUAAAUGUUAAAAGCAUAAUUUAUGAACAUAAAAUUGGAAAUUUGUUCAAUAGUUUGUGAUAGUUGCUUUUUUUUUUUCUCAUCGUCAUUCCCCUGUUGUGUCCGUGUUCUUUUGUAGAUAUAGCAUAUAUUUUCCAAGAACGAAAUUCUCCAUAUAUAUUAAAUAAUUUGGAGGAAAAUUGAACGGCAACUGGUUUCAAUACAGUAGCAAAAUGAUUCUGCUUUGGAGUUGGUAAAAUAUCCAUAGGGGAUUUUGGUGGGUACCAAAGUUUAGAUUUUAAAAUUCGUACUUAAUUCUUAUUGACAGUUGACUUGUUAUUGGUUGGUUUUUUUAAAUCAUAGGACGUGGACUCGAUUCAGCUUCAUUGUUUAGUUUCCAGCAUUGGUCAUCUCGUAUCUAACACUUGCUGCAUUUUCCUUCAAUCAUAUAUUGAUUCAUUAGAAAGAUUGGUUAUUUGUGAGAUUGGUUUUUCUUAUAUCCUUUGCUUUUGUGUUGAUGUAAGACUAGGGAAUAACAGAUCUUUGAGAAUGCCACUGUUCAAUUGGAACUUUAGCCAUACAAGGAGGAACACCUGAGCUGUAAGAGUUUCAAUUUGUUUUACUGAAUGCUCGCUUUCUGUUGUGAACACAAAUUCAAAGUAAUCUUUUGAGGCCCUUUCUAUGGAAGUAUUUACACAAAUUUGUAGGUGCUUAUUUUAACUGAACAUGUUAUGCGGUUGCUGUGUGGUAUUUGUGUCUUGAAACGAACAAUGCAAUUUCCAUAACCAUUUUCUGCUUACGGUAACUCUUCGUGGUGAAUACACAGCCACUGUUUCGGAAGAUGAUGUUAAGGGGGUGGCAGAAUUGAGGCGGUCGUAAAACAUGGCUACGAUUCGAGCUAUUAUACUGCAUCUGAAGGUUCAGACUAGAGCAUGACAGUUUCAUUAUGUAUCAACUCAACCUCUGAUUCUUUGGGGGACGUAUUUGAGCUAAUCGAUCAAUCCUUCAGGUGAAAGAUAUCGGUUCUCGUAAAUGACUUGUUAAGGCUUAUUGGCUAAGGACGGGAUGGAUUGGAUUCAGUGUUCAUGGCAUGGUGGCUAUUGGCAUAUACAAUAUUGUUAAAAGAUGGCUUUCAUGCAGACCAUAGCAGUUCGACCCAUGCAAGUUGCAGCUGAAGAAUAUGCUGCUGUUUUUUUUUACUUUUUAGUUGAUGUUUUUGCUACUUAGUUACACUAGAACUAAGUAUGUAAGGUAUUUGAUGUAAUUUGGUGCUGAUAAAUUUGAUAAAUCAGCUUAACCAACUGUGCAAGCAAAGUUCUAUAAGUUUCAAGACUUUGUUAGUGGAGUUAAGUGUGUUUAGGUAAUAUUUUCAUCUUUUGAAAAGUUGAUUACUUGUUAUAUGUAAUACUUUGUUUUCAGAAAUGAGAUGAUGAAUUAUUCACCAAAAAAUAUCUUCUUGUUGUGGUUCUUAUUGAGCAAUCUGUUCUUGUUAUAAUUCAAGACGAUUUCUUUGUUUGUUCAUCAAGUUACAGUAGCUUCUAGCUUAAGACCUUGCUGAUAUUUCUUAACCUGUUAUCUAAGUUCCUACAACUAGUAUCGAGAGCUAACUUCUUAGAGGACCUAUCUCUUUUCUACUCUCAAAAACACAAUGUCAUCAUUAGGUUUCUCUCCAGCACCACCACCAGUAUUCAACGGUGAAAGCUACCACAUUUGGGUAAUGAAAAUGAAGACCUACCUACAAGAAUUUGACUUGUAGAAGGUUGUCAAUUCUGAUCUUGAACCACCACCCUUGAGAGCUAACCCUACGGUAGCUUAGAUCAGGCAACACUCUGAGGAUAGAGCCAAGAGAUACAAGGCAAUGUCCUACAUCCAAAAUAGUGUGUCAAACUUGAUUUUCACAAGGAUCAUGCCCUAUGAGACUCCAAAGCAGGCUUGGGACAAGCUUAAAGAAGAUUUUCAAGGUACUGAAAAAACAAGACAGCAACAACUCUUAAACUUAAGGAGGGACUUUAAAAAUCUGAAGAUGAAGGAAUCAGAGACAAUCAAGCAAUAUUCAGACAUGAUAUGGUUGUUGUAAAUAGGAUCAGACUGCUUGGGGAGUAAUUCAGUGAAGCCAGAAUAGUGGAUAAGGUUAUUUCAACCUUACUUGAAAGAUAUGAAGCCAAAAUCUCUUCCCUAGAAGACUCGAGAGACUUGUCAAGCAUUUCUUUGACUGGGCUGAUUAAUGCUCUUUAUACUCAGGAACAAAUGAGAGCUAACAGACAGAAAGAGCAUUAUGAAGGUGUAUUCCAAGCCAAGAACAGGCCAACUUCAAGCUUCUCUGGCUACAAAAGGAAGAAAACUUGGUCAGACAAGCCUAAAAGAGAUGAAGCAAGAAGAAGAAAUUUAUCCUGCUCACAUUGUAAAAGAUUAGCCAUCUAGAAGCAAACUGCUGGUACAGACCUAAUGUGCAAUAUAAGGUUUGUAAUCAGAUGGGCCAUGUUGAAAAGGUCUGUAAAAAUAAAGGCCAACAAAAGAAACAAUAACCUCAGUAGCUUAAAACAGAAGCUCAAGUGGCAGAGGAGAGUUGUGCUCAGAAAAAACAAGUAUUUGCUAUCUCUAGUUCUACAAACAGAAGAAAAACCACAAAAGGGUGGUUAAUUGGCAGUGGCUGCACCAAUUACAUGACACCAGAUGCUACUAUCUUUAAAAGCAUAGACAUAACCUUCAAUUCGAGAGUAAAAGCAGGCAAUGGACAAUACAUCAAAGUAGAAGGGAAUGGAGAUGUGCUGAUUGACCCUCCUUCAGGUACCAAACUUGUUUCAAAUAUUUUGUUAAUACCUGAAAUCGAUAGAAAUCUAUGAGGUAUUACUCAGCUACUUGGAAAAGGAUAUUCUUUGUGUUCAAAGGCAAAUAAUGUAUGAUCAGUGAUUGAAAUGGAUCCAAGCUCAUGUCAGUAGCCAUGAUUGACAGACACUUUGUUGUUGAUUGGAAUAAUGGUUCUGUUAGUGCCUACACAACUGUCUUAGAUGAGUCCAAGUUGUGUAGAAGGUCGGGCCAUGUUAACUACAGGUCACUACUUCAGUUGUCCAAGGAAGAUUUGGUUGAAAAUUUCAAAAAAAUUGUUGAAAAAUAGGAUGUCUGUGAAGUAUGCCAGCUAGGAAAGCAAGCUAGACUGCCAUUUCCAACAAACAAGGAUUGGAGGGCCUUUGAAAAACUGCAGCUAGUCCAUACUGAUGUGUGUGGCCCUAUGAAGAUUGAAUCUUUGAAUGACAGUAGGUAUUUCAUUCUCUUCAUUGAUGACUACUAAAGAUUUUGAUGGGUUUACUUUCUAAAGCUCAAGCCACAAGUAGCCUCAGUGUUUUGGAAGUUCAAGGCAGAAGUAGAAACUCAAUCAGGUUGCAAGCUUAGGACACUAAGGUUAGAUAAUGGGACAGAGUACACCUCAAAUGUGUUAAUUUUUUGUGAAGAAUCAAGGAUUGAACAAUAACUCACCAACACUUACACACCUCAGCAAAAUGGUGUCAGUGAGAGAAAGAAUCGAACCUUGAUGGAUAUGGCCAAAUCCUUAAUGUUUGAAAAGAAUUUGCCUAGAAGUUUUUGGGCUGAGUUAGCGCUCAGUAUAUCUUCAGAAUUGGCUACCAACUAAAGCCUUGCUUGAAAACACUCCAUUUGAAGCUUGGUUUGGGUUCAAGCCAUCAAUUUCUCAUCUAAAAGUCUUUGGCUAUAUAUGUUACACACAUGUUCCUACAGUUAAGAGGGACAAAUUGGCAAAAAAAGCUCAGCCUAACAUCCUUGUGGGCUAAAGUAGUGUCAAAAAUGGCUAUGGAGUUCUAGAUCCUACAACCUGCAAAGUCUUUGUAAGUAGAGAUAUGGUAUUUGAUGAGAUGUCAUCAUGGAAUUAGAGCAAAGGUGAACCAGAGUGUACUGUUGAAAACUUAGUGUCAGUACAAACUGACGUUGAUCAGAAUGAUCAAGAGCUAGACAUUGACCAUGUGCCAGUUAGGGGAACCUGACUCAUUAGUGAAGUAUAUGAGAGGGCUGAUGUAGCUAUUGUUGAACUAGCUAGUUUUGAAGAAGCUCAAGCACAUGCUUGAUGAAAUGAACAUGAUACAUAAAAAUUAGACUUGGGAUCUUCAUUGGAAGGUCAUAAGAGUAAAAUGGGUGUUUCGAGCCAAACAAAAUGUUGAUGGAACUUUGAACAAGCUGAAGGAAAGGUUAGUUGUGAAAGGAUUUAAUCAGAAGUGUGGGAUUAACUACUUUGAAACAUUUGCACUAGUGGCAAGACUUGAUACUAUUAGACUUGUGAUAGCUCUGGCUGCUCAAAGGCAGUGGAAAAUACAUCAACUUGAUGUAAAACCUACCUUUCUUAACAGUUUUCUUGGUGAGGAGAUAUAUGUUGAACAAUCAGAGGGUUUUAAAGUUGUUGGUGAAGAAGACAAAGUGUACAAGCUGAGAAAAGCCUUGUAUAGCUUAAAGCAGGCACCAAAGGCUUAGUAUGACAGAAUCGACAGCUACCUGGCAAGCUUGGGAUUUGAAAGAAGCUUCAAUGAACCAACACUGUAUGUGAAGAAGGAAAGUGAUGAAACACUGCUUAUAGUCUCCUUAUAUGUGGAUGACUUGUUAGUGACUGGUAGGAAUGAUGUUAUGCUGACAGAUUUUAAAGACAAAAUGAUGAGUAUGUUUGAGAUGUUUGAUUCGUGUGAAAUGUCCUAUUUCCUUGGCAUGGAGGUAUCUCAAAUUCAGCAAGGGAUCUUCAUAAGCCAAAAGGCAUUUGCCUCAAAAAUUCUAAACAUAUUUUCCAUGCAAAAUUGUAAAGCAACUAGUACUCUAGUUGCUGUUGGCGAAAAGCUGUCUAGCCAAGGUGAUUUCGAGAAAGUGAAUGAUUUAACCUAUAGGAGUCUAGUAGGAUGUUUGCUCUACUUAACAGCCACCAGACUAGACAUAAUGUUUGCAGUCAAUCUCCUAUCCAGGUUCAUGCACUGCUGCAAUGUGAACCAUUUUCAAGCUGCAAAGAGAGUUCUCAAGUACAUCCAAGGAACUCUGAGCUUUGGAGUUAUGUUCACCAAGGUUGACAGCAUGAAGCUUGUUGGUUUUACUGAUAGUGAUUGGGCAGGAUCAAUUGAUGAUAUGAAAAGCACUUCAGAGUAUGUGUUUAGCCUUAGAUUAGUUGGUUUUUUGUUGGAGUUCAAAUAAAUAGUCCAUUGUUGCUCAAUCAACAGCUGUAGCUGAAUAUGCUACAGCUGGAGCAACUGUUAAUCAAGCAAUUUGGUUAAGAAAGCUCAUGACAGAUAUGAACUUACACCAAAGAUAAGCAACAAAUAUCAGAAGUGAAAAUCAAUCUCUGCUAUUGCAAUUGCAAAGAAUCCAGUAUUUCAUAGCAAAACAAAACAUUUUAAUAUCAAAUUUCAUUUUGUUAGAAAAGUGGAACAAUCUCAAGAAAUCAAACUAGUUCAUUCUAGUUCUGAAGAUCAUGUAACACCCCUAACCCGUAUCCGCUGCCAGAAUAGGGUUUCAGAGCAUAACUACCAUUUACAAAUCACUAAAAAAAAUUUAAAUACUUACCGAUUCAAUGCAUCAUUUAAAUAAAAAUAUUACCAUUCAAUCAACAGUUUGACACUUGUAUAAGCAUCAAACAGCAACAUUGUUAGUAUACUUGCACAUAUCUCAUAUAAAUUCAACAUUGAUAUAUCUAUUUUCUCGACAUAUCGCACUUGAGUUUAAUAAUAGUCUCAACUUACAUAAUUUCCUUGUAUCAACAUAUCAAAGAUAACCAUAUAUGUACAUGUCAUGAAACAUAUCAUGCUCUUACCGUUUCUUCAUAAGCAUAUAUCAUUCAUUUCACUAUAUCAAUAUUUCAUGCUCCAUCAUUUUCAUAUAUUUUAUGUAUAUUUAUUCCGAUAAUAGCUUAUAUCAAACUUAACACAAAUUAUAUUCUAUGUACUUAUACUUAUUUCGUUUAUCUAUCUUCAUAAUUAUUUCAUAUAACCAUUCAUCAUCUGAUACAUAUUACCUGAAUAUCAAUUGUUCAACAGAUGUUAGAGCGUCUCCCAUCCACGGUCUUAUUUAUCUUUGACAUGAUGCCAUAGUGUCUUUCAACUAUGGUCUUACUCAUUUUUUGUCAUGUUGCCAUGGUAUCUUUCAACCAUGGUUUUACACAUUUCAUAUUAGGCUGCCAUGGUAUCUUUCAACCAUGGUCUUACACAUUUCAUAUCAGGCUGCCAUGAUAUCUUUCAACCAUGGUCUUACACAUUUCAUAUCAGGCUGCCAUGGUAUCUUUCAAACAUGGUCUUACACAUUUCAUAUCAGAGAGCACACUCCCGCGAACCUCAUCCUUACAGUGGGAUUACCAGCCCAGGCUAAAUCCCAUGUAAUAUAAACUCAUAGAGUAUUGUUGGGAUUACCAGUCCAGGCUAAAUCCCCUGCAACGAUAAUUACUCUAAUGAGCUUGGAUCUGAAUUACCAGUCCAGGCUAAAUUCAGACCCUAAUUCGGAUUACCCGUCCGGGCUAAAUCCAUUUUACACAUAUUCUUCGAGAGGGCUAUAUCAGAAUAGGAUCACCCGUCCGGGCUAGAUCCUUUUUACCGUCAAUUCCUUUUCAGAGAUCCAUCUAAUUUUCCUUUCAUUCAACUGGGAUUUAUUUCCAAUUUAUAUCGAGUAUUAUCAAUAUUUCAUCAAAUAUCAUGAACUGAACAUUCAAAUCAUAUUUUCAUCACAUAACCACAUAUUUCAAGUAUUUAAAAUACAAUUCAAGUUACACAAACUUACCUCAUUGCUUGUUUGUGUUUAUAAUCUCAUUAAUCCGAUAUCUUUUCUUUUCCACGAUCAAGUCUCAUAUUUGAGUCGUCCGGAUCUUUAUAAAUAAAUUUGAUCAUCAUUUUCAUUCAUUUCAUCUUCUAAUGCAUUUAAUUAAUGCUCUAGGCAAAAUUACCAUUUUGCCCCUAAACUUUUAAUUAAUGACGAUUUCGUCCUUAGGGUCAAGAAAAUUAAAUUAUUGCAAUUUAAUCCUUAUUUCCAGCUAUUAUUCUCAUAUAUAUUGAUAACAGUCCAUGAAUUCUAUAAAAUAUCAGAAUUUUCCAUAAUUUCAACACUUUUCAAUUUAAUCCUUAAAACAUGUUUUCCCCCGAUCUUGAACUAAAUUAAUAAUUUCAUUCAAUUUUGUAAUUUAAAUAAUAAAAUAAUCCAUUUCAUGCAAUUUGGUCAUUUCUGACAUUUUUACAAAAUUACCCAUAAAGUUUUACUUUUAUUCAAUUUAGUCCCUAAGCCUAAAAUAUGCAAAUUAGCCAUGCUUAAUGAAUAUUCAUAUAUGUUUUCCUCCUCCUCCUCCUCCUCCUCCUCCUCUCCAUUCCACAUCCUUGAUGUAUGUAGCACACUUGUAAGUAACAUUAUCUAUAAUCUUUAUUAUUUACUUUUAUGAAUAUUCAAGCUAUCCAUCUGUGUUAUAGUCACUAAAUUAUUUAUAUCUGGAGCUAUAGGACUCCAAAUUAAGAUCCAAUAAUUUUACCUGAAACUAGACUCAUAUAUCUUCUUACCAUAAAAUUUUCAGAAUUUUUAGUUUACUCAAUAAGUACAGUUUAUUCUUUAAAGUUAUCUCUAUUCUGCUGUCUGACAGUUGUGACCCUUCUUCACUAAAAAUUAAUUAUCUCCUUGUACAGAAUUCGAAUGAUGUUCAUAUUUGUUUCUAUUGAAAAUAGACUCAUUCAUGAUUCUAAACAUAUAAAUUUAAGCCCCUAAUUAUUUUUAUUCAAUUUUUUAUGAUUUUACAAAUUCAGAACAGGGGAACCCGAAAUCAUUCUGACAUUGUCUCAGAAAAUUCAUCAUAUCUCAUGAUUUAGAAUCCCAUUGCUUACAUAAUUUCUUCUAUAAAAAACUAGACUUAAUAAGAUUUAAUUUCAUAUUUUAUUCAUCCUAUAAUUAGAUUUCUACAAUUUUUGAUGAUUUUUCAAAGUUAGACUACUACUGCUGUCCAAAACUGUUUUUGUACAAGAUAUUAAUUACCAUGUUAUAACAUCCUUAUUUUCUUUUUCUACACCAUUUCUCAUCACUUUCUCUUAUUUUUUUCUUCACUAACAUAUCAAGAACAUAGGACCUUAUGUAAUAAAACUCUACUAUAACAUUAUUUCCAUGCUUUAUCAAUAAUAACAAACUUAAAAACAUAUUGAAAUCUUGAUGUACUUACCUUUUCUUAUUGACUUCAAUCUUUAACUUGAUUUUUCUCUCUCCUCCAGCUUCGAUUUCUUGAAUCCAACUUGAUAUUCUUGCUCCCCAUCAUCUCCUUGCUAUCUUUCUCUCUUGAUGGCUAUGGAAAUUCUUUCAAUUUUUAGGUGAAAAUAAUGAAUUUUUGGUGGAAGGACUAAAUUGUAAAGAAAGCAAACUUCUUUUCUUCUUCUUAUCUUACGUUAGUUUGCAUGGGAAAGGAAAUGUGUUGAUAAUUCUUCAUCUUUCCUUCCUUUUAUACUAAAUAAAUAAUAAUAUAAUAAUAAUAAACAUCUCAUAAAAUAUUAAUAAAAUAAUAUUUAUCUAAUUAAUUAAUUUAAAAUAUCAUCAACAUAAUCAUUACAUUCUAGAAUUCUCUCUCUUACUAAUUGACCAUUUUGCCCUUCAUGAUCUUUUAGAAUUUCAUCCUUGAGUCAUCACUUAAUUUGGUAAAAUUGCGAUUUAGUCCCUCAUAAAUUUUUUACCUAUUCAAUUUGGUCCUAAUUCAUCAAAUUUUCUUGGUUUCUAGAUCAUUCCACCCUUAAAAUAUUUGCACCAUUAGUCCUUCAACUUUUUUAUACUUGCACUUCAACCCCUUAAAUUUUGAGUAUUUACUCUUGUGCAACAAGACUUUUCUCAUCUUUGCAAUUUAGUCCUUUCUUGAAUUAAUAUAUCAUAAGAUAAUCAUACGGUAUGUGCUUUUAAACUUUCUUAAAAAAAUAUUUAUAAUUUGAUUCAUAUGAUGACAUCUUAUUUAAAGCUUUUAAAAAAUAAAUAUAAAAGAUUUUAUUUUAUUUUAUUUAAAUAAGUGAUAUCAUUUUAUCUAUUAAUUAUGGGUGAAUUUUCAUGCCCAAUACAUCAGAUAUAAUUUUUUAUUUUUACUACCUAAAAUUAAGUAGAUGAUGUUUAAAAGUAAUACAAUUAUUUUUUCUGUACAGGACCUUGCUAAUUUAAGAAAAAUUGAUGUUUCAAAUUGCAGUGAGUUAAGGAAGAUACCUAAUCUUUCAGGAGCCAUCAAGCUUGAACUCCUUGAUUGCACUAACUGUGAAAGUUUGGUUGAACUUCCUUGCCCCAAUUAUUUGGCAUCUAUUUCUCAGUAUAAUCUUCACAGUUGCAGACGUUAUAAUUUCAAGAAUAUUCCUCAGGUCCGAAGUAACUUUCGUUCUUCGGAUUUACCAAGAACUGAAAUAGAAGAAGUGACUGCGUUGUGGUCUUGGCAUAAGACAAAAAAGAGAACAAGACAUUGAACAAAGCAUGAAGAAACAAAUGACAAUUUACUUGCUCACAAACGUACAGGAAUGAGGAAUUCAACAAUUUACUUGCUCACAAAUGUAACAGCCCAAAAUUUCUUAAUUUUGUUUUGUUUCAUUUAGGCACAAAUGUAUAUCUGCUUCAAUGGUUAAGUGUUCUGGGUGUGUGUGAGAGGUCCCAAGUUCAAGACCUAACUUUGGCAAGUUUUGAUAUUUUUCUGACUUAAACCUUAUACUUGAUCAGUGGGUUUAUAUUAAAUUAUUUAUAUAACCAUAUCAGAAUGAGCCUAUUGGUUCGAGUAGUAAGGGAGUCUGUGUGUUGGGUGUAGUUUAUUUUUGCUCGGUUUUACACAAGUGUUUCAGUACAAUUGGAAUUCUGAGAAGUUGAUUAGUGGAAGAGUGAAUUAAGGGAUUUGGGGAGGUUACAGAUUUUAUUUUGUUUUUAUUCUUAUCUUUUUAAAAAAUUGAUUUUCUUUCUCAAUUUUGACGUUCUUCAAAAAUUUCCUAUAAAAUUUCCUAUCUUACUCUGCCAAAUUUUUCCUUGCUUUCCUCCUCUUAUUUCUGGUUUUUCAAUUGUCUCCUUUUUGUUCGACGUUGUUUACGCUCGUUCGGUAAGUAACUAUUAUGCCGCUAUCUUAAGGUUUUGUGGUUAGUGUUGUCACGGGGUUUUUGUGCUUAUUCUUGACUAGGGAAAGAUUUAGAGGUUCAAAAUCAUUCAUCAGGGAUUUAGUUGUGUAGAAGUUACCAUUGUUCGAUUAAAGGUAAGGUUUGGUUGCCCAAUCUUCUGAAUAACUCAUUUGGAAUCGGUUUAGUUUAUCUUUUUAAGCAGAUGAUUCAAAGUCUUUUGGAUUAUUUUAGGUGCUGGGGAUCUCGAGAGUGGUUACGCAUCGAACAGAUACCAAGUGUGUACUCGAAACGCAAGAAAAUGAGCUUUCGGCAAAAGCCAAAAACCUUAUUAUCGAUGCCACACGGGCGUGUAGUCACCCGUGUGGUAGGUCGUACGAGUGGACACGGUCGUGUGGUUGACGAAGGCAUGGCCGUGUGUAGCACACGGCUGUGUGAUGGCUCAAGUGUAGCCGUGUAAGCCACACAGGAUAGGCCGAGUUGGGUCGUGUGGGCCCACAUGGGCAAGAUACACGGGCGUGUCGAUUAUUGGGCUAGGCCGUGUGGGCCACACGGGCAAGGUUAAUCUGGGCGUAUGGGCCACACGAGCAUAUGGGCCCAUACGGGAUGUGGGCCCAUUUAUCUAAAAUUGUCCCUAGGGAUGCACGGGUCGUCCUAAACGACUGUGGGCCUACGGUAGGGUCGGUAAGGGCUAACUAAACCCUAAAUUAUCUGAUUUAAUUAAUCGAUACCCUAUAUUGAGCAUGUCUGAUUACUGAUUUGCAAGACUAUCUAUUAUUUGUUGUAAAAGCAUGUUAUGCAUGAUUAUCUGAUAAGUCUGUACGUAUGAUCUGAUAUCUGGUUUUAGGGUUGGGAUUAUAUAUUUGGAGGAAGUGUUCUGAAAGGUAAAUUAUGUCUACUAUUUGGCAGCAUGGCUGCGAUACAUUUGUUAUAUCUGGUAUGUGCCGUUAUGGUAUAUCAUGGUGUGUAGUGCUGGAUGGGUGUUUUAAACCCCACAUGGUAUGUAGGGAUGAUCGGAGAUGGUGUGUAGAGGAUGGAGGUAGGACAUCUGAUUUCUGAUUUUGAAUCAUAUAUCUGCAUCUGUAUCUAAGAUGGGCUUAAGCUCAAAUAUGAAUCUGUAUCUGUAGUGGGCUUUGCCCAAAUCUGUAUCAGACUGAUUUUGAAUAUCUGCUUAUGUGCUUGCUUAAUUCUGUGGGGUUACACAUUGAGUUUAUGUACACUCACUCUUUUCUGUUUAUUUUGUUCAGGUAAUUCACAGAGUUAGGAGGAUCGGUGCAGCGAAGGACUCGACGAUGACCACUGUUCCAUAAAACUAUUUUGAAUUAUUAUGUUUUGGGUUUUAUUUUGUGUAAUUCAAACUUUAAGGACUGUUUCCAUUUUUUUAUUUCGGUUAGAUUGCAACUUUAUGAUUUUUACAACUGUAGAGUGAGCUAUGAUUUGAAUUUUACUAAAAACAAGGGUUUUCUAAAAACUUGCACAGUUUUCUAAUCUCGAACCAUUUUACUUAAAAUAAGCUUCCGUUAAAAUGAAUCGUUUUAAGGCAAGAGGGCUAAUGAAAAAUGUCUUUAAAUUAACUAAAAGCGAUUAAGGUUUUAUCAAAUUAGUUUCAUUUUUGAAAUCCAUUCCAUGUGACAUCUCCAGAUUCGGCCAUAACGUCUAGGUCGGGUUUAGGGUGUUAUAAAAAAAUGUGCAACAAUGAAGCUAUAUGCUUACUCAAAACUGAUCUGCUUACUCAUUUAAUAUGAAAACAAUACAUUUUUAAUCAAAAUAAAUCACCAAAUAUUCAACUAAUCUCACUAAUCAGCAUUGGGACUAUUAAAACAUUUCUUGUACACAUGAAUAAGCCGACUUAUCAACUCAAUCAUCACUAAACCCAUCAAAACAUCAAAAACUAAGUUUAUUUUCAACCAAUGAUCAAACUUCCAAAAAUCCCAAGAAGCUUGACAAAAUUAAACUUAUCUGGCACUCAAAUUGAAGAAAUGAUCUUGCCUUUCAACCCUCUAUGUAAUCUUCAGGACUUAAAUGUGAGUGACUCAGCGGUCAAAUAUGUAUGGAUCAAGUCAGAAUCCCUUUUUUAUCUGAAUCUUAGUUAUUGCCCAAUGAUCAAAUUUCCACAAAUCUCAAGAAGCUUAAGAGAAUUAAACUUAUCUGGCACUCAAAUUGAAGAAGCGUCCAUGUCUUUAGACUCUCUAAGUAAUCUUCAAUACUUAAAUAUGAGCGACUCAAGUAUUCAAAAGCUAUAGUGUAAUAUCACCCUGUUCUGUUCGAGAGAAUUUCCAUUAAGAAAAUGCUUCAGGAUUGAAACAUGUCCACAUAUGUUUUUUUUCUUUGUUAAGUUGAUUGUGUCAAAGUUUUUUUUUUUUGGUUAAGUUGAUUGUGUCAAAGUUUGUUUUUUUGUUAAGUUGAUUAUGUCAAAGUUUGUUCCUAUUUUUAGGAAUUAGUUAUUUGUGUGUUGCUUAAGUUUAGGAAAAAGUUAGUGGGUUGUUGAUUUUAUUUUGUAUAAAUUCUGAAUGAUUGUUGAAUAAAGUGUGUUCAGUUUCCUUCAUCCAUUAAAUUUUUUUCCACUAAAAUACUUACAAUUGGUAUCAGAGCUAUAUUCUUAUGGGAUCUGUGAGUGAGUGUGCGAGGUUGUUGUGUCAUGGAUGUCGAAGCAAGUUUCAAUUUCUCUUUAAUUUCUCUACUAGUGUUUGAUGGAGACAACUACCAGAUUUAGGUAGUUCAUAUGGAUGCGUAUAUGAAAGCUUUGGAUAUUUAGGAAGUAGUGGAAAAAGAUUAUCUAUCUCUGAGAAUCUCCAUACCAAGUAUCUUCUUUGCUGGUCCCAAAUCUUUCAUCUCAAAUUCUUCACUUAGUUGGGCUUUGACCUUUCAUAUCUCUCCUUUAUCUUUUGCUGCUAUCAACAUGUCAUCAACAUAAAGAAGUAGAUACACGAAAGAACCAUCACUGUUUUUUUAAAGUAAACACAACUGUCAAAACUACUUCUUUUAAAAUCAUGAGAAGUCAUAAAAGAAUCAAACAUCUUGUACCAUUGUCUUGGUGAUUGUUUCAAACCGUAAAGGGACUUUUUUAGCAAGCAAAAAUAGUCAUCUUUUUCUGAUACUAUAAAACCCUUUGGUUGUUGCAUGUAAAUGUCCUCCUCAAGUUCUCUAUGCAAAAAUAUAGUUUUUACAUCUAACUGCUCAAGCUCCAAAUCAUGCAUGGCCACAAUACCAAGCAAAGCUCGAAUCGAACUAUGCUUCACAACUAGGGAGAACACAUCUGUGAAGCACACUCCUGAAAUUUGACUGUAGCCCUUUGCAACAAGUCUUGCUUUAUAUCUGAGUUCUUCAACUCCUGGAGUCCCUUCUUUCUUUUUAAACACCCAUUUACAACGAACAACCUUUUUACUUUUAGGAAGUUUCACAAGAUCCCAUGUUCUGUUUUUAUGGAGUGAUUCCAUCUCCUCUUGCAUAGCAAACAUCCACUUUUCUGAGUCUUCACAGCUAACUGCCUCAAGAUAAUUAGAUGGCUUUCGGUUUGCAUCUAUAUCUUCAGCCACAUUUAAGCAUAAGCAACUAGAUUAGUCUCGGUAUACUUUUUUGGAGGUUUAAUUUCUCUUCUAGUUCUAUUUUUGGCAAUAGAGUAUUAUGGUGAAGAAGCAACUCUAUUCUCAAUUUUUGUACUAGCUUGAGGAGUCGACUCUGUAUUAAUUUGAUGCUCCAUCUACUUUUGAUGUUCUUUAUUGGAAGAGUCUUUAAGAGAUAAGUUAGGUAGCAUACCAGUUUCAUCAAAAACGACAUCUCUGCUAAUAAAAACUUUUCUAUUUUCAUGACACCAUAACUUAUACUCUUUUACACCAGCUUUAUAACCAAAAAAAACACAUUUACUGGAUCUCGGUUCCAAUUUUCCAUUAUCAACAUGAGCAUACGCAGGACACCCAAAGAUCUUUAAGUCAGAAUAAUUAGCAAGAUUACCAGACCAUACCUCUUGUGGAGUCUUUUUCUCAAUGGCAAUAGAUGGAGAUUGGUUGAUCAAAAAAUAUGCUGUAGAGGUUACUUCUGCCCAAAACGACUUUGGUAAAUUGGCAUUUGACAACAUACAUCGAACCUUCUCCAUGGUCGUUCUGUUCAUUUGUUCUGCAAUGCCGUUUUGCUGUGGAGUAUGACGAACUGUCAAGUGUCUCAUGAUCCCUUUUGACUCGCACAGUCUAUUAAACUCAUCAGAACAGAACUCUAAGCCAUUAUCUAUGAGGAGGUAUUUUAUUUGUUUUCCCGUCUAUUUUUCAAUCAUAAUUUUCCAAGACUUAAAUGCAGAAAUCAUAUCGCUUUUUUGCUUCAGAAAGAAUGUCCAAACUUUUCUAGAAAAAUGAUCAAUAAAAGUUAGCAUAUAAUUAGCUCCACCUCUCGAAGGCACUCUGGAUGACCUCCACAGAUCAGAAUGAAUAUACUCUAACGUUCCCUUCGUGUUAUAGAUUCCUCUGGUGAAUUGAACUUUUUUUUUGCUUCCCAAAAACACAGUUCUCACAAAACUUCAGUUUGCAAAUUCCUUGUCCAUCAAGAAGCCCUCUUUUGCUCAAAUUUGUCAUACUAUUCUCACUCAUAUACCCUAGGAGCAUAUGCCAAAGUUUAUUAAUAUCAUCAUCUGACAAGGAAGAGGAAGCGACAGCUGCAUCACCAGUAACUUUAGAACCUCACAAAAUAUAUAAUUUGGUAGUCUUUCUCUGCUCUUUCAUCACAACAAUGGAACCUUUGGAAAUCUUUAAAACUCUACUUUCAGUUGUGUAUCUGUACCCUUUUGAAUCAAGAGUACUCAACGAAAUUAAAUUUAUCUUCAAUUCGGGAACAUGUCGUACGUCACUAAGUGUUUUGGCAACUCUAUCAAACAUCUUAACUUUAAUUGUUCCAACACCUGCGAUUUUACAUAAAGUAUUAUUUCCUAUCAAAACAACACCUUCAGACACUGUUUCGUAAGUUGUAAACCAAUUCCGAUUGGAACUCAUGUAGAAGGUGCAGCUUGAAUCAAGUAUUCACUCCUCGCUUACUUUAGAAUUGUUGACAGAAGCGAUUAGAAGUUCACUAUCGCUGUAGUCUUCUACAACAUCAGCUUCACUAGAAUUUUCUAGUUGUUUUCCCUUUUGAUUCGCAGCCUCCCUUUUAAUCUUGUUCUGUAGCUUAUAGCACUCAGAUUUAAUAUGCCCUUUCUUCUUGCAGAAGUUACAAGUUUUACCUCUAUUUGAAUACUUCGAUCUACCCUUAGAUUUACCGCAAGGAUUUCGUUCCUGUGUCUUUCCACGAUCAUCAUCAGCAUCCCAAACUUGUCUCCCCUGAACAAUGAGACCCUCUCCUUGAGAGUCUAAUUUAACCAUAAGAUACUUCAUCUUAUCAUACGAGGUCAAAAAUCAUAAACCUUAUCAAUUGUGAUAGACUCGCGGCUAUAUAAAAUCAUCUCUCUAAAGGUUAAAUAAGACAGGGGUAACGAACAAAGUAGAAUCAACCCUAGAUCUUCCUUAUCAUCUGAACCUCCAUGGCCUCUAAGUUUGAGAGAAUUUCUUUAAACACUAUUAAGUGUUCGUGUACAGACGCAUCUUUCUCCAAAUGAUGAGCAUAAAGACACUGCUUCAAAUGCAACUUGCUUGUUAAAGUUUUCGAUAUACAUAUUUGUUCUAGCCUCUUCCAUAAUGCAGCGGCAGUUUUGUCUUUCAUCACAUCCUACAAAAUUUCGUUGGACAAAUGCAGAUGUAAUUGUGUUAACGCCUUUUGGUCCUUACGCUUCUUCUCUUCAUCUGUUAAUGUUAAAGGCAUCUUAUCUAUCCCUAACAGGGUAUCCUCCAGAUUCAUAUGCGCAAGAACUGUUUGCAUCUUAAUCUGCCAUAACACAAAUCUGGUGUUGUGAUCUAACAGCAGAAUUUCAUACUUCAAAGACGUCAUUACCGUGACUGAGAUGAACAUUUGUAAAAAUAAAAUAAAAAAUAUACAAAUUUUACGCGAAAAACCUUUCAGGAAAAAACCAUGGGCAGAGGAGAAGAAAAUUCACUAUGUCGAAUUCGAAUGAUUACAAGAAGAGUUCCUACUAUAUCUAUUUAUAGGUUGAAAAAACCUAAUUCUAAUCAAAGUCAAAUAUAUUAUGCUAUUAAAUGCUAAAUAUAUUAUACUCAUAAAUACUAAAUCUUCUAGAAAGAAAAUAUAUUUUGUUUAACUUGACUUGCAAGCAAUCUCUUAGAAUUUGGGUCACACAACUCUAACACAUCUAAUGCUUAUUUUUUCUAGAUUUAUCAAAGAAAUUCUGAGAGUUGCUCGUAUCUCAAAUCUUGUGGUAUGAACACAUGGAGGUGGAGGCAAGUGUUUGAGGCUAUCAUUCUCAAGUUGGAUUGGUGAGCUUAUGUUUAUCCCAUUGAAGAACCCAAGAAGAUACUGGAAAAAUAUUAAAUGAUUUGAGUUUUGUUUAAAGUGAAGAGCUGGUUCCAUGGUAGAGCCAUUAGAAUUGAUAUUUUCUUAUCUCGGAUUUUGAUUAUCUGAUCAGUUAGGGCUGAAGUCUUUGUAUGUUAUUGCCUUUCAAGUUGUUUAAGCAGCAUUGUGGUGAGGAGAUAUUAAGAUUCAUGCUUUUUUCUUUUUGGCAGUUGACUCCAUAGGAUCAGUGGUCGACUUCAUUCAGCUUCAUUGAAAAGUAGAGAUUUAAUCAUCUGGUAUAUCAAUAUGCUCAUUGCAUUUUCCUUCAAUGAUAUCUUGAUUCAUUGGUUUAUGAUUCAUGUCUAUUUAUACUGGAAUUGAAAUUGCAGACUAAAGAUGGAUUUAAUAUCUUCUGUCUCACCAACAAAACAAGUUCCACAAAAUUUCUAGUGUUAAUGUCAAGGUUGUGCCCUAUGCCUAAUUUUUUUUUAUCUCACAUUAUAGAUGUGCUUUUUUACUCUCAGAGUUUAAAGCAAAAAACCUAGAGAUUAAGCUUUGAAUUUUCAAAUAUGCUACUAUGAAGGGAAUGAAGAUGGCAGUGAUUGGUUUAAGAAAAGCAGAUGAGGAAACAGAGAGUCAAGACGACAUUAAUGGAAGAUGAGUAAGCUUUUAAUUUCUUCUAUUGAAUUAUUGCCAUAUAUUUGUGGUUGAACUGAGACGUCGAGGCUGUAUUGUAACUUGUUAACAGAAUUGCCUUGUUGGUAUCAUCCAACUUUGCUUCAAUGCUUUCUAGUUGUUGGAGCUUUGGAGGAGCCAUAUGCUCUUGGCAAUUUUGCCUUCCUGGUGAGCUUAAUUACCUUUGUUUCAUUGUGAUCUUUUACAACCCUCAUGGCCAUUUGAUUUUUUAAAAACAAAUGAUUUGGGUUUAAUCCAUUCGGUUCAUGCAUUCAUUUUUAUGAGCUUCGAAACUUUGUCUUUACAGUCACUUUCUCUAAUCCUAAACUAUGAUUUUAUUACAAGAAACAACACAAAUUAUACUACUCUGAUUAUUUUAUAUUGCAUUAUUUACACAAAUCAGUAGGUGUUGAUCUUAGCUGAACAUGUUAUGCGGUUGCAGUGUGGUGUUCGUGUCUUGACACAAAUGAUGCAAUUUUCUAUAGCCAUUUGUUGCAUACAGUGAUUCUUCGUUGUGAAUUUACAGUCACUAUUUUGGGAGAAUGAUGUUAAGGGGAUGUCGAAAUUCCAGCAGUCGUAAAAUAUGGCUGUGAUUGGAGCUAUUAUAUUAUGCUUGAAACUUCGAACUAGAGCAUGACAGUUUCACUGUGUAUCAAUUCAACCUUGGAUACUUUGGGGGACGUAUUCGAGCUAAUCAAUUGAUCCUUCAAGUAAAAGAUAUUGCUGGAUCUUUGAAACAGAAUAAUAAAGUUUAGCUGAAACUUAUGCUUCAAGCUACAAUAUCUUGAUGAACAAACAAUGAAAUUUAGCUUAAGCUAUAAGAACAGAAUGCUUGACAGAAAACCAAAAGAAGAAGAAGAAUUUGCUGAAAGAUUCAUCAUCAUUUUAUUGAAAACAAAAGGCAUUACAUAUAUCAAGCAAUCAGUUUGUCAAAAAAAAGAAAAAUGUUACCUAAACAUACCUAACUCCACUAACUAAGUUUUGAAACGUAUAAAACCUUGCUUACACUCUUGGUUAAGUUGAUUUAUCAAAUCUAUCACCACCAAAUUACAUCAAGCAUGUCACUAACUUAGUUCUAAUCUAACUAAGUGUUGUGCGGAAGCGUGUGAAAGAGUAAAAAUAUUGUACUAAAAAAUCACACUAAGUUUAAUUCUCAGGAAAGAGAGGUAGAUCAUGAAGAUCACUUAAAUACCAAGUCUUUCCUAGUCAGAAUAUCCCUCUAUCAUAAUUUAAUAGCACAAUAAAUCACUACAAUCACAUUCACAAAAUAUGCAAAAUAAAUAAUAAAGAACACCAGAAUUUUAACGAGGUUCAGCAAAUUUUGCCUACGUCCUCGGGCACUACCAAAUAUAUUUCACUCCAAAAAUUACAAGUGAAAUUUACAAAUAGGGAGAGAGAAUAAUGCCUUAAGUAGAGAAUGGCAAUUAUGGGAUGAAAAAAGUAAGAAAUGGUUAGGCCUAUUUAUAGUUGAGGUUCAAGGAUCAACUUGCAAUGUCCCUAUACAAUUAGGGAUCAAAAUUGCAAUUAUCCCAUACUAACUUUUAACCCAACUUGCCAACCAAUCUUACUUUCUACUUUCUGUGCCCACCCUUUUUGACUUUUCAAACAAUGGGUGGGUUCCAAUAAUCUCCACCUUGAAGAUUUGAUUAGGAUAAUCUUAUCUUCACACAAUUCUUUCUGCCUUUGACAAUAAUACUUGAUAGUGCUUUCUUCAACUGUUAAACUUGCAGGAUAUUAAUCAAGUUCAAACAAUGUUCAAACUUGGUUACUGUUACCACCUUGGGCAUCAUAUCUGCGGGAUUAUCUGCAGUCUUGAUCUUCUGAAGACAAAUUUUCCCCUCAUCAAUAAUUUCUCUCACAAAGUGGAAACGUACGUCAAUAUGCUUUGUACGUACAUGAUAAACUUGAUUCUUUGCUAAAUGAAUAGCACUUUGACUAUCACAAUACACGUUAAUAUGCUCCUGGACCAAUCCCAAUGUUUUAGUCAUACCUUGUAACCAAAUAGCCUUAUUUACAGCCUCUGUUACAGCCAUGUACUCGGCUUCUGUGGUUGACAAUGCAACUGUGGACUGUAGUGUAGACUUCCAACUUAUUGGUCCUCCAGCAAGUGUAAACACAUAACCGGUGGUUGAUCUUCGCUUGUCCAAAUGACCGGCAUAGUCAGAAUCAACGUACCCAAUAACACCUUUACCAAGUGUAUUAUCCUGCUUGAACAGUAAUCCAACAUCCAUGGUCUUCUGAAUAUAUCGUAGAAUCCAUUUUACAGCUUGCCAAUGUCCUUUUCCAGGAUUAUGCAUAUACCUGCUCACUAUACUAACUGCCUGUGAAAUGUCGGGUCUUGUACACACCAUUGCAUACAUCAAGCUACCCACUGCAUUAGAAUACGAAACUUGCGACAUGUAUUCUCGUUCUGUAUUCGUCGAAGGAGAUAGUUGUGCAGAAAGCUUGAAAUGAGAAGCCAACGGGGUACUUACAGGUUUUGUCUGUUCGUUCAUGCCAAACUGCUGUAGUACCUUUUUCAAAUACUGCUUCUGAGACAAGCUAACUCUAUCAUGAGCUCUAUCUCUCCAUAUUUCCAUGCCGAGAAUCUUUUUAGCUUCUCCUAGAUCUUUCAUCUCAAAUUCAAGAUUGAGUUGAGUCUUCAAUCUUUCAAUCUCAAUUUUGCUCUUAGAUGCUAUUAGCAUAUCAUCAACAUAUAAGAGCAAGUAUAUGAAAGCUCCUUCUUGUAGCUUCUAAAAAUACAUGCAAUGAUCAAAUUUACUUCUUUUACACCUUUGCCCUUUCAUGAACUGAUCAAAUCGCUUGUCCCACUGCCUCGGAGAUUGCUUCAAUCCAUAAAGUGACUUUGUCAGUUUGCAAACCCAAUUUUCUUUUCCAGCAACAUUGAAUCCAUCUGGCUGAGUCAUAUAGAUUUCCUCUUUCAAAUUACCGUGUAAAAACGUACUCUUCACAUCAAGUUGAACUAGUUCGAGAUCAUAUUGCGUAACCAAGGCUAGCAAAAAUCCGUAUAGAUGAAUGUUUCACAACUGGAGAAAACACUUCAUUAUAGUCUAUUCCUUCUUUCUGAGUGUAACCAUUUUCUACCAAUCUAGCCCUGUAUUGAAUUUUAUUUUUACCAGGAAACCCUUCCUUCUUUGCAUAUACCCAUUUGCAUCCAAUUGCUUUUUUUCCUUUGGGUAGUGUCACCAAUUCCCAGGUCAUAUUUUUAUGAAGAGACUGCAUUUCUUCAUUCAUUGCUUGCUUCCAUUUUACACAAUCAGGGUUACUUAUUGCUUCUGUAUAAGUAGAAGGAAUAUCAUCAUCUGCAAUUGGAAGUGCAUAGGCCACUAUAUCAUCAAAGCGAGUAGGCUUACGAAUCUCUCUUCUUGGCCUCCUAUAUGCAAUUGAAUCUUGUUGCUGUAGAGGUUCUUGGGUAGGAACCUCUUCAUCAUUUGUCCCUUCAAUAUUAGCUGGAUCAUCGUUAACCUUUUCAAGCUCCACCUGCUGCAAAGUACUACUGGUUUUGUCAUCCUUUUGUUAAUCUUUGUACUUUAACAUGGUUGAUUCAUCAAAAGUCACAUUUCUACUGAAAACAAUCUUCCUUGUAUCAGGACACCAGAGACGGUAUCCUUUUACUCCAUCAGUUAUACCCAAAUGCUUUCUUUGCUCUUGGGUCUAACUUAGAUUCUUUUACAUGAUAAUAUGCAGUGGAACCAAAUACAUGUAAAGAAUCAUAAUCAGUAGCAGAUUUACCAGUCCACAUCUCUAUAGGAGUUUUUCCAUUUAUUGCAGCUGAUGGCAAAUAGUUAAUUAGAUGGCACGCAUAUGUAACUGCCUCAGCCUAAAAUUCCUUGGCCAAUCCAGCAUUGGACAACAUACAUCGAACUUUCUCAAGUAUAGUUCAAUUCAUGCGUUUUGCCACCCCAUUCUACUGUGGUGUAUCCCGAACAGUGAAGUGUCGCACAAUGCCCUCAUCUUGACAUACUUGUAGAAAUGGAUCAUUUUUGUACUCAGUGCCAUUAUCUGAUCGAAGUCGUUUAACCUUUCGACCAGUUUGAGUCUCCACCAUCUUUUUCCAUUUCAGAAAUGCAUCCAAAACUUCACUUUUUCUUUUCAUUAGAUACACCCAUACUUUUCUUGAAUAAUCAUCAACAAAAGUAACAAAAUAGUGCAUACCUCCCAAAGAAGCCACUUUGGUAGGUCCCCACACAUCACUGUGAAUGUAGUCUAGAAUUCCUUUUGUAUUGUGAAUUGCUGGACUAAAUUUUACCCUCGUCUGCUUGCCCAGAACACAAUGUUCACAGAAUUCCAAUUUGCAAGAAUUUGCACAUUUCAACAAGCCUUGCUUCGCCAAAGUCUACAAAGCUUUUUCACCAGCAUGUCCCAAUCGUAUAUGCCAUAAUCUGGUAGCCUCUGAAUCUACAUCUUUUGUAGAAACUGUUGAUGUUGAUCCAAUAACUGUACUUUUAUUUAAAAAGUACAAGUUAUUUCUUCUUGUGCCUUUCAUCACCGUCAAUUUCCCAGUUACUACUUUUAGUAAUCCAUCUCUCAAAGUGAUUGUGAGCCCUUUAGAUUCUAGGGCCCCUAAUGAGAUGAGAUUUUUCUUCAGGCUAGGUACGUAGCGAACAUCUGUCAAGACUUGGAUUGAGCCAUCGUGAUUCUUCAAUUCGACUGUACCCACUCCCAUUGUCUUACAAGCACUAUCAUUGCCCAUAAGAACAAUUCCACCUUCUAGCUCUUUAAGACUAGAAAACCAGUCCUUAUUAGGACACAUAUGGUAAGUGCAUCCUGAAUCCAAAAUCCACUCAUCCGUUUGACAUGCCAUUGCCAUGCCAACGAAGCUAAAGUCUGACUCCUCAUCAUGCUCCGCUACACAUGCAUUAGAAAUAGCCUUGCCCUUUUUUAGCUUAGGACAAUUCUUUUUCCAAUGCCCUUUUUCACGGCAAAAGGCACAUUCAUCUUUGGCGGGUCUCCCUUUGGACUUUCCCCUUCUACCAAAUUUGCUAUUGUGUGAACGACCUCUUACUGUUAAGACUUCUGCAGUUGUAUCUUUGUGACCUCUUUUAUCUUUCUUUCGAGUCUCAGAUCUAUACAAUGCACUACAGACUGCAUCAAAUGUGAUCGUGUCCUUCCCAUGAAGCAAUGUAGUGGUAAGAUGAUCAUAUUCAUCUGGAAGGGAAUUCAACAACAAUAAUGCCUUGUCUUCAUCUUCAAAUUUCUCAUCCAAAUUUAGCAAGUCUGCUAAAAUUUUAUUGAAUGAGUUCACAUGGUCAUUCAUCGACAUACCAGGUGCAUAUGUGAAUCGAUAAAGUUUCUUUUUCAUAUAAAGCCUAUUUUCAAGACUUUUCGUUAGAAACUUUUCUUCCAGUGUAUCCCAUAACUUCUUCGCUGAUGUCUCCCUCAUGACAGAGUACUUCUGCUCUUUGGCCAAACAUAGACGGAUUGUACCACACGCCUGUCUAUUGAUCUUGGCCCACUCAUUGCAAUCCAUCUUGUCAAGUUUUUUUUCAAGGGCUAUAUCUAGCUCUUGCUGACAUAAGACAUCCAGGAUCUCACAUUGCCACAUACCAAAAUUAUUGGUACCGUCAAAUUUCUCUACUUCAAAUUUUGCAUUUGUCACAGUAGUCCUUGCUGAUGACGAUGCUGUUGUCAUUUUUCUCCUCAAUCUCAACUACUGUAUAUGUGAACAGUACUGUAUACGUAAAUAGUACUGUAUACGUGAAUAGUAUUGUAUACAUGAAUAGUUCCAUAAAUGGUCGUAUUCCCCAAGUACGAAUCUGGCUCUGAUGCCAAUUAUUGCGCGGAAGCGUGUGAAAGAGUAAAAAUAUUGUACUGAAAAAUCACACUAAGAUCAAUUCCCAGGAAAGAGAGGUAGAUCACGAAGAUCACUUAAAUACCAAGUCUUUCCUAGCCAGAAUAUCCUUCUAUCGUAAUUUAAUAGCACAAUAAAUCACUACAAUCACAUUCACAAAAUAUGCAAAAUAAAUAAUAAAGAACACCAGAAUUUUAACGAGAUUCAGUAAAAUUUGCCUACGUCCUCGGGCACUACCAAAUAUAUUUCACUCCAAAAAUUACAAGUGAAAUUUACAAAUAGGGAGAGAGAAUAAUGCCUUAAUUAGAGAAUGGCAAUUAUGGGAUGAAGAAAGUAAGAAAUGGUUAGGUCUAUUUAUAGUUGAGGUUCAAGGAUCAACUUGCAAUGUCCCUAUACAAUUAGGGACCAAAAUUGCAAUUAUCCCAUACUAACUUUUAACCCAACUUGCUAACCAAUCUUACUUUCUACUUUCGGUGCCCACCCUUUUUGACUUUUAAAACAAUGGGUGGGUUCCAAUACUAAGCAAAAAAACAUUAACCAAAAAGUAACAAAACAGCAGCAUAUGCUUCAGCUGCAACUUGCAUGGCCGAACUGUCUUGGUCUGCAUGUAAGCCAUCUUCUAACAGAUAUCAAGCAUGUCACAAAUGUCUUGCCAAGGCAUAUCAGCCAAGGACGGGGUGGAUCGAAUUUUAAUGUUCAUGGCAUUGUAUUUAUUGACAUUAUACAUUAUGUUGUAUUGUUGUUUUUUUGUUUUACGUGUUACUUGUAAGCUUCGACUCAAGUUACCAGUUGAAGCCAUUAAGGCUUUAUUUUAAGGUUUACACUUUGUUUCCUUUAUUUUAUAUGAUCUUCAAAUGAUGUUUAAUCAAAUAUAUUCCACUUGAUUGUAAACUUCAUUGUAUUAAACUUAAAUCAUUUUCAUUAGAUUGUAAAAUUAGGUAAUCUUAUGAUGAUAGGCAGCAGAGUAAAAAGGCUUUUCAAAAGACAGAAUCUGAUGGGUUUGCAAGGUCCACAUGCAUAUUGAGUGAUAGAUAAUUGGGUAAGCUCAAGUUUUCAUUUUCUAGCAGAGCAAUAGAAACCCAUCAAAUAUCUGAAUAAUUAGACAUUGUAAAGACUUACUAAAUAUCACACAAGGGAUCAAAGUAUAUAUAAGCUCUCAAGGGUAGGUAAAUCCAAAUAUUUAUUUGCUUUUAAGACUUACUAUUCUAUAACAAUGGUAUCUCCUAUUGAUCUUAAUUAUAUCGAGCUUUAAAUAAGUUGCUAAGUAGUUUAGGUGAAUUCAUGUUUAAUUUGUUGAUCCAUUAAAUAACAAAUUUAGUUCUCAAAGUUUACAUAUUUUGUCAAUUUUAUCUUGACUUAACAAAUUUAGACCGCUACAUUUGUGUAGAUGUGUAAAUGUCAAUGCUAAAUUUGUUGAUUUUUUUUAGAAUCAAGAUCAAAUUGACAAAAAUGCAAGCAUUGAGGGCUAAAUUUGUUGUUAUACCAAUCAAAAUUAUGUGAAGUUAUAGAAGACAUUAACGCGGUAGUUAAAUGUCCUUACUUACUUUCAAAAUUAACAAAGAUUAAACUUCUCUUCUUUUAAAGGGACCAAUUUAUUCAAUUUCGAAAUUAAGAAAGACUAAAGAAGUCCAUUUACCCAAAUUUACCUUUCCUAUGUUAGAAAGGACUAACAAAGAAAAUCUAUCAUUAUUUCACCUAGGAAAAUAGAAACACAACACCCUUCCUUCCAAAGACUUUUCAUUCAGGGGAAGAAAGUGAAAAUUAUUCUUCAAGAAACUGGUAAUUUAAGUUCAAUUCACUUAAAAGUCUCUAAAAGUGGAUCUUAUUCUUAAGAAAGUUAUACAAAAUUUCAGUUCAAUUGACCCAAAUGACAAAGUGUUUACAAGUCAAUAUUUUUGUUAGGAAAUUUGUAAGAAAUUUCAUCACAACCAAAAAGAAAUUCAUGAAUGGUGACAAUUUUUUUUUGAAGUUAUACAUUUGGUUACGAAAUCAACUAAUAUCUAUUUUCGUAUAGAUGAUUUACUCAUACUCAUAUAUUAAAUAGGCCCUUAAGAUUUAUCACAUUACAUAAAUAAUCUUGUAUACUUUUAUCAUACCCCAAAAAGCCUUUAAACUUUAUUUGUUAUCCAAAUAAAUUUUAAUUUUUAACUUGCAUCUAGAAAAGUUUUAAUCUUAACAAUUUUGUCCCAUUGGAAGACCUUGACUUGGAAAUUAACACCCAUCAUCAUCAUCGUCAUUUGAAACAAUUUUUCUUGUUGGUCAAAACUCCUUUUAGUACUCUUUCAUGCCUUCUUCUUCAUCAAAGUCCACAUCACGGCUUAGAAUAUGGUUUUGUGUUGGGUAUGGGUCCCACUAUGUGGGAAACCCAUAAUUUCUGCCACAUUUUAUUGUCUCUUUUUGGUUUUGUCAAAAGCCAUUUUUGGGGGUUUUUAACGGGUGUUGGGCAAAAAUUUUUGUAGAGCAAAAAAAAAAUCUCAAAUUAAAACAGAGAGAAAGAGAGAAGAAAAUUUCAGUUUUUCAAGCUUGGUGCAGCAGUGAUCAACUCUUCGAUCGAAGGUCCAUCCGUGGUUCGAUUGAGCUGAUUUUUGGACAGCAGCUAGGCGAUAAGGUGUUCUUGACUUUGUACGGUCGGAUUUUUCAUCCGAGUCUUGUAGCGUCGGAAAUACCCAUUUUUCAGCAGCUACGUUUUUGGUGAUGUUCUCUCAUUUUUCUCUCUUUUGCUAAAGAUUACAUAUUGUUAGCCUUGUCGGAGUUGAAUGCUUGUUGUAGGCUUGAUAUUGUAAUCUUGUAGCCAAACAUUUGAUGAUAGUGGAGCUCUUUAUCGGACUCUAAAGUCCCGUGGUUUUUACCCUUGAUUUAAAGGGGUUUUCCACGUAAAAAUAUCGGUGUCUCUAUUUAUUUUUGUUGUGGUUACAUUAGUUGAUUUGUGGUUGAUUAAGGUUGCUAGAGAACAUAUCUUGUGCUAUUGUGCUUGCCAUAAUUUUUGACAGAAGUUAUAAGGAGAGAAAGAACACCGGUUGUGCUUUCGCUUUGUUUCGGUUGUUCGGUUUCUUCCCAACAAACUGGUAUCAGAGCUUGGUUAUUGUGUCAGGUAAUUAUGGAAAUUAAUACGAGCAAGAUGAUUAUGUUGAAUGGCACAAAUUAUCAACUUUGGCGGAAUAAAAUGAAUGACUUGUUGUUUGUGAAGGCUUUGCAUCUUUCGGUCUUUACUACUCAAAAACCCGAUUCGAAAAGUGAUGAAGAAUGGGAAUUUGAGCAUCAACAAGUGUGUGGCUUUAUUCGGCAAUUUGUUGAAGAAAAUGUUUACAACCACAUUGAUCAAGAGACACAUGCUCGAACAUUGUGGGAGAAGCUUGAAAGCUUGUAUGCUUCGAGGUCGGGCAAUAACAAGUUAUUUUUGCUGAAGAAAAUGAUGGCGCUGAAAUACAAAGAAGGAAUAUCUAUAGCUGACCAUGUUAGUGAAUUUCAGAGUGUGAUGAAUCAGUUGCUUGGUAUGGGUGUCAAAUUUGAUGACGAGAUUUUAGGACUUUGGUUGCUUGCUACUCUACCAGACUCUUGGGAGACCUUUCGAGUCUCACUCAUUAAUUCUGCCCUACAGGGUAUUAUUACUUUGGAUUUGGCUAAGAGUGGUGUGUUGAAUGAAGAGGUUAGAAGAAGAUCUCAGGAUUCUACAUCACAGUCCGAGGUGUUGGUUAUCGAGAACAGGGGAAGAAACAGAGACAAAGAUGGAAAGGGUAGAGAUAAAAGCCGAAGCAAGUCAAGAUCGAGAUACAAGAAUCUUGAGUGUCAUCAUUGUGGUAAGAAAGGUCAUAUCAAGAAAUAUUGCUUCAAGUGGAAGAAAGAGAACAAAGGUGGUGGUGAUAAACACGAUCGGAAUGACGAUGAAAAAUCUAAGCCUGUUGCUACUGUUACUCGUGAAAAUCUGUUAGUUAUUUGUGAUGAGAAUUUGGUCAACCUAGCAUGCGACGAGACUAGUUGGGUGAUUGAUACUGGUGCAUCACUUCAUGUCACGUCGAGGAAGGAAUUCUUCACAUCUUAUACUCCUGGUGAUUUUGGGGUAUUGAAGAUGGGUAAUGAUGGUUUGGUUUCGGUUAUUGGUAUGGGAGAUGUUAGCUUGGUAAGUAACAAUGGAACAAAGUUAACUCUCAAGGAUGUCAGACAUGCACCGGAUGUCCGUUUGAAUUUGAUUUCUGCAGGAAAACUUGAUGAUGAGGGAUUCUGUAACACCUUCAGUGAAGGGCAGUGGAAGCUGACUAAAGGCUCAUUGGUUGUGGCUCGAGGAAAGAAGAGCUCAAAUUUGUACUUGAUGCAAGCUUUGACUUCUCGAGAGACGGUGAAUGUGACACUGAAUGACAACUCAACUGAGUUGUGGCAUAAACGACUCAGUCACAUGAGUGAGAAGGGGCUUAGCUGUUUAGCGAAGAAGAAUCAACUUUCGGGUUUAAAGAAUGCUACACUGAAGAAUUGUGCUCAUUGUCUAGCAGGAAAGCAGAAAAGAGUUUCAUUUAGAAGCCAUCCUCCUCAUAGGAAAUCAGAGUUGCUAGAGUUGGUCCAUUCAGAUGUUUGUGGUCCGAUAAAAGUAAGAUCACAUGGUGGUGCACUUUACUUUGUGACUUUCAUUGAUGAUUGUUCAAGAAAGCUAUGGGUUUACACUUUGAAGUCUAAAAAUCAAGUCUUUGAGGUGUUUAAAUAGUUUCAAGCAUCAGUUGAAAGGGAAACUGGGAAGAAGUUGAAGUGCAUUCGUACUGAUAAUGGUGGUGAGUACACAGGGUCGUUUCAUGAGUAUUGUCUGUGACAGGGAAUCAGACAUCAGAGAACACCACCAAAGACUCCACAGUUAAAUGGGUUAGCUGAAAGAAUGAACCGAACAUUGAUUGAGAGAGUCAGAUGUUUGUUGUCAGAUGCAAAGUUACCAAGAUCAUUUUGGGCUGAAGCUUUGAAUACAGUGACACAUGUGAUAAAUCUGUCUCCUAGUGUUCCUUUGAAAGGUGAUGUGCCAGAUAGAGUUUGGUUUGGUAAAGACGUGUCAUAUGAUCACCUACGUGUGUUCGGUUGUAAAGCAUUUGUUCAUGUUCCAAAGGAUGAAAGAUCCAAGUUGGAUGCCAAGGCUCGACAAUGCAUUUUUAUUGGUUAUGGUCUAGAUGGUGAGUUUGGUUAUAGACUCUAUGAUCCAGUUCAGAAGAAACUCAUGAGAAGCAGAGAUGUUGUCUUCAUUGAGGAUCAGACCAUUGAUGACAUUAAUAAGACGGAGAAAGUGGAUUCACAAGGUAGUGGUGACUUGAUCGAUGUGAAUCCGGUUCCCCUAGACUCUUCACCAGAUCCUAUCCAGGAUGAUGUGCAUGGUGAUGUUAUUGGUGACCAUCAGACUAUAGGUGACUUUGAUACUCCCAUGGAUGAUGUUGUGAAUGAUCAACAACAAGCACCUAUAGCUCCACCAUCAGUUCCACUUCGAAGGUCUUCCAGAGAUCGACGAUCUUUUGUCAGGUAUUCUCCUGAUGAAUAUGUUCUUUUGACUGACGGGGGAGAACCUGAAUGUUAUGAAGAGGCUAUGGAGAGUGAAUGCAAAGAUCAGUGGGUUGAAGCGAUGAAAGACGAACUUCAAUCCUUGCAUGAGAACCAUACUUUUGAAUUGGUGAAACUGCCUAAGGGCAAAAGAGCUUUGAAUAAUCGGUGGGUUUACAGGUUGAAGCAAGAAGAGAAGUCUUCAUCUCCACGAUACAAAGCUAGAUUGGUCGUCAAGGGUUAUACUCAGAAAAAAGGGGUUGAUUUUGAAGAAAUAUUUUCUCCGGUUGUGAAGAUGUCCUCUGUUAGAACUAUACUGAGUUUGGCAGCUUGUUAUGACCUAGAGGUUGAACAAAUGGAUGUGAAAACUUCUUUUCUUCAUGGUGACUUGGAAGAAGAGCUUUACAUGGAGCAGCCAGAGGGUUUUGUUGCACAAGGGAAAGAGGACUAUGUGUGCAGAUUGAAGAAGAGCUUGUAUGGUUUGAAGGAAGCUCCAAGGCAAUGGUACAAGAAGUUUGAGUCUGUUAUGGGGGAGCAAGGCUACAAGAAGACUACUUCUGAUCAUUGUGUGUUUGUUAAGAGAUUCUCUGGUGAUGAUUUUAUUAUUCUUUUGCUCUAUGUUGAUGAUAUGCUUAUUGUUGGUCAGAAUGCUUCUAGAAUUGAGAAGUUGAAACAAGAGUUGAGUAAAUCCUUUGCAAUGAAGGAUUUGGGGCCAGCAAAGCAAAUUCUUGGCAUAAGACUGACACGUGAUAGAAAGGCCAAGAAAUUAUGGUUAUCACAAGAGAGGUACAUUGAGAAAGUACUUCAAAGGUUUAGUAUGGACAAAGCUAAAGCGGUGAAUACUCCCUUUGCUAUGCACUUUAGAUUGAGUGUUAAGCAUAGUCCUUCCACAGAAAAGGAGAAGGAAGAGAUGCAGAAAAUUCCUUACUCUUCAGCCGUGGGUAGUUUGAUGUACGCAAUGGUUUGCACGAGACCAGACUUGGCUUAUGCUGUUGGUACAGUUAGUUGGUUUCUUUCUAAUCCAGGCAGAGAGCAUUGGAAUGCAGUGAAGUGGAUUAUGAGAUAUCUUCGUGGCACUUCAAACAUGAAACUUUGUUUCGGCAAUGAGAAACCUGUUCUUGUUGGGUAUACAGAUUCAGACAUGGCCGGAGACAUUGACUCGAGGAGAUCUACUUCAGGUUACUUAAUCACUUAUGCAGGGGGAGCUGUGGCAUGGCAAUCGAGACUGCAAAGUGUGUUGCAUUGUCCACCACCGAAUCAGAGUUCAUUGCAGCAACCGAAGCGUGUAAGGAGAUGCUUUGGAUGAAGAAGUUUGUGCAUGAGCUUGGUUUUACUCAGGAGAAGUAUGUCCUGUACUGUGAUAGCCAGAGUGCUAUUCAUCUUGGUAAGAACUCAACUUUUCAUGCUAGAUCUAAGCAUAUUGAUGUGAGGUACCAUUGGAUACGAGAUGUUCUUGAAGCUAAGAUGUUAGAGCUUGAGAAGAUACACACUAAUGAUAAUGGUGCUGAUAUGUUGACGAAGGCCUUACCAAGAGGAAAGUUUGAAGCAUGUUGUUUGACCUCCGGCAUGGAGGCAUUCCCCACAUAGUUGGAGGGGGAGAUUUGUUGGGUAUGGGUCCCACUAUGUGGGAAACCCAUAAUUUCUGCCACAUUUUAUUGUCUCUUUUUGGUUUUGUCAAAAGCCAUUUUUUGGGGGUUUUUAACGGGUGUUGGGCAGAAAUUUUUGUAGAGCAAAAAAAAAAUCUCAAAUUAAAACAGAGAGAAAGAGAGAAGAAAAUUUCAGUUUUUCAAGCUUGGUGCAGCAGUGAUCAACUCUUCGAUCGAAGGUCCAUCCGUGGUUCGAUUGAGCUGAUUUUUGGACAGCAGCUAGGCGAUAAGGUGUUCUUGACUUUGUACGGUCGGAUUUUUCAUCCGAGUCUUGUAGCAUCGGAAAUACCCAUUUUUCAGCAGCUACGUUUUUGGUGAUGUUCUCUCAUUUUUCUCUCUUUUGCUAAAGAUUACAUAUUAUUAGCCUUGUCGGAGUUGAAUGCUUGUUGUAGGCUUGAUAUUGUGAUCUUGUAGCCGAACAUUUGAUGAUAGUGGAGCUCUUUAUCGGACUCUAAAGUCCCGUGGUUUUUACCCUUGAUUUAAAGGGGUUUUCCACGUAAAAAUAUCGAUGUCUCUAUUUAUUUUUGUUGUGGUUGCAUUAGUUGAUUUGUGGUUGAUUAAGGUUGCUAGAGAACAUAUCUUGUGCUAUUGUGCUUGCCAUAAUUUUUGACAGGAGUUAUAAGGAGAGAAAGAACACCGGUUGUGCUUUCGCUUUGUUUCGGUUGUUUAGUUUCUUCCCAACAUUUUGUUCAUAUAAACUAAAAAUCUUUUUGUCUUUGUUUUUCUAAAUAAUGUGAAAUAUGGGCUUUUAUAUAGAUUCAUAAUCUCUUUGUGCUUUGUUCUUAAGCAAUACGAGAUUUAUUAUCCUUUUAACUAAAAAAAGAUUUAAGUUAAACUUGAUUUUUAAAAACUAAAGAUAAUAGUUAAACUUUGCACAACAAUAAACACGAAUAAAAUAUAUUUUUUAAUAUAUUAAAUGGUGAUUAUAAGUUGAUGUUGCUAUUCAACACUCUCCUCGUCACCAACUUUUAUUUAAAUUAACAUGUUAUUUGAAAUAAGGGAUAAUUUAAACACAAAAAAAAAUAUAUAAGGGUUUAUUUGGGUACAACAAAAAAAAAAACUAGUUCAAGGACUCUUUUAAGAAUUUAACCAUUUGCUGAACAUUGUCCCAUUGGAAGACCUUGACUUUUGUGGGUAAAAGAUACAAAGAAAGAAGACUGUCAUUUCCUAGAAAGUGUGAGAGUGACAAUUUUCUUGACUCGGAUAAUUAGCUAAUCUCUUCGGGUCGUUGCCUUUGUUAAAUCUCAUUUUCAUUUAAUACUAGGAUGCCAAAGCUCCCUUUGUGUAUUUUCCUCUCUUCUUCCUCAAUCUCACAAUCCAUAUAUACUUUCAUGGCAUCUUCUUCAUCUUCUUCUCGUCAAAUGAUGCAUUAAGUUUUCUUAACCUUCAGAGGUGAAGACACGGGCCUUAACUCAAUAUUUAAAACACAAAUUGACUUAACGAAUCCAAAUUACAUUGAUUAAAAUUAACCCAUCAUACCUGGUUGAUAGGUUUAGUUAAGGGGUAAUAGGUCAAGGACAAGGCUAUAUGCAUGAAAUUACGAUAGAUGGGUGUGUAAAAGUUGGGUCCUAUUUGCCAUCAUGUUAGUUAUGUGAGUGUCGAAUUUGAAUAUGUUCAAUUUUUAUUAAUAAUUUUCAUUUAUUUGUAUCUUUGAACGGACAAGAUCAAAAUAGAUGCUAUUAAUUGUAUAAGCUUGAUUAAGUCUUCUUUAGUUUUAGUUUAUUAAUUUCUUUUUCUCUUUUUAAAAUUCGAAUUUAUUUUAUUUUUUAAAAUAAUUUUACCUCUAUUUUGUUAUUUAAAUAUUUGAUUUAUCUUAAAUCGUUUCUACUUGUAUAAAUAGAAUUAUCAAUGAAUAAUGCAUAUUUUUCUUCUCAUCCUUUUCAAAACCUUAUAUAAUAUAUAAAGUCAAAUAUCUCUAAACGAAGAGUCGGAACUUAAGUACAAAUUAUUUUAGUCUUAAUUAUAUAUGUUCAAUUAAUCCCUCUGCUAGCUUAACACAACCAUUUACUGGAUUUCAUUUGAACCAAAAUGAAAAAAGAGAAAAAGAAAUAGAUUGCAUAUCCCACUAUCUACAAUGAAUGUGUUUUUUCGUUAAGAGCGAGAAAUGGCUUAUAUUAACUUAAUUUCUUUGAAUUAUUAUUUAAUUAAUUAUAAUUAAAUAAUUAAAGUUUGAAGGAAAAUUAAAUUAAUUAAUCAUCGUGGUUUUAAGGAAUGAGACAAUUAAAUUUAUUUACUCAUAAGUUUUAGUAUGGUAAAGUUGUCAUGAUUUUAACAAAAUUAGAAUUUAGUUGAGAAAAUAAUUUAAUUGAGGGAAUUAAUUAAAUUUAUUUUAAUUAACUAUAUAACUAAUAUUUUUACAAUGGAAAUUGGGUUGAAUAAAUUAUAUUAAUUAAUUUAAAGUUCACAUACACCUAAUCAAGGGUCGGGUCAAUGCAAAAUUUUAAGCUUGUUUUCUAGGCUCGACCCGACCUUCCUAUAUUAUUUUUUUAGAUUAUUUUUAUAUAAAGAUAAAUUUAAAAAAUAUAAUAUAUCAAAUAUACUAAAAUUAUUGAAAUUAGUGUUUCCCAACAAAUUGAGAAUACAUUUUAAAAAGCUUUAUACUUAAAUAAUACUAACACGGUUGCAACAUAGCAAAAAAAAAACUCUCUAAAAUAGUAGUAAAAUUAACAACAAAGUAAGAAAUAUAAUAUUCAAAUAAUAGCAACAAAAUAAUAACAAUAUAAUAGUAAAAUAGUAAUAAAACAACAACAUAACAACAUUAAACAACAACAGAAAAAUUAGUUAAAUUUGGGCCGAGCCCAAAACAUAUUAUCUAAAACCCAACCCAUUUAGAAAAUAUACCUUAUUUUUUGUCCAAAUCUAUUCUUUAAUCUUAUAUUUUCUCAAAAUAAAAAUAGACUUUUCCCAAAAUAUUUAAACUAAGUUUAAAUUUUAAAAUUGACAUUAUUAAAAAAGUUCUACCUAACCUAUUCUUUAAUCUUAUAUUUUCCCAAAAUGAAAAAUAGAUUUUUUCCCAAAAUAUUUAAUCCAAAUUUAAAUUUUAAAAUCAACAUUACUAAAAAAGUUCUACCUACCUCGAAUAAAAAUUAGGCUCAAACCAUAAAAUCAAGGAUAAAACGUAAAAGAAAUCACGGGUGCGGUACGGUUCCUAAGGUACACACGCAUUGACAUUAUCCCAUGUGCUGUGACCAGUGAUGUAAUUUGGUGUCUUUUGCCUCAAUCUCACAACCCAUACUCUCUUUCAUGCUUGCUUGCUUGCUUCUUUUUCUUCUCAAAAAAUGGGGCUAUCAAAUAAAUACUAAUAUUAAAUAUUUUAAUUAGGUUGGUGUAUAAGUUAUUUAAAUGUUAAUUUAAUAAAAAAUUAAUUAAAAAACUUAAGAGUGUAAAAAGUAGGAAUCAUAUCCAAUUUUCAUGAUUUUAAAACAUGGAUAUGUUAUAGUUUUGUAAAAGUAUAAUUCAAUGCUGUCUUAAUGUAGAACAAGCAGCAAAUGAUACCCAUCAAGUAUCUAAGCAAUUUUCUCAUACAAAAGUCACAGUCAAGGCUUACUAAAUAUCACACAAGGGCUGAAAUCUACUAUAAAAAGUCUGUUGUAGGCUUCCAUCCACAAUUUUUAAAUUGAUCUCAUAUUAUAAAAAAAAUGAAGUGUUUAAAUAAAAACAAACCAAACCCUAUGAUAAAUCUCAUCACCAUUUAAUAAAAGGGCACCAACGAGUUCUGUUUAGUUUGAUCAAAGCUCCACAAGAUUCACUAUGCAAUUUAUCAAAGCUCCACAAGCACAUGUAUUUUUUAUUACCCUCAAAGAUAAUUGCCUAAGCUCAAAUCCUCGCCUACGCUUCACUACAAACAUAUUAAAUUAAGUGGUUUUGAAAUAGAAGGAUUAAAUUUUAAUUUUGAGAAUACUCCAAAUCGAUAAUGUGAUUAAUUAUUUUGUUUAAAAAUACUGACGUGAUAUUUUAAUAGGAAUACUUACUAAUGUUAUAUCGAACUAAUUAAUGAUAAUAUAAAGAGAUUAAAUUGUGUUAUUUUAAUAUUUAGAAAUUAGAUUUUAAAUUUGAAAAUAAUAUAGAGAUCAAAAUUAAAAUUUAACUGUUUUCGGCGAGUAAAAUUUUUUAUGGCAGUGGGUUAUUCAACUCCUCACCUUAAUUUAGACACGCGCCUUAAUUUCACCACUCACUUACUUCAAGCUUUGAAAGACGAGGGACUUGAUGUUUUCUUUGAUGAAGAAGAACUGGAAAGGGGGGACCAGCUUUCACAAGCACUUUCUCGAGCAAUUGCAGUCUCAAAUAUCUCAAUCAUCGUUUUGUCUGCAGACUAUGCCUCUUCGAAAUCAUGCUUGGUUGAACUUUCUGACAUCAUGGACCGCUAUAGCGGCGAACAACAAAUUGUUCUUCCCAUCUUUUACCAUGUUAACCCCUCUGAUGUGGAGAAUAUUGUUGAGCAUGGACUGCAAUGCAACAGAAGGCCAUGAUGCAGACCAGCAGCUGCAGCAGACCAGCAUUCAAGCAGGACCAGAAGUAGCUUAAUUAUUUUGUUUACUUUUUGUUCAUUUUGUAAUGCCAUCCAAGCUAAAUGUAACUAGACUUUUAGAGUUGUUAAGAUUUGAAUUGAUGGAUGUAAUGGCUAAAAGUUGUUCAGCUUUCUUUUGUGUUACUUUAGUUGGCAACUUGCCAAAAUAGGUGGGAGCAGUUACAAGUUUAGGUAACUGACAUUCUAAUUUUGUAACUCAUAUAUUUUCAAAUGAAAUGAAAAGCAGUAGUAUUCCAUUUCAGUUACAUUUUUGCUUUUGAGUUUUCUGUUCUGUUUUCUUUUCUUUUCUGCUUGCUGUUCGAGAGCUUAUCCUCUUGGUGUUUUCAUUUGUUUGAUUUGCUGUUGUCUUUGUUUCAACAAAUGGUAAUCAGAGCCUCCUAUCUUUGAGGACCUCUGUUGUUUAUGUUUUAGUUUUUUCAAAGCAAAGUCAGUUUUUUUGUGUUUUCAAAGUCAGUCUUGGCAGCAUGAGUUUUGCUCCUCCUCCACCACCAGUUUUUGCUGGAGACAACUACCACAUUUGGGUUGUCAAAAUGAAGACAUAUCUUCAAGCACUUGACCUCUGGAGUGCAGUUGAGAGUGAUGUCGAGCCAGCACCAUUAAGAGCAAAUCCUACCAUUGCUCAGAUCAGGCAACAUGGUGAGGAACGAGCCAAGAAACACAAAGCUAUGGCCUGUUUGCAGAAUGGAAUAUCAGAUGUUAUUUUCACUCGUAUCAUGGCCUGUGACUCUUCCAAGCAGGCAUGGGACAGGCUGAAAGAGGAAUUUAUGGGAUCAGACAAGACCAGGCAGCAACAAGUCAUCAACCUUAGAAGGGAGUUUGAAAAUUUGAAGAUGAAGGAGUCAGAAACUAUCAAGCAAUAUUCUGACAGGAUUAUGGCUACUGUCAAUAAUAUUAGACUCCUUGGAGAAGAUUUCAGUGAUAGUAGGGUUGUUGAGAAGGUUAUUACCACCUUACUUGAAAGGUUUGAGUCAAAAAUCUCCUCAUUGGAGGACUCGAGAGAUCUCACAACCAUUUCUUUGUCUGAGUUGAUUAACUCACUCUAUGCACUUGAGCAGAGAAGAGCAAGUAGGUAGGAGGAGAGUCUUGAAGGUGCUUUUCAAGCAAAGGUCAGAGAAGGCUCCAGCUCAAGCCAGAAAGCCAAGAAGCUUUGGUUUGAAAAGAGGGAAAGAUCAAAGAAAGAUGCCAGUAGAAGGAGGUUUCCACCAUGCAUUCACUGCAAGAAGACCAAUCACCUGGAAAAAUUUUGCUGGACCAGACCAGAUAUACAGUGCAAAAGCUGUAAGAAGUAUGGUCAUCAUGAGAAAAUCUGUAGAAGUCAUGAGAAGGCACAAGCACAACCAGUACAAGCCAAGUCUGUCGAGGAUGUCCAAGCUCAGGAGGAGCAUGUAUUUACAGCUUCAUGUUUUGCAGCUAACAGCAAGAUCAGUUGGCUUGUGGAUAGUGGCUGCUCACACCACAUGGCUGUAGAUGAGAGCCUUUUCUAGAACCUUGACAGGAGCUAUGUCUCGAAGGUCAGGAUAGGCAAUGGCAACUUGAUUGAAGCAAAAGGUAGAGGUGAUAUGGUGAUUCACACUGGUUCAGGUAACAAAAUCAUUUCUGAUGUGCUCUAUGUGCCAGAAAUAGACCAAAAUUUUCUCAGUGUAGGCCAGCUAGUCAAGAAAGGCUUUUCACUAGUUUUCAAGAAUGAUUCUUGUGUUAUAAGUGAUGCUCAUGGUAGGGAGAUUGUCUCAGCACCUAUGGGAGACAAAUGUUUUAUGCUGGAUGUGAGUCAGCUUGAGAAAAGUGCAUAUACAAGCUCAGUUGACAAUACUGAUCUUUGGCACAAGAGGUUUGGCCAUGUUAACCUCAAAUCACUUGAUUUGCUGCACAAAAUGAACAUGACAGAGGACAUGGUGAAGGUUAGUGCAAGUGAAGGUGUUUGUGAGGUGUGUCAGCUUGGCAAACAAGCCAGGUUGCCCUUUUCAGCUAACCAAGCAUGGAGGGCUCGAGAAAGACUUGAGUUGGUGCACUCAGAUGUCUGUGGACCAAUGAAGACCCCUUCACUGAAUGGCAGUAAGUAUUUUAUACUAUUUAUUGAUGAUCUGACCAGAUUUUGCUGGGUUUAUUUCAUGAAACAGAAGUCAGAAGUGUUUGGAGUUUUUGGAAAGUUCAAGACAUUGGCAGAAAAUCAAACAGGCUGCAGGAUUAAGGCCUUGAGGACAGACAAUGGUUUUGAAUACUUGUCUGAAAGAUUUCAGAAGCUAUGUGAGAAGGCUGGGAUUCAUCAUCAGUUAACCACAGUGUACACUCCUCAGCAAAAUGGAGUGUGUGAGAGGAAGAACAGAACAGUGAUGAACAUGACUAGGUGUAUGUUGUUUCAAAGCAAGCUUCCAAGCAUUUUUUGGGCUGAAGGUGUCAACACCUCAGUGUACCUGCUCAAUAGGCUGCCAACACAUGCUGUGAAUGAUAAAACUCCUUUUGAAGCAUGGUAUGAUCUUAAACCAACUGUUUCCCAUUUAAAAGUGUUUGGUUGCAAGUGUUUUGUACUUGUCCCUGCAGAAAGAAGAACCAAGCUCGAGAAGAGGUCAGUUCCUGGUAUAUUUGUUGGCUACAGUAGCUGCAAGAAGGGCUACAGAGUAUUUGAUCCUUCAACCAAGAAGAUUUUGGUAAGCAGGGAUGUCAAAUUCGAUGAAGGAAGGUUUUGGAGUCUAGAUGGCUCUAACACAAGUCAGUUUGAAGAAGAGCAGAUUGACAGCAAUCUAGAAUUGGCAGAAAAUGAAGUCAGUAAUGCCAAUGUAGAUGAUGCUCCUGUGAGAGGGACCAGGUCUAUUGCUGAUAUCUACCAAAGAUGCAAUGUGGCCAUUGUUGAGCCUUCAAGCUAUGAAGAAGCUGCAAGAAGCAAGAGCUGGAAGAAGGCUAUGGAGGCUGAAAUCGACAUGAUCCAUAAGAAUGACACUUGGGAUCUAGUAGACAGACCUGAUCAGAAGAAGGUCAUAGGUGUCAAGUGGGUUUUCAGGACCAAAUUCAAUGCAGAUGGCUCUCUGAACAAGCACAAGGCAAGGCUUGUGGUGAAAGGGUACAAUCAACAGUUUGGCAUUGAUUUUGAGGAGACAUUUGCACCAAUGGCAAGGCUGGAUACUAUAAAGCUUCUAUUUGCUUUCGCUGCACAGAAACAGUGGAAGGUCCAUCAGCUUGAUGUCAAGUCAGCUUUCCUGAAUGGCUUCCUUAAAGAGGAAAUUUAUGUUGAACAGCCUGAUGGAUUUAAAGUCCAAGGAAAGGAGGACAAGGUUUACAAGCUGAAGAAGGCACUCUAUGGACUAAAACAGGCUCCUCGAGCCUGGUAUGACAGGAUAGAUGCUUACCUGUCUAGGCUCAAUUUCGAGAAAAGUUUGAGUGAGCCAACUUUGUUUAUAAAGAAGUCUAAAGAUGAGACUUUGCUGAUUGUCUCAAUAUAUGUGGAUGAUCUAUUAGUGACUGGAAGCAGGGUCGAUUUGAUUCAGGAGUUCAAGAAGAAUAUGCAAGACAUGUUUGACAUGACAGACUUGGGAAUCAUGACUUACUUCCUUGGUAUGGAAGUAGACCAGUUGAUCAAGGCAUUUUUAUCAGCCAGCAUGCAUUUGCCUUGAAAGUUCUCACUAAGUUUCAUAUGGAAAAUUGCAAGCCAGUGAGUACACCUCUAGUCAUGGGACAGAAGUUGAGCAGCUAUGGAGAUGAAAAAAAGGUGGAUGAAAGAGAGUAUAGAAGUCUAAUUGGAUGUUUACUAUACUUGACAGUAACUAGACCUGACCUUAUGCAUUCGGUCAGUUUGCUAUCUCGUUUUAUGCAUAGCUGCAAUACAUCACAUUUAAAGGCUGCAAAGAGAAUCCUCAGGUAUGUGAAAGGAUCCUUGAAGUUUGGAGUGAUGUUCAAGACAGGAGGUCAGCUGAAGUUAUCUGGCUACUCAGACAGUGAAUGGGGAGGUUCGAUUGAUGAUAUGAAGAGUGCCUCAGGGUACCUCUUUUCUCUUGGUUCAGGAGCUUUCUGUUGGAGCUCUAAAAAGUAACAAACAGUUGCUCAAUCAACUGCUGAGGCAGAGUACAUAGCAGCAGCUGGAGCAGUAAGCCAAGCUAUUUGGCUUAGAAAAUUGUUGUGUGAUUUGAAUGAGGAACAAUUUGAGCCUACUGAGAUUAUGAUUGAUAAUCAAUCAGCAAUAGCUAUCUCUAAGAAUGCUGUUUUUCAUGGCAAAACGAAGCACUUUAAGCUCAAAUUUUAUUUUGUUCGAGAGGCAGUACAAUCAAAGGAUGUGAAUCUUGCAUAUUGUAGUUCACAAGAUCAAUUGGCUGACAUUCUAACAAAGCCUCUUGGUACUAUGAGGUUUGAAUUUCUUAGAGAUUUGGUUGGUGUUUGUUGCCUACAGUCCAAGGAGGAGUGUUGAGCAUGGACUGCAAUGCAACAAAAGGCCAUGAUGCAGACCAGCAGCUGCAGCAGACCAGCAUUCAAGCAGGACCAGAAGUAGCUUAAUUAUUUUGUUUACUUUUUGUUCAUUUUGUAAUGCCAUCCAAGCUAAAUGUAAUUAGACUUUUAGAGUUGUUAAGAUUUGAAUUGAUGGAUGUAAUGGCUAAAAAUUGUUCAGCUUUCUUUUGUGUUACUUUAGUUGGCAACUUGCCAAAAUAGGUGGGAGCAGUUACAAGUUUAGGUAACUGACAUUCUAAUUUUGUAACUCAUAUAUUUUCAAAUGAAAUGAAAAGCAGUAGUAUUCCAUUUCAGUUACAUUUUUGCUUUUGAGUUUUCUGUUCUAUUUUCUUUUCUUUUCUGCUUGCUGUUCGAGAGCUUAUCCUCUUGGUGUUUUCAUUUGUUUGAUUUGCUGCUGUCUUUGUUUCAACAAAUAUUGAUGGGAGUUUUAAGAAAUCAUUUGAUGAGCAUGAAACAAGGAGGUCAGUUGAUGAAGUGAAACAAUGGAAAACUGCUUUUGCUGAAGUUGGUAAAUUACAAGGGUGGCAUAUAGAUGGAAGCAUCUCGGAUAGGUAACUAUAUUUGUCUCAUCUCCUUAUAUUUGACUUAUCUUUGUUUUGGAUUCAAUAUAUAUACUUCUUCUAUUAUUUGCUAGACCUGAAACCCAGUACAUCAAGGAUAUUGUUGCGUAUGUUAUGCAAAAGUUGAUGAAGCAUCAAGUUUUCUUAAGCUUAGGUGAAGACACAAGCCUCAACUUCUCCAAUCACCUAGUCAAUGCUUUGGAAAAAGUAGGAAUUGAUGUCUUCCCCAAUAACGAAACACUGAAAAAAGGAGAGAAACUUCCACCAACAUAUUCUCGAGCAAUUUCGGCCUCAAAUCUCUCAAUCCUCGUUUUAUCUAAAGCCUAUGCUUCUUCAAAAUCAUGCUUAGGUGAACUUUCUGACAUCAUGGAUCGCAAGCACAAUCCCACUGACAAACAUAUUGUUCUUCUCGUCUUUUACCAUGUUGAUCCUUCCGAUGUGCGAAAUAUUGGUGGGCAUUUUAAGGCAUCCUUCGAAGAGCAUGAAUCAGAACAACCAGCUGAUAGAGUACAACAAUGGAAAACUGCUUUUGCAGAGGUCGGUGAAUUAAAAGGGUGGCAUAUAGAAGGAGGCAAAUUUGACAAGUAACUAUAUUUUUCUCAUCUUGUUAUAUUCAACUUAUAUUUGUUUUACAUUUCAUAUUUACUGGUUUAUAUUUUUUUUUCUAGACCUAAAACCCAGUACAUUAAAGAUGUUGUUGAAUAUGUUAUAAAAAAGUUGUCGAAUAUUAAGUCUGGAAGUGCUUCUAAAGAAUUGGUUGGAAUAGAUGAUCAGAAAAGGACGAUUUUGAAGCUGAUUAAGCAAAAAGACAGUUGUGUAAUAGGACUUUGGGGAAUGGGUGGUCAAGGCAAAACAACCCUUGCUGAGGUUGUGUAUAAAAAAACCUCUUUAGAGUUUGAAAGUUGUUGCUUUCUCCAAAAUGUUAGAUAGGAAAUAGAAAAACAGGGGAAGAUAUCUUUACGAAAUGAACUUCUUUCGAAAUUAUUGAAGUCAGGUGUUGAUAUAGACACCCCCACUGUAGGAUCCACUUCAAUUCAAGAGAGGCUCAACAAUAAGAAAGUACUUGUUGUCCUUGAUGAUAUUAGUGACCCAAACCAAAUAGAUUGUAUGGGUGUUAAACGUUUGGGCUCUGGAAGUAAAAUCAUUAUAACAUCUAGAGAGAAACAAGUGCUUAAGAGUGGAGGAGCUGACACAAUACAUGAGGUGAAAGCAUUAAAUGAGAAUGAUUCUCUUCAAAUUUUUUCUACCUUUGCAUUUAAGCAGUUGAAUCCUGAAGUUGAUUUUCAAGAUCUAUCAUGCAAGUUUGUGGAGUACGCCCAAGGCAGUCCACUUGCUCUUAGAGUUUUGGGUUGUAAUUUAUAUGGAAGGACUAUAAAUGAUUGGGAAAGUGAGAUGGAGAAGCUAGGGGAAUAUUUCCACCCCGAAAAUUUUGUGGUUUUGAAAAGUAGUUAUGAUGGGCUAGGUAUGGUAGAGAAGAAUAUAUUUCUUGACAUUGCAUGCUUCUUUAAAGGGGAACCCAUAAAAAGAAUAAAACAUGUUCUAAGUUGUUAUCGGGGUGUAGAUGAUGGAAUAAGCAAAUUGCUCAGCAAGUGCCUAAUUA